UACGCUGCUUAAAGAAACAAACAUGAAGGCCCAGGCCCACCAAAGCGUGAUCAAGUCUCCGCCUCGCCCGACCCAGGCGUCAGGAUCGGGAGCGCCCGACCUCCCUCCGCAAGGCUUCCGCCUCGCCCGACCAUAACCCCAGGGUCGGGAGCGCCCGACCCUGUACCACGAAAGUUCCGCCUCGCCCGACCCCGAGCGAAGGAGUCGGGCACGCUGAGGACCACGGGGUCAGAAUCCCCCUCGGAUACGAUCCGCAUAAACAAGACAAAUCCUGUGGGUCCCCCCCGUCGGCCUCACCAUCAAUGCGCCGCAGAGUUGGAAGAGCGCAGGGUGACCGCGCCCCCCACGCAACCCGGCGCAAGUACCCGCGCACGACCGUCCUGUGCGAGCUACAGUACCGGUGGCCGGCCCCUGUUCGUCGCAGGGUACUCAUGACCUGCGGCGACCGGAGCAAAGGAGGGAGCGGCCCCGUCCUCGGGUCCCGCACGCCCUCGGGCCCCGCGCAAACGGCAGCACAGGUGUGAAGCUCCCCCUCUCCACAAGCCAUCGCCAGAGCGUCGGUAUCCACCGUCCUCCCUAACGGACGGCGGGGUGGCGACAAAACCGCCUCAUCAUGAUCUAACCUGGUACCUACGAACAUCGAAGAAGCUACCUACGGGGAGCAGCGACACUUGGCGUCUGGCGACCACCCAUCCCGGCAUGCACGGCGGCACGCGUUUAGGGUCGGCAGGACGUCGGGCGCCUUAGCUCUCCCUCCUCCUCCUCGCCUGACUUUUUACCAUCUUACUCUUUACCUUUCACCCGGUCCCAAUUGUAACUCCGGCCGGCCCCUUGCGAUAUAAAAGGAGGAACCUAGAGCUGGAGAAAGGGAUCGAGAUCCCCAGAUCAACAAGCCCGCCUCUUCUCUAGUACACCAUUGUACACGACCGCUGGGGAAGAGGGGACCGAAACAAAAGAGACUUGGGACCUGUCCCUCUCUCGCCAAUCUGUAACCCCCUACUACAGAACCCCCGCGUGGGCAACACGAGCACCCUCGACACUGGACGUAGGGCUUCUCUUGCCCGAACCAGUCUAAAUCCGUGUCUCCCGCGCAACCAUAUGAGGCUCACGCGCAUAAAAGAAAUUUACUAGUCUAAAGUCUAGAUCCGCUGAUCUUGACAACGACAGUUGGCGCGCCAGGUAGGGGACCUUUGCGCGUGCAUCUACAAGUCACAGAUGGCCAAUCGCGAUAGCAGCUUUGCUCCGGGCUCCCUGAUCCGCUUCGGGAGCCUGGACUUCCUGGCCACCAGGAAAGGGAUCGAGCUGAUCCCUGUCCACGUCCUGCCUGCUCGUCCCGCUGCCCUCGGCACUACCACCAGGACAGCGACGAGCGGCCGGACGCUAGCCGGAAGGGCCUCACCAGAAGGAUGGCUCUUCGGGCUACGCAACGCCACGGAGGCUCACGGCUGCCUCCUAGCGCGGUCCUUUGCCACGUCACCCGCGAGCAACAGGCUCGCGGGCAUGGCAAGGACGGUCUCCGACACCUGCUCCAGUAACGAGGAUCCCCGCCCCUCGCGCGAGUGCUUCAUGGCUGACGCGCACUCCGAGGGGUCCAAUGGCGAUGGUGCCGAGGGGAGGCAACGGGCUCCCCCCUCGCGUGCCGCAGCUACCACUGGGGCCUUACCCAGGGCCCCAGAGUGCUCUCAGCAACCGGAAGCGCACGUGGGCGCUCGCCAAGAAGUUGAGCACCCCUACCACGAGGGGGGAGCGCGACAACAAGCGCGCGACGUCCAGGAACGCAUCUGUGCGGAUGGAGAACGUCCGCCGCUCUUUGCCCACGCUAGCCAGAACGUCGCCGCAGCGGCGGUGUUGCUCCGACAGCUCCCCGAGCCAGCGACCCCCGAGGAGCGACGGGCACGCCAAGAGAUGCGCAACCUGCUCGAGUGCGCCGCCGUCCAGCAGGCGGAAAGUUCAGCGUCUCGACGACGCGGCCAGAACGCCAGCCGGGCAAUGCAUGGCGCGCCCCCGGAACCACGGGGGGAAUCUGUCCAUCAACCCCCUCCGGUGGCGAAUCCGGUUGCAACCGCCCGACGAACACCGCCACCCGCGGCAGACGAGGCCCGAUCCGUCCACCAACGCAUCGGUCUCGUCCGAGACGCCCGCGACACCCUGAACGCGCGGAGACGCUCCCGCGCAGACAGGGGGGACGGGGCAGAUCGAGGCUACCAUGUCCACCGUGGCGGGCGCUACGACAGCGGGGAAGACCGCAGUCCGAGCCCCGGAGCGGCCGGACCACGGGCCUUCUCCACGCGCAUACUGAAUGCGCCCUUUCCGCCGCGCUUUAGGCAACCCACUAGCGUGCCCAAAUACUCGGGGGAGACCAACCCUGGAGUAUGGCUCAGCGACUACCGGCUUGCAUGUCAGGCCGGCGGGGCGGACGAUGACCUGUUCAUCAUCCGCAACUUACCCCUGUUUCUGGCAGACUCCACGAGAGCCUGGGUAGAACACAUCCCUUCAGGGCGCAUUCGCAACUGGAACGACCUGAAGGAGGUUUUCGUAGGAAACUUCCAAGGGACGUACACAUGCCCUGGCAACUCCUGGGAUCUCCGUAGCUGUCGCCAGGGGGCGGACGAGUCCCUCCGGGAUUACAUCCGGCGCUUCUCUAGAAAGCGCACCGAGCUCUCCAACGUCGCCGACGCCGAUGUCAUAGGAGCCUUCCUAGCAGGGACCUCUUGCCGGCCCCUCGUCCACGAGCUAGGGCGCCGAGGUCCACGAACCACGGAGCAGCUCCUCAACAUCGCCACCAGCUACGCUUCUGGUGAAGAGGCAUUUGGAGCGAUCUUCGAUCGUUCCAAAGGCAAGGCGAAACGGGAGGAGGACACCGACGAAGGCACCUCCAACCGCCAGCAGCAGAAGAAGAAGGGCAAGCAGCGACGUGAGGCACCGCUCGUAGGCGCAGUCGAACGCAAGCAGGGGCAGCCACCCCCCGACGGCGCUCCUGGCUUCUUCGACAAGCUGCUCGAGGGGCCGUGCCCGAACCACGAGUUCCCCGUCAAGCACGCCUACAAAGAUUGUAACCUCAUGAAGAGGUUCUUUGUGGGCAAUCCGGUGAAAGGUGACCGGAAGCGGAAACCCGACGAGGAAAAGAAGGGAGACGAGGAGAAGGAAGACGGCUUUCCUAAAGUGGACGGCUGCUUCAUGAUCUUCGGGGGCUCCGCAGCGUACGACACCAGGCGCCAGCAAAAGCUAGAGCAUCGGGAGGUCUACGCGGCCGAGCCUGCAACUCCGGCUUUCCUCGAUUGGUCCGGACCGGCCAUCACCUUCGAUAGGUCCGACCACCCAGGACGCGUCCGACAUCCGGGGCGCUACCAUCUCGUCGUCGACCCCAUCGUCGGUACGACACGCCUCACCAAGGUACUCAUGGAUGGGGGCAGCGGCCUCAACCUCCUCUACGCCGAAACCCUCGACGCCAUGGGGAUCGACCGCUCCCGCCUCCGUUCUAGCAAGGCACCCUUCCAUGGCGUCGUGCCAGGGAAGCAGGCAACGCCACUCGGGCAGAUCGACCUGCCCGUCACGUUCGGGACCCCUUCCAACUAUAGGAAGGAGGUCCUCACCUUCGAGGUAGUGGGGUUUCGUGGCACCUACCACGCCAUCUUGGGACGGCCAUGCUACGCGAAGUUCAUGGCGAUCCCCAACUACACCUACCUCAAGCUCAAGCUGCCAAGGCCUAGUGGGGUCAUCACCGUCGGCACAACCUUCCAGAAGGCAUACGAGUGCGAUGUCGAGUGCUGCGAGUACGCCGCGGCCAUCACCGUCUCGGGCGACAUGGCGGCCCAGCCUGAAGAAACGAUCGAGGACCGGCCCGACGCCAAGCAGUCAGGUACCUCCUUCAAGCCCACCAAAGGCAUCAAAGAAGUCCCCCUCGAUCCCAGUUGUUCCGAUGGAGGGGUCGUGCGCAUCAGCGCGGCUCUAUCCUCCAAAUAGGAAAGCGCGCUCGUCGACUUCCUCCGCGCGACCAGCGACGUCUUCGCGUGGAAGCCCUCGGACAUGCCAGGCAUCCUGAGAGAAGUCGCCGAGCAUUCCUUGAACAUCAGGGCCGGCUCUAAGCCAGUAAAGCAAGGCUUGCGCCGUUUCGACGAAGAAAGGUGCAAAGCCAUCGGCGAAGAGCUCCAGAAGCUCCUGACGGCCGGGUUCAUCAAGGAAGUACACCACCCCGAGUGGUUGGCCAAUCCUGUUCUUGUAUCGAAAAAGAACGGGAAAUGGAGGAUGUGUGUUGACUAUACCGGACUCAACAAAGCGUGCCCGAAGGAUCCGUUUCCUUUGCCACGCAUAGAUCAAAUAGUUGACUCGACCGCCGGGUGCGAAACUCUCAGUUUCCUCGACGCAUACUCCGGCUAUCACCAGAUUGCGAUGAAAGAGGCCGACCAGCUCGCCACCUCCUUCAUCACUCCCUUUGGCCCCUACUGCUAUGUUAAGAUGCCGUUCGGCCUCAAAAACGCGGGAGCUACCUUCCAACGAUGUAUGCUUAAGUGCUUCGGAGACCUCAUCGGGCAGACCGUUGAGGCCUACGUCGACGACAUCGUUGUCAAAUCCAGGAAGGGCGAUCAGCUCGUUCCCGACCUGGAGCUAGCCUUCGAAAGGCUAAGGGAUAAGCGCAUGAAGCUUAACCCCGAAAAGUGCGUGUUCGGGGUCCCAAGGGGCAUGCUGCUAGGCUUCAUCGUCUCCGUGCGUGGCAUCGAGGCGAGCCCGGAGAAGAUAGCGGCCAUCAACGACAUAGGGCCGAUUCGGAACGUGAAGGGAGUGCAGCGCGUCAUGGGAUGCUUAGCAUCCCUCAGCCGCUUCAUCUCGCGCCUCGGCGAGCGAGGACUUCCUCUCUAUCGGCUCCUGAAAAAAUCCGACCGCUUUGAGUGGACCACCGAGGCACAGGAGGCACUUGACAGGCUCAAGGAUCUCUUGACGAAGGCCCCAAUCCUAGUUCCGCCGGCCGACGGCGAGACCCUUCUACUCUACGUCGCGGCGACCACCCAGGUGGUCAGCGCGGCCCUAGUGGUGGAACGGGAGGAGGAGGGGCACGCUCUUAAGGUGCAACGACCGGUGUACUUCAUCAGCGAAGUAUUGUCCGAGUCCAAGUCACGAUACCCGCAGAUCCAGAAGCUCGUCUACGCCAUCCUCAUCACAAAGAGGAAGCUGCGCCACUACUUCACCUCCCAUCCGGUAACGGUCGUCUCUUCAUUCCCGCUUGGUGAAGUAAUCCGGAACCCAAAUGCAAUAGGAAGGAUCGCGAAGUGGGCGCUUGAGCUUAUGGAUCAGGGUAUCACCUACGUCCCCCGCACCGCCAUUAAGUCCCAGGUACUUGCCGAUUUCGUGGCCGAGUGGACAGAGGUACAAGCACCAACGGCAACAGAGGAGCAGGAGUACUGGACGAUGUAUUUCGACGGGUCGCUGAUGAGGGCAUGCGCCGGAGCAGGCCUCGUCUUCGUCUCUCCGCUGGGCGUACGCAUCAUGUACAUGAUCCGCCUCCAUUUUCCUGCAUCCAACAAUGUCGCUGAGUAUGAAGCCCUGCUCAACGGGCUCCGCAUCGCCAUCGAGCUGGGCAUUCGUCGACUAGACGUCCGAGGCGAUUCCGAGUUGGUCGUCGAACAAGUCAUGAAAGAAUGGAGCUGCCAUGACCCUAAAAUGGCCGCCUACUGCAACGAGGUACGAAAGCUCGAGGACAAGCUCGACGGGUUGGAGCUCAACCACGUCGCAAGGCGCUUCAAUGAAGCCGCCGACGAGCUCGCAAAGGCGGCGUCUGGCCGGAUGCCCGUCCCCGACAGCGUCUUCGUUAGCGACCAGCUGAAGCCCUCGGUCCGUUACCCGGAGCUAGCAGGGGUCGGCGGGGCAUGCCCAGUCUUGGGGGCAGGAUCCGAGCCAGGGGAGGUCGGCAGCAAGCCACCUGUCCUGGACCUGAGCACCGAUCCCAAGGGAACCAACGCUGCCCCACCCGACCUGGCCCCGGAAGUCAAGCCUCCCGACCCCGUGGUUAUGGAAAUCGAGGCGGGCCCCGCGGCGGGGGCCGACCCCUCGGCCGAUUGGAGAGCCCCGUACCUCGACUACCUUCUCCACGACGCGCUCCCGACCGACAAGACUGAAGCCCGCAGGAUCACGCGUCGUGCGAAAUCCUUCACCAUCAUCGACCAGGAGCUUUACAAGCGAAGUCACACUGGGAUCCUCCAGCGUUGCAUCCCGAUCGAACAGGGAAAGGCGCUGAUCUAGGACAUCCACGCUGGGGCUUGUGGUCACCAUGCUGCGCCAAGGACGCUUGUGGGCAAUGCCUUCCGACAAGGUUUCUACUGGCCAACCGCGGUCGCGGAUGCUACCCAGGUAGUCCGCACUUGCGAAGGAUGCCAGUUCUUUGCCCGCCAAACCCACCUGCCCGCGCAGGCGUUACAAACCAUCCCCAUCACGUGGCCGUUCGCGGUCUGGGGGCUGGAUCUCGUCGGACCCUUCAAAAGGGCGCCCGGGGGCUUCACCCAUCUACUCGUCGCCGUCGACAAGUUUUCCAAAUGGAUCGAAGCAAGGCCUGUGGCGCAAAUCAGGUCCGAGCAGGCGGUGCAGUUCUUCACCGACAUCAUCCACCGAUUCGGGAUCCCGAACUCCAUCAUAACCGACAACGGUACGCAGUUCACCGGGAAAAGAUUCCUCCAGUUCCGCGACGACCACCACAUUCAAGUGGAUUGGGCGGCAGUCGCGCACCCCCGCACGAACGGGCAAGUCGAGCGAGCCAAUGGCAUGAUACUUCAGGGUCUCAAGCCACGGAUCUUCGACCGCCUCAAAAAAUUCAGCGGACGAUGGGUCGCGGAGCUCCCAGCCAUCCUCUGGAGCCUGAGGACGACCCCCAGCCGGGCGACAGGGUUCACCCCAUUCUUCAUGGUCUAUGGGUCAGAAGCCAUCUUGCCCACCGACUUGGAGUAUGGGUCGCCGAGGGUCAAAGCAUACAACGAACAAGGAAACCAGGCGUCACUCGAGGACGCACAAGACCAACUCGACGAGGCGCGAGAUGUAGCCCUACUACACUCAGCCAAGUACCAGCAGGCCCUACGGCGUUACCACAGCCGCAGGAUACAAGGCCGCGCCUUCAACGUCGGAGAUCUAGUGCUCCGCCUCGUUCAAGACAACAGGGGUCGGCACAAGUUGACUCCCCCAUGGGAAGGCCCGUUCAUCGUCGCACAAGUGCUGCGGCCAGGCACUUACAAGCUGGCAACUCCCGACGGGCAAAUCUUCAGCAACGCCUGGAACAUAGAACAGCUAAGGCGCUUCUACCCAUAGCUCUCAUUUAUAAGUUAUGCAUGGCCUUGCCGUCGUUUUCGUUUAAGCUCAGGGGUAUCCGACCCUGGCCUCGUUCCAAGGUCGCACACCCCUCGGGGGCUACCAGUUUUUUUCUUCUGCUAAAAAAGAAACCCUGAGCCACCUUGGCUCAGGUCCUUUCGUUUAAGCUCAGGGGUAUCCGACCCUGGCCUCGUUCCAAGGUCGCAUACCCCUCGGGGGCUACCAGUUUUGAUCUUCCUCGAAAAAAAAAGAAGGCCUUUUCUUUUUCAGGGGUACCCGACCCUGGCCUGGCUCCAGGAUCGCACACCCCUCGGGGGCUAUCAGGGGUCCCUACCCCAGCCGCUGGGCACCGCUAAAAAGAAAACAUUUUUUCUUCUUUCAAAAAACCGAACACUCCCUUUCGAAAACCUUUGGACGCAAAAAGAUAAGGAUGCGUGAACGGUACUCAGCCAAGUUGCGAUCGGACUGCGAAAAAGCCUACGCCCCAGCGGCUACGGUACCUUCGCUCAUCAAAAACUUACUGACGCGCCCGGCAACGCAUCCAAAAGCUUUCGAAACCAAAGGAAUAACAAAGGGAAACAGUUUCCUUAGCGCAAAAUAAAAAAGUCAUAAGAACAGGCCCGUAUGGCCACACAAACGAGUUCAAAGCGACUGACUUAAGUACAAACUUUUUCGGGCACAAGCCCGGUACAGCUAAUUAACAGGAGGGUCGACUGGAGCAGUGGUUCCGGGGUCGGCUGAAGCAGCGGCUUCGGGGUCGGCAGGAGCGGCGGCUUCGGGGUCAGCGGCGGCUUCGGGGCCAGCGGCGGCUUCAGGGUCGGCGGCGGCGGCGGCCUCGGGACCAGCAGGAGCGGCUUCAGGAUCGGCAGGGGGGACGGCUUCAUCGUCCAGGAGCUUCGCGAGGGCCUCCGCUGGCGCGGUCACCACGGAGUCGAUCUCGUCCAGCUCGGCAUCGGUGUAGCCGGCGCAGUACCCCUCACUCAUCUCGACAAAAUUAAUGUCGGCAUAGUGAGAGCCAAAGACCCCGAAGGCGCGCCGCACACCAAGGUGAAGCGCGUCCACGACAAUCUCGCGGCGGCGACGGCGCACUUCGAGGACACGAGCCGGCAGCGAGCUCGACCCCUCCUCCGGAGCAACGCCGAAGUCCUCGCAAAUGACGCGGACCGCAUCCCGCAGGGCGCUAUGCUCGCCGCGCUCCUCGUCGAGCAGAACCCGCAACCUGGCGAGGUCAUCUGCAGGAGCCGCUCGAGAAAUCCCACCAAGUCAAAGGAAGCGAAACACCAACAACACAGAAAUGCGUGAGCAGAAAGAGCCUCACCGUCGGCCUGGGCCUUCAACUCGCGCUCCCGGUCGACGCUGCGGGACAAGGCGGACCGGAGCCCAUGCACCUGCAAACGGAAUUGGUCACGUUCCGUGCGGAGGGCUCCAUUCUCCCCCCUCAGCCGCGCCAGUUCCUCGGCGUCUCGGCGGGCCCGAUUGGUAGCAGUGGCUCUUAGCCCCUCGGCAUCGUGGCGCGCCCUGUCCAUGGCAGCCUGGAACUCCUCAAGGUCGAGGCGGGCCUUCUCCGCGACGGCCUGGAGCUUGGCCUCGGCACGCCGCGCCCCCUCCAGCGCCACCUGCUCACGACCCUCCAGGUCGCGAACGGCCCCCUAGGCGGCGCCAAGCUGCAGGGUCAGAUUCCUGGAGCGCUCCCUCUCGGUGUUAUAGUGCUCCCAGAGGUUCCGCUGCCGCCGGAGGAAGUCAGACUUCUCCCGGCUGCCCUCUUGGAGAGCCUGCAAAACAGCAUGCCGUUAAAACAAAAAAGUAAAGAAAAGGGACUCACCAUCGAGCGGCAGAAACAACAUACCUGGCUGCCAGGGACCACGGUGUUGGCCAAAACUCCCAACGCCGAGGUCGAUGCCGCCUGAACCUGGGUGACGCCGCCGUGCACCGCCUGCCACUGAUGCCACUCGGCGGCAUCAUCCAGUGCGUAGAGGCGCCUCGGCGGGUCGUCGCGGGAUGUCCAGCGGAGGACGGGCCCUCUCCACGCCCCAGGGAUGGAGGAAACCGAGGGCGGAACAAAGGCCGACUCUGACGUCGCCGUCGAUGACGACAUCACGACGCCGGAGACCCCUGGAUCUGCCGACGUCUCCGGCGCCUGCGCACCCGUCGCCACCACAGCCGCUACCGGCACCCCUUUGGGCACCUCCGUCCCGGCCGCCAGAGUCACCCCCGCAGGAGCGACCGGAAUGGAGAACCCGGUCUUCGGCACCGCUGCCUCUGUCGCCGCCGCGCCCUCGGGAGCAAGCGCCCCCUCCGCCUCCAACCCCGCCAUGGCAACGGGGGCAUCCGCCUUGCCCUCCGUCGUCUCCGCCUCCUCCGCCUCGUCGGCAUAGAGGUCGAUCACCUCCCCGGCCUGCGGGCCCGGGGGGAUCACGGCCCGGACCGGAGGGGCGACCGGUGGAGCCACAGGCGGAGUGGAGUCCGCUCCCCCUCCUGCGGCCGACUCCGCCGCCGUCCCGACAACCGGCUCCGCAGCGGUCACCUCCGCCGGGGGACCCGUGGCCACACCAGGAACCCCGCCAAUCGCCGUUGGUGGGGUCGCGUCCCGCCUCCCGAAGGAGGACGACGUCCGCAGCAUCUUCUUGGGCGCCAGCCGCAGGGUGACGCCGCGGGGAGAAGUGCUGCACGUCGACGAUCAGGCGUCAACGGAAACAAAAGGAAAGGGAAAGGAAGGAGGACACAUGGGAAGAGUCAACUUACGCCCUCGAAGUGCAGGGGCGGCGCGCGCGCUUCGACUCGGAGCCGGACGCCGACCCCGGGGUAUCUGGCAAGGGCCGCUUGUCGCCACCCCGUUGCCCUCCGCCAACAGGCACGGCGGCGGGGGCAGCCCCCACGGAUCCCCGAGGAGCCCCCCGAGCAGACUCCUGGGGAGCGCCCCGCGCCGGACCCAAGGCAGCGGCAGGGGCGGACUCUGAGGGCCCCUGAGGGGCGCCCGGCUCGACGCCGGGGCGGCAUCCCUUGCCGACCCCGAGGGAGCAUCCCGCGCCCGCUCCUGGGGGGUGCCCUGGGACGACCCCGAGGGGGCGCCCCGCGCUCCUCCUUGGAGGAGGUCCUGCGCCGACCCCCGGGGAACGUCCUGCGCCGCCCCCUGGGGAGCAAUCCGCACCGGCUCCUGAGGCGCGCGCUGCGCCGACCCCUGAGGAGCGGUCCGCGCCGGCUCCUGGAGCACGCGCUGCGCAGACCCCUGGGGCGCAGCCCCAGGACCCGGGGGAGCCGGAUCCCGGGCGGACGCUCCCGCCGCCGCACCCCCUGCAGCCGUCUGCGAGGGUGCGUCACGAAUCACCAAAGCCCCCGAACGGGGGGCAAAUAGCUCUUCCUCUUCCUCCUCGUCCUCUUCCUCUUCCUCUUCUUCUUCGUCUUCUUCGUCGUCGUCGUCGUCGUCGUCGGACACGACCGCCCCUCUCCGCCGCCGUUGGAACUCCUUGGCGGCCUUCUUCCGCCGCUUCUCCGUCUCCUUGUCCUUGCGGCGUUUAUCCUUCUCCGCCUGGAGACGGUUGCGAGCCCUCCGCGCGGCAUCCUCCGGCACCGGUGGGAGGGAGUCCGCGACCCGGGUCAGCAUGCCCUGCGAAGCAUGAAAGAGGAUCCGCAUAAGAACAACAAAACAACGCGACGGCAGGAAGGAGAGGUGGUGACCCAAACCCCUUACCAGGUCUAUGGAUCCCGGCUCCGGGCGCAUCGGCGGAUGACCGGGGAUCGGGUAGUCGACAUCCUUGUCCUCCAGCGCCUCCCGGAGUCGCUGCCGGAUCUCGGAGGCAGCAAGCGCGCCUGUCGCCAGGACGGUGCCCUCGGUCGGCGUGUCGGGGGACAUGACGCCAAGCGGCCGCGCCCGGAGCAUCAGCGGCGCCACCCGCCGGGCGUGGUACGCACCGAUGACCCCGGCGCCGGUGAGCCCCUCCCGCUUCAGCUGCCCAAUGGCCUGCAGCAGGUCGGAGAUUUUCCUCUUCUCCUUCUCCACCGGCCCGUACGCCCACACGUCGGGCGCCGCGUCGAUGGUGCGGCCGGAGAACGCCGGCAGGGGGGAGAUCGGGUAGUUCUUCACGUAGAACCACUGAUUGUGCCACCCCUUGUGGGACACCGAGGUCUUCACCGUCAUGUACUCCUUGGAGCGAGUAUGACGGAGAUGGAUCCCGGCGCACCCAAUCAGCACCGGAGGCGACCGCUGCUGGCCCCCGGCCUUCCCCGCCUUCUGGUACAGGCUCACCGUGAAGAAGUACUUCCACAGCUCGAAGUGGGGCUCAAUCCCCAGGAAACCCUCGCACAGCGCAACGAACGCCGCGAUGUGCUGGAUCCCAUUGGGGUUGAGGUGCUGGAGCUCGAGCCCGUAGUAGUGGAGGAGCCCGCAGAAGAAGCGGCUUGGGGGGGAGGCGAACCCCCGCUCAUGGAAGUGGGCGAAGGAGACGACGUAGCCAGCGGGCGGCGACGGAACCUGUUCCGGCCCCGGCAGCCUCCACUCGUCCGCCGCCGUCUUCUCGCAGAGGAGCCCCUUUCGCACCAGGCCCUCGGCGCGGUUGGCGGUGAAGUGGGAGACCCCCCAGGAGGCCAUCGCCGAAGGAGGAAGGGGACCGACGGAGGCGAAGACGAAAGCACGCGGCGUGAAGCGGCGGGAACGAGGCGAGCGAGGCGAGCGCAGGUGAGCUAGGAAGGCAAUAAGGCUUGAGCGCGAAAGGAGAGGAACCGGCGCGGCGUGCUUCUGCUUUUAUAGGAAGAGUACCGGGGAAGCCAAAUCGAUGCCCCGGCCACCAUAAAUGCGGCGCCAGGUACGCCCCUGCCACGCUCGUUUCCUUUUCGAGAACCGCGCGCACGAUCGGCCAUGAAAAAACAUCCUAUCUUCCUCGAUGCACGGGACGACGCUUCCAUAACUCCACUCCCCGGGUAUCGCGCCCACGACGCUCCCCACGAUCGGCCCUGGCACAUCAACCGCUCCGCUCUGGUCCAAGGCCCACAGGAAGGUAAGAAAGGGAUACGGGGCUAAAAACGCCCCUACGGCCCAAUACGGUCCGGGGGUUCGAAAGCUGGCCCAACACGGGUUCGACAGCUGCCCCAGGACAUCCCCGAGCAAGGGGUGAAAAGGGACGGGCCCGCUAGCGGCCAACACCCAAGCGAGCGAACGCCAAGGGCACCCCAACCUCACGUUCGAGUCCCGCUCAGUGUAAAGUUUAUGGUUUUUCCACGGGGAAAGGCAACGAGCCCUCAGAUCCGGUCGAAUGGAUCCGAGAACUAUAUGAACUAACUGACGGGAAAUUGGAGUACGCCACCAGCUUGGCCCGAGCCGGACCCCCCCGAACGGGGACCGGGACUCCACUCGAACUUACCCGUUUGCAGCUCAAACGAGCACCACGGUUCGUCCUACGCGGAUAACGUGGCCCGGCUCAACCCCUCCGUCCUAGCGAACGGACGCUUGAGGGGCAACGAUCAAAAAGUCGACCUGGCCUCCCGAUCGGUUUCCUGCAACGAGCAGGAGCUCGGGGGCUAGCCUCGCAAAAAACUGCCACACGUGUGGUCACAAACCGACAGGUUCUCUCGAGCAUGGCGAAGAUGAAACAAGAGCGCCAUAACACAGGAACCGAUGGCAAACAGCGAAAGGAGCCUCCGGAGGAGCACUCCUGCUCCACCACAGGCUCGGGGGCUACUGUUGGGGGGAAAUAUUAACGACCCCCUGAUACGCUGCUUAAAGAAACAAACAUGAAUGCCCAGGCCCACCAAAGCGUGAUCAAGUCUCCGCCUCGCCCGACCCAGGCGUCAGGAUCGGGAGCGCCCGACCUCCCUCCGCAAGGCUUCCGCCUCGCCCGACCAUAACCCCAGGGUCGGGAGCGCCCGACCCUGUACCACGAAAGUUCCGCCUCGCCCGACCCCGAGCGAAGGAGUCGGGCACGCUGAGGACCACGGGGUCAGAAUCCCCCUCGGAUACGAUCCGCAUAAACAAGACAAAUCCUGUGGGUCCCCCCCGUCGGCCUCACCAUCAAUGCGCCGCAGAGUUGGAAGAGCGCAGGGCGACCGCGCCCCCCACGCAACCCGGCGCAAGUACCCGCGCACGACCGUCCUGUGCGAGCUACAGUACCGGCGGCCGGCCCCUGUUCGUCGUAGGGUACUCAUGACCUGCGGCGACAGGAGCAAAGGAGGGAGCGGCCCCGUCCUCGGGUCCCGCACGCCCUCGGGCCCCGCGCAAACGGCAGCACAGGUGUGAAGCUCCCCCUCUCCACAAGCCAUCGCCAGAGCGUCGGUAUCCACCGUCCUCCCUAACGGACGGCGGGGUGGUGACAAAACCACCUCAUCAUGAUCUAACCUGGUACCUACGAACAUCGAAGAAGCUACCUACGGGGAGCAGCGACACUUGGCGUCUGGCGACCACCCAUCCCGGCAUGCACGGCGGCACGCGUUUAGGGUCGGCAGGACGUCGGGCGCCUUGGCUCUCCCUCCUCCUCCUCGCCUGACUUUUUACCAUCUUACUCUUUACCUUUCACCCGGUCCCAAUUGUAACUCCGGCCGGCCCCUUGCGAUAUAAAAGGAGGAACCUAGAGCUGGAGAAAGGGAUCGAGAUCCCCAGAUCAACAAGCCCGCCUCUUCUCUAGUACACCAUUGUACACGACCGCUGGGGAAGAGGGGACCGAAACAAAAGAGACUUGGGACCUGUCCCUCUCUCGCCAAUCUGUAACCCCCUACUACAGAACCCCCGCGUGGGCAACACGAGCACCCUCGACACUGGACGUAGGGCUUCUCUUGCCCGAACCAGUCUAAAUCCGUGUCUCCCGCGCAACCAUCUGAGGCUCACGCGCAUAAAAGAAAUUUACUAGUCUAAAGUCUAGAUCCGCUGAUCUUGACAACGACAAUAUGACAUUUGUGAGUUGGAUAGAUGCCUGAAACUGAUUGGAACUCGGAGAACACUUGGGUGCUCUGUAUGUUGUUUACCGUAGAAGUUGAAAAAGGAAAUUGGCCAAACACACACUUGAAUGCACUUGGUUAUGCUGAGGUUAAGAAAGGUUCAAAGAUAGGACUGGAAUUGUGGCUACCAAAGGUUAGAUCAAGAACAAAUGGGACAAGUUGAAGGAAGAUUUCAAGGCAUGGAAGAAACUAACGCUGAGGCAAAUAGGGACUGAUUGGGACCCUAUAAAGAAGAUUAUUGCUAUGGAUGAUGAAUGGUGGAAAAAAGCUAGAGCUGUAAGUUGGUUCAAAAAUUUUGAUAUAUUUGUUUUGCAUAUGUCAAUUCUAUUGGUAAUACUUAUAAUAAUAUGUAUUAUUUUGUUUAUUUCAGAACAUUCCGGGUGGUGGUAAGUUUAAAAAGAAGGACAAUAAAGAUGAAUUAGCUAAGUGUUUUGCUGAAUUGAGAAUUGAGAAUUGAGCUGUAAAUUGCAAUUAAUUGGCCUCACAUAAGCUCCACUUGUAUUUUUUUCUCACAUAUGUGCGGGUCGCCGUUAGCUGUUGAAAGGAAUUGUGAAAAAUGACAUCGAGAUAAGCACAAUACAAGGAACCGAGACAAAGAAUGAAAGCCUUGCCUUACGCAGACACUCAAGACCAAUCAGACAUGACAAAUACACUCAAGACCAAUCAGACAAGACAAAUGCAGCAAGAAAACGUAGGUCAGAGGCACAUCUGAAACAGAGAUCUGCACACCUUACGCAGCCCACUUUAUUGUGAAACAGCUACUACAGAAUAUCACGUCAAGCAGCAUUUUAUUCAAUCAAGACAGAUCUGAGCUCCACGUCAAGCAGCAUUUUAUUCAAUCAAGACAGAUCUGAGCUCCAACAAAGAAUUGCUGGGGAUAUAUCUUAGAGAUUUGGCCCCUGAUCGCAGCCUCUGAAGCAGCAGGGCUACUCUACACCGGUAGAAAACUAGCUUUAGUAAAAAGCCGCAUAACAGUUGAUAGUGAAGCUAAUUAACUUGUUCAAGGCAAAUGAGGUUCUAGAUGCCAAAAUCCGAAUCAACAGGCACGAGCACAGCUUUGUGCAAGCUGUCACCACGACUAGCAGCAGUGCCUCACAGGCACCAGCACCACAUGUUUAAGGGAUCCUGCCAUGCGGAUCGGAUGUUAUGUCCGGAGAGAAAAUCCGCUAGUAACUCAUGCCAUUUCUGCCAAUGUCGAGGUAGUCGAGAUGAGGGUGAGUAACCGUGGUCGAGGAUGCCGUGUGUAGUAUAGCCACAGUCGAGGUAGCUGAAGACGAGGGAGCUGCACAUGAAGCCACGCAUGAGUCCUAUGGUUUUAACCAGAUACAUCGAGUUUUAACCAUUUUAAAUAUACAUUCUUUCUUACUAUUACUCGAUGUUCACUUAGGUCCCGUUUGGGUCCCUUCAUUUUGAAGUAAUUGGAAUCUAUUUAAUGGAGUAGGCUAAUUUAUGUUGGAAUGUGGCAUUCCACAACUUUCCAAAGUUUAGAUAUAAGCCUAUCUUAAAUUCAUGGGGUGGGAGAUGGAAAUUGAUUCUAUAGAUUAUGGUUAUUAGAAUGGAAUUCAAUUCUUAUAGCACGCUCUUGGACUCGCUUCUCUAUAGUAGAAGUGCAGCAUAUAAGUAUCUCUCCCAUAUCACCAACUAUAAUAUACAACUAUAUUCCACAUACAAUUAUAUUAACUUAAUUAAUUUGUGUCUAAAUUAUGAUUAUUAGGAUGGAAUUCAAUUCCAAUGAUCCAAACGGGGCCUUAAGGCUUUUAACCUCUUUCUUACUAUUACUAAUUGGAGGUUCCUUUUGAAGCCUCCACAUGAAGCCACCUAGGAUCCUAGGUAGACAGUUUAGAAAAAGAGAGAAAUCUUAGAAAUUCUCCUAAAAAAGCAAAACAUCUGGCCAUCAAUUCAUUAGACUCAAAUCAUCAUAGCCAUUGGAUGUAUUAUGUUUUCUAAAAAAUUACCCGCCUCUGCCAUUAUGAAAAUAGCUUAAAUUAACCCUCUAAAUCUAUACAUAAAUUAUUCACCUCUGCCAUCAUACAACAAUUGAAUCUAUAUUAUAUUUUCUAAAAAGUUAUCCACCUAUACUAUUAUGAAAAUUGUGUAAAGUAACCCCUAUAUUUAUAUAUAAAUAUCUCACUUCUGCCAUUGUGAAAGAAACUGAAGUAGCCCAUAAUCUUUUUAUUUUAGCCUCAUGUUAAUCUCCAUGUAAGAUGCAUUAGGAAAUAAAAAGAUAAAUCUAAGAACUUCUCACGAGAACACAAACACAUCCACCCCUCGAUCGAAUUUAAAGGUGAUCUUUGAGAGACAUCUGACCCUUCAUGGCGAUUAAUAAAUACAUGCGGGUGUGGACAUUCAACAAGCCAACAACUAUACGUACAAAAUGCAUGGGCGGCUUAUGAAGGCCAUCUUGGGUUACAGGCCUACUGUGGUAUGAAGAGGACGCACGACAGGUACUCUUAUAUUUUGUUGUGGUGCAUGCAAGCUUCACUGUCUUCAUACUAAUUUUCUCAAAUCUUAAUAUUUUUUAAUAAAACAAGCAUUUAUACGUACUGCUUAUAGCUGUUAUUGCCACAUUACAUAUAUUGUUUUCAUUCUUGCUUUGAGAGCCUUCAACUUUAGUAUUGAUGUAUGCAUGCGUGGACAUGCAGCAUUUACCAAUUAUUAAAUAAGAGGAUUAACAAAGAUGAUACAAAAAUAUAUUAAUUUGUAUAACAAAAAACACAAAAUAAAAAUAUGUAAUGAUAAUUUGCACACUCUUAUGUAAAUGCUGUACAACUUUACAUUUAUAGUGUCCUGUUUUUUAUUUGAGUUCCAAUAUGCAGUGGACAAAUUCAAAAACUCAAGGUUGUUGAUAUUAUGGUUUCGAAUCUCUAGGUUCAUGAUGAACAUUGUUAGGGUAAAAUUUUUGGUCAAACGUGCACUCCUUUAAUUGCCUUCAAGACCGAUGCUUUUUAGGGAGAAUUAUGAUAGAAUGUUUUUCGAAUUCUAGGUUGAAAAUGAAUUGAGGCUACAGUUUACCAUGAAAACUAAAUUUCUUUUCAACUUUCCUUAAGGGUUGGUGCUUAGCAAGCUGUUGUGUUCUAUUCCUCCUCAUUUUUAAGAAAAAUCGAUCUUAGAAAGGAAAGGAAAUGCUCCUAGAGACAUCCUUAAAAGGGUUAUUAGUGCAUAAAAAGCAUAUUUUAAAACGGUAAUGCUGGGAGCCGCACGUCCGAUGCUGGAGAUAAAUAUCAGAUGCGGGGCCUACCAGCAUCUCCCUCCGCUGAUUAUUUCAGCCACUCGUUCUUUUUCUCUAAUCUCCAGCUUCUUAUCCAUUCGUUCAUCUUCUGUGAGUUCUAGUCCUUAUCCACCUCUCCAGUCAUGAACUAAAUCCAGCUUUGCCCCUUCUCUGCAGCAACUCAGAUCCUAUGCCUACUCACAUCCCAGCGCCACCGAGCAUGCCGCUCCACAGGCCCAACACGCCCAGCGAGCUGAUGGUGCUCCCCAGCGCGCGGCUACCAGUCCAGCGACAGCAGCCUCUCCGCUAGAAUCCACGGUGGCUGCUAAAGGAAGAAGAUUCCACCGUGAGAGGCACCAACCAUUCAUGUAGCAUCUAAAUUUUGUGAUGUUGCAACAGAUAUUUUGAGAUAUUUUGCGUAGUGUUCACUAAUGUUGAAGAUUAAUUUUUAGAUGUUCCAUAGUACGUUCGAUUUUUUGAUGUUACAAUAUCUAACCUAAGAUGUUGCAGCAGUAAUAUUUUUAUGUUGCAUGGUUGACGUUGACUUUUUUUACAAAAGUUGAUGAUGAUUUUAUUUCGGGGUUCGGGAUGUUGCAACUGUGAAAUUGAGAUGUUGCAUUAGAUGAUGUAUGAUGUUGCACAAGGUGUUGCGAGAUAUUUUGGAUUAAAAGAAUUUUUCAAACGAAACGUUGAUUGAAACAUUGACAAAUAUUGCGAUGGGCUUCUUUUAUGUGUCAAACUUUGUUCCCAGAAUUUUUAUUUUUUUUGCAUGUUGCAUGCAACAUGUGACCAUGUUGCAGCGAAAUUUUUUCCGCUUCCCAACUAUCCGACGCUAACGGUCCCGGACGUCCGCCGCUAGUAGCACCUAUUUUAAAAUCCAACAACUGCUGUGGCACAGUUUUGAAAAUAACUUGCAAGGAGAAACCACAGCACUUGUGCUGCCAUGGCUGCAAGGCGCUUCAUUCUUUAUUUUUCUUUAAGAACGAAGCAGCUAACAAGUUAUUUGCUUUGCAAUUCGCUCCAGCGGCAAGGUUAUUUAUAGGCGCGAGUCAUAUGAUUUACAACCUUUAGUAUUGUGGACGAGUUAGGUCGAUGGUCUCAAAAGUCAAAACAUGUUUGCGAGGAAACUUCGUUUAUUAAAUCUAGCUAAAUUAAUGAUGUUGCAUUGACAGAGCUCGACACGUCUAGGUUGGUCAAGUACUGAAGUGAUGCUUAGGCUACAUACACGACAACCAUAGCUGUUGUACUGUGGAUGUUUUGGACCAUAGAGAAACAUGCAUUUCUGAAAAGGAAAAGAUUCAUUGCUUGCACUACUUCGAUCUGAAUCACGCAUACGCUAUCAAUUGAUUGAAAAUUGUUAAAGCGACUAAGGUUUCUGCCUUAAUUUUUUUGUUUGAUCCAACUUCUACCAUUGACAACUAGGUCCAACUUAUGUUGGAUGUAUUUCAUGUCCUUCGAGUCUACUUUGUUUCGCCCAAUCUCUUUCCUAAUUCUAUUCUGCGUUUUUUCUGAUAUAUGCAUGGGCAAACCGGGGGGCAACCUUCCGAGCUCGACUCCAUGAGCCUCAGGCCGUCCGCGCCAUAUCCUCGUACAAGGAUGUGUGGGAUAGGUAGAGGCACAAUCACAAGGCAGCUGUGCACAACGAAACACUGCAAGUUGAGCCGACCUCGCGGAAGCAGGCGCGGAACGAAGCUUCAGUGGCAGGCCGACCUUGCGGGUGCAAGGAGGGCUUGCGGCCGAUGAAGCUCAUUGCAGCAGGCCGGACUCGCGAAUCUGGCCAACAGCAGUGUAAAUUGGGAUGGUGCUGGAGGUCGAGCUCAGCAGGAGCUCACGAUGGCGGCCGGCGCUCGCAAGAACCCACGACGGAGGGCAGUGCUCAUGCUCUCAGGCAAGGGAGCCCGCAACCGAAGGCAAUGGGUAGGCCGGCGAUUUUGGAAGAAGCAGAGAGGCCUAGUCGAGCAGGGACAUACGGCGCAAGAAGAGCGGCGUUAACUCUCUGGCGGCACGAGGAGAUGCAGGGCGCUCCUGGUCCGCAGGCCCGUGAGGAUGUAGUCCAGCCACACGAGUGGAACGGGCGCAACGAAGGCGUACUACCGAGACGAAAAAUCUAUCCAUCCAUCGCUCGGUCAUCAGUGCAACUGUGUGCAAGCAAGACAGACAAGCAAGAUGACUACCGCUAUCGACUAGCUUUAAUCGCAGGGCCCGCCUUGACUUGUUGCUUUUGAUCGAGGAGAACGACUUGUGUGAUGCAGUUGCGUGCGAGUCGCUACCGUCAAAAUGUGCCCCUUUUAGAAUUUGCAAGAUUCUAUUCUUGGUUGUACUCUACCUACUGCGCGCUGUACUACAGCACUGUACUCUAGCACAAACUGGUCUCUUCCUUUAAUGUCAAUUAAUGUUAAUUGUUUGUUCCGUCGAGGGAACCUGGAUUCUAAUUCUAGCUUUGGAAACUUGCAAAUGAAAAUAAUCAUAAAAAAGUUAAUGUACAUUUUCACAUAAGUUAUGAUGAUAAUAUCCUCUACCACUCCACAAAAUUGGAACUUAAAACAACACUUGUAUGCGCAGAAACAAAAGGACAAAUCUCCCGUAUGGUAUUGUUGGAAAAUUAAACAACUGCAUAAUUAAUUUUCGAACUAGAUUUAUCAUAAUAAGAAUAAAACCUAGCAUGCAAAUCUCUAACAUACUAAACAACAACAAGCACAACUUCAUUAUCUCAGAAAAUAUGCUGAAAUAACAGAUUAGAUCACAGCGUACAUACUUUACAGGUGCAGCCAUGAUGACAAGCGGUGCUGACGGAACGAUGAUGGUAUUACGGAUGGAGCGCAGCAGAUGAUAUCAAAGACGAUGGUACGCCGCAACGCCGGACUGAGACGGAAGACGAGCCGUGGUGAAGACCUUGAGCAGUUGCGCGGAGUGCUUCCCAAAAACUAUAUUCGCCCUCUCCCAGUGCAGUAUCACAAGAGCGAGAGAUUCCGGAGACCUGCUCUCCCGUUCGCCGGUGCAUGCUGACGCUCGGGAUGGAGUAGACUAUGGUGGCGGUGCAGCAGCGAGAAGACGCAAAAACCCUAACUCGAUUAGAUGUGUUUUCGAUAGAGGCCGAUAGGUCGUAUAUAUAGGAGAGCCCAUGAUCUCACGUCGCGAUCGUGAUCUAAACCGAUUAGACUUCCAUAUAUCUCAUUGACUUAAAGGCCAAGUGUUGACGCAAAAUCCUGGCGGUGGUAGACCCUGCAUCAGCACAUGAGGACCUGGGAGAUCUGCUUAACUCCAGUGCAGAAUCCAAAUCGGCGCGCGUGGUGUGCGCGGGCGUGCCAGUCAGUUUGACCAUUCAACUGACAAGGAGAUGAUAGUCGUUGUGAAGUCCGAGGCAACCGGCCGAUCAGGCCAAUAUAAUCUUGGCACAGUAGCGAUAAUGGUGCAACAAAAUAAAUCAUGACAAAUAUAUCGGCUGUGAAGCCGAUUCCAGUGCCUUGAUGAAUGUGAGUGAUUCAUCGGCCAUCCAGCUGAUAUAAUUUACAAUAAAUAUCGGCCAGACGGCCGAUAGAAAACAGGAUGCUGUUGAGUUGUUGCCCCGCCAUAGCUAGAGCCACAAGCCGAUGAGAUCUAAACUAACGUCACCACCAAUAUCUCUAGGUGAAACCACAGCGAUGCGCCUGGUGGUUAAAGCCUAGAACACCUGGUGACGGAACUUGCAGCUCGCCGGAGAUCGAGGUCGAUGCAGCCCAGCUUGCUAGAAGGAACUCGUCGAGAAGCUACAUUACUCCUACUCCUAAUGCAAUGGCGUGAAGCCGAAAAGGUAAAUAAAAGAUAGAUGUGUUGUACAUUGAUCGUGUGAUUAUCCUUUACAAUGGCCACGUCCCUUUAUAUUUAUAGGGCGGACGUUACAUAAUUGGCAUCUAACCACGCACAAGGCAAGUCACGUACACAAUCUUUUCUAAUAAAAAACUCUAUCUCUAACUAACCCAACUCUAUCUCUAAAAUAUUUUAUUCUAUGAAACAACCUCCCGUACAACCUCCCGUACAUGCACAGAUCGGCAUGCAUAAUUAUUCUGGAAGCCUCCCACGCAUGGCAUGUAAAGUGCACCAGAAUCCAUGUUGUAUAUUCUAAUCAUUUUUAUCCAUACGUGCUGGCCUUUCCUUUAUAUCAUCCUUGCCUCUCCUUGCUGAUCAAUCCAAUGAAGCCGAUUUGGACUCCGUGCCCAUGUGCAUGCAUGCUUGCUUCUUAUUGUUGUACGUGACUCCGAUUAUCUCGUACUCUGAAUUUAUAGGAUUGGUCAAAAUCCGGUGUCAACACAGGCCCCCCAGUUUCGGAGUAUGAAUGCUUCAUGUUCCGAAACUAAUUAUAGAAGUCUGAUACUUGUCUUCAGAGCUAAUGACGUCUGAUUGCAAUAUCCAAAGCCACGUCGACUCCUCUUCAAAUAUAAAGAACAUCAUCGGCAUUGCCGGCAGUAGAAACAACAAAUUAGUCUGUUGACACCAAAACUUGGUGCAGUAACCAGCAAGCUUUUGUUGUCAACACAGGCAACACCAAGUAACAAAAAAUAAAAUGGCAAAAGGAAACUAUGCCCCCGCAAGGCUGGAGGCCAGAUUUCGGUGGACCAUUCACGCAGGUAUCGCACACCCGCGCCCUUCGCCCUGGCCCAGCCCGGCCCGGCAUGGCGAGCGAGCGCGCGUGUGGAGCUUUCCUUCUCUCCCCACACACAUAGUUUGGAGGAGUGGAGACAAUCUCCAUAUUUAUGUUGGCCAACCUUCUCCUCCACUAGCAAUGUGGGACUAAAGGUUUGCACCACUCUAACCACUUGCUCAUGCCCACAUGGGCCUUUGAGAUUUAUUUGGAAUUUCUGAAAUUGCAAUGGGCCAAGCCCAUUAUUUCAUCAAUCCCCCACCAGAUCUCAAAUGUUCAUCAGAGAUUUUGCCUAUUUCUCACUGCUAUUUAUAUAUCAGUGUUUCAGCAAGGACUGUUAAGUUGAACUCUCGCCUAAAGCUUCAAGCUACAUUCAUCCACAACUUGAACAAUGGACUAAACCUUGAAUUGCAAGUUUUGUGCGGACAAGUUUCAUUCAAAGUCGAAACUAGUACCUGGCUGCCAGUAGCCUACCCCGCAGGUGGAGCAUAUUCAGCAUACUCCUUGGUCUCUUCAUGAGAUUACUGGAAAUCACCCAAGUCUCAUAGACUGCGAUGUUUUAUAGUCGGGCUCAUAUAGGUGUGUUCUUUCAAAAAUGCUCUGUUGGACAGCAUCUUCGCUUAUUAAUCAAGCCAAUAGAAGUACAUUAAAGCAUAUUGCUAACCUUCCUUACAACAUUUGAGAGUAUUGCAUCUUCACAUAGAGAGAGUUUAUUAAUUAUUCUCCUCAGUCAACCGAUAGCUUAUUUUUCCCAAAUCCUAAUUCACGGGAUCUCCGAUCACAUAGGUUGGGUUACCACUGCGGCAACUCAAAUGGGUCUCAUACCCAUCUCCCUCGAUGCACAUUCUAUCACAUUCCGUGAUAACCCUUUUGUAAAGGGAUUUGCCAGGUUUUUGUCUGUUUGAAUAUAAGUCACACUUAUUACUUCAGAGUUUCUCAACUUCCUGACAGACUUCAGUCAUUUCUUGACAUGUCUUGAUGACUUUGCGUUAUCCUUAGCACUGUUCACUUUGACUAUCACCGUUUGAUUGUUACAUUUCAUAAGGAUUGCCGGCACUGGUUUAUCAACCACAGGCAAGUCUAUCAAGAGAUCACCCAACCACUCUGCCUCAACAGUGGCUGUUUCCAAAGCAGUAAGUUCUGCUUCCAUGCUUGAUCUCAUCAGAAUGGUCUAUUUGCAAGACCUCCAUGAUAUUGCACCACCUCCAAGGGUAAACACAUAUCCACUCGUGGCAUAUAGGUUAUCAGUGUUCGAAAUCCAGUUUGAAUCACUAUAUCCCUCAAGCACAACAAGGUGCCCGGAAUAGUGAAUCUCAUAACUCAUAGUACCCACCAAGUAGUGCAUAACCCUUUCAAGUUCAUGCCAAUGAUCAGAACCCGGGUUUGACAUGAACCUGCUCAAUUUGUUCACAGCAAAAGCUAUGUUGGGUCUCGUUGUGCUAGCUAAGUACAUGAGUGAACCGAUAAUCUGAUAGUAUCUCAGUUGGUCUUUAGCAGUUUUGUUGUUCUUUCUGAGUAUCACGCUGGGAUCAUAAGGUGUUGGAGAAGGCUUGCUUGUCCAUAGAACCAAAACGGUUCAAAACAUUCUCCACAUAAUGGGAUUGCGAAAGAGUAAUCACAGUCUCAUCCUUAAUGAGCUUGAUGUUCAUAAUAACAUCAGGUUCUCCCAGAUCUUUCAUAUCAAAGGUUUGUGAUAGAAAAAUUUUGACCUCAUUGAUCACAACUAUGUUUGUGCUAAAGAUCAGUAUGACAUCCACAUACAAGCACAAUAUAAUUCCUUCACCCCCACCAUGGCGAUAGAGCACACAUCUAUCAGCCUCGUUAAUGAUAAAGCCGCAGAAGUUAAAGUUCUGUCAAACUUAUCAUGCUAUUGCUUAGGUGCUUGUUUCAUGCCAUACAAAGACUUCAACAACACACCUUGCUUUCUUGACCCUUCACCACAAACCCGUCAGGCUGAUCCAUAUAGAUCUCCUCAUCCAACUCUCCAUUUAGGAAAACUGUCUUUACAUCCAUCUGGUGGAUGAUAAGACUAUACAAGGCAGCCCAGAGAAAGAAUCGAAUCCAUCUCACUUUGGAUAGCUUCUUUCCAAUAGUCUGCAUCUGGAGAUGCAUACUCCUCAGUGAUGGAUGUGGGAGUAUUGUCCACAAGGUACACAGUGAAAUCAUCACCAAAGGAUUUUGCAACCCUCUAUCUCUUGCUCCUUCUAGGAGCUUCACUGUCAUCCUUCUCUAGGAUAUCCUCAUGCUCAUGCUCAUCGGAUUGUUCAGAAAACUCAACAGGUGCAAUAGGUUCAAGAGUUAUUUCAGCAGAAAAUCUAGAGUUUCUAUGCAUAUCUUUAAGAGGAAAUAUAUUCUCAAAAAAUAUUGCAUCACAAGAUUCCAUAAUAGUAUCAACAUGCAUAUCAGGGACCUCAGAUUUAACCACUAAAAAUCUGUAAGCAAUGCUCCUCUGAGCAUAUCCUAGAAAGACACAAUCCACUAUAUUAGGUCUUAACUUGCGCUUCUUUGGAAUGGAUACAUUGACUUUCGCCAAGCACCCCCAAGUACGCAAAUAAGAAAGUGAUAGUUUUCUCCCGAUCCACAUCUUAUAUGGAGUUUGAUUUUUAUUCUUGUUCGGAACUUUAUUCAGGACAUGACAUGAAUUCAAUAGAGCCUCCCCCCACCAUGCCUUAGAUAAACUAGUCGUAUCUAACAUGGAAUUAACCAAGUUAGUCAGUGUGCGGUUUUUCCUCUCAUCAAUCCCGUUGGACUCAGGUGAACAAGGAGGCUUCUUCUCAUGAAUAAUACCAUGUUCCUCAUAGAAUUCAUCAAAAAAAUUUGGAAAGUACUCGACACCACGAUCAGACCUUAGACGUUUGAUAUUUCUCUCAAGUUGAUUCUCAACCUUAGCCUUAUAAAUUUUAAAAGUAGUCUAAUGUUUCAUCCUUAAUUUGCAACAUGUAAACAUAGAAAAAUCUAGUCGCAUUAUCAGUCAAAGUCAUGAAGUAUCUCUUUCCACCUUUUGUCAACACAUCAUUCAUCUCGCACAGAUUAGAAUGUAUGAGUUCUAGAUGUGCCAAGUGUCUCUCCUCAGCCUCCUUGUGAGGCUUCCGAGGUUGCUUCGAUUGCACACAACUAUGGCACUUAGAACCUUUGGCAAUGGUGAGGUUCAGAAUUAAACACAUGCUGAAAAGCCGAGACAUUAAACCAAAAUUAAUAUGACACAAACAUGAAUGCCAAAUACUCGCAUCAUCACUAACGUUGCCACAAAUAUGGUUCAUGGAAUUAUUACAAAAAUCUACAAGGGAAAAGCGGAACAAGCCUCUGCACUCAUAGCCUAAACCAACGAAUUGUCCAUAUUUUGACAUGACUAAUUUAUUGGAUUCUAACACUACCUUAAACCCAUCCUUGCACAGGACCGAGCCGCUCACAAGAUUCUUGUUGAUAGUAGGGACAUGCUGCACGUUCUUCAGCUGCACGUUCUUUCCCGAAGUAAACUUUAGAUCUACCGUAUCAACACCAUGAACAGCAGCAUGUGACCCAUUCCCCAUCAACACAGAGGAAUCCCGGGUGACCUGGUAAAAAGAAAAUAUGGAGAUGUCAGCACACACAUGAACAUUGGCAUCCGUAUCAAACCACCAGCUAGUGGAAUGAAAAACUGAAAGAACAGUAGGUAGAUUACCGUACCCGUCUCAAAUGUUGCCUAUGGUCACCAUGUUGACAUCCUAGGACCCAUUGGCCCUUCUGCCCUUGCAGUCUGCAUGCUCUGGACAAUCCUUAGAGAAGUGUCCAAGCUCACCACAAGUGUAGCAGUUCAUCCCAGCCUUAUUCUUCUUCUUCUUGAAGGUAAUAGUCUUGACGACUUUGUUCUUCCCUUUGUUCUUGCCACGUGGAAAUUUCUAGACCAUGUUGGCGCUAGACUGACCUUGGUCUCCUUUCUCAGUAGUGUCCUUUUUCCGAGCUUUCUCCUCAACAUCAAGAGACGCUACCAGAUUUUCAACCGAUAUCUCCUGUCUGCUAUGUUUCAGAGUAGUGGCAAAAUUCCUCCAUGAGGAAGGCAACUUUGCAAUUAUGCAACCAGCCACAAACUUGCCAGGUCUUUGACACUUAAGGAACUCAAGAUCCUUCACAAUGCACUGCACCUCAUGGGCCUGCUCUACCACAGAACGGUUGUUCACCAUCCUGUAGUCAUGGAAAUUGUCCAUGAGGUAUAGUUCAUUGCCUAAAUCUGCUGCAUCAUAUCUUGCAACCAGAGCAUCCCACGGCACCUUCGCAUCUAUCAUGUCUAUGUAGACAUCAACCAGACGGUCAGAUAUAUUGCUAAUGAUACAUCCCACGAAAAGGUUAUUGGCAUCAUCGAACUUUUUCUGCGCUUCAACAGUAAGUUCGCCUUCAAGUUUGCCAAGCCUCGUGUCCCAGAUGUUCAUAGCAUUAAACCAGAUAUGAACCUUUGAUUUCCACCUCUUAAAGUUCACACCGGUAAAUUUUUCCGGCCUCAUUGACUUAAAGGCCAAAUAACUAAAAACUAAAAUGGCAAAAGGAAAUUGUGCCCCCGCAAGGCUGGAGGCCGGAUUUCGGUGGACCAUUCACGUAGGUGUCGCACGCCCGCACCCUUCACCUGGCCCGGCCUAGCGAGGCGAGGCGAGGCGUGGCGAGCGAGCACGCGCAUGUGGGAGCUUUCCUUCUCUCCCCACACACAUAGCUUGGAGGAGUGAAGACAACCUCCAUAUUUAUGUUGGCCAACCUUCUCCUCCAUUAGCAAUGUGGGACUAAAGGUUUGCACCACUCCAACCACUUGCUCAUGCCCACAUGGGCCUUUGAGAUUUAUUUGGAAUUUCUGAAACUGCAACGGGACAAGCCCAUUAUUUCAUCAGGUAUUGGACCUAUUGCAAUUGUUUGGGGAAUAAAUUAGACCUACAUUUGUUUGGAGAAUUAAGUGGCCAAAGUGGGUUACUGGGUGAAACAAACUUUCUCCAUACAAGGCUUCUUUCAUUGUCCAAUGCAAAAUGGCACUGGCGGAGCUACUCAUUGGCCAAGGUGGGCCAUGGCCCGCCCUUGCCCAGUGACAGUUUCUGAAGAGCUAAGCUAGCAACCCUCUCGUCGUCCAUUGACUCAGAAAUAUGCAACAACAAUCUCAGCCAAUUAGCAGUUCAUCUAGAAAGAAACAGAGGUCCUGCGUGAUCUGAUCAUGCCCUUCCAGCAAGCAAAGCAAGACCUUGGUGCACGCAAUCGCUCGGUGAUAACGAGUCCUUGACUUCCGCACCUCCCAAGCACUCUCAAACCACUGCAAUAACUGCAAGCUGCCUACUUGUUGCUCGUUGUCAGGUGUCGAUAAGUCAGGUCGUAGCUCCUUUUGUCUUGGAACAAUGACAUUUGUGUGAACCUGAACAUUAUUUGGUUUGAAUAAAAAAAAUAGCAACGCCAGUCAGCACCGUGGCAGGCAGUGGGCGUGCACCAGCAACAUGGCGCGGGGUGCCAGGAAGUUCUUCGCGCCACGAAGAAAUAUGGUGGGAGGGAAGCAGGCUGGGAGGACGGAAAAAAAGGAAGGGGUAGCAAUGAUUAGGGAUAAUGUGGUCAUUGUCUAAGUCAUUAAAUAUUGUUUAGUCCCUACAUCUAAACAGGGGGGACUAAGACUAAAAAUAAGCAAGUGGAAACCAAACACAGCCUAAGACUAAGGGCAGUCCCAAUGGGACAUUGAUGAUAGUUUCUAUCCCUCUUAAUUGUCAUGCCAACUAAGCAAUUUGCUGAUGUGGCAGUAGAUUUAUUAUGGAGAGAGAGAGAGAAACCAUUUCUUAGAGAGGAAACCAAGUCCUCACGCGCACCAAUGAGCCAAGAAACCAGCGAAUCUGCAUUGGAGAGACCCAAGUAGUUUCUUCUUACUUAUUGCCGGAUUCUUUGCGCUUGCACCGCUGCUACCCAUCACUCGAGCUCCUUUACAUGAUGCACAGAGGAUCUGGUACUAGAAGGGAGAAUGAUUGGUUGGAUUUUUGUUUAGACUCUAGAUAAAAAAGUUGCAUUGUGAAGGAUGAUUUCUUGAUACAAUAUCCUAGACUAUGGAAACUAGGUUGGUUUCUCCCAUUGGGACUGCCCUAAACAGACUGUAGCAAUCAGCCCCUCCUUACAUUGAUUCCUAGCUCCGCCACUACAAAAUGGGUGUGUUAUUCAUAUAUACCUCUAAUAAUUACUUCACUACUUACGUGCAUGCAUUAAAUGUUUCAUUUUAAUAGAAAUCCAGUCAUACUUAAUAGUUUCUGGGUCUAUGUGCAAGGUGAAACAAACUUUGUAACUGCAAAUGGAGAGAGUUUUUUUUUUCUCCAAUUCAAUUCAUGUGGUAAUUUUUUGACUAAAGGUGAAGAAGACUUCUUUUAUUGACCAAUUGCUAUGACAAUGGAUUAUACCUUCUCUUUCCUCGUGAGUUUGGGUUCCGAUGCUAAUGUAAUUGAAGUGUGCAACGAGAUAUAACCAAGAGAUGUCGAGUAAAACCCAAGUACAGUGAGAUUUACUUGGUUAUCUGAAUAUCCUAGUUACUUGUAAAAACUCUUCGUAACAUACAGAUUGUCAUUCCUUAGUCUUUUCAUCAUGAGUUUGCUAUUUGUUAGCAAUUUUUGUAUACAGCGGAAUAAAGAUAAUACUUUGUCUAUAAAAAGUUGUUUUCCUUUGAAACUCAAUGUUAUACACUAUAUUUAUUUGCAAUAUAUAUUAUGUACAGCUUAUGUUGACUUGGGUAAUUAAGCCAACAGAUAUUCUUCUCAAUGGAAAAAAGUACCACAACUGUUAAUCCAUGACCUAGUGUGAAUCCACGUCCUAGGUAGAGAGAUUAAGGCCCUGUUUGUAUACGUUUUUCCUAGCCACGCUUGGAUUAUAAUCUAAGCGAAGAUUUUCUCGCUUCUCGCUUUUCGCUUCUCGUAGUUCAAAUCGUUGAAGCGGCUUACCACAUAAGCAAGAAUCGGUGGAAAUAAGCAAAGCGUUUGGCGGGAUUCUCGCUUAUUUUCACCGAUAAGCCGCUUAUAAGUAGAUACAAACGGGACAGAUUGCUCUGCUUUUGUUUCUUCCUCAGUCGAAGAAUGAAAUUCCAAGGAAGUAUGUAUCGGUGCACCCGUAUGCUUCGAUGCAUAUCACCGACAGGUGGUAUGGGCAUCGUCAUCGAGACGUCGACCGUACCCAAGUAGUUUAAUCUUUGCUCACGAGUAUUCGCUGCUCACGAGUAUUUGUCAAUUGCCGUCGAUCGGAGGAUGCUGUCUCAUCAGCUUACUGUCAGAUAGCUACCGGCUCCCUUACGAGUCGCAUCGGCAUCGCCCCGAGACGAAACAAUGCUGGAGACAGCGGUUGCCGCCAUAUGGGAUAUUGUUACUAGGGCCGGAGUAAGGAUCGAGAAGCCACAGCACCCGGCCCAAACGUGGGCAUGAAAAUGACCGUGGAGCAUGCAAGUUGUUCAAUUUGCCACUUGUGUUCAAGCUAAAGAUGCUGAUGGAUAUACGUACGACAUGGCCCCACCUACAUAUGUUCCAAACUGGAACGGGUGAACAAUCAAGGCAGAUAUUCUUUAAGACCUUAAAUAAGUCACUUCCGUCUAGUGCCGGGAAAUGGACGCCUUUUGUCUCUUGCAAGGCUAGUUUUGGCAGAUUGUUGGGCCUCAGAUUUCUAAGCUUCAAUGUGUUUUUGGUUCGACCAAAAUUUUCUGAGGUAUGGGCUUGUCUAGCAACUAGAUUGCACACUCCUUUCCACACAGUUUAAGCGUACAUCCAAGAUGGUGAUUUCAGAGGUCCCAAUCAAGUUCAGCAUGAAAAUGACCGUGGCUAGUUACGUACUCUUCACUCAUGGAAUCCUUAACACCUAAUUAGUUAAUAAAGUUGAUGGGAGUCUAAGAAAUGAAGAACUCAUUUACCUGUGCAGUUUAGGGAGGGCAAAACAAGGAAAUUAAAGGAUUUUAUAUGGUACAGAUCGGAGCUAUAUAUGAUCGAGGACAACUAAGACAGCUAUAUACCGCUGCGAGGAGGACGCUGAGGAACGCGUUGAGGAGGCUGGCCAUCUCGUCGAGCUCGAGCAGCAGCUCGACGCCGCUGCAGCAAGGAUGCCGAGGCUGCCGCCCAUCGAUCGCGCUGAGCUUGAUCAGUUCUCGGUAAAGCCAGGUCAACGUCCCACGGUGUUGCUCCGCCUACUGUCGUGCUCGUGGAUACUAUUUGCUUGGUGAGUGGAUAAGGUAGCUGGUAACUACGCUGCUACCCAGCUCCUCCCUCUGAUGUUAAGAUUGUGGAAGGCUGGCAAAGCAUGCGUUGAUGCAAACUAUUUCUUUCUUUUCUUCUCGAUUCUUUUUUUUUUUGACAAGGUUCUAGGAUAAAUUGUACAAGGUUCACGAGAACUAUCUGUUUCAUGAAAUGUUCAUGCUUAUCGGAACAAAAGGUUCAUUUGUCAUUAAAAAAGGAAAAAAGGAGCUACUAAUGGAUUCGUCUGCUGAUUGCUGUUUCAGUAGUGCUGGAGACUUAAUCUCUGAUUUCAGCCUUAGAAUAAGGGUGCAUAAACAAGAUUAGGUGUUACAUUUAGGUUUUAAUUGAGGUUGAAACCUAGCUGUACAAAAAUAAAUGGCACAUGCUUUUGUACAUGGCGAUGUUUAAAGUUUUUGAAGAUCAUUAGAAAAAUAUGAUAGGUGAUGCCUAGAACUAUCUUGAUUUUUUUUGUUUGUACAUAUUUCCCUUCUUCUGUUGCUCUUCAUGACCAUCAGUAUUUAUGGGUUCAUCACAAUCGGUACCAACGUGUACAUAAGUACCUUAUUAGUGAAAGGUAUUAAUUUGUAUUAGUAAUGGAUUUAACAUCUAUUUACGGGUUUAUCAUAAAAUGUACCACGGUGUACCUUGCUGAUUAGUGAUGGAUUUCAUGUGCGGUACCUCGGUGUACCAAAAUGAAUAUGGAACAUAUUUGAGAGAAAUGUGGGGUCAAAUCUGACAUGAAGACAGAUUAAAAAAAUUAAGACCAUGUGUAAUGGUUACUUUUUCAUACGUGUCAUGCUCAUUGUACUUUUAAUAUAUUUUUUAACUUUUUAACGGGAGCAAGUGGCGCUCGUUUGAACAUGUGGUGCAGAAUCAUCCACCUAAUGCAUGCAUCACUGGGGGCACAAUGAAGGCGUACUACCGAGACGGUCGGUCGUGGCACGCCAAGUCUAACUCUCCGUGGCUUGGUCGUCAAUGCAACUGUACAAGGAAGACAACUACCGCGAUUGACUAGCUUCGGUCGUAGGGCCCGCCUUGAUUUGUUACUUUUGGUCGAGGAGAACGACCCAUGUGAUGGAGUUGGCCGCCGUUCUAUGCCAGUUUGCGUGCGGGUUGCUACCAAAUCAAAUUAAGUGUGCCCCUUUCAAGCUUUGCAAGAUUCUAUGCUAGGUGGGGAUUUAGCUACUGUACGCUGCAGUGCUAUACUCUAGCACAAACUGGUCUCUUCCUUUAAUGUUAAUUGCCUGUUCUGUUGACCGACCUGGAGGCUUCUAGCUUUCGAUUCUUGCAAAUGGGGAUAUAGAUAAUUCCACAACUUUAGAGGAAACACAUCGAUAUGGGACCAUUCCCAGUGAAAGUUUCAUUAUUUACAAAUGAGAUUCUACAUAAGCAAAUACUAUAACAUAGUUGGAAUUAUAGAGAGCGGAAAUGAAUUUCAUCCAUAUGAAAUUCGGUUCGCAUGAUUUCCAAUACAAUGAAACUCUUUGAAAUAUCCCUGAAGGACUAGAGUUUAUUUCAUCAUAUCAUGUGCCCAAUCAAACGAUUCCACAUCAUGCAUGAAUUAAAUACUAUAGCCACCUAUGAAAAUACAAAUUGAAACUUGCAUUAUUGAGAGGGAUUGUUUCAUUUAACAAAUCAUCAUGACACUCUCGAUGCACUACAAGAUAUGAUAUCUUUUAGUGUCUAUUAUAUUUUCUUUUAGUGGCCCACAAUUUUCUUGUACAAUUUUCAUAUUUCCUAACAAUUUUAUCAAAUCACCAGCAAUGCAGUUCCCUACAGUAAUGUUGACUAGUUAUCCAAAUAUAUUAAAAACCAUUGACCAUUAGCCACCUGUAAAACAAACUACUCCCUCCGCCCCAUAAAUACUAUUCGUUUAGCUUCCAAAACUUGUUCCACAAUGAGUGUUUAUAUAAUUUUCAGACCAUCCAACAAAAACCCUCAUAAUACCUUCUAGCCUAGUUAACGAAUCAAUCUACUAUAUCAUCGAUGCCUGAGCCAGACUCGCUAAAUAAGAAAGGCUAAUAAGAAAGGCUAAUAGGUCCGACAUUAAUACAAGCAUGCAUGCAUAAUUAAUUCUACUCGGUAAUCCAUCCGAUUAAGAAGAGUUAUUAGGAGUAUUUUGGACUUUUAGAAUUGCUACUAUCUUGUCUAAAAUUUUCUGAAGGGGUAGUCUUUGUGAGAUGGAGGAAGUAUGCAGAAAUGCUAGAAGUUCCGUACUGAUGACAUGGCACCCUAGGAAACAACUAACAAAAUGAAACUUGACAUUAAAAUUGUCCUGAGAGCAUAUAAUUUGCAAAUAUUUUGGAGGUGACAGAAGUAAUUCUUGACAGCUUUAAUUUGGGAUGGCGGAUUAUUGAAUCCAAAACUUAAAUUUGGAUGGAAGCUAUUGCCACUUGUGCUCCCUCUUCAUGUGCUGACAUGUGCAUGUUGUGACAGGCUGACAGCACCUGCUGAACUAACGCGACCCAGAAAUGGAGCGGUCAAGCUAUCUAUUACUCGGGCAGCAUGAGCAGUACGAAACCAUUGCCAAAGGCAAACCACACAUCGGCCUCCUCCAUUAUUGCAAACGUUCGUUUAAUUUCUUUCAGAGUUUUGACAAAAAUUAACGAACCAUGGGACACGUCGGAAGGCCGGAGGUGCUGAUGAUCAAUCGCUACGUGAGGCUUCGGACCGCCACGGGAACAUGGGCAUAUUCGCUUCAGCUUAUUCAGCUGGCUUAUCAGCCAUCAAACAGUGUUUUCCUCUCACAACAAAUCAGCCGUUUCAGCUUUUCAGCCGGCUUAUAAACUGAACCGAACGGGCCCAUUGCAACCGCUCUGGAACUCCUGGCGUUGCUGUGGUCCACCGUCGUGCUCCUCGGAGGCUUCGUCGGCGAUCUCCUGCUCAAGGAGUUCUGGGUCCUCACUGCACUCAGCUUCCUCAUGGCAUGCAGGUAAUACAUUAGCUUUCCUUAUAAGUGAACCUGCCAUCCAAGUUCUUCAUUUUCCUUCUAUGUAUGCCUGCCAUUGCCGUUGCGUCCGUCAAAACUUGUGUCGCCGUUAAUGCCAAAUUUUCACUCUAAUGGCCCCUCGGUUGACUGAUCGACGAGAGACAUAUAGAUCACCAAAACCCCAUAUGCAAGUGAGAGACCAGAUAGGAAGGGAGCGAAGACGGCCUGAGCAGGAUAGCGAGGUGGUGUCAGCGGAACGGCACUAGUGGACCUCAAAAGUCAAAAUCGAGCGCCAAUAAAAAAGAGUAACCAUGCACGAAUUUGGCCGCGGCGGAUCUUGAAAUCGAGAGCCGGCGGGCAAACUUGGCGCCAGCUUACCUGGAAUCAAGUGCCGAUUAUUUUAAAAAAACGGUAAUGCUACGGAACGUAUAUCCGGAAUCUUAAAAAACCGAACGGCUUGACAUAUUUUACAAUAGUUUAGAUGUUGCAACUAUUAUUAUUUCUGUAUGUUUCAUAAUGAAUGUUGCAUGAGACAUAGUGUUCAUGUUGCAGCGGAAAUUUUGUAUCUUAGAGUCGAACAACGUAGUCAUUUUUACAUAUUACUUUUGAAUAUUGCACAUUGUGAUCGAUCAUAUUUCACUAGGUAAUUUUUAUUGUUUUGUCAAAGCAUCCGAAGAGAAAUUUUCCAUCGAACGUGCGCUAGCAACACCAAAACGAGUGCCUGUUUUAGAACUCACACCCACCAGGCCGGUUCUUGAACCCAAUCAUGCCUCUUUUCCUAGGUGUUUCCAUUGUCGGUGUUUUAUACCUGGCAACCUACCGAGGGGUAUCCCGAGGUAGUAGAUUGGUUGGUGGGGGAUCAUUGGAUCUAGAACUUGAUGGUAAAAGCGAGGACACAAGACACAGAUUUAUACAAGUUCGGGCUGCCAAUGUAGCGUAAUACCCUACAUCCUGUUUGGGUUUUGUAUAUUACACCCUGCGCUUGGAUGUUGUUUGGUAUUGAGAAUUUGGUCCUCUGUUGUGGUUCUACCAAUCUAGAUACCCCUACCCUUCUUUAUAUACUCCAUGGGGCAGGAUAACUAGUCGAUUACAAGGAGGAGUUUUAGUAGAAUUACAUGAUAUGAGUUGUAGUAGGAUUACAGAAUCCUAGUUGGAGUCCAUCUUCUUCCUUCCUUGCGAGUACUGGGGAUCUAUCCCCGAUAAGCUCCCAAGCGCUUCAUAGUCGAGUGCAGCAACCCUCAAGUACUUUUCAGAUCCUCACCGAGUAGUUCUAGUGCUCUUCGAGUACUUUGUCUAGCUGAAUCUUCAAAGUGCUUCAAGGAUGCCACAAGGCUAUGGUGUCCUCAAGCCUUUGAUCAUCUAGAUUUGUAAUCUUCAUCAUUGGAAUGUCACAUGGAGGGUGGCGAAAGUCGCACUCCAUAUGAAUUAAGCUGAGGGUCAAUAAAAUCUUGAAUCUUUUUCUUUCACCUUGAAAAAAUCAACUACUGAAUGUAGCUUAUCAGCCCCCGAGCCUUGGAAUGAUUAAAUAAUCAAUUCAAGGGUCUAGCGAGCUUUAGUCUUCACGUCAAUUGUCAUCUGAGUAGUUUUGCGGCGUCCAGCCCCUGAGCUUAUGCGCCAGGUGAGCCGUAGGAGCAACAUUGAGUAGUGAUUUGGCGCUUAGCUCCCAUUGGGAGCUAACUUAGCCAUUGGAAAUAUUCUGAGUAGUAAUAGGUGCUUAGCCCCCAAGCCUGGGGAGCUAGGAGAGGUACGUUGAGCGUCAUAGAAAGUCAUCGCUGAAGCUUGAUCUACAAAAAGAGAUGCAUACAUUAUGUAGCAUAUUUGUAGAAUUUUGAAGAUACUACCAAAAUUUAUUCGGUAAUGAAUGUAAAUGUUGUGUGUGAUGCUCUUGUUUUCGCCAUAUUUCUCUCGAAUAGUUAGCAUGUUACGUUUAGGCUCUUAGUACCUAUUUAGCUAUUGCCACUGUGUGUAAGAUCUUUGUCUCGUGUAUGCAUACUGGCACCGCUGCUAUACGUCUGAGAUCUUUGUCUCAUGUACACGUCCUAGAGUUUAGGCAUGACAGAAGAUCCGAGGCUUCAACGGAUUGAGGCGUGUUCUGUUCGAGGAGAUUAGUGACCGCUAAUAGGAGACAACAAAAAUAAGUAGUCGACAUUGCAACAAAAAGAGAGCGCGAUUGCGCGUAAAGUAGUUGAUGAGACUUUUCUACCUUAUGGCGAGAAGAGCACGUGUUGCCAUGCAUAGGAUUUGUGCCUCCUUAGGGUAUAGCUGCUACGAGCCUCCAGGACUCAGUGCACCAAACCCAUGGCCAUAGCCUCCAUAAUUCGAUGUACCAAUCCCGUGGUGGUCGAUCAAAUAAUUGGCAAAGUGUAGCUCUAGUGGGUAAUUCCUGUUGAGAGGCGUACACAAAUAAGUACUCAGCACUUUGCCCAUCAUGUGAAAAACAAGUUAGAAAAAAUAUGUGAAAUAAUUAAAAAAGUGACUUAGCUUGAUUUCGUAGACGUUUGUCGACGAAGACGUGGCGGUUGUCAUGAAGCUGCGAUGGUUGUUGAUGAAGCAGACUAGUCGGAGUCGAUUCCGACUAGUUGUUGAUCAUGUGGAACCUGCCCUCGACAGUUUGUCGUCAAGACGGGAAGUUUUAGGUAGUCGCUAUUGUGUCACCAAGCGUUCUGGUGAAGCCAGCGCAAAGUCCCAUGUGCAUCUUGAGUACGUGUAGUGAAGAGGAACAGAUCUCCUAGCGGCCUUGCGGGUACGUGUACUGAAACCCCAAAAAUAGCCUUGCAUGGAGAGUACUCAAGCUGAUAGUUUUCUCGAUCCGCGUACAAGCAGUAGAUGGAAUAUUGAUUGGCCUUCAUUGCUUCAGUAUAGGAUUCGGCACCUGGAGGCAAUUAGCUUAAGAUGCAUCGUUGGUGACUUCGACUCAAAGAUGGAAAAAUAAUUCUGCCGGUAUUUUUCCUUCUCACGAGCGUGGAGCAGUAGCAGAUCAUCAGCCUUGAGCGACGCAUGGAGCCAUGGAGGAUGAUCAGCUAUAGCAGUGGAGCAGUAGCAGAUCAUCAGCCUUGAGUGACGCAUGGAUCCAUGGAGGAUGAUCAGCUAUAGCAGCGUGACCAGUCUACAGCUUUUUGCAUGCAGACGAGCUGACAACCGAUUGAUCUCCUGCAAGCUUCUUGUAUCCGCUUCGAAUUGGAACUCGGCAACUUGCUUCUCAUCAAGUAGAUUGAUUUUGAAGAUGAGGUACUUCAAGCUCGCCCAAUGAUCUUGAUGAUCACCCCUACCUAACGCGUUAGAUGUCGGUGUUUUAUACGUGACAACCUACCAGAGGUAUCCCGAGGUAGUAGAUUAGUUGGUGGGGAAUCGCCGGAUCUGGAACUUGAUGGUAAAAGUGAGGAUACAAGACGGAUUUAUUGGACGAGAUUAUGGCGAUGCGGGUGGAGAUAUUGGCAACAGAUCAAAACUGAACGCCGCACUGGACAUCUUCUGUGGCCUAAUUCUGUUCCAGAGUUUAUUCGCCUUCUACUACAUAGUCAUUUUCUGGGUGGAUGUUGUAUUGGAAUCACGAACGGAAAAACAUUGUGGGCUUGAAGAAGGCGUGAAGAAAUCGUUCGCAUCUACUCUUCAGAAACAGCUAGGAAGUUCAAGAAGGACGGGGAGCUGCCUGGCAAUUGGAACUUGAUCUGAUCGCAUACGGUGUAGAGCUGCUCCAGUCUGCAACUCGGGAUGACCAUCUAUGGGGAGCAAGGGUGUUAGACCAGUUGUUCAGUAAGGAUAAGUCUGUAAGACAGGAGCUGUUAUCUUCCAGGAGCUGUAUCCAGAAUCUGAUCGGCAUGAUUGGUCUGAGAGGCACAGCUGAAAACACCAAGAACAGAGAGCGUGCCGCAAGGAUUGUAGCACACCUUGCCAGUGACCUCAAUAUAGCUCACUUUCCGGGUACACUGCAAUGCACCUGUUCCCUACUUGAAAGAUGUAAUAAGCAAUCUUGUGAGCCACAAGCUACCGGUCCGUCGGAGAACCCUGAUAAAAAGGAUCGAAAUGCUGCUGACACAGUACUGCAGAUCAAGGACCAAACUGAACAUGAAUCUGGAGGAGCCAGAGGGAUGGUUUCUCAAGGCCUGCUGAUUCUCGAGGGGCUCACACAGAACGAAGAGAACUGUGCAGAGAUAAGCAAACACCCAAGGCUGCUCUCUAAGAUCACAUCACCACUGCUGAUUUCUCAAGGCCUGCAGAUCCUUGAGAGGCUGACACAAGAUGAAGAAAACUGUACUGAGAUAACCAAACACCCAAGGCUGCUCUCUAAGAUCACAUCACAUAACUUCCUCAGCAAUACGGGGGACAACACAAUGGUUGAAAUGCUAAGCAGGUCACUCACUGUGGUGAACAGGCUACUUUCAGUCCUGGUGAUGGCGCCACAAGGCUGCGCCAGGAGAUGGCAGGUAACAAGGAAGCUGUCAGCAAUCUGGUGGCUAUUUUGGGGACUGACAGUGAAGGUGCCCAAAAACUGCAUGAACAAGCCCUGGAGAUCCUGGCAGAGUUAGCCUUUGAUGGUUCUUUCACAAAACCAGCUUUUGGUGAGUCUGAAUGCAUGCUCGACAAGCUUUUCAAGACCCUGCAACGCAUCUUCCUUGAGGAGAAGGAUGGCAAUGCUGUGGUGGGAGAAGCAGACAGAGAGAAAGACACCAGACUGAGGGGAAAAGCAGGGGAAAGACUCGCCAGAUUGCUUCCCGUUCGCGCUGCAAGAGAUGCUAAUAAUGUUGCUGGUAUUUUUUCCAAGCAAGAUGAGAUCAACCUAUUGACCAAGGUAACGAGUAAUUCGUUAACUCCUUUCGAUAAUUUACAUACAGAUAAAAAUGGUGGCUAGAGAUGAAUUACAUCAAUCUGUAUCAUGUAUGAUACAGUUAUAACUUGCCGAUCCUCUAUAUAUGUUGUUGCAGGUGUUCGAUCAAAUAUUAUCUAGUAAAAUAGGAACAGCUACAGGUGCAACCAUAGGGUCUUGUGCAAGCAAUGAAAGGCAAUCUGAUAAAAGAAAAUUGUUGGCAGCCAUGUUAUCCCUCGUCGUGGUGAUAUGCAACGAACACAUUAUCAGUACAGAAGAUUUUGUUCGUGCCAUCCAUGAAGAUGCAGCACUGGUGAAGAAGCUCGCGGAGGUACUGAAAGUAAACAAGCAAUGCACGGCUGAGUGUUUGAGAGUAGCGAAGCUUACCUGCCAGGUGGUGAUAGCUAUGGUUCAAGCCAAGCCCAGCUUCGUCCAACAUUUCAAUGAACAUAACUUCAAGGAAGAACUGACCGAGGCUUUGGAAAUCAUGUCGGAGGUUGAUGGCUGCAUGCUCUUUGCUUCUCUUGUGAAGGAAGCACAUAAACUCCUAAACAGCGCACAAGAACAUGGUAAAUGAUAUAUCUUCCUUGAACAGACUCAUUUCUUCAAAUUGAGACCACAAAGGGAAGCUCUUGACAAAUGGAACUUUGAUAGAGCUUUGUGUACUGUGUAGGCGGUAGCACGUUGACUUUCUGAUUACUUAUAGUUACUACUAUUGAUUGUUGCUGUCAGGUGUUCGUCCAACAGAAUUUCAUUAAUUAAGCUACCACGGCCUUCAGGUUGUGUUUGUGAUCAACAAUCACACUGAAAAACUGAGUAACCUUCAAGAAAUUGAAAUCCAUGAGUUGACAGGAUCUGAACAUGAAGUUUCUUUUGUGAAGCGACUAUUUGAUCGGGCAACAGCAGUGAACAAGGUGAUAAACUUCAGAGUCAUCAACCACUGAAAGCAAGGCCAGGAAUAUGCAUGGAGAAUGAUGCAUCGUAACCACAAGAAUGUACGUGUUAUAUGCACAUGAAUACUUCUAGUAGUAGAAUAUGAACCAUGGACUCAUAUGUGUAUCAGAAUUUCGUAAUUUCUAUUUUGAUGCCUGCUGCAGUGCAUGACAACAUGAAAAUGCUAGCACGCAGCUCAUUGAAAAAUGUGGAAUCCAUUUACCUUAUGGUUUAUUCUUAUUAAUGUUGUGUUUCUUACGCAUGGAACUUUUAAGUGUUCUUUUGACAAACCUUGAUGUGUAAAAGAUUGUAAUGUUCGGAUACUAAGACUGGAAAUACUGUUUCUUGUUGCCCAUCCAUAAUAAGCAUUUUAUUCAAUUUUUCAAUUGUAAUCAAGAUUUUUCAAAUAGAGCAUGUUGUAUGGAUUGCCUCCGGGAUAGCUCGUGCAAUCAAAUAUUUUUUUAAAGAGAAAUGACAUCGUAUUUCUCAUUUAUGGAUCACUGCGAAUUCAUUUGCCCCUUACCAUAAAUCUUGACAGGUGCCUUCAUGUGAUGCCAUUUUACAAAAUCCUGGUUGUGCAUAUCCAUCUUAUGUGCUAUGUGUCAUAUUACAGAAGUGCUGAUUCAAAUCCAUAUUUUGAACUUCCGAUAAUUCUUAGUGCAAAAGCAUUUUGAUCUUCAAGAAAAUUUCAGAAAUUACCAUUAAAUCCGUGAUUCACUAUCAGGUUGCACACCUUUCACAACUCUCCACUCCGCGCCUAGAAUGUAAUGUGCCAUUCUUAUAUUUUUUAAAAAAGAAAAUAUUUUUCAUGUGGACCAAAAUUCGCCAUAGUUAUGUUAUUAUGGGUCACUUUGUCAAUACCACAGCCCUUCUCCACCAAUAAUGGCAUCUUCGAGAGGCUGGGAUGUGGUCAAGGUUUCCAAUUUCAUACAUCAUGUCAUCAAAUCCACUUAGCAAUCCUUCUUAGGAUGUUAAAUACAAGGAUGAAGGAUUAGACAAGUUAAAGUUCGGUAUUGAUGAUUUCUUAGUUAAGGUGAAAUUUGAUGAUCCAAAGCAAAGUUUAGGGGUGAUUUUGUGACACCCGGUCCAAUUUGGUUGGCCCAAUGUGGCCCAUUAGCGCAUAUGCGCAUGUUUAGUACCACAUUGCUAGUUUAGCAAGGGUGGAGCCAACUUAUAAGUCUUUGUCAACCAGCCAUAGCACCUUCAGAUUAACCCUUUUACACUAAGCGAGGAUGAAAGUGUAAGCAGGGUGCUAUGUGUACGCGUGCUUGCCCCUCGGAAGGGCUGGACGGUGCGGCUUUGGAGGACGGGAUGUGACAAAUGGUAUCAGAGCCGACCCUCGCGGUUGCGCGCACGAGUCAGUGUGCGGGUAUGGCACAUGACGCGUGUGGACCUGCGAUGGGACACACGGCAUGGCAUAUAGCGUCGGCACUGAACGUACGGUCGUGCGCUUGAGGGAACGUUUCUGGACAUUUGCCCAUGCGUGGGUGAGUUGGACCAACGAGGACAUCGGGUUCUUUGAGGGGGGUGAAUGUGACACCCGAUCCAAUUUGAUUGGUCUAGUGUGGCCCAUUAGCGCAGAUGCGCAUAUUUAGUACAAUAUUGCUAGUUUAGCAAGGGUGGAGCCAACUUAUAAGCCUUUGUCAACCAGCCAUAGCACCUUCGGGUUAACCCUUUUACACGUAGCGAAGACGAAAGUGUAAGUAGGGUGUUAUGUGUACGUGUGCCCGCCCCUCGAAAGGGCUGGGUGGUGCGACUUUGGAGGACGGGGUGUGAUAGAUUUGGAGUUUUCCAAAGAAGAAAGGGUUAAAAAGGGAAUACCAAAUUCUACAGCGAAAUGCUAAAAAUUCCAUUCCGUUCCCCACUCUCGAAUCUCGAUGGAGCUGAGCGGCGGAGACAGCGAGGGCGCCCCCAAGCGUGUGAAGCUCUCCUCCGGCGAUGCCGGUGGCGGCGAGGACUGCCUCAGCGUGCUCCCCGACGACGUCCUCGUCCUCAUCCUCCUCCGCCUCGACACCACCGUCGCCGCCCGAACCAGCGUCCUCUCCCGCCGCUGGCGCCGCGUCUGGGCUCUCCUCCCGAAGCUCUGCUUCCCCGUCGCCCCCGAGCCCCACCGCUUCCGCGACACCCUCGACACCCACGAGGUGCCCCUCAGCAACCUCCUCGUCGGGGCCGGGGACGCCACCCCCGAAUCCCUGGCGAUCUGGCUACCCGCCACCGCGCGCCGCGUCUCCGGCGACCUAACCCUUCUCAACUUUGAUCCAGGGAAAGAUGCCAGGGAGGAGGAGGGGGAGGCCGCGCAAAGAGGCGCCUUUGAGCUCCCCUGCUUCGAGAAGGCCACCUCGAUCUCCCUCAUCCUGGGGUUCCACGGCCUCGCCAUCGCCAUGCCACCCACCGGCGUCUUCGCCCAGCUCACAGGGAUCUACCUGAGCUGCGUCCGGUUCCACGGCCCGUGCGCGCUCGGCGACGCCAUGUCCUCGCCACGGUGCCCGUGCCUGCAGAGGCUCACCGUCGACGACUCCCGUGGACUGGGCGAUCUCACCAUCAACUCGGUGUCGCUGCUGCAAAUGGAGCUCAGGAACCUGCGCGGGUUGUGGCAGGUCACUGUUGUGGCGCCGGCGCUCACGGAGCUAACUGUGAUAUACUGCUUUCGCAACGAUGACACUCAACCGGUUGCAAACAUCUCAGCCCCUCAGCUGGUGAGCCUCGAGUGGAAAGAUGCGUAUGAUCCAAGCUCCGUCCAUCUUGGCAAGAUGGCACAUCUCCGAUGGCUGGGCACCUUUUAUCUUGUAUAUGGACAAGAUCGCCUUAGUCAUAACCACUCUUGUUCAACGCUCUUGCAGAGCUUUGAGGCCAUUGAAACCCUUUUUCUCACACUGGCAUAUAUGCGAGUGAGAUUGCUUAUUCUCUUAUCUGAAAUUAUGCCAUCGUACAUAGUAUCAUACUGAUAUGUCAUCGUAACAUCUUUGAUUACCAGCUGGGUACAGUUUGAAAUUGGAUAGCAAGAUCCGUCCAUUUUUCUGUGACAUGCCCAGCAAGAAUGGUCCUAGGACCUAGGCUACCACACUGUAGAAUUCGCUCAGCCAUGCGUAUGAUUCUUUGUUUAGAAAAACUUUACAUUGAAGCAAACUUUACUGUUUUCUGAAUGCGAUAUAUAUGUAGAGUUAUGUAUGUCACUUGUCCUCGUGGUAUUCAUGUUGAAAUAUUCUCACUUGUUUUGCUUUGCGACUUUACUGAUCACACUCAAUUAUCCUUCUUUUCCAAUAUAAACCGGUUGCUUGUACUGGGAAGCUAAUCAAGGAAUUGAUGUAAUCCACUUCAAAUACUGUCAACGCGUCUAACGAGGGCGACACUCUCCGCCUCUUGCUUACCUCUCUUCCAAUUCCAAGCUCAUAUAUCAGUAUAGAUUACUAAGUUGGUCUACGGCCAAGUUGAGACAAACAAUCAUGUCCGCCAACCGGGAUGAACAAUGAAGCUUGCUUAAUUAAUUAGCACAUUAGUCCUAUUCAUAGAUAACAAUAUGCCAAGUGGUUAGAGCACGUACGGAAGCAGCUGGUCCGGAUUCAACUUCCCGCAGGAGCGAAUUACGACUUCACGUGGGAGUGAAUUAUACGAGUCUAAAAUUUAAAAAAUAGGUAGGAGUUUCCCCUGUUGAUUUCAUUAAAAAAACAAUCUGCCACCUGGAUCACUUGUUAUUACUAGUUUGUGUAUCUAUAUUUAUUAUAUUUGAAAAAAAAAUACCGUCUUGCGUAUGUGUACUGUGCUACGGUUGGCAACUUCCAUUAAAUAAUAAGAUUUGUUUGUUCCUCGAGGAUACAUGUGUAUAGCCCACAAAGUCAAAUGCAACGCUAGCUUCCCUCGUCAUUUGCGUCCAUGUACUUUUCGUCGGUGCCUGGACGAAGAGAUGAGGCGAAAGUAUCUGAAACCCUCAAGUACUUUUCAGAUCCUCAUUGAGUAUCUAUCCCAAACAAGCCUCCGAGCGCUUCAUACAGCAACCCUCAAGUACUUUUCAAAUCCUCACUGAGUAGUUCUAGUACUCUUCGAGUAUUUUAUCUGGCUAAAUCUUCAAAGUGCUUCAAAGAUGCCAUAAGGCUUUGGUGUGCUCAAGCCCUUCAUCAUCUUGAUCUGUAAUUUUCAUCUUUGGAAUGUGAUACGAGCCAUGCCAGCCCCCCUCAUGAUCUAUAAGUCAAAUGCAACGCCUCUCUCUCGGAAAACAAUUACAACGCUAGCUUCUCUCUCUCUACGUGAUAAGUUACUAUAAAUCUCUAAUUAACCCGUCGCACCUCUAGAACGUUCUUGUCUAUUAAAAAACAAUCCGCUGGCUGGAGUAUUUGUUUAUUGCAUCCAAAACUUUAUUAAUCCACUUGUGCUCCCUCCAUUAAUUUGGGGACGAAGAGAUGAGGCGAAAGUGGGGAGCAGUUUGACCAGCACCACACGGUAUCAAUAGCGUGUGCUUGGGGGGAAAAUCGCGUUGACCCCCGACAGCUCCCACUCCGAUUCCCCAAUCCCAUGGCGAUGCCCGCCGGAGCCAAGAGGGAGAGGAGGGCAAGGCUUGACGAGGAUGGAAAGGAAGAGCUCGUCGACCGCAUCAGCCGCCUCCCGGACGACGUCCUCGGCAACAUCGUCUCCUUCCUUCCCACCAAGGAUGGCGCCCGCACGCAGGUACUCUCCUCCCGCUGGCGCCCCAUCUGGCGCUCGGCUCCUCUCAACCUCGAAAUCAGCAUCGCCUCCGUCUCGCGCAUCCUCUCCGCGCAUCAGGGCCCCGGCCGCCGCUUCUGCACUCAGUUCCCCUACCUCGACCCCAGCGACCGCUCCGCGACCCUGGACCGGUGGCUCCGGUCCCCCGCCCUCAACAGCCUCCAGGUGCUCGAGUUCCACCUCGGCAGUCCGCUUCAAAAUCCGCCGCUGCCGGCAUCAGUACACCGCUUCUCGUCCACCCUUCGCGCCGCCAGCUUCGGCUGCUGCGCUUUCCCGGAAGGAAACAGCGCCAGCCCGCUUCACUUGCCACUUCUCAAGCAGCUAAGCCUUUUUGAUGUCAGAAUCUCGGAAACUUCUUUCAAUGCCUUGCUCGCGGCCUGCCCUACCCUUCAAAGCUUGCUGCUAACUAACAUCUCGGGCUGCUCUCGCGUCCAAAUUGUGUCCCAGAACCUUAGAAGCAUUGGUUUUCUUCGUACUUUUUAUCGUGAUGGACACACCAGUUUGCAACAACUCAUCAUCAAGGAUGCCCCAUAUCUAGAAAGGUUGCUUUGUUUUGAAAAUGGUUCUGGCAUGGAAGUCACCGUUGUCUCGGCACCACAAUUGCAUGUUUUGGCACUACAUAGUGUUUACAACCUCAGACACUACGUUGGCAGCACAACUUUUCUGUUUGGUAGAACAGCUUUUCAGGUAUCACCUCCCUUGUCACUUUAAUAUUCGUGACGGAUCCAAGACCCUUUUUUCGAACAAACAAUCAAAGUCCCCUUGUCUGAUCAUGAUGUUAAACUUUGUAUUAUGUACGUGCUUUACUCAGAGAUCAUGCAUUCCUAGCUCGACGACGGUGGUUCACAGCAUGAAGGUCUUAGCUUUAACCCAGCCGGAUCUUUGUUUGGAUAUGGUUAUUAACUUGUUGAAAUGCUUCCCCUGCUUAGAGAAGUUGUACAUCGAGGUGAUUAAACUUUUCCUCCAUAAUAGGGAGGUGUCCUCUGCAUUCUUUUUCCUCCAUUCUAAUGCUAGGUCAUUACUAUUGUCAUGUUCAUUUUGCCUUUUCAGACACAGAAAGCAGGGAAGAAAAAUACUUGGUGUCAUAAAUACAAGAAUCUUAUUGGUACCCUUGAAAUUCAUCUGAAGAAAAUUGUGUUGACAAACUAUCGGGGCAACACAUCACAUGUUAACUUUGCCAAGUUCUUUGUUUUGAAUGCGAGAAUGCUACAGUCAAUGAGGUUUGAGUUAUUUGAUCAAAAUCCCAGCACCGCAUGGAUUGAGAAACAGCAUGGACUGCUCCAAAUAAAAAAAGCUUCAAGGGUCAUACAGUUUGAUUUUGUGGCUAAAAACAGCUGCUCUUUGAUGCUUUCCAUUGAGUUUGCGGGGCAAGUACAUGAUUUGUUAACAGCUGACCCCUUUGUAAAGCUUCAUAAUUGGACAUGAUUCCUUACGACGACCAUAAAAACCCUCUUCUCCUGACUUGGAGGUAAUGCUAUCCUUUUCUUUUCUAAGACUUGAGUCAACAUGGAAGUGAUGGAAUGCAAUCUACAUAUGCAUUUCUUGGCACACCAACUCCUGGUCUGCUAGUUGCCCUACCGACCUGAAGUUUAUAGCUUCUCUAUAUGAGCUAUUGAUAGAACCACGCAUAACCAAAAUGGUUUAUGCCUGAAGAUUCAGUUGUAAUUUUAGCCAACGUUCUUUGCGGUAAACCAGAUAGUAAAACAAGAAGUCAUUCUAGCAAUAACAGUCAUAGUUCUGCAAUUUGUUAGAGCAACUCCAGCAAUAGUCUAUACUUGAGAUCCCUACUUUUCUAAGUAGGAGCAGGGGCUCUUCCAACUUUUUGGGGCUGUAAUUUUCACCAUCAACUCCAGCAACAACCCCUACUGCUCAGCCCCUACUAUUGGUCUUAUAGGUAGGGUCCAUCUGUCGGUGUCCUUUCAUCUAUCUUCUUCCUCUGCUCUCUCUCUCUCUCUCUGGCACUCUUCCUCUCUACCUAAAUUGACGAGCUCAGGGUGUUGCUUGCCUCUACGCCGGCCAAAACGGCUCGGUCGGGCCAUGGGCGAGCUUUGCUGGCGGUGGGAGCAGAUGUGCUUGGAGCCGGCGCAGUCGGCCCGCUCGCGAUAGGAGCAUGAGCUCCGCCGCUGCCAAGAGCUCUCCCUCCAUUGCUUCGGCCUCGAGCUCUCCAUUGGCUACCUGAAGCUCGAGUUCUCCCACCAACCCGUCCUCGUGGGAUCUGGGGCACGCACGCUAAAGGACGAACUAGGAGGAGCUCCAUCGCGAGCUUGAGGGAGAGUGGCACGGGCGGCUUGACUGGAUUCGGCUGGGCUGUGCCGGCGACCACAUAGGCCAAGGUCCGUUAAGGAAGAGGCGCGCGUGAUGGUGGCGUUCAUGGGAAGGUAGAUCUAGAGGAGGGGGAGGGGAGAUGACUGCCGAUUGCGAUUUGGAAAGUGGCGGAGCUCUCGAGCGGCGGCGGUGCUCCAGCCGUACGAGCGAAGGCAAGACAGGCGGGAGGAAAACGACUGCAACAGAAAAGUAGGGGCCUCCCUAGCCACCCGUGGGAGGAGGGGAGGGGAAAAGUAGGGUCCUCUCUAGAGUAAGGACCCAAGUAGGGAUCCUUUUGGAGUGGGUUUUUUCGCCCUCGGCCUCUACUUUUGAGCAGGGGUUUGAGUAGGACCCUUGCUGGAAUUGCUCUUAGCUUUUGCCAACAUAUCUGAAAAGUAGAAAUUCAUGAGUUCAAAGGAUCUGACAAUGAUGUUUUAUUUGUUAAUUUUACUAAGAUUUGGUCCUCUUUGCAGGAACUGCAUUCUCAUCAGCUUUCGUAUUUGUGGCCAGUCAUGAAAACCAUGGAACUCAUCUCCUCGAUGAAGAGAAAUCCACGAGGGAUCUGAACAAGAUGUUUCUUUUGUAAUUUGACUCUUCAGUCGGUUGGGACUGCUGCAAAAGUUGGCGGUUAGCAUUGUCAAGGAACUAACCGCUACUAGUACCUUGUGAUCUAAAGCCCCUCUGAGCUUGGUGCGGUAUGCUGUGACUGUGUGCCAACGUACUGAAACCUUGCAAUGAUAUGAUAGCCCAUGUACCUACAACUCUUUAUCCCCUUUGGGGCUUUGCAAAACGAAUUGAGUUGCAUUCUGUAACACUAAUGGCAAUAGUUUUGGGUUUUAACUGAGUGUUUCACUAUUUGGAUUGCAAAUUUGUGUUAUUUUUAAGUUACUGUCAGCCUUUUUGAAAUAUACGUCAGCCUUUCAUUAAAAAUAAUACAUUGCAGCGAUCGAGCAUGAAGUUAACAGCAUUGUUGCAUGUGAGGCUUGAUCUUGAUAACAGAAUUAGGAGUUAGGAAAUAAUAGCAUAUAUGCGUUGGUACAUAAAAAAACACUGGCAAUAAUUUCUCAAAUGCCCCUAACUUGUUGAAGUUUCUGUACUUCCAUCGGAUAACCUAAACCCUAUGGUGGAUUGAAAAUCUUCUUUAAUAUUAUUGACAGCAUAAUCAUACCCCCUAUACCAUUUUCUCUUAGAUAGGGCAAUCGUAUUAUAUUCUGCAAACUGACUGCUUCAAACUGAUGUCCAGGAGGGAUCCUUUUGCAAAUAUUGUUGGCUUUGGUUGCAUAUUUGGGCAACCCGAUAUUGGUCAAAUUUCCUGUCUUUAUAUUCCAAUCCAACAGUAUCAGUUAAUCUCAAAAGGUUAAUACCUUGUUCCAGGCACAAACUACAUGCCCAUCAGGUUGCAUAUGUGGCGAGCAACAAAACUGGAGAGCCGAGCAACUCUUGUUGAAUCGCCUCCAAGAAGUAGAAAUCACUCGGUUGAGAGGAUCUGAACAUGAGGCUACAUUUGUGAAGCAGCUAUUCAAAUGGGCGACCGUAUUGGAAAAGAUGAUGGUAACUUUCGAUUAUUCAGUUACUGAAAGCAUGGCCAAAGAGUUGUGCCAGGUGGCUUCUCUAGUCCAAAAAUGCGCAUGGAAUUUUACAUAUAUCAGGACAUGAUCAAAGUGUUGUAUGCACCCAAAGACCAAGGCGGCCGGAUUAUCACUUUAAGCGCAUUUCCGUAGUUUCCUUCCGGAAGAUUUUAAUCUAUCCAUCUUCCGAUGUUUAAGAUUUGUGCAAACUAUACCCACCGUAGAUGACUAUGCGGAGGACUGGGCGCGCAUGCGAAUGGAGUGACAGCAGCAAGGGGACAUGUGCCGGACUGUGAUAAGAGGAAGGUGGGGAUUGGAUGCUGCACAAGUUUCAACCUUUAAAUGAUGUUUUCCCUUAAACCAUAUAUCCAAUUGGAAAUCCGUUUGAACCAUAUUGAGGAUUAAUACAACACAAUGAGAUCCAAUAUGUUAUUUUAAUUUUUUUUACUGUAAUGUUUCAACAUUUCUAAUAUACUAGUUCAACAUUUUCUAUGUGUCAUUCAACAUUUGCAAUGUACUAGAUCAACAAAUAAAUGUUGCAUUAUGUGAAGGAAAUGUUGGUGCAUCAAGAAGAAUGUUGGUAUAUGUAAAGUAAAUUGUUGGAGAGUGUAUAAAAAUGUUAAAGAGUGUAGAAAAAUGUUGGGCAAAUAUAAGUUGGAUUGUGUAGAAAAAAUGUUGGGCAAAUAUAAGUUGGAUUGUGUAGAAAAAAAUGUUGGAGAGUGUAGAAAAAAGUUGGAGAGCAUAGAAAAUGUUGAGAAAAUACAAGUUGGAGAGUGUAGGAAAAAAUGUUGUAUGUAAAAUAAAUUGUUGGAGAGUGUAGAAAAAAUUGUUAAAGAGUGUAGGAAAAUGUUGGGCAAAUAUAAGUUGGAGUGUGUAGAAAAAAAUGUUGGAGAGUGUAGAAAAAUGUUGAGCAAAUACAAGUUGGAGAGUGUAGGAAAAAAUGUUGGAGAACGUAGAAAAAAUUGUUAGAGAGUGUUGAAUAUAUGAUAUGAGUAAAAAAAUAAAUAAUCACGGGCUCAGUCUCUACUGGUACGGCACCGAACGAGUGAGCACUAGCGAUUUUUUUCCUACGUGCAAGGCGUACUGCUGCUCUCUAGUUAGCGGGCCGUGUGCUGCUGCUAUACUGGGCUUCCGUGGGCUGUGAAAUCACUAGAGUUUCUAUCGCAUGGAAGAUAGAUAGGAGGCCCCCACCCAGGGAUGUUUACCCCUGAACUUCAACUUGCAAUGCAGGUGAAGAAAUGAAUAUGGUUCCUUUCGUUGCGCUGGGGGACUAAACCGCUGCCACUGCCGCCAUCGGUGCUCCGCUUCUCCUCCACCCUCGCCGUCGCCAGCUUCGAAGGAUGCGUCUUCCCGGAUUGUGGAAACAGCAAUAUUGCUAGCAGAGCGCUGCACUGGCCCCAUCUCAAGAAGCUGACCCUUUCCAGUGUCACGGUCUCGGAGAGCUCCAUUGCUCGCCGGCUGCUCUGCCAUUGAGAGCUUGCUGCUACGUCAUAACAGAGGCUUCUCUCGAGUGAAGAUCGUGUCCCCUAGCCUCGGAAGCAUCGGUGUGAUCGUUCUAUGUAUGUGAGGUGUAUAUGGGGACUCGAUGAAGACAACCUCGUGUUACAACAGCUCGUCAUCGAGGACGCUCCAUGCCUGGAAAGAUUACUGUUCUUCGAAGGGCUUCAAAUAGGCUUCACGGUGAUCUCUGCGCUCAGGUUGCAUGUUCUGGGGGAACUGCAGGGCAGAGGCCAAAUGCUUCGAUUUGGCGCCACGGCUCUUCAGGUAUUGGGGCAUCAUUAUUCUCACCUUCAUUCAUGAUGGAUCCAUGUCCUAUAAUUCGCCUGAUCAAGAUGUGUGUAAAUUCUAUGCUUAAUUUCACUCAGGGAUCGUCCGUUGCUAGCUUGACGACUGUGGUGCCAAGCGUGAGGGUUCUAGCUUUAUCUCAUAUGACACCUUGUUUGGAUGUGGUUAUUAACUUGAUGAAGUGUUUUCCCCUCUUGGAGAAGUUGCACACGGAGGUGACUCUCUGAACCAACUAGAGCGUGCAUUUGCGAUCUUAUUAGUAUUAUGUCAAAAGCUAGGCUGACCAAUUCUAUGUUGGGUUUGCUUUUCCAGAUAACACACGGUGGGGAAGAAAAUGCAUCAUCUGAUAAGUACCGGAAACCUAUUGGUACUCUUGACAUCCGUCUGAGAAAGAUCGUGCUAGCAUACUUUCAUGAUAGGAAGCCAGAUAUUGAAUUUGCCAAGUUCUUUGUAAUGAAUGCAAGCGUGCUGGAGUCAAUGACGCUUGAGUUAAAACUUGGAAGUGUUGGCAACGAUGCAUGGAUUAGAAGACAACGUAAGCUGCUCCAUGUCAAAAAGAGGGCUUCGAGGGGUGCACAAUUUGAUUUUGUAUCUCAUAAUGAAUCAUUUACUCUUCCUCGUGCUAAGCAAGUACAUGAAAUGUCAAUACUCAACCCCUUUCAAAGGGUUUGUCAGUAGAUCUGGUAACACCAACGAGAGAUAUUUGGUUUCCAUUGCUUGACAUUUGUUACUCUUUUCAUGGAAUAUUGUAAUUUGUCAUCCGAUUUGGUUGCUAUAUGUUUCGUUUUUUACGGAGAAGUGCUCUUGAGAUGCCCAUUCUUCUUUUCCACUUGGUCGUCAUUGGGAUGAUUGCAGCGACCAAAUGAUAUUAGAGCGAGGUGUUAAGAUUUACUACCUCCAUAUUGAUUUAUCUGACGUUGGCUAGUUCAAAAAUAAACUAAGCAAUGUCGAAUUAAUUAUAUGAGUUGGAGAGAGUAUUUUGUACUAUUCAACUAUCUAUGGAUUGUAGCAAACCGUGGAUUACCAUAGUUUCUCCUUAUAACAGUUUAUUUGAAAUAUUAAAAGCAUCCAUCGUUUCAAACUUAUACAUUAUCUCUAUAUACACAUUUAGAAAAGUAUGACUAGAGCAUGUGCUUAAAGGAAGUACAUAGACUGUACAUGGCUGAUCUUUAUUUAUGACCCUAAGAUCAAGUAUAGCUGACAACUGUUGAAUUGAUCAUCAUCUUCAGGAAUAGCAGGCUACAAUUACUUUUGGCAUGCAAACUUUGCCAAAAAGAAAAUAGAGUGCAUAUAUUGGCAACAAAAUUUGACACCUCUCGUAUGGGUGAUCAUGUGAUUGAGCAAUGUUGUGUUUUGAAUAUUUUAAUUUGACCGAUUAAUUGAUCCAUGAAGAUGGUGAUCGGCCAGUCAAGGGUUUCGGUCAUCGUCUGGCAACACAUUGACGUGGCGGCCGUCGUCAACGUGUGAUUGGGCCAGAAAUUAGAGCUGCGGUGGGCAAAAAAAAACGAUUGGGCCAGAAAAGCAUGUGCAGAAGCCGAACUACACAUCAGUGUACUUCGCGGGAGCGGCCGCAUCUUUCUUCCCCACCUGCCAAGCCGCGCCGCCAGCGCCAUGGGGGUGAUCACGAGAGCCAAGAAGAGGAGGCUGGAGGAAGAACAAGAGCUCGUCCACCGCAUCAGCCGCCUCCCGGACGGCGUCCUUGGCGACAUCUUUUCCCUCCUCCCCACCAAAGACGGUGCCCGCACGCAGGUCCUCUCCCAAAAUCCCCAAACAACCCUCUCCAAUCUCCCAUGGUGCAGGGCAGCAAGGAGACCGCCGCCAAGUGCGCGAAGCACUCCGGCACUGGCGAGGACCAGCUCGGCGCGCUCUCCGAUGAUGUCUUCGUCCUCAUCCUCCUCCGCCUCCGCACCCCUGAGGACGCCCGGACCAGCGUCCUCUCCCGCCACUGGCAUCGUGUCUGAGCACUCCUCCCGGAGCUCUGCUUCCUCUUCGCCCCAGAUCCCCACCGGAUCUGCGACGUCCUCGAGGCCUACAAGGCGGCCCUCCGGUACCUCGAGACCCGUGACGCGGCCCUCAACUCCGUGGCGACCUGGCUCCAUGCCGCCACGCGCCACCUCUCUGGUCGCCUCUUCUGUUGGACCUCCCAGGACCUCUCAGGUGCACACACGCACCCAAACGCUCAAGCAAAGAAGCAGAGGAAGGAAGAAGAUGAACAGUAGUAUGAACUCAUUGUUGAUGGUGACGAACACCCGCAGCGCACACGCACUGGAGUUUUUCUUGCUGUGUUUACAAACGAGCAGUACAUAAGGUUUUAUAGUUGGGCAGACGUCGGUAGAACGAACUCAACGCUGCCCUUACUCUACCGAUUGAUCCGCAUGCUCCGGCCGUGCGCACAACGCACACCAACACGCUCGAUGCGGCUGCCUCAAGCAGAUCGCAACAGUCCCUACUGCAUGCAGCUCCUCCAUGCUACAUACGCGGCAAGCUGCAGACAGUGGCAACUCGACAGUUGCGGCGCUCACCACCGCGACCGGACGCAGUGAGCUGCUAGAGCCAUCAUCGUCGCCAAGGUCGAUACACUGCUUCUUUGGCCCAAGGGACGACAUCUUCGAUCACCUUUGCUCUUAAUACCACCUGUUGGACCUCCCAGUCGCACACACGCACCCUAAUGCUCAAGAACAGAAGCAGCGGAAGGAAGAAGAUGAACAGUAGCACGAACUCACUAUUGUUGGCGAUGAACGCCGUGUCCUUGCCGCAGUGCCCGUGUUUAAGGUCCACGCAUUUGUGCAAUGUGAACAGGAAUGUCCUAAAGGCCAUACAGUACACAUUUGCACAGUAUAUUCCAUGGAAGAUAGAUAGGAGGCCCCUAAACUUGCAAUGCAAGUGAAGAAAUGAAUAUGGUUCGUUCGUGUUUAUAAGUAGCAAAUGAGCAUCUGACAUCUUGUGGCUUGAAAUUUGGUUGCAUGGAAUAAACUGAAACUUGAAAUUUGGCUUGUAGCAAAUGUCUCAUGCAUCCAAAUAAAACCAUCACUACGGGAGCAAAGUCCUAAAAACACUCAGCAAAUCCUUUACUGAGUGUAACACUCGGCAAACGACAUUCGGUAAAGUUUCCACUGGCAAAGCGUUGUUUGCCGAGUGUCCUCUGAGAUCGUUGGGGGAAAAGAUCAUUGGACAGCUUGCCGAAGUGUCCUCCGAGAAUAAGAAAUGGGCCAAAAUAAAAACUGGGCCACAAACAUGUGCAGAAGCCCAACUUUUUUAAUACAUAUACUUCGUGAGCGCACGCGGCAGGCGCCUGCCCUAUCUCCACUCCACCUGCCGCGCCGCCGCCAUCGCCAUGGGGGUGGUCACGAGAGCCAGGAAGAAGAGGAAGCUGGAAGAAGAACAGGAGUUCGUCGACGACUUUAUCAGCGGCCUCCCCGACGGCGUCCUCGGCGACAUCGUCACGCUCCUCCCCACCAGGGACGGCGCCCGCACGCAGGUCCUCUCCUCCCGGUGGCGGCACAUAUGGCGCUCCGCUCCCCUCAACCUCGACCUCCAAAAGCCAUUGCGGCACACCCCCGCCAGAGACUUCUCCCGCGUCCUCUCCUCGCACCCCGGCCCCGGCCGCCGCUUCACUAUCGACAUGCGCUACGUGCUGAGCAGAGACUCCGCUCCCCUCGAGCUUGAAGCCUGGCUCCGGUGCCCCGCCAUGGACAGCCUCCAGGAGCUCGAGUUCCACCUCGGCCGUCCGUUUGAAUUUCCGCCGCUGCUACCCGCAUCACUACGCCGCUUCUCGUGCACCCUUCGCGUCGCCAGCUUCGGCGCCUGCAGUUUCCCGGACGGGAAUGCCAACGCGCUCCACCUGCCGCUUCUCAACCAGCUGAGCCUUGUGAGUGUCAGAAUCUCAGAGACCUCUCUUCAUGCAUUGCUCGCCGGCUGCUCUGUCCUUGAGAGCUUGCUGCUAGAAGACACCAAUGGCUUCCCUCGAGUCCAGAUCAUGUCCACUAGCCUCAGAAGCAUCGGUGUGUGUUCUCCUUGGGGAGACGACAGGUUGACGCAGCUCAUCAUCGAGGAUGCUCCAUCUCUGGAAAGAUUACUAAUUUUCGGAGGCAGGGAGAUGGACAUCUCGGUAAUAUCUGCGCCAAGGUUGCAUAUUCUGGGGGAACUGCAGGGCAGAGGCCAAAUGCUUCGAUUUGGCGCCACGGCUCUUCAGGUAUUGGGGCAUCAUUAUUCUCACCUUCAUUAUGAUGGAUACAUGUCCUAUAAUUCGCCUGAUCAAGAUGUGUGUAAAUUAUAUGCUUAAUUUCACUCAGGGAUCGACCGUUGCUAGCUUGACGACGGUGGUGCCAAGUGUUAGGGCUCUAGCUUUAUCUCAUAUGACACCUUGUUUGGAUGUGGCUAUUAACUUGAUAAAGUGCUUUCCCCUCUUGGAGAAGUUGCACGUGGAGGUGACUCUCUGAACCAACUAGAGUGUGCAUUUGCGAUUUUUAAUUUUGGCGCUUAUUAGUAUUAUGUCGAAAGCUAGGCUGACCAAUUUUAUGUUGGGUUUGCUUUUCCAGAUAACACACGAUCGGGAGGAAAAUACAUCAUCUGAUAAGUACCAGGAACCUAUCGGUACUCUUGACAUCCGUCUGAGAAAGAUCGUGCUAGCAUACCUUAAUGAUAGGGAGCCGGAUAUUGAAUUUGCCAAGUUCUUUGUAAUGAAUGCAAGCAUGCUGGAGUCAAUGACGCUUGAGUUUAUUGGAAGUGACGCGUGGAUUAGAAGACAACGUAGGCUGCUCCAGGUCGAAAAGAGGGCUUCGAAGGGUGCACGAUUUGAUUUUGUAUCUCGUAAUAGAUCAUUUAGUCUUCCUCGUGCCAAGCAAGUACAUGAAAUGUUAAUACUCGACCCCUUUCAAAGGGUUCGUCGGUAGGUCUGGUAACACCAACGACAGAUAUUUGGUUUCCAUUGCUUGACAUUUGUUAUCUCUUUUCGUGGAAUAUUGUAAUCUGUCAUCCGAUUUGGUUGCUAUAUGUUUUGUUUUUAACGGAGAAGAGCUCUUGAGAUGCCCAUUCUUCUUUUCCACUUGGUCGUCAUUGGGAUGAUUGCAACGACCAAAUAAUAUUAGAGUGAGGUGUUAAAAUUUACUACCUCCGUAUCGAUUUAUUUGACGUUGCCUAGUUCAAAAAUAAACCAAGCAACGUCGAAUUAAUUAUAUGAGUUGGAGGGAGUAUUUUGUACUAUUCAGCUAUCUAUCACUGGUAGAGAACUCGGUAUUAGUUCUGGUUGGUAGGAUGCAAAUCUCCCGAAAAUCCAUCCGGGAUAAACUAACCAGGACAAGGGGGGUGUCUUUUGUCCCGGGUCACUCAACCGGGACUAAAGACCCCUUUUUAUCCCGGUUGGUAAUACCAAUCGGGAUAAAAUAGAUCACCAUGCCAGGCGCUGAAAAAAAAAAGAAAUCACGCCACAAGUUACACGCGAAAUAUGCGUGUGCGCGCUGCGUGGGAUUCGAACCCACAACCUCCAGCCUCGCGCGAAGCUUCCUUGCCAUCCCACCUACACAACACAUCUGACUAUAUAGGGGAUGCAAUCCUUUUGUAUUAACUCGUGGGGGACCCUUUUAUCCCGGUUGGAAACACCAACCGGGAUAAAAGAGGGGUCUUUUAUCCCGGUUGGUAUUACAAACCUAGAUAAAAGGGUUCGAGGGAUUUAGUCCUCUUUCAGCUACCCCGUUGGGGACCCUUUUAUCCUGGUUUGAAACACCAACCGGGAUAAAAGACCCCCCUUUUAUCCCGGUUGGUAUUACAAACCGGGAUAAAAGACCCCCUUCCCCUUUUAUCCCAGUUUGAAACACCAACCAGGAUAAAAGACUCUUUUAUCCCGGUUGGUAUUACAAACCGGGAUAAAAGAGUCUUUUAUCCCGGUUGGUAUUACAAACCGGGAUAAAAGCUCUCGACCCUUUUAUCCCGGUUGGUGUUACCAACCGGGAUAAAAGGGCGAGUCUUUUAUCCCAGUUGGUGUUUCAAACUGGGAUAAAAGGCCUCUCAGGGUCUUUUUUUUCCACUAGCCUUUGCAACCGGGAUAAAAGGUCGCGGUUGGUGAGCCCCCCACCAAUGACCGAGCUUUAGUCCCGGUUGGUGAACCUUUUAUCCCGGGCCAACUUUAAACCGGGACAAAAUGGGGCGCAUGGAAGGUGAGUUCUCUACUAGUGUAUGAAUUGUAGCAAACCAUGGAUUACCAUAGUUUUUCCGGUUUACGUAUAACAGUUUAUUUGAAAUAUUAAAAGCAUACAUCGUUUCAAACUUAUACAUUAUCUCUAUACAUUUAGAAAAGUAUGACUAGAGCAUGCUUAAAGGAAGUACAUAGACUGUUCAUGGCUGAUAUUUAUUUAUCACCGUAAGAUCAAGUAUAGCUGAUAACUGUUGAAUUGAUCAUCAUCUUCAGGAAUAGCAGGCUACAAUUACUUUUGGCAUGCAAACUUUGCCAAAAAGAAAAUAGAGUGCAUAUAUUGGCAACAAAAUUUGACACCUCUCGUAUGGGUGAUCAUGUGAUUGAGCAAUGUUGUGUUUUGAAUAUUUAAUUUGACCGAUUAAUUGAUCCAUGAAGAUGGUGAUCGGCCAGUCAAGGGUUUCGGUCAUCGUCUGGCAACACAUUGAGGGAACUAUAUCAGAGCAUGCAGCAAUAUAUGGUGCUAGUAUAGUUCUAAUUGCGAAUGAAAAGAGAGAGCGCUAAGGCGGCCCCCCGCCAGUGACCACCCGGUCCCGGCGUCCACCCCUCCCGACGGUGAGCUUCCCCUCCCCCUCCCCUGCUCGUCUCCAUGGAUAUAUCCAAUGUGGAUCUCCGUCCAGGGCUCUCUUUCUCCAACAAGGUACGGUCCCUCUUGGGAGCUCGGGUUUCUGCUCGCUCUUCCUCUGCUUCUUCGUGCUUCUGGCUCUUGGCUUCCUUCUCUCGAUCAAAGAUCAAGCUUUCUGAAAGUAAUGUGGCCUUUCUUCUCCAAUCGGUUCUUGGAGGAUCCUCGGAUCUCUUCCAAGUUUCUGAGGUGGAUGCUUGGAUCUUCAAGUUCUGCGUCUCCUGCAAAGAAGUUGGGCUUCUCAUUUAUCAGAUGGGUUCUUCUCAAUGUGAUUUUUUCAAAGUGGAUUUCAACCUGUUCAAUGAUCGAGGUUUGCACUUCGCCAAAUUGGUUAUAGCCAAUGCUCAAGGAGCUCACUUUCCAUGGAUUUCGGUUUCUUCGAGGAAGUCUCCUGUGCUUUUAACUGGGGCCAACUCUCUGCCUCUUGGUCGAUCCAAGUUUCGCCGCUGCUCAUCACCCUUACAGAAGCUUCAUGAUGGUUGUUCUUCAGUCGUGGAUGUCUCUGAUAAUCGUCGAACCCGGAGCAAGGUUCUUGAUGGGCGUGCCCGGACUCAUGAACAGAGAACACAGAAAUUUCAAAUUUCAAAUCAGACCUCUCGUGGCAUUAAUUUGGACCUUAAUCUAGGCGCAAUGAGUCAGUCUUUUAAGUCUGUCUUAAUGGAUAAGCCGGGUUUCCCGAAAUUGGUUCCAUCGGUUCAAAGUUGGGGAGUGAAGCUGGGCCGGAACCAGUGCUCCAGAUGUCUCUCUCACGCCCACUCCAGAGGCUCCUGCUUGAGGCCCAUUCGCUGCGGAUCUUGUUUCCGUCUGGGCCACUUUGCGGCAUCUUGCAGAUUCCACCCACGCUUCCCUGGGCUCUCCAAAGAUACAGCCUCUUUCCAACCACCAUGCCUGGAUAACUGGUCUUCCUUUCCGGUGCACACCUGGUUCCAGAAUUCAACCCCUAUGACUGGUGGGUCCUCUAAUGCCCAGGAGGUGGCAGUUGGCACUUUUCAAGAUUUGGGUCUUUCUCUGUUGAGUCUACCGGCAGCUGCUCCUAAGGAAACUAUUUUUUGGAAACGUCCCUUCAGUGUCGCGGUUCCAGAGGGAGUCCCUUCGUCUUCCUCCCCGGCCUCGGAGCCCACGCAAAAAGCUCCGCCGCCUCCGCCGUCUUUUGUAAACAGUGCACCCUCCUCCAGCCAUUCCCCCCAGCCUCACCUCCAAAGCUUCUCCGAAGAGAACCCCUCGUCUUCCUUUGGACCAUCGCUUGAGCUGGCCGACCUUCAAGAAGCCUUCAUGGCCUACAGGUUCGUUAAUCCCGCACCCUUCAUGCCAAGGGGAUGUCAGCGUCAGAUUGUGGGCUUCCGUAAGCCAAUGUCUAGGGUGGUUCUCGGUGGAGCGAGGCGGAAUCAAAGUGAUGUAGCCAUUGCAAAGAUUGAACCUCUCCCACAGCUACAGGUAUCUUUUCAGUCCAUACGGGAGCUUCUUGAUGAUUUUCUGCGAAAUCAUAAGGGGCUUACUAUUCAUUCCAUUCAACCCUGCCCGUAUGGUCAAGCGUAUGUUCGAUUCCACUUUGUGCAUGAAAAGGAUUUUCUUAUUGGGGGCGGUCAACAUCAGUAUGGGCAAUACAGAAUAACCUUUUCUGAUCAUAAUCGGGGUUGGAAUAACAGACUCACCACCAUGAACUGUGAGGCUUGGGUUAUGCUUCUAGGCCUCAAUAUCGAUUACUGGACAAAAUCUGACAUUGAAAAAGCAGUGGCAGUCUUUGGAAGAUUGUUAGUUUGGGAGGAGGACCCGAAUAACCUGGCCCGGGUCAUUGUUAAAGUCCGAGUAGUGGAUUUAACUGAGAUCCCCUGGUUCCUGGUCUGCUCAGAAGGAGAGGAUUUUGAAGGUAAUUCAUGGACGGUGCAAUGUGAAAUUUUACAAUACAGGUUAUUGGGAGUGGGACCUGAAGAUGAGAACCAACCCCCUGAUGAAGUUGAUCCGCUCUUGUUCGACUUCUUUGGAUAUGGCCAACCAUCCAAUGCUGGGAACCAUAAUGUACCCGGUGCAAUGCCUGUGCAAGCCCCGGCUCAACAAUGGGGUCUCUGGCCUGAGGGGCCUCAAGGACAAAAUGAUGCCCCGUUCAUUGGGCCCCAGCUGCCACCAGAUGUGCCUAUUGUGCAAGGUCUCCCAGCCAAUCAGGAACAACAAGUCCCACCCCAGGAAGAUAAUCUUGAUGCUUUGGUUCAGGAGGUUCACCCUAAUGGUCUUCAAUUUGAUUUAAAUAUGGCACUGGAUGAUGACCUAGGUGGCAUUGACAAUCUAAUUCAAGCAGCAGCUAAUCAGGGUGCUGAUGAUCACAUGGAGGAUAACAUGCAGAUUAUUGAUGGAACUGACUCCUCAGGGAGUGAAGGCCACCCUCCACAUAAUUUUAAUAUUGAACCCCCUCAAGUUGAUGUUUUCAUCCCCCAAGAUAAUGGUCAGCCACUGCACAUGGUUCAGGAGGAAAUUAAUGAGAACGAGCUCCUGGAUGGUAAUCAAGAUCAAGAUCAAGCCCUGGACCAGGGGCCUCAAAACUUUAACAUGCAGCUGGGCUUUGUCCAAACUCUUGGGCCUUGUCGAGAUCCUGUCUUCUCCCAGUUCCAGAAUGCUAAACAGCUUCAAACCACUCAAACACCUGCAGACCUCUACAAUCUCUGGGCGAAAUACCUUCCACCAGGCAAGACAGACUCCCAGGUGAAUGUCCCCCUGUCUUGGUCUCACUUUUUUAUGGCCCAACUCCUGAAUCCCAUGAGCUUUGCCUGGGCCAAAAGCUUCUUGUCUUCACCAGCUAUGUCUUUCCUUUACUCUGAGCCGGCUUUAAAAGUCAGCCUACCUAAUGUAUGUCCAAAUGAGAUGUCUCCUGACUGUCCUUCCAAGGAUUCUUCUAAUCAGAAUAUGGGGUUCAAAUCCAAGGGCAUUAUUUUUGAAGGAAAUCUGCAUAGUGACAUUGCCAGCUCCUCAACCAUCCCUUUCGCUCCUGAUGUCUUGGAACAAAACUCUCCUGACCAUGAUGUUUUCAGCCAUGAGCCCACAAAGUCACCUUCCACACCUCUAGAAAAGAUCAUUCAAAAGGUCUCUGCUACCUCUGGUCCUUGGUCCAAGGCCCUGCUCAAGAAGGCACAUCACAUGAAUGAUCUAGACAAUAUUGACUUGGGCUGCACAGUUAAUGAUGAGGAGCUUCGUAGGAGUAGUAGGAACUCCAGUCACAACCAGGGAUACAAAAGCUCUAGCUGUAAAAACAAAAACUGCAUUGGUUGUUCAGCAGCCCCUCCUGCCUUAUCAAGGGAAACUAUCAGAAACCUGGGUGAAUCAUUCUGUAAGGUGGAAGCCUCCAAGCUAACAUCUGAUGUUCUGGUCAAGAAGAAGGGCACAGCUCCGGUUGCAAGGAAGCUAGUCAAGAAGAAGUCUGCUGCAGAUGCUGAAGAUGCACAGGAGCCCCCAAGAAGUAACAAGAAGAAGCCUAAGAAGCAGUAAUUCUGGAGGGAAUCGGUGGCAUCCUUCUCUGCACCUGACCUGUUUUGCCAGAAACUUUAUUUUGUUAUAUGUCUCUCUUAUUUUGGUUAUGUUUGAUGUCUGUGACUGCACCCAGAUAUUUUGCCUACCUCGGUUUAUUCAGAAUUGGUUCAGGCAUUGUCUGCUUGAUGCACGGCAGCCCCCCUUACAUAAUCUUUUAUGAAUCACUCUGUGAAAACAAGAGUUUGGAAUGUUAUGUGUUGGAAUGUCAGGGGUAUUAAUUCUGACAAGAAAUGGUUUUCAAUUAGAGACAAAAUAAUUGACAGCAACUGUGAUGUCAUAUGCCUGCAAGAAACUAAGAGAGAACAUCUUGAUAGCAACUAUAUUAGAAAAUUCUGCCCCCGUGCCUUUGAUAAAUUUGAAUACCGGCCCUCUGUGGGUGCUUCAGGAGGCAUUGCAAUCAUAUGGAAAUCAAGACUUUUCGAUGGGGAAUUGGUUUUUACUAAUGAGUAUGCAUUAUCAGUGAAAUUUUUAUCCACAAUGUCUGAUAAUGAAUGGAUUCUCACAAAUGUCUACGGCCCUUGUUUGUUGGAAAGGAAGCAAGACUUCAUUAACUGGCUUAAACACGUACAGAUGCCUGAUGAUAUUGACUGGUUGAUCUUAGGAGACUUUAAUCUAAUGAGAAGCCCAACAGAUAGAAAUAAACCAGGAGGCAAUGUUACAGACAUGCUCUUAUUCAAUGAAGCUAUUAGUUGUCUUGGCCUUAUUGAGAUUCCACUCAAGUCAAAAAAAUUCACUUGGUCAAACAAGCAACAAUCACCCCUGCUGGAAAGACUAGAUUGGUUUUUUGUCACCCCUUCCUGGGCUUCCUCAUACCCAAAUACCUUUGCCUACCCUCUUGUGAUGGAAACUUCAGACCACACGCCAUGCAUCAUAACCUUUGGUACAGAUAUUCCGAAAGGAAAAGUUUUUCGUUUUGAGAACCACUGGCUACAACAUGAUCAGAUUAUGGAUAUUAUCAAACACGGAUGGUCGGUCCCUAUACAGGAAACAGAUAAAGCUAAGGUUAUUACCGCCAAGUUCAAAAACCUCAGAAGGGUGCUCAAAGCAUGGCAAGCUCAGUUAUCCAGUCUGAAAACAGUCAUCUCCAAUGUGAAACUCACUCUAUCCUUCUUGGAACGAAUAGAGGAGUGUAGAGACCUGCUCCUAAUUGAAUGGAAUUUCAAAGAUAUUUUACAGCAGCACUUACAAUCCCUCCUAAAACAGCAAAACACAUACUGAAAACAACGUGGAGUUCUUAAGUGGGUAAAAUUUGGAGAUGAAUCUACAAAGUUUUUUCAUGUCAAUGCAACAAUUAAGCAUAAAAAGAACUUUAUUAGAUCCAUUGAAGACUCUGAUGGUAUCCCCCAAACCAGCCACAGGCAUAAGGUAUCAAUUCUCUGGGCGGCCUACAAGGAAAGAUUGGGGUCUUCCAAUCCUCAACCAAUGGAGUUUGAUCUAUCUCAGCUAAUGCACAUAGAUGAUAAUUUAUCCAGCCUGGAAGCACCUUUCUCCACAGAGGAAAUUGAUGCAGUCAUCACCUCUCUGCCAGGUGACAAGUCCCCAGGACCUGAUGGUUUCAACACUGAUUUUAUCAAAAAGGCAUGGCCUAUCAUUAAGCAAGACUUCUAUGCUCUCUGCCAAUCCUUCCAUGAAACAAAUCUAUACCUGCAAAGUAUCAAUGGCUCAUACAUUACUUUAAUUGCCAAAGUAGAGGGAGCUGCCACUGUGUCAGACUACAGGCCCAUAUCUCUGCUAAAUAACUCAGUCAAGUUGAUCACCAAAUUACUUGCAAACAGACUACAAGGGGUCAUAACAAGGCUAGUGCACACCAAUCAAUAUGGAUUUAUCAAAACAAGAACCAUACAGGAUUGCCUUGCCUGGGCUUUUGAAUAUAUCCACUUAUGCCAUAAGUCAAAAAAAGAAAUUGUCAUUCUGAAAUUAGACUUUGAGAAAGCUUUUGACCGCAUUGAGCAUAAUGCAAUGCUGGACAUUAUGAAGCAUAAAGGUUUUGGAUCACGAUGGAUCGCAUGGAUGCAACAAAUCUUUGCUUCAGGGACCUCCUCUAUUUUACUGAAUGGAGUUCCAGGAAAAAGAUUUUCCUGCAAAAGAGGAGUUAGGCAAGGUGACCCUCUAUCCCCUCUCCUUUUUGUUCUUGGGGCAGAUCUGUUACAGUCGAUUCUCAACAAUGCGAAGGAACAGGGACAUCUCCAUUUACCAAUUCAAUUUAAUCAUAAUCAGGACUUUCCAAUCAUACAAUAUGCUGAUGACACUCUUAUCAUCAUGGAAGGAUGCCCUUUGCAACUGCUUCACCUGAAAAACCUUUUACAGUCCUUUGCUACCUCAACUGGGCUUAAGGUAAACUUCAACAAAUCCAUGAUGGUGCCAAUCAACAUCUCAGAGGAAAGGAUACAACAGUUAGCUCAGAUCCUUGAUUGCACAGUAGGGAAAAUGCCCUUCACAUACUUAGGACUACCACUGGGUUUGACAAAGCCAAAAUUUGAGGAAUUUCUCCCUAUGGUGAGUCGAUGUGAAAUAAGAUUACUGUCUACUUCAAAUCUCCUCUCUGAAGCGGGGAGAUUACAGCUAACCAACUCAAUUUUCUCUGCCUUGCCGAUGUUUCAUAUGAGUACCCUGCUGCUACCUAAAUCAGUCUAUAAACAAGUGGAUAAGUAUAGAAAACACUGCUUUUGGAGAGGCUCGGAUAUCAACAACAGGAAACCACCUAAAGCUGCAUGGGACAUGGUAACUUUACCAAAAAAGGAAGGUGGACUAGGGGUCCUGAAUCUACAGACACAGAAUGAGGCUCUGUUACUCAAAUUCUUGCAUAAAUUUUACAAUAAAGAAGAUAUCCCGUGGGUUCAUCUAAUAUGGGAAAAAUACUAUGGAAAUGGUAAACUGCCAGGCGCUGCUUCUAAAGGAUCCUUUUGGUGGCGGGAUAUCAUCAAACUCUUGGACAAAUUCAAAGGUUUAGCCUCAGUGUCUGUGAAGGACGGCAGUACAUGUCUUUUAUGGCAUGAUCUAUGGAAUAAUAAGGUGCCAGCACAAGUGUAUCCUCACCUAUUCUCCUUUACUCGGGACAAAUGCCUAUCUCUGAAGAGAGCUUAUUCGAUCACAGACUUACAACAUCUCUUCUUUCUGCCCUUGACACCACAAGCCUAUGAUCAAUUGAUUAAUCUGGCUGAAGACCUAGAAAGCCUAGAGCUCUCGCCUGAUUCAGACUAUUGGACAUACAUCUGAGGUAAUGCUCUUUUCUCUUCAUCAAAGGCAUAUAAGGCUCUCAUUGGGCAUAGAAGCACCCACCCAGUUUUUAAUUGGCUAUGGAAAUCCCGGUGUCAAAAGAAACACAAAGUCUUCUUUUGGUUGGUUUUGAAAGAUAGACUUAGUACACGGGAUAUCAUGCGGCGCAAACAUAUGGUUAUGCCUUCUUACAAUUGUGUCCUGUGCUCUCACAACAAAACUGAGACUCUGUUUCAUCUCCUGCUUGAAUGCCCCUUUGCUCAAGAAUGUUGGAUCCAUCUAGGCAUUUUCGCCGACUUACAACUAGACCCUUAUUCCAUUUUGACCUCCUUCAAAAUGCAGCUUCAGGUUCCUUUCUUCAUGGAAAUAAUCAUAAUUAUGAGCUGGUGCAUAUGGAUGACAAGAAAUAAUUUAAUCUUCAGAGGUAUACCACCGACAAUGCAAGGGGCCAUCUUGAGGUUUAAAUCUACUUAUUCAUUAGUCCUACAUAGAGUUAAAGAGGCCUCCAAACAAUCAAUGGUUGAAUGGCUAGAGCUUAUGUUGUAAUCCUCAUGAUUUUCUUUUUAUCUUUUUUUGUUUCUUAGAUUCGAACUGGUUUGCUCUUUGUAAUCCUUCUACUUCUUUUCUCUUUAAGUAAUAUAUAACCAGCAGGGCUAAAGCCCUCCUGUUUCCAUCAAAAAAACACAUUGACAUGGCGGCCGUCGUCAACGUGUGAUUGGGCCAGAAAUUAGAGCUGCGGUGGGCAAAAAAAAAUGAUUGGGCCAGAAAAGCAUUCGCAGAAGCCGAACUACAUCAGUGUACUUCGCGGGAGCGGCCGUCUUUCUUCCCCACCUGCCAAGCCGCGCCGCCAGCGCCAUGGGGGUGACCACGAGAGCCAAGAAGAGGAGGCUGGAGGAAGAACAAGAGCUCAUCCACCGCAUCAGCCGCCUCCCGGACGGCGUCCUUGGCAACAUCUUUUCCCUCCUCCCCACCAAAGACGGUGCCCGCACGCAGGUCCUCUCCUCCCGGUGGCGCCACAGCUGGCGCUCCGCUCCCCUCAACGUCGGCGUUGUCAUCUACGAGGACGACCCAACAAUUCCUCUCGACGGCAUCUCCCGCAUCCUCUCCUUGCACCCAGGUCCCGGCCGCCGCUUCUCUAUCCGCUCCGACAGCUGGGCCAUGGCAUGGCUGGCUCCGGUUUCCCUACGUCAACAACAUCCAGGAGCUCGAGAUCCACUUCCACUGUUGGAAUUAGAGGCAUUUUGCGAUUAAUUUUAAUCCGAAAUAUAGAAAAAUAUGACAGUAAGGAUAGCAUAAAUAGGAACUUGAUCUAUUGUAUUUGCAAUGAACAUAAAGCAUGCAAUAGAUACUAUGAAACGCAAGAACUGAACCAGGACGUUCAUAAGGGAGUACCCUGAGGCGGGGCUAGUUCCGGAGAAAUCAGAUACGCCAUUACCCAACAUCAUUAGUUGAGUUUGUUCGAAGUAGGUGAUUAGAGGUUGAUGCUGUGCAGGUGAACGCAGUGCAUUUGCGCCUUCAGGAAGUAAAUGUGCACAGCAAGCAGUCGCGCAGAUGCGCUCCCCAAAAGCUUGAUCACCCUAAUACUCCUCGGGUGCAGAGUCUCUGGCAAAGGGCGCAGCUUCGAAGGUCUUCUCUUCCAGCGAAAUCCGUGCACACAGAUCACCGGAACGGAGACAGCAAAAAUGUAGCGCAACAAUGGAGGAAAGCUCUGGUGGUUUGUGUUUUCGUGUACGAAAGAAGGAGAAGUAGCACCUCUCUUGUAGGCACCAGAAGAGCCUUGGAUGCCCAGGUUAAUGCAGCAAUCAAAUGGUCAGUUUCUAGUAACUGCCAGCCAUUAGCAGUCGUCAGUUACUAGUCAUUUGUUAUCAACUAUUCAAUCAUCAAUUACUAGUCACUAAAUGUGUGUCCGUUACUUUUCAUCAACUAUGAUCAAAAAUUGCAAAACCUGACCAAGCCCACACAUCACAUCAUGUCCAGUCAUGUCACGUCGCGUCUCGGCUCGGCUCGGCACGGCACGGCUUGGUGAUGAGAGCGAGCGCGCGCGUGUGUGGCAUCCUGCUAUCCCUCCCUCAACUUGUCAACAUGUGCAACACGGCUCCACCUUAUAGGUUGGUUAUAGAUCCUCUCAACUUCCAAGUUGGUUUUAUUCUAUUUGUAACUACCACCACUAAUGGGCCUUGGGAUAUAUUUGAUCAAUUAAAUAAUGGGCCAAAAACCCAAUUAUGCUAACAAUCCCCACCAAAUUCCAAGGCUCAUUUGGGAAUUUGCUCCAUUGCUGUUGGAUAUACCAGUGUUUCGAUGGAGACAUGAAUAAGGUUGAACAUCCACCUAGAACAUAAGCUACAUUUAUCCACAACUGAACAAUGGACUAUACCUUGAAUUGUCAGUUUUGUGCAAGCAAGUUUCACUUAAGUCCUUUACCGAUACUAGGCUGCAAAAUGCAUCUCCUCUUGUUGAAGCAUGUAAGUCUUACUUUUGGGCCUUUCAUGAGUCUCUAGAGAUUACCCAAUCUCAUAGACUGUGACUAACAAUCAAACUCAUAUAGGUGUGUUCCUCUAAAGAUGUUUCUGCAGAUUAACAUCUUUGCUUAGGCCACUCGGAUCAUAUUAAGGUGUUUACCAACCUGCCAUGCAAAUUUAGAUAAGAUUGCAUCUCCAACGGAGUGGGUUCCUACAAUAGUACUCCCCUUCUCAGUUAGUCAAAUAGCUUGUUUCACCAUUCUAGUUCACAGGAUCUCCGAUCAAAUAGAAUAGGUUACCACUAUGACUUAACUCUCAUGUGGGUCUCAUUCCCAUCUCCCUCGAUGCCUCGUCUAUCACAUUUUGUGAAAGACCUUUCGUGAAUUGAUCUACCAGAUUUUUAGCUGUUUGGACAUAGUCCAGUGCUACCACUCCGGAGUUUCUCAUCUUUCUGACAGACUUCAGCCGCCUCUUCACAUGUCUUGAUGACUUCAUAUUAUCCUUAGAACUGUUCACCUUGGCAAUCACUAUUUGAUUAUCACAGUUCAUUAGAAUAGCUGGUAUCAGUUUCCCAACCACUGGCAAAUCCGACAAAAGAUCACGAAGCCAUUCAGCCUCAACUGUGGUGGUAUCCAGUGCUAUGAGUUAUGCUUCCAUUGUUGACCUCGUUAAGAUGGUUUGCUUGCAAGACUUCCAAGAAACAGCACCACCUCCAAGCAUGAACACAUAUCCACUUGUGGCUUUUAUCUCAUCAGCAUCUAAUAUCCAGUUUGAGUCACUAUAGCCUUCCAGUACCCUAGGAUACCCAGCAUAAUGAAUUCCAUAACUCGUUGUGCCUAUUAGAUAGCGCAUUACUCUCUCAAGAGCAUGGCAGUGAUCAUCUCCAGGAUUUGAGACAAAUCUGCUGAGUUUGCUCACAGCAAAUGAGAUGGCAGGCCUCAUAGCGCUAGCUAGAUACAUUAGCGAGCCAAUGAUUUGAAAAUAUCUCAAUUGAUCCCUUGCGAUUCUACGGUUUUUCCGCAAUAUCACACUGGAAUUGUAAGGCGUGGGAGCAGGCUUGCAGUCACUAUAACCAAAGCAACUCAAGAUCUUCUCCACAUAAUGGGAUUGCAAAAGUGUAAUCCCACCAUUACCUUCUCUCAGGUUCAAAAUUAGAUCAGCCACUCCCAUAUCUUUCAUCUCAAAACUUUGAGACAAAAAUCUCUUAACCUCCUCAAUCACAUUGAGAUUGGUAUCAAAGAUCAAUAUGUCAUCAAUAUACAAACACAAGAUCACUCCUUUUCCCCCACCAAAAUGGUAGAUACGCACUUGUCGGCUUCAUUCACAACAAAGCCGGCUGACUUGAGAGUCUUGUCAAACUUCUCAUGCCAUUGCUUAGGAGCCUGUUUCAGUCCAUACAAAGAUUUUAACAACUUGUGCACCUUUCCUUCAUGACCUUCUACUACAUAACCAUCAGGCUGAUCCAUAUAAAUUUCCUCAUCUAACUCUCCAUUAAGGAAGGCUGUCUUAACAUCCAUCUGAUGGAUGAGAAGCCCUUGUGAGGUAGCUAAGGAUAGUAGUACUCGAAUCGUGGUCAAUCUAGCAAGUGGUGAGUAAGUAUCAAAAUAAUCUUCGCCUUCUUUCUGGGUGUAACGCUUGGCCACAAGUCUUGUCUUGUACUUUUCAAUAGUACCAUCAGGUCUAAACUUUUUCUUAAACACCCACUUACAUCCUACAGGUUUGCACCCGUAUGGACGAUCAACAAGCUCCCAAGUCCCAUUAGAUAUUAUGGAAUCCAUCUCACUUUUGAUUGCUUCCUUCCAAUAGUCAGCAUCAGGAGAUCCAUAAGCCUCAGCAAUAGUUCUAGGAGUGUCAUCUGCAAGGUACACAACGUAGUAUCACCAAAAGAAUUUGCAGUCCUUCAUCUUUUACUCUUUCGAGUCCUUUCAUUGUCAUCCUUCUCAUGAUUCUCCUCAAGUGGUUGUUCAAAGUGUACUACUGUAUCAUUACAUUCAGGGGAAUUAACAGAUUCAUAACUAGAGUUGCUAGAUGUUUCAUUCAUAGGAAAAAUAUUCUCAAAAAAUGUGGCAUCUCUGGACUCCAUGAUUGUACCAACAUGCAUGUCCGGUACUCUAGAUUUAAUUAUCAAGAAUCUAUAUCCAAUACUAUGAAAACCAAAGCCUAGAAAGACACAAUCAACUGUUUUCGGUUCGAGCUUGUGCUUCUUAGCAAUUGGUGCAUUAACCUUUGCCAAGCAACCCCAAGUACGCAAGUAUGAGAGUGUUAGUCUUUUAUUUUUCCAUUCCUUGAAUGGUGUUUUCUCUUUGUUUUUCAUAGGAACUCUGUUAAGAGUAUGACAGGCAGUCAACAUGGCUUCACCCCAUCAUUCCCAAGAAAGUCUAGCUGCUUCUAACAUGGUGUUAACCAUCUCAGUUAGAGUACGGUUCUUCCUUUCAGCCACUCCAUUUGACUCAGGAGAAUAAGGUGGUGUUUUUUCAUGAAUAAUGCCAUGUUCCUCACAGAACAAAUUGAACUCAUUUGAAAAGUACUCUCCACCUCGAUCCGAUCUAACACGUUUUAUCUUCCUCUCAAGUUGAUUUUCAACUCCAGCCUUAUAGAUCUUGAAAAACUUAAAUGCCUCAUCUUUCGAUUUAAGCAAAUACACAUAGCAAUAUCUAGUAGAAUCAUCUAUCAAAGUCAUGAAAUAUCUCUUUUCACCUUUAGUCAACACACUAUUUAUUUCGCUGAAGUCCGAAUGAAUUAAUUCUAAUGGUAACAAAGUCCUCACCUCAGCAUCCUUGUGAGGCUUGCAGGGUUGCUUAGAUUGCACACACACUUGACAUUUAGUAAUUUUUACCAAAGUGAAUUUCGAAAUUAAACUCAAAUUAGCUAGCCACAACAUACAAUCAAAAUUAACAUGACAAAAUCGUGAAUGCCAAACAUUUGACUCAUCGUCAUUACAUACAUGAUUCACAAAUUUAUUACAAGAGUCUGAUAAUGAUAAAUGGAACAAACCAUCACAAUCAUAUCCUUUACCAACAAAGGAGCCAACCUUAGAAACAACACAUUUGUUCAAUUCAAACACCAACUUAAAAUCAUCCUUACAAAGAAGGGAUCCGCUAACAAGAUUUUAAUUUAUUGAGGUGACAUGCUGCACAUUCUUCAGCCGCACGGUCUUUCCCGAAGUAAACUUCAGAUCGACCAUACCAAUACCACGAACAGCAACACGUGAGUUGUUCCCUAUCAACACAGAUCCAAUCCCUGUGACCUGGUAAGAGGAAAACAAAGAAAUAUCAGCACACACAUGUAUAUUAGCACCGGUGUCAAUCCACCAAUUUGGUAAAUGACUAACUGAAAGAACAAAAGUACGAUUACCAUACCCUGAUGUUCCCUUCUCAGCAUCACUAAUAACAAUAUUAGCAAACUUCUUCUGCCCGUGUUGUUGCUUGUCCUUGCGGUCCUUGCAGUCCUUGGCCCAAUGGUCAGAACCAUCGCACACAAAGCACUUUCCCUUGUUGUUCUUCUUUUUCUUAAAGUUGGUAGUCUGAGUAGACUUGUGUUGAGACUCAAUUUUCGCUUUUCCCUUAUUCUUGUGGGAUUGGAAGUACCUUUUCUGCACCAUAUGAGCGAUAGAACCUCCCUCAUUGCUACGCGCACGUGAAUCCUUUGCUCUCGCCUUUUCUUCAACAUCAAGAGUGCCGAUAAGACCGGCUAUGGUGAACUCAUGUCUCUUAUGUUUCAGAGUAGUAGCAAAGUUCCUCCAUGAAGGAGGCAAUUUGACAAUGAUACCACCGGCCAUAAAUUUAUCCAGCAUCUCACACCUAACAUUCACAAGAUCCUUUGCAAGAGCUUGUAACUCAUGAGCCUGUUCAACUACAGAACUGUCAUCAACCAUCUUGUAGUCGUAGAACUGCUCUAUGAUGUACAACUCGCUCCCUGCAUCGGAUACCCCAAAAUUUGCCUGGAGUGCAUCCCACAUUGCCUUGCCAGAGGGAAGCUACAUAUAUGAAUCGAUCAAGUUCUUAGCAAGAACACUGAUCCUAGCCCCUUUGAACAAAUUGUUGUCAGUAGACAUGUAUACACUAUCCUCCGUGGAGGUGUGCGGUCCCACAGGACGCUCAUGGGUAAUGAACAACACGUUCAUAGCCGUGAGCCACAACUCAAGUCUGCCAACCCAUCUCUUGUAAUUCGUUCCAUCAAAUACAUUCGGUUUCAAUUGCGCAGCAAAGCCGACUACCGAAAAAGCCCUAUCAAGUUUUUGGAUUGUUGGAAUUAGAGGCAUUUUGCGGUUAGUUUUAAUCUGAAAUAUAGAAUAAAACAUGACAGUAAAGAUAGCAUAAAUAGGAACUUGAUCUAUUGUAUUUGCAAUGAACAUAAAGCAUGCAAUAGAUACUAUGAAACGCAAGAACUGAACCAGGACGUUCAUAAGGGAGUACCCUGAGGCGGGGUUAGUUCUGGAGGAACCAGAUGCACCAUUACCCAACAUCGUUAGUUGAGCUUGUUUGAAGUAGUUGAUCAGAGGUUGAUGCCGUGCAGGUGAUCGCAGUGCAGUUGCACCUUUAGGAAGUAGAUGUGCACAGCGAGCAUACGCGCAGAUGCGCUUGCUAAAAACUUGAUCGCCCUUCUACUCCUCGGGUGCAGAGUCUCUGGCAAAGGGCGCAGCUUCGGAGGCCUGCAAAAAUGCAGCGUAGUAGUGGGGGAAAGCUCUGGUGGUUUGUAUGUUCGUGUACGAAAGAAUGAGAGGUAGCACCUCUUUUGUAGGCACCAAAAGACCCUUGGAUGCCCAGGUUAAUGCAACAAUCAUAUGGUCAGUUUGUGGUAACUGCCAGCAAUUAGCAGUCGUCAGUUACUGGUCAUUUGUUAUCAACUAUUCAAUCAUCAGUUACUAGUCAUGAACCCCACACAUCACAUCACAUCCGGUCGCGUCGUGGCUCAGCGAGGUGUGGCCAUGACCUGCUGCUCCUGGGGUCGCUGCUGCUGCCGGCGUCGCUGCACCGCUUCUCGUCCACCCUCGCUGCCGCCAGCUUCGACACCUGCGUCUUCCCGUCGGAUUGUGGAAACAUUGCCAUGCCGCUUCUCAAGCAGCUGACCCUUCUCCAUGUCAUGAUCUCGGAGACCUCCCUGCAUGCCUGGCUCGCCGGCUGCCCUGUCCUGGAGAGCUUGCUGCUGCUUGACAACGAAGGCUGCCCUCGAGUAAAGAUCAUCACGUCCCUUAGCCUCAGGAGCGUCGGUGUGGGUUCUAGAUGGAGAGAGGGAGGCCUCCGGUUCGAACAGCUCGACGUCGAGGAUGCCUCAUGCCUGGGAAGAUUGUGCAUUCCUAUUAUUUUGCCACUUACGACUGUUAUACUAUAUCUAUGGUUGUUCUAGAGCUAGCUAGGUUGACCAUGCAAUGCAUUGGCUGAUUCACACCAUUUUCAUGCUUGCUUUGCUUUUUCAGACAACACAUACAUGUUGGGGAGGAAAAUGAACCAUAUGAUGAAUAUUGGAAACUUACUGAUGAUGGUACCCUUAACACAUUCGGCUGAGAAAAAUUGUGCUACCAUACUAUCAGGACAGCAACUUGCAUGUUAACUUCGCCAAGUUCUUUGUGAGAAAUGCGGGCGUGCUGGAGUCGAUGAGGUUUGAUUUUGUAUCUCAUGUUGGGUCAUUUAGUCUUCUGCCUGAGGAGCAAGUGCAUGAUCUGUCAAUACUGGACCCCUUUCAAAGGACUCCUUAGUAGGCCUGAUAACACCAAUCAGAGACAUUUUGGUCAGUUUUUCAGACAAGGUUUAGUCAGUUUUCAGUACCUUGACAUUUGUUAUCUCUUUUAUUUCUCGGAAUAUAUACUUAAUUUGUCAUCUGAUUUGGUGAUAUUUUUCGUUUUAAACGGAGAGGAGCUCUUGAGAUGCCCAUUGUUCUUUUCCACCUGGUUGUCAUUGGAAUGAUUGCAACUUGUACGCUGUAUAGUCCAUUCAGUUUUCUUGAAUCACAAUUGCCAAUGUUCAGUCCAGCAAUGUUCAGAAUUCAGAGCUUGUUUGUUCUUGAGGAAUCUGCUUCCAGGUAUACACUGAAAAAUGAAGUUAUGUCUUGCUUUCACGUCGACUGUGAUAUGAGCAGAAGCAGAACAGGUGGAAUGGCAUAUUCCCGUAUUCCUUAUUUCAGAACAACUGCAAUGUUGCAAUCCCUUGGUCUCAAAACUUUUUUUUCUAGAAUACGCAGGAGAGCUGCGUAUCUUUGUAUUAAGAAGAAAGAUCGUUUGAAACGUUACAAUGCGGGCCAACCGGGCAGACGCACACGGUCUGAACAACACUAUUGUAUGGGUAGAAAACAUACUGCAAUCUGAUAGUUUCCUAGUCUCCUCUCUUUAAUGCCAUUCAACAGGAUCAUUUAACCUUACGAGUUAAUGUCUAGUGCCAGUGCUAAGGAAUAUCAAAAUGCCAGCAGAUCCUUGAAAAAUUUAUAAUCCAUCAUCAUACUAUGUUUUCAAUUAGUUCAUGUUUUAUUUUUUCACUCCUGAACCUCUGAAAGUCCUUUCCACCUUCAUGAGGUUUUACAUUCUCGAAGCUGUUAGAUUGUUGAAGCUACAACUUGUUGGCCCCUGCUGUUGAGUGGAAAUUUGAUUCCAGAACCUGCUGGUUUUACUUAAAAAAAUGUUUUCCCCCUACAGAAUUUGGAGCAGCUUUUACAAUUCAGAGACCAAGAGGUGGUGCUUCAAGUGCUUCUCAGUCGAAGAGGAAAUUGGUUAGUAGGAAUGGAAAAUAGAAUGAGCGAGCAUUUGAAACUGAAACACUACAAACCACUACAUUGUUCCCGCCUGAGUUUAGUUUGGUUCAACAUCUUGUGCCUUGAAAUUUGGUUGCAUAAAGCUGAAACCUGCUGACUUCUGUUGAUAUCACACAAUCUGGUAAGCAUCCAAACACAUCUGUCAUUUCUGAAUCAACAAUGCAUUGGGGAAAAGAUCAUGGGACAGCUUCAGCCUGAGAGGUCCUUACCCACAGGCAAACCACAAGCAGAAAUAAAAAUUACUGACAUCACCAUCAAAGAAUAGCAAGUUCAGAUUCUGAGCUUUUGGCUACAACAAAAACACUCUGUCACCUAUCAUCUUGAUUUCAUCAGCUAUAUAAGUAGAAUGAUUUAUUCUACGAAACAUACAGGUAGUAUAUAGGAUGAAUCGACCAUGUAUCAUCUACCUGAGCUGCGUCCGGUUCCACGGCCCGUGCGCGCUCGGCGACGCCAUGUCCUCACCACGGUGCCCGUGCCUGCAGAGGCUCACCGUCGACGACUCCCGUGGACUGGGCGAUCUCACCAUCAACUCGGUGUCGCUGCUGCAAAUGGAGCUCAGGAACCUGCGCGGGUUGUGGCAGGUCACUGUUGUGGCGCCGGCGCUCACAGAGCUAACUGUGAUAUACUGCUUUCGCAACGAUGACACUCAACCGGUUGCAAACAUCUCAGCCCCUCAGCUGGUGAGCCUCGAGUGGAAAGAUGCGUAUGAUCCAAGCUCCGUCCAUCUUGGCAAGAUGGCACAUCUCCGAUGGCUGGGCACCUUUUAUCUUGUAUAUGGACAAGAUGGCCUUAGUCACAAUCACUCUUGUUUAACGCUCUUGCAGCGCUUUGAGGCCAUUGAAACCCUUUUUCUCACACUGGCAUAUAUGCGGGUGAGAUUCUCUUAUCUGAAAUUAUGCCAUCGUAGUAUCAUACUGAUAUGUCAUUGUAACAUCUUUGAUUACCUGGGUACAGUUUGAAAUUGGAUAGCAAGAUCCGUCCAUUUUUCUGUGACAUGCCCACCAAGAAUGGUCCUAGGACCUAGGCUACCACACUGUAGAAUUCGCUCAGCCAUGCAUAUGAUUAUUCUUCGUUUAAAAAAACUUUACAUUGAAGCAAAUGCCCUAAAUAAAUGGAUGUACCAUUUCAACUGUUUUCUGAAUGCGAUAUAUAUGUAGAGUUAUAUAUAUAGUUGUCCUCGUGGUGGUGGUAUUCAUGUUGAAAUAUUCUCACUUGUUUUGCUUUGCGACGUUGCUGAGCACACUCAAUUAUCCUUCUUUUCCAAUAUAUCUUGGCGAUACAUGAGAUUUGUAGCAUUUUCUAGACAACUAGUGCACAGUUUUUUGUGGCUUGCAAUGGCUAGGUUUUGUAUAAGAAACCCAAAGUGAGCUUGAUAGCUGACAACACCAAUUUUCUGCUUGCUCACAACAAUAGGCAGCCUGCGACAAUCACUUGAAGUAGUGAUAUGUUUCUUUCUCUUUUUAACUUUCGUAUAUGACUUAUUCUUGUACUGUCUAUGGACAUGCAGGAGAUAGAGAACUACCCAUACUUGAUGGAGGACAUGACGGUGCUCCCUGACAUUACAUUUUUGUGUCUGGUUGUGAUUGCAAGUGGACAUGCCUUUGGGGCCAGCUCAUUCCAUGCUCUCAGACUGUGUACUGGUAUAAGAAGACUGACGCUGCUAUUUGCUGCUCCUAGUGGCUUGGAGGUAAAGCUGUCCUUUUCAACAGGGCAAAAGCUAUCCCUUGUUUAUCUAAUAUUCCUUCUAGUCACAAAAAAGAAGUGGCGUUUGGGGGUUUUGCAUUUCCCCUUCUUUUUUUUUUGCCAUGCUAAGGUGUAUCUGUGGUAACUAUGUGGCCCAUUUAUCUCCUAAUAAUUAAAAAUUAAUCUAUAAUUUUAACUGAGUGAUAUACUAUUUGGAAUGUAAAUAGUUGUUAUUUUAGUUGUUGUCAGCCUGUUUGAAGUAUGUGGCAGUGUCAGAAAUUUGACUGUGUUGUUGAAUGGCAGUUUGACAGUUCAGUGUUGGUAAUAUAAAUAGUUGAGAGAUAAUAAUAUGGCAGUGGACAAAGUUGAAUUAGUCGUUUCUUUAGAAGUUUAGGUAUAUUUUUUCUUUAAAAAAUAAUCUUUCCUUACUUCCAUUGACAACGUAUGCCCUAAGGUUAACUCAAAAUUUUCUUGAAUUUGGACUACUGAUUGCAUGUUAUGGUGGUUUGUGGGAAUAUUGUGAUUUUAUAAGAGAAAAUAUGCCCUAGUUGAUGAUAUAUUGACAUAUCUCAAAAGUAUCAAGGAAUCUGUCAAAUUAAUAUUUCUCUGUUUUUGCCAGUCAUGAUCAAUUGAUCUUAUUAACUUGAUAUACUCCUUGUGUCAGGCACAAACUGUAUUGCCCAUCAGGUUGUAUCUGUCAUCAGCCAGCAGAGUGGGAAACUGAGGGACUCUCAUUGAAUCAUCUUGAAGAAGUUGAAAUCCGUCACCUGAGAGGAUCUGAACAUGAAGUUGCUUUUGUAACGCGGUUAUACAGUUGGGCGACAGUGCUAAAACAGAUUAAAGUAACUUUCUACUAUUCGAUCCCUGAAAUCAAGGCCAAGGAAUUGUAUCAGAUGUUUUGGAGCUUCUCUAGGCCAGGAAUGCGAAUGACAUUUUACAUCUAUCAAAAAUUUAGUAUGGUAGUAUAUGUGCCUGAAGACUAGUGCACCAGGUUGGUGAACUGCACUGCGUGUGAAAUGCUAGCAGAUCUUUAUUUUGUUAAUAUAUCCAGUGAUUAUGUGCUCCUGUUUGCUGUUGACAUUUUACAAACAUAAACAAUCUCAUGAUAAUUUAGAGGACAGAUAACAUAUUUCCACAAAUGUAAAAUGCAAAAUCUGACCUGUUUUGUACACAGAUAAGCCUGUGGACCCCUGAUUUUUUUGGACAAAUGAAUAAUCAAUGAUACAGCGAAAAUAUGAUUACAUGGAAGCAGCAAAAGCAACAGAGCUGCACCUAAUUCCUAUUGGCCGAAAAAUUGGGAACUUACAGUUUUACAUACAGCUAGACCUAUUUCUAUGUUACAGAAAAAAUGCCAUCAACAAUUUCUGGAGAUAAUUUACAUCCGUGCUUUCACGGAUCUCUCAUACAAAAAACCCUGGUAAACUGUACAAAUUCAUAUCGUUAUGUAUCCUUCCAAAAAUGGUUAGUUAAGAUAAGAAGCUGCAUCAAGCGUCCUGCAGGUGAAACGCCAUAGAAGCUCCAUCUCCGGGCUGUUAGCCGAGUCCUUCUGGAUUGCAGUGCUCCCUGAGCAGUCAGCACCUUAACUGCACAGGAUUCCGCAAGCCACUUUUAGACUGGAACUGCUACUGAUAGAAAUGGCACUCUAAAUGGCAUGCAGCAUCAUCCACGAUUAGAACAGAACUUCCUUCCCGUUAGGCCUUGGCAAUGGACUAGGCUGAGGGUUUGCACUUGGAAAAUGCAUGGUGUUCACAAAAUUUGCCGUUGAACCAGGAUUGUUGCCGAAACCUAAAGGCCGAGGCGAUAAGUUUUGAGUAGCUUCCUGGAUUGUUAGUGGAGCCAAUCGAAAUGUUGAUUCAGAAGACCUGGCAGCUCUGCUUGGUUCACUGGCAACAAAAAGAACUUGUUAAGAUCUAGUGAUGAAAAACUAGCAGUUUUUUUAACCACGACAGCACAACGAUAAUUCAAAGGGAACUACUCACAUAUUGGUAUUUUUUCCUUUCAUGCUCGAGUCACUCUUCGAGGUUGGUUUGUUGUCUCUUAAACUGUGAGCAAUAUUCUGUAAUACAACAGUGGCAUUAUAUGUAUGCCAUUCUCAGGUUUAUUUUACCCCUCAUUGGUCAUGCAAGAAAAAAAAAGGUACCUACAUUGACUUUAAUCCCUGCAAAUGAAUGUAUGGAGCCAUGUUUGUUGUAGUGACUUGAAUUGCGGAUGAAUGGAUGAUCCAACAGCUCGCUUGCAGUUGGCCUCUCUGCUGGAUUCCUCUUGAAACAGCAUUGCAGAAAUUCUUUGCCCUCAAGGGACAAAUUUUCUGGAAUUGGUGGGUCCUUAUGUAAAACCUUAAACAUCGCGGCAGGCUGUAGGACAAAAAGGGGUAAAACUUUAGAAUCAAAGUUUGCUGUUAAUACCAAGAAAACCAGUGACAAAUAAAAACACACAAGGUUGUAGUGAGCGAGGUUAAGAGGUGACUAGUGACUCUAGCCACAGUAUGCUUGUCUCACCUUUCUAUGCCUUUAUGUUAUCUGGAACCCUACUUUGAAAUUUCUCUAUAACAGCAUAAUCAGACUAUCUAGACCCAGUUUCUUCAGGCAUGAAAACAAAAACUUUAUCACGCUGGCUUUUUCUGUAUAGAAUGCAAGGCAUCAUUGACAUGAUAGUUUCACACAUUCUUGAUGUUUUGAGCAAUCAGAUGGCCUCAUCUGUUAUGCAAACAUAUAUAGGACUAUUAGCAUAGCGAGCAUGUAACUUAAAUACUACCUCCAUACCAAAAAUUUUGGUUGGCCAAGGAUCCCGAUCACUAUGGGGCAAAUACUGUAAGUCUGUAACGAGAGGAGCUCAGAUGCCACAGCUGAAGGACAGAACCUUAGGAGAAAGAUUUGCAUAAACUUUUUGGGAAUAAAGAAAAAAAUUAUCCUGCAUAAUAGAAAUAUCCAUAUGCCCUUCUCAAAGUAAAGAGUGUCCUAAUAACUUGGUCUAAUAGAUAGAAUGCAGUGCAACAUGAAGUAAAUAAUCUUUUUGAAAACUAAUCUUAUUGAUGGACAUCACGUGAAGGGUAACAGUACCACAGCAGCCUGCAUAUCACAGGGGAAGUGCUCCAUUUCAAGUGAGCUUAACCACACUAGGAAGGCUUAAGCCAUGCAAUGCAUGCUGUAGAAUUUACUGUAAAUACAAGCAUGCUUCAAGUCAUUACCCCUUCAAGAUCACUCCAAGGAGGCUUUCCAUCAAACAUUUCUAUAAUGGUGCAGCCAAGACUCCAUAUAUCAACAGCGACAUCAUAGCCUACAUCUUUCAAUAGUGUAGCCUGAACCAUCUGAAGAAGAAACAAAAUUUCGUCAACACAACACUACAGCUAAAUUUAUAUAGUCACAACCAUGUUAACUAACUUUGGUAUGAAAAUUAAAACAUGAAGUGGCAAAAUAGCGUAACAGGCUCAUUUGUGACAAGACAAAUUGACUUUUGAGGGGGGGAAGUGAUGUUGUUUUAUUUUGUAUGUCUGUCGCUGCCUGCCUAACUGAUUGCAAAUCUUAAUUCAUUUCGUACAAAAUGAAGAAAAACUCCCUACCUCAUCAUCUUAAGAUUUGUUACUUAAGUUGCACACACUGACUUUAAGCAGCCAAUGCAAUAGGCUGUGGGAGUGUGGACUCCCACUGUACUUUGCAGUUUCAGUAAGUACAGAACUUAAAAAAAAAACAGUGGGCUUACUUAUUGUAUCAUGCAACAUUACAACUCUAUAAAGAUCAAAGGCAUUUUUUGUACAUGUUUUGCAUAGAAAACUUGGUACUUGGUCACAUGAGAAGUUGGUAGUAAUACAAGGAAUAUCGAGAAUACCUCUGGUGCCAUCCAGUAUGGAGUUCCCUUCAGUGAAAGAUUUGGAGCUGCGGUACUUAGCUGAUAAAAGGACAAAAUACUGUCAACAGUGCCACAUGAAAAAUGUUACUGAACUCCAUAUGAUGCUACUCACAUGUUUGGCCAUUCCAAAGUCAGCCAAUUUGACUACACCUUGAACAUCAACUAGUAGAUUUGCUCCUUUAAUAUCCCUGCAAGUGUAGAUUUUUAUUUACCUUUUACAAGCGUGCAUAGCAGCCAAAACAAUUCUGAGAAGUUCACUCAAUGUUACUCUAUUGAAAGCUUGAUUAGUUUGAGGUUGCUCAACAUCGCUACAUGUUGUCUUAAACACUUCAACAAAGUUCCUAUCUUUAUGUACUUCCAGGAGUAAAAAAAAACAAUUUGGGAUCAUAGUUCCUCCAUCUCCAAUCCUAUAUGUUCAAAUGACCGGAGAAAUGACAAGGUCUCAUGAUACACAAUACAUAGUUGAUCUCAGAUGCAAUAAACAAUUUUCGUACAUCAGACAGAACAUACUGACAUGAACUAAAGGAGGCAGUUAGAGUAUGAACAUUCAUGUGAGAAAGUUUCAAAAAAAGGGGGGGGAUUUUUUUAAGGAAAGUUUCUCCUAAAGAAGUUUUAUGUGGGAAAAUCUAAAAUAGCAAAAGUUUACUGAAAGCUCCCAAGCAGGCAGAAGAAGCAGGAAGAAAGCCACGAGUUAACACAACAGUUGACCUGGCAUUAAAAGAAAUUGCAUUUGAACAAUGACAGAGAUUUGCACACCUAUGCAUAAUCUUUUGGCCAUGCAAAAAUGCUAGACCCCUUAGGAUAUGGCGGGUGAAGUUCCGAACAACUGAUUCUGUCAUUGCUCCAUAAUGUUGUUUGACAUACUUAUUAAUUGAACCCGGAUGAACGUAUUCCAGGUAAAUGUAAAAACGUUCUUCAAUCUGCAAGACUCCACAAAGAUUACAUGAUGAACUAACAAGCAGAGUUACUUAAUUCAGAUUACAAUUGGGAACUUACAAUGUCACUCCCAUAAUACUGCACUAUGUUUUCAUGCUUAAAUUGGCUUAAGAACUUUAUUUCCUGAAACAUAUGAAAGUAUGUCAGCAAAGGCUACUGUAAAACUUGCAUGUAGAUCAUUAGUCAUUACAGUGGAGGAAAAGGGGAUUUCACUAAACAACUAUUACAAAUUAUAAGGAGAAUUAAGAUGACACUCUCACAUACUCCCUCCAUCCCAAAUUACUAUUCGUUUUGGUUUUUCUAGAUACAUACAUUUUGAUAUGCACCUAGAUAUGUAUAUUAUGUCUAUAUACAUAGAAAAACUUAUAUAUCUAGAAAAGCCAAAACGAAUAGUAUUGGGACGGAGGGAGUAGAUGGUAUAACUGGAGUUGUCUAGAUAUACCAUACAGAUGCUGCAGGUAAUAUUUAAAAGACACAAUAUACUCAAGCAGCUAGAGGCUUUUCUUGGCAUAAAGAAAACACUCAACAGGAACAAUAACAUAGAAAACUAUUCAGAUAGGGAACAAAAGGUGCGUAUAAAAAAUUAAAUAUUACUCAUUUCUGCAAACGAAAAGUACGUAUAUUAUGAAAGAUAUACUGUCAAAUUCUAGUAACCUGCUCUAACUGCUUCAAGGACUCAGCAGAUUUAGCAUCAUCAGGAAUUAUGUUGACUUCUUUCAUUGCACAGAGAGCUCCAGUGUGCCUGCAAGUAAAUGGCAGUAACAACCUUCAGAAGUUCAGAGUUUAACGUGGCGUGCUAGCUGCAGUGAUAUACCAAAUACACUUCCAUACCUAUUGGUAGCUUCAUACACACAGCCAAAUGUGCCACUACCUAGAAGCUUUCCUUUUUGCCACUGACCAGCCACUGAGGGCAUUUCGACUUUUGGAGCAGGCUGAUUGCUGAAACCUGUUUGCAUUGGGCUUAAAGCACCAGGAGGGAGUGGUAAUGGGUGAAAGCUGACAUUCCCAUUUCCUUCAUUGCGUGGAACAUUGUUUUCCGGGUACAAUUUAUCAUUGCGUGGAACAUUGUUAUCUGGGUACAAUUUAGAGUGCAUAGGUGACGGAGGGGCACUGGUAUUCCUUGGAAUAAGAAUAGGACUUCUCAAUGGACUAGAGAAAGAAGAUACGUCUGGAACCCCUGCAUAUUUUUCAGGUGAAGUUCGAGGGGAUGAAGCCCCCAUAAAAUCUGUAGAUUGGAUAGAUGGAGCGGACCAUGCUAGGUGUCCUUGAGCAGGUGCCACAGUAGAUGAGAAGUCAGCAUAGCUCAAUUUUCGAGGACUGCACGCAGGACUUGAAAAGCCACUGCUUGGAGCACUUUUAGCAGGAAUGUUCAAUCGAAAGUCCAUAAUUUCUGCUGAACUCUUAUCCUGGAACUUCUCACGGAAUGCAUUCUUGUGGUGACUAAAGGUAGCCCGCUUUGUUCCAUUUGGUAGUAAUUCAUUUUGCUCAGGAAACUUUUGUACAGUCUGGCUUGUGAACCUAUAACCGCAAAACUCGUAAGGAUCAGGGAAUAACUCAAAAGUAUUGAAAAAAAAUAGCUUCUGCUGAGCUCAAGUAUAUAUAGCAAUUAUGAAAAAAAGGUGCAGGUUAUACAUGAAAAGGAAAAGGAUUAGCCAGAAAAGGGGCAAUCAGGUGAUGCUGUGCUAUUUUUCAUCUGUCUAGUGGCUCUGUGUACAACUGAGCUAAAUCAAUUUAUAGAAACCUCAAACACCAUCACAAAUGCUCUUUCCAAACUUCUGUCCAGGACAGAUGGAAUGUGGGGCCAGAGGAUGGAUGUUUGUUUUGAGCAAUUGUCAAGGUGCUGUCAAUCCUGUUGAAAGUUCAGUUCAAGCAAACAUUCUAGUACGGAGACAUUUCUGAUCCCCUGUUCCUACAUUUCCACAACACAAUAAAUGCUAACAUCCCCGAAUAAUCAUAAAAGCCCCCUUUCUUAACUACUGAAAGCAACAUUUCCUCCUGAUGGUUGCAACCAAUCAAUCUGAUGUCUUGAGUAUAUUUGCUAAUUCGUGCAGAAACUUCGCUAUAUUACUACCAUGGUAAAAUGCCAGAUGCAAAUUGAUUGCAAAUGCAGCACCUUCCCACAAUGUUAAACUGGGAAACAAUUGCAAUUGCCCAUAAACAACAAUCUCUGAGCAACAAUCAAUCAAUUCAGACCAAAUUGGGCAAAAAUAAAGGAGAGACGGACUCUGAAGAAAGGGAAUCGACACGCACUUGGGCGCGUACGUGGCCCUCUCGCCCCACCCAUCUGCGACCCCGGCGGGCGGGUCCUGCGCCUCCAGGUCGACGGGCCUCGGCGACGGCAGCGGCAGCGGGUGCAGCACGGGCGAGGAGGCGGACCUGGGCGGCUGCGCGACGGCCUCCCUGGUGCUGGAGGACCUGGAGACCGGGGUGGAUGCCGGGAUCCCGACGGCCUCGGAUGCGCGGCCCCUCUGCAGCGGGGGCGAGGAGGAUGCCCUGCGGUCGGCCUCGACGACGACGACGAGGUCCCCGAGCGCGACGUCGAUGCCGCCGACGUGGCGCAGCUUCCGCUGGCGCGUGAGCUUGGGCGGCGCGGCGAGGAGGUCCCUCUCGGCCUCCCCGCCGCCGCCGCGCCUCCCGCCGGGCUGGGCCCGCGAGGUGGACGCCCGCGCGGGGGAGGCCGGCGUGGAGGCCGGGAGCACGGAGGAGCGGUGGAACGCGGACUUGGAGCGCUUCCACCACGACGGCAUCGUCACGCGGGGAGGCGGGGAUGAGGAGGGGGAGAACGCGGGAGGAGGAGGAGGAGGAGGAGGAGGAAGGGACGAAACCCUAGCCGCCGUGCGCGUAGGGUUAAUGGCAUUGGAGGCGGGGGCGGGAGCCGAGGAGGGGGCGGACGGCGACGGCGACGGCGGCGACGACGACCUCCUCCUCCAUUCGGGCGGCUGGGUGGCGCCUUUUCUUCUUUUCUUAAUAUAUUUUUUAUUAUUAUUAUCUUUUUUGUCGUUUUGGGAGGCGGUCGUUGGUUUCGCGGGGUUCCGUUAGGAUCGCUGACAUUUCCCUCCCGCGGGGGGGGGGGGGGGGGGGGGGGGGGGGGGGGGGGUGCUCACGCGGCGUGCCGAAAGAAAGUCCAACCAGUCAAACACUUACGUUCAUUCCUUCCUUCCUUUGGUCUUAAAUAAUUCGGCCUUCACUCCCUGUCGCGUUCGCACGUCUUUGCAGUUUUUUUUUAAAAAAAAGGAUUAAAAAGCCUACUAUUCAUUCAAAAUACGCCAGCUUCGAAACGAAUAAGGGCGUAUUUGCUUCGAAUUCAAACUGUGUCAAACCUAGUUUGACUUUCUAGGAUGUUGGUCUGUUUCCGCUAUUUUCAGUUGUGCGUAGCGUAUUGUGUUUGUGGGCCAUUUGUGAAGAGGUCCACGGCGGCCACUUUUUUCUUAGCAGGCUUUUGGGAGACGACGGGCAAUGGGCCAACUGAAACUUGCAGGUCCAGCAUGGAAUUGUUAGCAGGCAGGCUUCUACUGGGCCGAACGUAGCACCUGAGCCCAAAAUCAGCUUAUUGGCCGCAAUGCAGGAUGGAUGGAUGGAUGGAUGGUGCCGCGGCGGCGAGUCGUCGUUGUCGACGGCGAGCUGCGAGGGAAUCUGCUCGCCGUGUAGAGAUUCGUAGCCGAAUCCAUCCACUGUGGCAGAUGGAUACACGCCACGCGCUGCGCUGUCGCCGCCACGAGCUGCGAGGACGAAGUGGGCGUUGUCGCCGCCACGUGAAGUGGGGCCGGCCCAUUCUCCUUCCUCCCCCAGAGCCGGAGAUAAAAUGGAUGGUCACUGAACAAGGUGAUAGAAUGGGAGCUGGUUGGGGGAUCAUUCAUGGCCGGGUCGCUGCUGGCUGGCUGGCUGGAUUCUAGCGAUUGGGUUGGAUGUCCACGUCGCCGGAGAUUGCAUCGGGGGGCCAUCCAGCUCCAGAACGUGAACAAUGCCUGGCGAUGCCCUACUUGCUGGUCCCAUCUAUCUGCUAUCCAAUCGCAAGAAAACCCAAAAAAAAAAAGAAGAAUUGGAAGCAUCAGAACCAGAGUGAAAAGAAUCCAUCGCUCCUCCCAGUUGCAGCCUGCAAGAGCGACCGCUGGGUGCGACGCGGCCGUUCAGGUGUCCCGCGAUUUGGCCGUCAGUGCUCGAUAGCACUCUCAUUGUUGCAGCUAGCGCACGCUCUGUUAUUGGUGCUUCUUGCACCAAAUCGUCCUGUGAUUCUUCUGGUAUUUGAUUCUUGUGUCCAUUUUUUACGGCGAAAGCUACUCAUCUUUGUUUGGUGCAGAUCGGACAGGUUCUUACUGAAGCUACCUUAUCUCUGCAUCUGAGUCUACUACCAAAACUGGCUCUAUUCUCGGUCAGCUCGAUCUGUGGCGCUUGGCUGCUUGCAGUUGCAGCUACAGUUGUAGGCUCAUCAGGCUAGCAAUGGCAAGGCAGCUGGAUGAGAAGAAAGAUUGUGCCUGGUGCAGUCCAGAACAGAGACACUGGCCAGGCCUGCCGCCGGGGACCAUAAGACUUCACCAGAGACAAAGGCAAAUAUCUUCUUGUACCUGAACAGUACAGUGCAGCAACUGUUCACCAGGACACAUGAAGAUCUGGUGGCGAUCACUUUUCAGGCCCGCAAAAGCCAGAUAAAAAGGGGCCUCCGGAUCAAAAGCCAAAAGGGAGGGAGGUCUGAAAACAGUAGCGCCUCCCUUUCAGUUACUCCCCCACUUGCGCAGUUGCAGGCAGCACAAGGCGAAACGGCUCCUUUUCUCUCAUCUUCAGACUUGAGGGUUCAGGCCAGGGCCACUGACUGCCCCUCUUCUGGGGCUACUUCGUUCUUGGUGAUAUUGCAGGCAAAGUCAGCAGGCUCUGGGAAACAUUACACUAAAAAACCUGUGUGUUUCGUUGCUCAUUUUUGCCAGCUCUUUUAGAGUCGUUUUCAGUUCGAUGCCACACGAGAGGGAUGAACAUGGAUGCUAAACCGGUUAAAUGCAGGAUGAAUGCAACGAGCCUGCUGCUUGUUCCUUAAGUACCACCUUCCCACUUGCUCACCACAACAAUACAUUUUAUCUCGUUAGUCACUCACUCAUCAAGAAAGUAAAGUCGUUUCAAAGAUACGCAUCUCCGAAAGGAUACCUAAAUGGAUGAAGAAACCAGGAAAUGCUAAUAUAACAACAAAGGUCGUGCUCACACGUGUCACGACCAGGCAAUUAACAAGCGCGGUUUAACCACUAAACUAUUUUUAUUCUGAAAUUGGUGUGUGGUUUAUUUUUUUUUUAAUUUCAUUUAUAGUACUACUAGGGGAGGGAGAUCAGAUUCGAGAAGCAUAUAAAAGGAAAAUGUGCCAAGCUUGGUCAAAGAGCCGGACUUUCUUGAUCAGAUAAACUAGGCACGGCGCGAUUCAUCGUCGUCGUCAUCUUCCUCCUCCGAUAUGAAUAUAAAUUCGCUGGCCCUCGAUCGAAUCUCCACAAGAUAUUCCCAUGAUUCUAGGCCGCAAAAUUCUAGAUUAUCGCCUUGUCGCUGUGCAGAAUCUUCGCAUAGAGAUCAUCUGAUUAACAAUGGCGCGAGGCGCCCGGGUCAACACAACCAUCCGAAAUUCCAAAGAGAGAAUGACUCAAAUGGUUUCUAAAGGCCAGUUCAAGCUGGUGAUGGGACCAAAAUAGUGCACAAGAGGCAUUUGUGUCUGGGAACGUCCGGAGCAUGUGCCCCAAGGGUAGCCUCCAACACGGAAGCUAGGAUUCCGAUUCUGGGGGCCGGGCAGCUGGGGGCCAAUCAGCAACCAGUGCCAAGUAGACCUUAAUUUAAGUUUUAACCCAGUAGCCCUCUUAAGAUUACGUAUUCACUGACAAGUGCCUAAUUGCAGGGGCGGACGAAACCAAACAAUUUGGAUGCGGUGCAAAUAAAAUACUACCGAAUUUACUCCACACCCUCCUCCGUUUUUAAAAGGGCUUGAUUAAAUCUUUUUGAGUAUUUGUCGGUGUUUUUCCUUGAUUAAAUAAAAGAAAAUGAGGGGGGCAAAUUUCUGGGACGUGAAAAAACAAAUCGAUAUCCAGUACUCUCUGUCCUUUUUUAUCAUAUCAAUGCGAUGGAAAAACUGCCAACAGGUUACCAGAAUACGAUGGGCGUGGACAUGCAUGAGUCGAUGUGGAAUCUCUCUACUCAAGUUGCAAAUUUCCACAAAGUGUGCCACAAAAUGGGGGGCAUAAUUAGGUCCUGGAACAAAAUGUGCAAGAGUGAUAACAUUAAACUAAUCAUGAUCAAAGCCAUGGCUGUCAAGGAGAAGCUUCUCCUCUCCUCCUCAUCUCGUUGGAAGAGUGGCACAAUUGUGGAACACGACACAUGCCGGAGGGCAAUCAGGACAAAACGAGGAGAGAGAGAGAGAAAGAAAGAAAGACAAAUAAAGGAGAGAGAGAGAGAUUAGUACAAGUCUUACUGGAUACAAUCUUGGCGCCUGGCCACGUGGAGGGGUCAGAUACUCGAAGAUACCUCUGCCUCCUCGAGGCGCCGAGGAGCCGUCUGAAUUCCAUGUGAAGCUCGUUAACCUGACCCUGAUGGCCCAGCACAACCUGUGAUCGUACAACGUUGCUGUGCAGCAGCUGCCAACUACCACGCCCUGGACUGGCAGCUAGCAUCCAUGCAGAAUAUUCCUUGGAUUCUAUUUUAUAUAUUUUUUGGGUCCCUUGUGAACAAGGAUGAUUCACCGGCGAUAAAUAUUCGGAUAGCUGUACUCUGACUUGCUCCGUCCUCUCUGCAGUUGAGUCACUGACGUGUGGGUCCGAACGUAUAUAUCAGUGAGGGUAGUAUAUCAGGCAAUCUCGUCUUGGAUAUUCCGGAACACCUUUGGUUAGGUGUGCCUCAAUUAUUUGGUUGAUAUUGUAGCGCCGAGCCAUGUUUCUCCAUCAAGAAUUAAAAGCCAGUCGACGUGCAAUCAACGUCGCCCUGAACGAGAAAAAGGAACUCCUUGGCAAGUUCUUGGCUCGAAGGAUGUGCAAGCGGUACACCGAUAAAUUUUGUACAAUUCCCCAUGUUUUGAAAAAUAAUGAAUGAAGAAUUUGGAUUCCACCUGCAGAGAUUUUAAGGAUCAUAAUAUUGAAACUACAAUUUUAUUUAUAUUCUUUGAUGUAUAAAAAAAACUCAAUAACUUAUUGGUCACAACCCGCCACUUAUUAAGUCCAAGUUUUAUUCGCCUCAAAUUUAGGUGUGCAUACAAUCUUUAAGUAUACAUAAACGUACAUCACUUUAACAUAGAUAAUGUGCUUCCAUGGACUAUAGUUUAUUGUCUAUAUCAGGAUUGGAAUAAAAACAGUUGAGUGGCGACAUGCUUGCAACGGAAGAUCUGAUCAAUUCGGUGUCAAUAAUUGCAAACAAAUCAUACAUGUUUGUCUCUUUGGCUCAUAACCAUGAGCGCAUCAUGUGGAAUACUUGAAAGAAGAGAGCGAGAGAGAGAGGGCCGGGAUCGAAUCCUGUACUGCACUAGCAAGAAAGGGACCAACCAGUGCAGCCCAGGGGUUGCCAUCACCACAAAGCAGGGCAUCAAAACCACUGGCUAGUCCUCUCAUCCAUGCAUCACUGCAAUUGGCAUCACAGAAAGGUGCUUUUUUUACUAAUUAGUGGGAAUCUAAUUCACCACUAAUCUAAUGGUGUGCUGCUUUUGCUUUCCUGCUCCCUGUGGGCACAGUCCACACAUGCUGCAUAUAUGCAGUGUGUCCUUGAUGGUGGCUUUCUCCUAGCAGAUGGCCUCCUUUUGGGUGGUGGGAUGGGAGAGAUUCCUCAGCAAGUGCACACAUCCAAAUUCUAAAGUGUUGAUAUCCUCUGGCAUCUUUGCUUGCCUUAGAAUUCACCACUUUGAAAGGUGGCAAAAGAUACCAUCAUGUUGUUCACGAUUCUCUCUUUUGGUUGGGGGGCACCCAAAAUGCACAUUGGGUCAAUAUGGUUUUUUUUAAUUCAUAUAUAGUAGUGUUUUUUUUGUAGUGCCUUGCAAUUUCUUUACUUUUUUUCCUGAACAAGUUUUGCAACAUCUAUUUUUUUAUGGGAAUGCAUAGAUUCUUAAAUAAUUGAUUGACUUCAAGACUAGGAUAAUAAAUAAAUAAAUUUUUGAAUCGCGCGGAUAAUCGAGGCCUUUGGAACGUAGAGCAUGCUGAGACGUUCAUGUCUUUGUUAGACCUUCCUCCGCACAUAGAACUUCUUAAUUAAAACCGCUUGUAGUAUUUUUCCUCGCCGUUUUUUUACCAAGAUUGUGGUCUUUCUAUUUUGGUAAAUUAAACAACAAUAUAUGUGCAUUUGGCAUGCUAAAUUAAUGUAGUAAUGAGCUAAGCAUGCACGAACCUGGGACUGGGAUUUUAUAAAGUUUUGUCAAGCAAUCUUCUUAAUUCUUCUCUGAGCUCACAUAUAUAAUCCCAUUGUUUUGCAUGAAAAAAUAUUUCUUUUUACUAGAAGAUGGCAUGCAUGCAUGCAUAUGACCUCAGAGUAGGCACGUCCUCAUUUAUGAGAAAUGUCCACAUCCUAGGGUGAGUGGAUAAGGGAGGGCACGUCCCAUGAUUGGACUCCCUGCACCUUCUCUCUCAUUCUUACCUAUCUCAAGAAGCUAGUAUGAAGGAGUGAGGCCUUGUUUACUUGGCCAAAUUGGAAGGUGCCAAAAUACCUGUGCUCGCACUGUAGCACACUGUAGCGUUUCAUUUGUGUUUGUGAAUUAUUGUCCAAACAUUGAGUAAUUAGGCUCAAAAGAUUCGUCUCGCAAAGUGCAACAAAACUGUGCAAUUAGUUUUUAAUUUCAUCUACAUUUAGUACUCCAUGCAUGUACCGCAAGUUUGAUGUGAUGGGAAAUCUUCUUUUUGCAUAGUGCCAAAGUUGGGAGUUGGGAGUAAAGUAAACAAGGGCUGACAUGCCCACCGUCACUUUAGGAAAGGAAAGAAGACUAUUCUCCGUAGCUGUGUUGAUACAAAAUCUAGACCACAGGACUCUGCGUCAACAACACAUGAGAAUCAGGAGAUCUGUUUAACUCCAUUACAGACUCCAAAUCAGCUCCCGUAGGUGCGCGGCGUGACACUCAAUUUGACAUACAAUUGACAAGGGAAACGUAAAAUUCAUGAGCCGAUAGGCAGCGAAGCCUUCGAGCUCAUAGGUAGGUGUUCUUUAAAUAUACACCGUUAAGAUAUGUUCAAUAUAAUCAUGCGGUGUAAAUAAACAGAAGCAUUAAUGGCAUGUGCCAUCGACUAUAUGAGCCGACAAACUAAGAAAAAGCAUUGUAACACAACAGACAUAAAAGGGAGCCCUUGUUAACCACGCGCUUAUCAGAUAAGCUGACAGAUCUAGCCAAUGUCUUGAUAAGUGUAUUGAACUCAGACAAGGUAACACGAAUGAGAGGGUAUUGUCAACAAUCUACUAACUUAAAAGAUUAGAACAUAGCAACAAGGACCAGCCGAUGCUGACUGUACGCAAGCCAGAUACAUUAACAAAUCUUAAUUAAUAUCUUGAGAAGUGUAUUGAACUUAGAUAAGGCAACACGAAUGAGAGGGCAUAACCUCGACCUGACAAUAUAAAAUACUAGAGCACAAUCACCAAAUACAUCUUGCCUACCGCUUGCAAACCAAUUAAGUAACAAAAUCUAAUCGAUGUCAUGACCGUGUAAUUGAACUUAGACAAGGUAACACGGUGAGGGGGCACUAACUCAGAAAUAAAAUAGUGCUGCGAAGUGAGCAUAUCUCAAAGCUGAUAUUGGUUCCUCAGAGUGAAACCUACCCACAUGUCAAGUUUUCAGCUCAGCACGAGCUCCCACAUUAUCAUGGAUUUUUUUCCAGAACUAGACGAUACUGUUACAGUGGUAGACGACGUGUCCGUUGACAGGCAAACGCCAACAAAAAUAAAAUAAAAUAAAAUAAAUAUUGCUAGCGCAUGAUGUGGUGGCGUCAAAAACUAAUAAUCUAGGUUUUGGUGAAGAGAGAGGGAGGGAUGGUGCGGAUAGGGAGGAGGCUACCAAAUUGUUGUCAGCGAAGCACCAAAGGGAGACGGGGACGUGAUGCGUUAUUGCACAUCCUGGAUGGGAUGGCAGGACGCGGAGAACACUGCGUGAGUAGAGAAGAGAAGAGGCCACUGGCCGCUGCGGCCGCGAUGCGGCGCACCGCGCCGGCCUGGGGGGACCCCUGCUGCCGCCGCGUCACCCUCCGCCUCGGCGUCCACGUUGUCGUCGCCCCAUUGCUGGGCCCACGCCAGGGAAUCUUCUCCUCGAGCGAGCGCACCAUGCCAUACCAUUAGGCCUUCUCCAACGGGAAAGCCGGCCAGCUAGCUCAUAGCACGAUGUGGCGUUUCCAUGUCACCACAAGAAAGAGCUCGUCCACCCAUCGGUCUAUCGUUUUGCACGCGUCUCGAGUUGCUGUAGGACCCACGUGUAAGCAAUUUUUACUCCAAUCUACUCCCGCAAGCUGCAACAUCUUCGUCCUCUCGCACGGAGGUGCUCGUCGCCGCCGCCUCACGCGCUUGGGCCGGCGCCCCGUCGCCUAGUGCUUCGCCGGCCGCCCUCGGUGCUGCGACCUCGCGCCGUGCGGGCCAGCAGCUGCUUCGCCAGAAGCCCGCAACGGCCGUCGCGCCGGCCGCCGGCGUGGGUUCUACGCUCCGCCGGCAGGUAGGUAGCGAGCAGCCGAGCAGGAGGCCCUGGUCCACUCCUUCAGGCAGCCAUGGGAGAGCGAGAAGGAGCAAUGGGGCCCAGGAGCAUCUCGGGGCACGUGAAUAAGCUUAUCUCCUAUAAUAGUCCUAUUCCCACGCUAGCAUUGGAGUUUUGUCCCUUUGCAUGCAUCCCCACUCCUGCACGUGUCGACACGCUGCGACGCUGGCACUACCCCUCCUACACAUCGUCGCCUGGGCUGCUCCAUGCUUGGUGAGCAUAGCAAAAUGUUACUGGACGGUAACAGUCUCGGUAGUUUGUAGCUAGAUUGUUAUUUUACAAUCUACGUAAGAGACUUGUUUGUUCCUGCUUCCGAAUUAUAAACAAUUUACAUACUCCAUCCGUUCAAAAUUGUAGAUUAUUUUUAAUUUUUCUAUAUAUAUAUAUUUUACCUAAACAUACACUAUAUCUAGAUGUAUAAUAAUAUCUAUAAAUCUAAAAAAAAUAAAAAAAUAAAACAUAUUAUGUAUAUAAAACCACCCUUAUUCCCUAUCAACAAGAUGGCGAGAGAUGGCCACCUGUCUUGGUAUUAAGAAAAAGCAAUACCCCCUGGUUCAACCCGUGUAAUAACGUGGGGAUGUGGAUCUUGACGUGUAAUUAACACCGUACUAAGCCGGAACUUUUGGCCGCCAUGACAGCAAUACCCUGCCUUAUAGAUAAGAUAUAAAAUAUUUCGUGUAGCAACAGAAGAAGGGAGAACGACAACGGCGUGUACGGACCCAACAUGGAUGCAGUGCAUCCGUAGUUGCUCCAUUGCAUUAUGUGUUUAAUUUUCAGCCGCUCAAACCUUUGACAAACCAAAAGCCAGCUGAAAAGUUGAAACGGCUGAUUUGUUGUGAGAGGAAAACACUAUUUGAUGGCUGAUAAGCCGACUGCACCGAUGAAAUGUCUCGCACGCCCCUGCUACGGAGUACUGUACAUGCAUGCUUUUGUACGACGUCCUGUGUACUAGCGACUACUGUAGUACCUCCGAUCCAUAGGGAAGAAAGAAUCUGUACGAGUACGGCCGGGCAGAGUUGACAAAAUGUAUAAUAUAAUAAAAAAAACCAAAGAGAUCUUAUCGCAUCGUACGACGUUGGAUCAUUUAUUCAAUUCGCAACAAACUGUGUAGGCUGCCUAGAUACAUGCAUGCAUGCACGCGCAUCCUCAGCGCGACAAUGCGUACAUGCAUGCAUGCCACAUGCUAUUAAAUACUACUAGGUCUUGCAAACGUAUGUAUAAAAAUAGCCCAUACAUAUACCACGAUGAAUGCAUGAAUCGAGCGCAGCUGAGCUGGUAAGAUUACUUAGGCUGAAAUUGGAAAAUUUGUCCAUCCAAAGUUCAAAAUCUCAACUUGGCACGUAUUUUUUCUAAAUUUAUUCUAAAAUUUAACCGAACUUAUUCUUCCAGUGACGUGCGAGAAUGUGCCUGACGUUAGCGAGGUGCCUUUCCACGAAUGCAUCACUAGCUACAACUACGAGUUAUUUUCUUGUGAAAUUUACCUGAUGGAUUUCUUAUCUACAAAUUUCCUCGAUUUUGCCUCCGCGGCAGAUCGGAGGACUGUGCCGUGAAGGUGGGUAGUUCCAUCUUGGAUGAAGGUGGCCUGUUCGCUUCAGCUUAUUCAGCCGGCUUAUCAGCUACCAAACAGUAUUUUCCUCUCACAACAAAUCAGCCGUUUCAGCUUUUUAGCCGGCUUAUAAGCUGAAGCGAACAGGCCCAUAGUUUUUAUUGUAGUAUAAUAUAUGUAGUUUCCCUCGAGCAAUAAUAGGUUUAUCUUUGACCUCUUGCAUUUCACUCUACUUUUGCGGUGUGCGAAAUGGAACGUGACCAGAAGUGAUUUGGGUAGCCAGUAGCUAGGUCGGUACGUGGCGAACCGGGUGCGCGUGAGGUGUCCGUUCGGAACGUGACGAGAAUGCCCCCGCGUUCUCCACCGAAACCACAGGAUUGCCAUGGAACGGGAAUCUUUCUCUACUCGUCGCAUAGGUCCAAGAAAGCAUCUCAUAAUACAUGGUCCGCACCGCACCUAGAGAAUAUUUCCAUUAUUCUCCCUCUCUCUCUCUCUCUCACUCACCAUCAAGAAAGAAAAUAAACAAAAUUCUUCCUCUCUCUCUCUCUCACCAUCAAGAAAGAAAACAAAGAAAUUAAACAAAAUUUGCUGGAAAUUUGAGUGUUGGAUUCAAGGUGGAGUGAGCGAGCAUCGGAAUCUGAAUCAGCAGCCGUCCAAAUUCGCACGGCAUAUCCCCCAGGAAUCCAACUUUAUUUUAUUUGGCCCUUUGCACUGUCGCUUUGCUGGUGGAGGAGCACCGCAGGAUUGGACAGCUGGGGGUUCCUCUCCCUUCCUCCCUCCCUUUUGUUUUACCCGGCCGGUUUUUAAUUUUAUCCACUCUUUUUCAUACUUUCCCAAAGAGCAAAUCAGAUGCUGCUGAAGAAGAAGAAAAAAAUGCAGAUUUCAUUUCUGUGAUUUUGUCAGUAGAACAAGUAGAGUCAUCUUGAAAGUUGCAUGGAUUAAAAGUUGACUGUCCUGCAAUAACAUGCAUAAUGUGCUUUUCUGAUCACCAGAAAUGGUAGCACAGCAAGUAGUGGGGGGUGACACCAGCUAUCCCUAUAGAGAGCAAAGAUGGACCCAAUUUCUUGGUAAUUCCCUAACAAAAACAUAUCUUGUACAAGGGAUAUUCCAUCCCCGUAUGCAUAUGCCAUAUUGAAAUGAUGUCACUACCACAAUAAAGACAAUGUGAAGAGGCCAAUUCCUAUCUUCAAAGGGGCAUCCUAUGGUAUCCUAUAUCUCUUUUUGUGUGUGAUGAAGCUUCUUUUAACCAUCAUGCAUGCUGUCAUGGAAAACCUCCUUUGCUUGUAGAAAAUAACAGGUAUAUUCCGUUCACGUGACCAAAUUUGUGUGAUGUUUGCAAUGAAUGUUGAUCGCGCUCUAGUGUCACCGUGGGUCGAGAUUUGAGCCAAUCCUAUAAAAGUUUAGGCCCAACAUGGCUCACCAGGAUGUUCAUAGUGCAAAAAAAGAAAAGAUCAAAGAACUAGCGAAUACAAAGUUAGUGUUUUGGGAAAAAAAAAGAUCAAAGAACUAUGAGUAUUUUCAAACAAAUCUAUAUGUCUUUCAUAAAAUGAGGUAUAUAUUUACUAAGGCCACUUUUCAUGAGAGAUCUAGUCGCAUCAAUCGAAAAUUAGCAACGGAGACAACUACAAAGUUUUCAAAUAAGAGUACGAGCGUCACAUUUCCCGUGUGAGUUGAAGCCAAUGCUUAUUCUGUGGUGUGUAAAAUGGAACGGCCUUUUACAGAAUUUAUGCAAAAAUGAUACCUUCCAAAAGUUAGACCCCAGUACAUAGUUCAGAAUUUUAAGUAACUCUUUAAAGUGAAUAACACUCUAAAUUUACAAAAGAUGUGACCAAUCUAAAUAGGCUAGAGGCAUGAGGCUUCUCUACAAAAUCUUGGCCAAAUCUUUAUCAUUUACACCAAUAGGAGUAGAUACAUAAAUCUAAGUGAAAAAUACACAAAGAUAAAGGGCUUGGAUGUAAAUGCACGAAUGGACGUGAAAACUCGUCCUUGCGGAUUCGCAGAUUCUACCACUCCCAUCUUCAGUUUUUUCCUUCUCCGCUGGGGGCUCUAUAAAUGGAGCUCACCUUCCCCCACCCUCCUUCCCUUCCCAUCCGCCUCAUCACAGCUCCCCCUUCCACCAGCGUAGAUUCAACCCAAUCAAUCCAUUUCCGAUGGGGCUCGACGUCUUGGAGAUCGGGAUGGGCUCCGAUUUGAGCCUGGAUCUGAGGUACUUCGCCUCCAAGGCCGUCAGGCAGGCCAGGGACGCGCCGGCGUCCGACGUGGACGCCUGCAUCCGCCGCCUCGAGGAGGAGCGGGGCAAGAUCGAGAUGUUCCGGCGCGAGCUCCCGCUCUGCGCGCGCCUCCUCGCCGAAGGUGAGCAAAUCUUUUCUUUCUUUUUCCAUGAUUUUUUUUUGUUCGUGUGCCUUUCCUAUUUGGGGGCGGUUUUAUUUACGCGGCGGCGUGUGCGCAGUGAUUGAUGUCAUGAAGGCGGAGGCGGGGAAGAAGGCGAGGAGCGAUCGCAAGGCCGCGGCGGAGGAGGACGGCGCCGCCGGGGACAAGAGCAAGUGGAUGAGCACGGCGCAGCUCUGGACCGGCGAUUCCGGCCGGGAGGAUGAUUCGGAAUCAGAGGUACGAUCUGGGUGCUUGCUCAUCGUCGAUUCGUGAAUUCUUGGCGCGCCGGUGGCCUAGAACUCGGAGCUUUGCGAUCGCAGAAGCAAGACAAGGGGAGGAGCUCGCCGGAGGCCAAGUCUGGCGGCGGCGGCGCUUUCGUGCCGUUCAAGGCCGUGGGCUCCGGCGCGCCGGCGUUCGCGCCGCUGUGCCUGAGAGUGGACGACAAGGCCGCGGACGCUGGGAUGCCGGAUCUGUCCCUGCUGUCGCCGCCGGCGAUCAAGAGCGCUCCGGCUCCCGCCGGCGCCGCCGAGGAGAGCCGCCGCCAGGUCGUGGGGUUCGCGCAGGCAGCGGCGAGGGCGGUCGCCAUGGCGCCGUCUGCGCCUUCUCUGACCCUCCAGCCUCAACCGCAGCAGACAGCUCAGCAGCAGCAGCAGCAAGCGAGGAAGGCCAGGCGCACAUGGUCGCCGGACCUUCACCGCCAGUUCGUGGCAGCCUUGAACCAACUCGGUGGGCCCCAAGGUGAGCGUUUUUCACAAGAUUGUUGCGAUUUUUGUGGGCUACGUUUCCUAAUUCCUUGUGAUAGAAGCAAGCGCAAACAUGAAAUUAAUGAAUUCCAUUUCCAUGGCAUGACUGCAGUUGCCACUCCGAAGCAAAUCAGGGAGCUGAUGAAGGUGGAUGGUCUGACAAACGAUGAGGUGAAAAGCCAUCUUCAGGUGAGCAAUUCAUCACAACCUUUCAGUCCACCUGAAGAACAUUCACUCAAUUCUUGCUGCUGUGAUUUGUGAGGAUACUAUACUAACUUGGAUUCUGUGAUGUUGAUUGUUCAGAAAUACCGGCUGCACAACCGAAGGGCGCCUGGAUCCGCCGUUGUAAGCCAGCCAAUUGUGCUUGUGGGAGGUCUGUGGAUCCCCCAGGAGCAAAGCAGCUCACAGUCUGGAUCUCCCCAGGGUCCUCUCCACUUCUCAACCUCAGGCCUCGCCGUCUCAUCAGCGGCCACCGUCAGCUGCGAGGAGGAAGAUGGCCGGUCCGAGAGCUAUGGCUGGAAAUGAUGAAUAGGCAGUUGCAUCAUCAGUGUUCAGAGAUAGACGGUUCGCAAAGGAAGUGUUCAGAGAUAGACUUUGGCGGAUGGCGAUGCCGCCAAUUGCAGCUUCAGGAGGGAGCCAUGGGGAGACUGUAGUGUAGUUUAUCUGUAUACAACAAAUACAGGGGAGAUCGUCGGGCCUUGAGCGCUCGAGAUGAAACUGAUGAUGGUGCGUCGGGUCGGGUUUGUACAUCGGCAAAGAGAUGAUACUAGUUACAGUUUUGCGGCUUGUUAAUCCAUGUUCCGGGCAGAGCUACAAUUUUCGCCCCGAGAAGAGUUUUACCUACCUAUAGAAUCCGUUUGUCGAUUAUACCAUCUUCUCAUCUUUCUGUUGAAUAAAAUGUUUUUGCUGUUGUUCAUGGAAUGAACGAACAGUUGUUAAAGAUGAAUUGUUGCAAGAACAUGCAUGUGCCCAAUUUCUGGUUGUUCUUGUAUGUUCUUUUUCGGGUUUUAUUACUUUUGUAUAAUGUGGUUUCCAGAUGCAUACUUAUCAUUCAGCAGGGCCCAUUCAGAGAUGUCAGGAAAAAAGGAAAAAGAUCUUGGUGAUAUAUUCCAGCAUUGAAUGGAGACUUUGGAUGCUGUCCUUUUUUCUUGGAACUUGAUGGAGGUGUGGUACUUGCUGGCAUCCUGAUGAACCAAGUAACCAACCAACAGGGCAGGCUGUUCCCCAUCAUCAAGAUUCAAGAAGCUGUUGUUAUCUGCAACAGACUCAAGCUCAUCUGUUGAGCUGAACACACUCACCUCCCUUGUCAGGCAAAGAAAGAAUGACACACCCCAAUAACAAGUAGGAGGAAUUAGUAAGAAGAAGAAGAAGAAGCCCUUCUUCCCCAACCGUCAUCCAGCAGAGUUUGUUGCAACCCCAGCCGGCACCAAGAAACUGAUCCGUUGCUCGCCGGAAGACCAGGCGUCGGCACGCCAAGAAUCCCUUCUCUUCAUCGUCGCCGUCGCGGUGGUGCUGAAGAAGAAGCUGCAUGCAAUGGCGGUUGCAUGCCGCCGGGGCUCUCCGGCGAUUAACAAUCGCAGCCGUCGCUGUCGUGGCCGGUCAGGCAAGUGGUGUCAUUAGCUAAUGUAAUCGCUGGGGGUCCGGUCCUGUCCUGUCCUGGCUUGCUCUUAUCCACAGCUGAGGCUGAGCUGACUAGCAGAGUAUAUUCUAGCUGCAGAGGCCCGCACGCCGCAUGCGUUUUCUUCUCGGUUCAACAUGCUGCUCGCCUUGACCUGCUCAGCGUUCCUCCCCAAUCAUAGCUUCAGUAUUCAAAAAUAAAAAUAAAAAUAAAAACAAAUCAUAGGUUCCUUGAGACAGAGAUUAGUCGCUGCUGACUGCGUGUGUUUUUUCCAAACUUGCAUACCUGUUCUUGGUCGGCCUUGGCGCAAAAUCAAAGAGGAGCAGAGACAAUUCUUGCAGUUUAAAAAGGAUUCAGGACCGGCUGUUGAUUCAUCCAGGAUUUAACUUUUUUUCAUUUCACAAAGUGUUUACACUUGGCUUGUUGUUCUAACCAAGCGACAGAGACGAUGGAUGGAAUCGGCAGCAGGAGAGGGAGGGCCCCAGUGCAGUGGGGAAUGGGUGGUGGUUGGAUCCGAUGAACGGUGGAUAUUCCGUUUCUUUUCUUUUCAGAAAGAUAUUCUGAAUAUUCGUCGCAUUUGGUUGCUGUCGCUCUCUCUGGCCUGUGAAUAUUCCUAACGAUCAGACGGGUGCUCUGAAUAUUCCUUUCCUUCUGCUUCCUUUUUCUUCUUGUUUUUUUUUUGGAAGAAAGAUGUGCAGAGAGGACGGCGGGCUGACUUGUUGUUUCUUUUUCACGGGCUGAGAUUGGAAUCCUUUGCUGACUGGCCUGUGAAAAGCUGGCCCACGUACGACUCAGGCCCAUAUACGUAGCUGUUACAGGCUGCCUGCCUGGCCCGAACAAACAUGCCAGGCCAGAGCCCAGAGGCAUCCAUUGUUCUGUAGCUUGCUUGCUCGCUCGCUGUCAGCUUGGCAACGUGCUGAUGAGAGUAUGAGAUGACGGUGCAGACACGAAAGAGACGCUUUGGGUUCAAAUGGGAGCCUACUCAAGGUAAAGGCACGUAGCAACGGAUAUACAUAGGGCCUGUUUGGCAAUCACGUGUUAAAGUUUAACACCCGUCACAUCGGAUGUUUGGAUGCUAAUUAGGAGUAUUAAAUAUAGGCUAAUUAUAAAACUAAUUGCACAGAUGGAGUGUAAUUCGCGAGACGACCUAAUUAGUUCAUAAUUUGAUAAUGUGGUGCUACAGUAACCAUUUGCUAAUGAUGGAUUAAUUAGGCUUAAUAGAUUUGUCUCGCGAAUUAGCACAGGGUUCUGCAAUUAGUUUUAUAAUUAGCUCAUGCUUAGUUCUCUUAAUUACCAUCCGAACAUCCGAUGUGACACUGUUAAAGUUUAACACCUCGUAUCCAAACACCCCAAUAGUCUGUUCGGCUGGAAUGGUAAGCCGGUUGAAAAGCUAAAACGUCUGAUUUGUUGUGAGAGGAAAACACUAUUUGGUAACUGAUAAGCCGGCUGAUAAGUUGAAGCGAAUGGGCCGACUGUUUGUCGGGAGAGGAUGCAUGCGUAAUCAUGAAUGCACCCUAACCCACGUCUGAUCGAUCAUUAGGCAGUAUGCAUGGCCACACGCAAAAUAGGGAUGCACAGCCAAGUCUGCCUACCCUACACUACUCCCUGCGCGUUUCCAUUUCGGCGCAUGUUUCCUGAAGGAAAAAGGGAUCGCCGACGGCCCACGCGGCAUUUCCUGAACCACCCAAAUGAAAAAGGGCAUGCAGCAGCUCCUGGAAGCGUGCGUGACAUACAGUACAGCGGUGGAUCUUGAGACCUGAGAACAUUGGAUUGGGAUCCCCGGCCGGCCGACACGGCUCAGCGCCCACAUGGUUUAGUCAACAGAUUAAAGUUGCUCCUGCUACCUACUACCCAGUGCCCACAGCAAGGAACUAACUGUUCAAUGCAAGUAGAGUAGUAUUCUUUUUUACCAAGGAAGUUUAAGUAGAGUAUUUUAUCUGUAUUUACCCUUCACCGUUCAUUGUGCAGCAGUACCUUAGUUUAAUCCACUGCAUAGUGUUAUGCCCCUACAAAUAUACUGCACCGGUAUAUUUGUGCUGCCUGCAAGUAGCACAUUAUUAACAAUACUUACUGAUCCUAGCAGUAGUAAAUUAGUAAUGAUAAACUAUAAAACACUAGUACUGUCCACCGGAUUAGCCACAUGCAAAUGUUUGCCUGCUGAGUGAGACCAUGUGCAGCCUGACCACGACCACUACGAGCUCAUGAACUGGUGAGCCACCGGUUUCAUGCCGUCAGGCACACAUCUUCCGUCAAUACCUAUCCAUCGUACAUAAUUGCAUUCAGGAACACUCCUGGAAUAGACAUUACUGUUCAUGUUAUCAAGAAGUAUUUAGAGUAAUUCUACGCUAUAUUAUUAAAUACACAAGAAUACACAAGAGUACGUAUAUAUAAUAUAAGUGUCUAAAAUCUCUUUUCUCGUGUUUGGGCCUCAAAGUUGGGGUGGGGGGCAUUGGCCCCUACUAGACUACUAGCCCCCUCUCCUCCUCAGCUUGGUUUCAAUCAUCCAAUCCCUCACAAAGUUACUAGCAUUUAGCUCAAAACAAAAAAAAAGAUGAAAACAUAAUAGUAAAGUUAAGCAUAUGUAUAUACGUAUAGAGAUCCAAAGUUCAUGCUAAUUCAUUGUGUUCCGCCAGAACCCGGUUUUAUCCCUCUCGUAGAAAGUUUUACUCUCUCAUAAAAAAAUGUUGCUCCACCUAAACAACCUUGUUUCGGUUGUAUAAAUUUUUGUCAACGGAACAAGUGUACUAACUUUUAUUCUCAUGACCUGUUUUAAGUGUACGAUUUUUUUUGUUCUUUCUCCUUUGUUCGAUGCACAAAUACUUUUGUUCCUAUUGAAUAAUCCUUGUUAUGAAGGCCAAAAGAAAAAGAAUAGUCUAAGGUGUUGCGCAAUGUGUAUUACUUAGUAUUUCCUUUUGUCAAAGAAGCCCUAAAAUCAAAAUUAAUCAUUACUGUUGACGACGAGACGCCCUCAAAUCUAGUGGCCCAACCUGCCCUAGCUCGAUCGAACACGGUGGCCCCAUCCGGUUUCACUAUUUUUGCACAAAAUGGGGCGUAUGAUACGGUGUUCAAGUCUAGACUUUUAAUCUGUGUUUCACUAUUUUUGCACAAAAUGGGGUGCUGCUGUGGGAAGAACAGUUCAGCAUUUAUCAGUAAUCUCUUCUUUACGAAGAAGAAUGGAAGAAAUAAUAAAAGGCUUACACGAUGCAACCAGUACAUAUAACGAAAAACCGUUUGUUCACUCCUUAGAUUACGUGUUAGGCCCAUGAAAAGGGCUUACUAGCACGGUGGACCGUGCAGCUUAAAUAAGGCGGCACACUUUUCCUUUAUGCCCGGCUUUAAUUAUUUCCUCUCCUUUUUCUUUUGAUGCUGUUUGUUGGACAAUCGAGUCCAUUGUCUUCCAAGCUAAGGUACACUUCCACAUAUGUGUGGAUUGCACCAUGGUUCCAGAACACUGUGUCGCACUACCUAGGAAAGGAGCAAACAAAACAUGAGAACAUGAAUACAAUCUUCAUCAUGAUAAUUUGACCUCACAAUACCUACAAAAUAGACCGCCUUGAAUAUGAAGAGCUAUAUAGGACGUUACCAAAGCAUUCUUUUUUCAAAAUAAUGAGUGAAGGGUGAAAAAAGAGACGAACUAGGUUAGAUUUUUUUUUAAACCUGUCCACUAGGGGUUCGAGUCCUUGAUCUGGCACUGGCGAUCGCAUUUUUCUGGAUUCAUUCCAGGAUUUAACCGGCACUAUUCUUUCAGUAGUAGUAGGUGACGUGCCCGUCGAUAGCAAGGUGUCAAUAAUGACUUCGUCAAUCUCGAGAUCUAACAGCUCAGUCCCUCAUAGGUAUAGGGUUAUGUGCGUGUAUUCAUAGAGUUAAGGGCUUUUGUUGGAUUCCAAUUGUUGCCGAACCAAAAUCAUGGCAAGCCAAAAUCUUGGUUUGCCAAAAUCAGGGCAUGUCAAAGUUGUGGUAAGAAAUUUAAAUACUUGCUUGGUUUAGUGCUAAAACAUGCCAACCAAUAUUUAUUUCUAUCAAGAAGUUUCUAGUGACAUGCCAUAAUAUUGGCUACAAACAUUGGUGUGCCAAUUUUUUUUACAAUGAACCAAUUUGUAGCCAAGUUUUUUAGGAUUGCCUUGAUUUUGGCUUGGCAAAUAUUCAAGCCCUAAGUGCGCACGUGUUUAUAUGAACGUAUGCAUAUGUACUGUUUGGAAAAAAAAAGAAAGGCAUCGUACUCCCCUACCUUUUAUUAUUUGAUGAAUGGGCAGGCUUAGUUAGGCAGUUACACUAACCCUAUUUACUCGGGGUUCAGACGUUGCUUGAAAACAGUAAACAUACGCACAUAAUAACGGUCAUUACUAAGUUCCUUCCGAAAAUGCCAUCACCCACUCAUAAAAAAGAAAUGGAGGAGAAGAUUGACAUGACGCUGACAUGCGGGCCCCAUGGGUGACGAGGUCACGACGCGCCGUGCAGCUAGGGCACAGGAUCCAGGAUGGAUGGGUAAUGGAUUCACGUGUUGGGUGAACCUCUCAAGUCUGUGCCUCGUCUCCUGUCGUCGCGUGUCAUGGUACCCUGUAAAGUGGCACCGGUAGUAGUUAGCCUCCGUCCAUUGUUUCGUCUGCUGUCAACUUUACAUGUAUGUACCCUGAAAGUGGAAUUUAGGCCAUGUUUAGUUACCCCAAAUUCCCAACUUUGGCACUAUGCAAAAAGAAGAUUCCCCAUCACAUCAAACUUGCGGUACAUGCAUAGAAUACUAAAUGUAGACGAAAUCAAAAAUUAAUUGCACAGUUUUGUUGUACUUUGCGAGACAAAUCUUUUGAGCCUAAUUAGUUGAUAUUUGGACAAUAAUUCACAAAUACAAACGAAAUGCUACAGUUGCGCAUUUAUGGCAAAAUGCUAAUUUUGCUACUCCUAAAUUGGGAACUAAACAAGGCCUUAACUCGUAAACUCUGCUCUCUCUCUGGAAUCAGCCUAGUAUGACAAUUAAAUAACAUACCACAUGGUAAGAUUAUUAGAAGGGGAGAGCAGAGAGCAGAGGGAGUUUUAUCAUAGUAUGCGAGAGAAGUUUCAUGACCGUAAAAUUCGACAGACGCAGUUAACAAAUUCUCAACCUUGAUAACUAUGCCAUGAAAUUGUGACACGAGUUGACGAACAUUUUCCAGAAGGAAAUCAAAUAAAUCACGUACAAAAGGGAAUUGAAUGCUGGAGACAGAGCGAGGCAGCACGGCGGGAGGGAACGGCGCGGAGACAGGCUGGCCCUGCCUGCCCUCCCCGUCCCCGCCUUUUCUCCGUCGCCGCCGCAGCUCGACGCGGAAUGGUGCUGACCCCCGCCGCUUUAUCGAUUUAAAUCUCGGCUCCUCCUUUCCUUCGUGUUCCCCGCGUAGCUUUGCUCUUGUUUAAUCCCUCGCGCAAGUCGCAGAGAGCAGAGAGCACCCCGGCCGCGAGAAAGAAGAAAGCUGCCGUCCCAGCUAGCUAUAAAAGCUCACUCUCUCUCUCCCCGCUUCACUCACUCCACCACCGCCGCACCCUGCCAUUCACUGCGGCCCCGUGUGUCCCCAGAUCUAGAGAUCCGCCGCCAUGGCGCCGGCCCUGGCGCUGCUGGUCCUGCUCGCCGUGGCCGUCUCCCUCGCCGGCGCCGACGACCCCUACCGCUACUACACCUGGACAGUCACCUACGGUCCCAUCACCCCGCUCGGCACCACCCAGCAGGUAUGCCACAUUGCCAUCUCUGUCUCCAUCCUCCAGCUCCAGCCAAUAUCCAUUACUCCCUGGUCCCUGCAAUGCCGAUGGCUGCCAAGAAAAAAAAGUUCCCUUCUUUUCCCCAAUCCAGUUUCAGGAUGCAGAGGGAGCUACUCUGUUUCGAUUUCACUGUAGCAUGUCGACUCACGAGCUGCCGUUGCUGUCGAACUCAACCAAUCGCAGGGCAUCCUGAUCAACGGCCAGUUCCCUGGCCCGCGCAUCGACUGCGUCACCAACGACAACCUCAUCGUCAACGUCGUCAACAACCUCGACGAGCCCUUCCUCCUCACCUGGAACGGCAUCAAGCAGCGCAAGAACUCGUGGCAGGACGGCGUGGCGGGGACCAACUGCGCCAUCCCGCCGGGGGCCAACUACACCUACAAGUUCCAGGCCAAGGACCAGAUCGGCACCUUCUUCUACUUCCCCUCCCUCGCCCUCCACCGCGCUGCCGGCGGCUUCGGUGCGCUCAACGUCUACCAGCGCCCCGCCAUCCCCGUCCCCUACCCACCCCCCGCCGGCGACUUCACCCUCCUCGUCGGGGACUGGUACGCCGCCGGGCACAAGCAGCUCCGCCAGGCGCUCGACGCCGGCGCCGCCGCCCUGCCGCCGCCCGACGGACUCCUCAUCAACGGCGCCCAGUCUGCAACCUUCGUCGGCGACCUCGGCAGGACGUACCUGUUCCGGGUCUCCAAUGUCGGGCUCAAGGCCUCCGUCAACGUGAGGAUCCAGGGCCACUCGCUCCGGCUGGCGGAGGUGGAGGGGACCCACCCCGUGCAGAACGCCUACGACUCCCUCGACGUCCACGCCGGCCAGUCGCUCGCGUUCCUCGUCACGCUCGACAAGCCGCCGCUCGACUACGCUGUCGUCGUGUCCACGCGCUUCGCCGCCGCGAACCUCACGGCGGUGGGGACGCUGCAUUACGCCGGCGCGACGGCCCGGGCGCCGGGCCCGCUCCCGCCGCCGCCGCCGGGGCAGUUCGACUGGUCCCUCAACCAGGCGCGGUCGUUCCGGUGGAACCUCACCGCCAGCGCGGCGCGGCCCAACCCGCAGGGCUCCUUCCACUACGGGACCAUCCCGACGUCGAGGACGCUGGUGCUGGCGAGCUCGUCGUCCGCCGUGCUCGCUGGCCGGCGGCGGUGCGCCGUGAACGGCGUGUCGUUCGUCGUCCCCGACACGCCGCUCAAGCUCGCCGACAACUAUAACAUCGCCAACGUCAUGGACUGGGACGGCGUUCCGGCGAGGCCCGUCGGCGGGGCGCCGCCGCGCGCCGGGACGCCCGUCGUCAGGCUCAACCUGCACGAGUUCGUGGAGGUGGUGUUCCAGAACACCGAGAACGAGAUGCAGUCGUGGCAUCUUGACGGAUACGACUUCUGGGUUGUAGGGUGAGCAUCUAGCCAUCGGCCAUCGCAGUAUGCAUGAAUGAAAUUGGCCCUGCUCUUCGUCACCUCUGAAGAACAUUUGCAAACGGAGACUCACUCACACUUGAUCAUUUCAGGUACGGCAAUGGCCAGUGGACUGAGAUGCAGCGGCAAACCUACAACUUGGUCGACGCGCAAGCAAGGCAUACAGUUCAGGUAUCUUAACUUGGAAGUAGAUUGCUCAAGAACAUGGCUCUGAAUCCUGAACACUGUAUCCGAUGAAACUGAACUGAACAUUGGCAAUUAUUUGUUGGCAUCAGGUGUAUCCGAACGGAUGGUCGGCGAUCCUGGUAUCGCUGGACAACCAGGGGAUGUGGAACCUGAGGUCGGCGAUCUGGGACCGGCAGUACCUCGGCCAGCAGCUCUACCUCAGGGUCUGGACGCCGGAGCAGAGCUUCGCUAACGAGUACAGCAUCCCGACCAAUGCCAUACUCUGCGGUAGAGCCGCCAGCUUGCCACACUGAUGACCAAGAUGCAGAGCAUACAUGGUCGAUUCAUCCUAUACUACCUGUAUGUUUCGUAGAAUAAAUCAUUCUACUUAUAUAGCUGAUGAAAUCAAGAUGAUAGGUGACAGAGUGUUUUGUUGUAGCCAAAAGCUCAGAAUCUGAACUUGCUAUUCUUUGAUGGUGAUGUCAGUAGUUUAUUUCUGCUUGUGGUUUGCCUGUGGGUAAGGACCUCUCAGGCUGAAGCUGUCCCAUGAUCUUUCCCCCAAUGCAUUGUUGAUUCAGAAAUGACAGAUAUGUUUGGAUGUUUAUCAGAUUGUGUGAUAUCAACAGAAGUCAGCAGGUUUCAGCUUUAUGCAACCAAAUUUCAAGGCACAAGAUGUUGAACCAAACUAAAUUCAGGCGGGAACAAUGUAGUGGUUUGUAGUGUUUCAGUUUCAAAUGCUCGCUCAUUCUAUUUUCCAUUCCUACUAACCAAUUUCCUCUUCGACUGAGAAGCACUUGAAGCACCACCUCUUGGUCUCUGAAUUGUAAAAGCUGCUCCAAAUUCUGUAGGGGGAAAAACAUUUUUUUAAGUAAAACCGGCAGGUUCUGGAAUCAAAUUUCCACUCAACAACAGGGGCCAACAAGUUGUAGCUUCAACAAUCUAACAGCUUCAAGAAUGUAAAACCUCAUGAAGGUGGAAAGGACUUUCAGAGGUUCAGGAGUGAAAAAUAGAACAUGAACUAGUUGAAAACAUAGUAUGAUGGUGGAUUAUAAUUUUUUCAAGGAUCUGCUGGCAUUUUGAUAUUCUUAAGCACUGGCACUAGGCAUUAACUUGUAAGGUUAAAUGAUCCUGUUGAAUGGCAUUAAAGAAAGGAGACUAGGAAACUACCAGAUUGCAAUAUGUUUUCUACCCAUACAAUAGUUUUGAGACCAAGGGAUUGCAACAUUGCAGUUGUUCUGAAAUAAGGAAUACGGGAAUAUGCCAUUCCACCUGUUCUGCUCUGCUCAUAUCACAGUCGACGCGAAAGCAAGACACAACUUCAGGUUUUAGUGUAUUAGAACCUGGAAGCAGAUUCCUUAAGAACAAACAAGCUCUGAAUUCUGAACAUUGCUGGACUGAACAUUGGCAAUUGUGAUUCAUCAGGUGUACCUGAAUGGAUUUUUGGCGAUCUUGGUGUUACUGGAAAACCGGGAGAUGUGGAAGCUGUGGUUGGCGAGCUAGGACCGGCAAUACCUUGGCCAGAAGCUCUACCUCAGGGUGUGGACGCCGGAGCAGAGCUUCUCCAACGAGUACGGCAUCCCGCUCAACGCCAUACUUUGCGGCAGAGCCGUUGAUGACAUCUCCUUGCCCCUCCUGGCCUCCUUUCUCUUUGGCUCAGCGGAGAUCUGGAAGGCUGGGGCUCUGCGCUUCCCGACCGGAUCGACCGGCGGCGGCGGCGGCGGAGGAUUCGUCGUCGGAGAGGGGAGAGCGAGAGAGAGGCGGCCAGCCAGGGGCACCUCGCAAAAUUUCCACCCGACAGGGGGCUAUGCGCAAAUAUUCGGAUCACGAUUAAUAAUCGCGAUCUAAUAUAGGGGGUUAAAUACAAAUAUUCGGAUCGCGAUUAAUAGUCACGAUCCAAAAUAGGGGUAAAUGAAAAAAUUAGGAUCGUGAUUAAUAGUCUCGAUCCAAAUAAGGGGGUAUUUAUAAAGUUUCUGGGUGGGGGAAAUAGCUUUCUGGCGAGCUCGCGCCGCCGCCGGCCGCCUCUGGUAGCCCUGCCGCUGAGCGUCUCGCGCCCACCCUCCACCAAAUCCAUACGCGCAUAGGCCCAUCACCCGUAGGAGAUGCUGCAGCGGCAUCGCCAGUGCGCCGCGAACGACGACAAGGGUCCAGGGAUCCAAGCGCAAUGACGGCCCGGGCUCCGGGCCUGUGCCACCACCGCAGCUGCCGGGGCAGUACGAAUGGUCUCUCAACCAGGCGCGGUCGUUCUGGUGGAACCUGACCGCUAGCGUGGCACGGCCCAACCCGUAGGGGGACCAUCCCGAAGUCGAGGACGCUGGUGCUGGUGAGCUCGUCGCCGACGGCUGUGCGCUGUGUAACACCCUAAAUUAAAGUUUGCAGUUAAUAAAAUUUGUUAGAAACUAAAUGCAUGUAUCUAAUGGGUUGUAUUUAAUUUUUUCUUAGGCAAUUCAAUUAUUUAAAAUAAAUCAAUGAAUUAUAGGAGUUCAUUAUUGCAUUCAUGCCGGUGCAUUGUUUUUGAUUGUUGAAUUCAAAUUUGUGUUUCAAUUCAUUUGUUUGAAUUUUUAAACAAUAGAAUACCUUUUCCUUUUCCCCUCCCUCUCUUCUCUCCCUUUCGACCCGCCUUCCUCUUUCCGACCCAGCCGCAGCACCAGCCCAGCAGGCUGGCCCAUCUCCGUCUCGGCCCAGCUCCCGCGCCGCCACGCACCUUGGGCCCGCAUGCCAAGGCUACGCCCCCGGGCUACAAAAGGCCGCCACCUCGAGCUUAGCUCGAGCGCAGCCUGUCACCCGUCGCCGUUGAUCUCCGCCGCUGUCGCCCUUCUGUCGACAAGGACACAGCCCGGAGCGCCGCAAAGGAGGUAAGGAGGCUGCCUUUGAAGUUCCCAUGCUCCCCCGUGUCUUCCUUCGCACGAACGAGCUCGCCAGAGACACGCGCCAAUGCGCCGCCUCGCGCCAUCGCUGCUCCAACCACCACGACAACCCCCUAGAUGUGUUCGACGUGUGCUUCGCUUCCUCCAAGGCUUGAUCCCGUCGCAAACCGCCCCCGGUCGCUUGAUUUAGAGCGAGUUUAGGUGAGUCGCCGCCGCCGCGUGCCGCUGCUCCGCUGCCCGCGUGCUGCCUGUCGUGUUACAGACGAUCGCAACCGCUCGAUCUCGAUCUGACGGUCCGGAUCAGAUCUGAACCGGGUCAAUAACGGUCAACCCCCAUGCAACGUCGUUCAUUUUGCUAAAGAGUCCCUAGGUUUUGUGGUGUUUGCACCCGAGGUCCAGCGCAGUUCAAAAGUAAUUAGAUCUAAAUCAUUUUUAUUCUGUUUUAACCCCUGGUCUUUUGUAAAAUAGUGCCCACCGUCCUAGCCUUGCUCUUUUGCACGUUAAACCUUCGGUUUAUAUGCGUAUUUAUGUUUUAGCCAUCGGUUUCUCGCAGCUUAGCCCCUGGAAGUUUAGUUUUCUUACUGAUAAGCUCCAACACCUUGUUUAGUUCAUAUCUUUAGCGUUUUAGGUUUGUUCUAAGAGAUUCUUCCGUCUAUGAGUUCGUCUUAAUGCAUAGAUUAGUCUUAUGACCUUUUUUCUCUGUUGUUACUGUUUGGUGUAUUGUUUUCUUAUUUUAUUCCCUUAUUUGCUUGUAUGUGCUCGUGUGAGGCGUAUAGAAGGACCGCAGUUCGAGGAAUUUGAAGGUCAAGCUUUGAAGACUUCGAGCAGCCGGAGCAAGUCCAGGAAGGCAAGUCGAGCCCUCGAUCACAACUUGACUAUCACACCCAGUUUUAAAGGAAAAAUCAAAUGACUAUCAUAUGUGUGCUAGGAUCAUAUUUCACACAUAUGAUGACUUCAGUAAAUAUCAAAUAUAGUGUUAUAACGUAAAGAGAGAGAAUUACAUAGAUUACGUAACCAGAAAUGAGAUAAAAAUCUCUAGUAUAUGCAGCGGAUCCCCAACAACUCCAUAGGCAGCUGACUGGGGGACUCGCCUAGAACUAUCCUCAAAGUUCUCUCGAUCUGAGCAGCAAUCCGGAUAUUGUAGAUGCAAUAUAAAAGAACACAAGCGUGAGCACAUGCCGUACUCAGCAAGAGAAAAGAAAAUAUGACAUGCAAGGCUUUAUAUGGUGGAAGGCUGACAAGGUUAACUGCAAUUAGCACUUUUAGUUGGUCAAGUUUUAUUCCACAGCUAAUUACUAGCAAAUGUAAGUUUAUACCAUCGCACAAUUAAUAUAGAGCAUCGAUAUACCAAAAGCAUGAACAUAACAAAUAAUACAAGUUGUUUUAUCUUCAAGUGAAUUAAUCAUGUGACGGUCUAGGCCGCUCUUAACCGUGAGCACAACUGCUAUAAUAGUUUUUAGACACUUUGCAGAGAUUGUACAUCUUUACCCACAAGUCGCGUAAAAGUUCAGGAGAACUUUAGACCCAACCAUGUUGUGCAAAAGUAGGAACAAUACCACACUUUUGAGGUUUGAUUGCAUAGGGAUGCUACGAGGCCUUUACAAAGACUUCCCAGUGUGUUCUAGUGCACAAGGUUCCGUGAGUCAUGCCCCUCUUAUCACCAGUCCAGCACUAGAGUCCUCUCAUUAGUUAGCCAAGACCAGAGCCAUGUAAUUCUUGUGGUUGUACUAUUUUCCUGGGUGGUCGCUCCAUGUUCCGAUUAACCGAUAUGGUCUUGUAAUUAAUCAACAUAUAGGAACAUUGAGUAAAUAAUAAAACCAUGUUGUUUAUUUACCAACCCAUUUGAGCAAACUAAGAAUCAUCUACCAUGAUAUUUAAUUAAACAACCCAACUGGAAGGUAUGAUAAAAAAACUAGACAUCGUCCUUAAUAGGAACCCAUCAUGUUAAUGCAAGCGAUAAAUAAAUAUUGUGAAUCAAUUGCAUGUCAUUUAGGUAUAAACGGGAAUGAAAAAGGACACUUGCCUUCCUCAAAGCCUUGCUGCUGCUCAGAUUCUUCAAAGCCUUGAUGUUCAGAAAAUUCCUCAAACGACAAGUUCUCUACGCAUGACACAAGCACAUGCAAGAGAAAGCAUAAAGAAGAAAUAGUACACCAAACAUCACUAACAGUAAUGAAAAGUGGUACAAAACUAAUCUACACGUUAAGACCAACACGUGAGCAAAAGAAUCACUCAAAACGGAACUAAAACGUGAAAGAUACAAUCGAAACAAGAUGCAAGGGCUUAACUGCGAGAAAACUAAGCUUCCAGGGCUUGUCUGUGAACACUGAGGGUUUAAAUGUGUAAGAACUUAAAAGGUUGGAUUGGAUCGUGAGAUUAUCGGUUUCUUCGAGGUCCUAGCUACAAAACGGUCAUCUUCUUCAACCUCCAUCCGGUCCGAUUGAACUCGUGUGGCUGACGGGGAGCCUUGCCGGCGGCGGUGGUCAGGCCAAGGGGAAGGGGGCGCGCGGCUGCGGUGCUUUAAUUUGCGGUGGUGUGGUCGGCACUAGCACUAGGGUGCACAUGAGCGGCGGUAGGCGGCGCGUGUGGGCGCGCAUAGGUGCGGGCGAGGCAGGUGGCUAAAGGACGACGGUCUGCGUGGGCGCGCAGCGCAUGGGAGCUCAGCAUGGGGCCCGGGUGGCUCAAGGCCAGGCAAGCAGGAGCACAGGCGCUGUCGGCCAUGGCCGGCGACCAUGAACAACAACAGAGAGAAAGAAAGAGAACAAGGGAUCGCCGGGGACAACCACCAAUCUCGAGCAGGAGCAGCAAAAUGGAUCGAGGAUGACGAGACAAAUGCGUUGGUGUGCUCACCUUCGGUCGAGGACUGACAGUUUCGCCGAAUUUGCUCGCCGAAGUUUAACAGAUACGUAUGUUCGGUGUCGAACUGCGGGAGCUAGAGUUGUCGAAAUGAGAUGGAGUUUGCGGCAUUGGAAAGAUCACCGGAAAGUAUUUAUAGCCCUAGUCUGAGUCCGGAUUUAUUUUCCUCUUUUUCUAAUUUUGAGAAUUAAUUUCAGGUUUGAAAACAAUUCCAGAAAAUCCUGAAAUCAUAAUUGAAUCAUGAAAAAUACUCCAAAAGCUCUGAAAAAUUCAGAAAAAAUCCUGGAGAUGAUUUGGGACACGAGGAACCCAAAUAAAAUACUUGGACCUCCUGGAAAGACUUUUAGAACCAUCCAAAAAUUAGAUUAAGUUCCAAGAAAAUGAGAAUAAAUUCCAGAAAAGUAUGGAAAAUUCUCUGAGGAACCUAAUCAUCAUCUAAACGCAUUUUUAAAAUUUUUCACACUCAAGGAAUAAGAAAUGCAACCAGUAUGAAUACAACACACUUAAACCUAUGGUUCAUCAAGUCAAUUUUAGAAAAAGAUUUUAAUGCCUAAUAAAUUCACAGAGAAACCUUAAGGCCUUAAACGAACUCAAGCAAAUUCUAGAGAAAUUCUAAUUAUUUUUUUAUUAACUGCAAUAGAUGAAAAAUUAGGGUAUUACAUUGACCCUAUGCAACCUUUACUUUCAUGAUUUGUCCGACGCUCCUUUCUUGACCUAGCAUCGGAACAUCCAAUGGUCUAGGAUUUUUCCCUUCUCUUCUGGCAAUUGAUCCGACACUACUAAAAAAGUGGCCAUAGGAAUAUCCGAUGGUACUAAUUUUUCUACGUUGAAUACCGCUAUUUUCACACCAAAGAUACCAUCUCUAGAUUUUUUCUAUCAUUUGGAUGCUUCAAUAAUCAAUACCAUAGAACAACCCUAGAUAUCAUGGCUUGAUCACUUAAAUACCAUAGCUUGGAUACUCGAAUACCAUGACUUGGAUACUCGAAUACCAUAAUUUGGAUGUCAAGAAUACCAUCAUUUGGACCUUGCCAUGAUUUGGUUUGCAUUCUUGGGACCUAGAAAACCUACAAGGUACAUGCUAGACAAAGCAUUAGUCCCAAUGACUAUAUUGUCACUCAAUCACCAAAAUCACAAACUAUAGCUUAAUAAGACCAUGUUCGCUACAACAGCCUAACAAACAGAAACUACAGUUCGUGGAUGUGUGAAACUGAGAUAAAAUCAAGUGCAUACCAAUGGCAAUAAUAUACUUAACGGUGUCCCUGUUCUUGUGCUGGGUUUAGGCGUUGCUGUGCUUCCUUCACAAGAGAUAUGAAAGAUUCAAACGAUUUUCCGAGUCCUAUGUAUAAUGCAACCGUAAUCCAACGUUAUUCGUUCAUAUGUAAAAGGAGAAAAAUGGUCACAGCAAAAUUAGAAACGCACAACGUCCGUUUCCUGUGAUGGCGGUCGCUCUCGUCUUUCUCCUGGGCGACGGCUCUCACUCCAAACUCCAGCAAGCGGCUCAUGCCCUGGUCACCGCUCGGGAGGCGAAUCGUGCGCCCCCGGUCCUUUCUCUUUGGCCGAGCUCUGCGCAUGGGUGCUCUGCGCUUCCCAUCCCAUCCAGGACGACCGGCGGUGGCGACAGGCCGGAGGUUUAACCGGUGAGGGGAGAGACGACACAGAAGAGAGAUAGGCAGGGGCACUUUGUAAAACUCGCAUUCAUGACAGGGGUCUAUCCGUAAAUAAUCGGAUCGCGAUUAAUAGUAGCGAUAGGUAAAUUCAAAUAUUUGGAUCACGAUUAAUAACCACGAUUCAAAUGGGUCUAUCUAGAAAUUUUCUCCAUCUCUAAUUUGUAUCAGCCGAUUGCAUUUUGCCGGAUUGGUUUCUUUCUUUCUUUUACUGUCAAUUGUCAAAUACCAUCUGUUGCUCAGGAUGAAGCAUCUAUUACCAAAUAAGAAUAGACCAAUGUGCGAGUGCUAGGGCGCAUGGGAAAUUGGAGACAGCAGAUUGGAGUCGAUACAUUGGGAAACUCUAUUGUAGCAGUUAGCUACUUGUUUGCUGUCAGGUACAGAAUCCUGAACAAAUGGCCUCUGCUUGACUUCAGUAGUUCAGUUAGUCUCUGCUUCACCAGGGGAUGUGCUACCUGAAACACAUUCAGAGAUUAAAACAGGUGCACAAUCUCAGGGCAGGCUGCCAAUGAUCGUGUUCGCACAUUAAUUAGAAAUAACAAGAGUCAUGGAAAGAUAGAUUUAUCAAUUAUCAAAUGCAAAGCUGUUCGACGGAUAUAAUUUAGAUAAUGAAAAAAGAACAGUUCCAGCCUUUGCUUCUUUGGAGACAUAGCACAUGUACUUGUUGCAACUAGUUCAGUACGCAUACUGUUAUGGGAGCAUCACACAAACCGUGAUAUUAACAGAAAAAAUGAAUACAAAACUUAGAUAGCACGCGACUACAUUGUCAACAAGAAUUGUAGAUCCCAGUUCUGGAAUAAGAAUAAAAAUACAGGUUUUUUAUUUUGUCAAACAAAUAGCCCAGAAGACAAUCCAAGAUAAAUCUUUGAUAAAAACAAGGUAAUAUACUUAACGAUGUCCCCUUUGUCAGACAGAGAUAUCAAUUACCCUGUUCUUGUGCUGUCUUUAGGAGUUCUUGUGCUUCUUUCACUAGAGAAGCGAGAGACCUCGCUGGCUUGAUCACCUCACCAUCAUUCCCAGCAAAGAGCAUGCAGUUAUCAACCUCCGACAUGGUUCCCAAAGUCUCGGUCAGUGCUUCCUUGAAAUUAUGUUCAUUGAAACGUUGGAUGCAGCUGGGCUUGGCUUGAAUCAUAGCUAUCACCAUCUGGCAGGUAAGUUUCACUACUCUCAAACACUCAGACUCAGCCGUGCAUUGCUUGUUUGCUUCCAGUAUGUCUUUUAGCUUCUUCGCAAGUGCUGCAUCUUCUGGGGUGGAUCGAGCAAAAUCUUCUCUACUGAUCACAUUUUCGUUGCAUAUCACCACGGCGAGGGAUAACAUGGCUGCCAUAAACUUUCUUUCUUCUGUGGGCUGGUUUUCCUCAAAAUUUUCUGCUGCAUCUGCACUUGUUCCCAUUUUACUAGAUAAUAUUUGAUCGAGCACCUGUAACAAACAUAAUUUAAUGCAUAGGACCAGCAGUUUUGAUGCAACUCAUCUCUAGUGGAAAUUUUUGUACACUACAGAAUUAAGAGAAAUUAACUGACAUCUGAGAAUUGGUAAUAAGAUCCAACAUGAUGCAGAGGCAGAAGAAGCGAGAGUUGUUGUCAAUUUUUCUUUUGUUCUAAACAAAAAUAGGCAGAGGUAGCUAGUUACCUUGGUCAAUAGGUUGAUCACCUCUUGCUUGGAAAUUAUAUCAGCAACAUUAACAUCUCUUUCUCUUGCAGUGCUAACGCGAAGCAAUCUGGCCAGUGCUUCCCCUGCUUUUCCCCUCAUCAGUCUGGUGGCAUUUUCCCUGUCUGCUUGUUCCACUUGAACUACAGUAUUAUUGCUGGACGCUUCCUCAAGGAAGAUGCAUAGCAGGGCCUUGAGAAGCUUGUUAAACUCCAGCUUUUUGAAAGAAUCAUCAAAGGCUAACUCCGUCAGGAUCUCCAGGGCUUGUCCAUGCAGUUCUUGGGCAGCUCCGCUGUCAUUCUCCAAAGUAGCCAUCAGAUUGCUGACAGCUUCUGUGGUACUCGCAAGUUCCUGGCGCAGCCUUGUGGCGCCAUCCCCAUGGCAGGCAAGUAUCCUGCUUAACGCUGUGAGUGACUUGCUUAGCAUUCGAACAACCAUUGUGUCCUCCCGCACAGUGUUGAGAAAGUCAGGGCUGCUCAUUGGUGAUGUGAUCUUAGAGAGCAGCCUUGGGUGUUUGCUUAUCUCUGCACAGUUCUCUUCGCCCUGUGUGAGCCCCUCGAGAAUCAGCAGGCCUUGAGAAACCAUCCCUCUGGCUCCUCCAGAUUCAUGUUCAGUUUGGUCCUUGAUCUGCAGUACUGUGUCAGCAGCUUGUGGCUCACAAGAUUGCUUAUUACAGCUUUCAAGUAGGGAACAGAUGCAUUGCAGUGUACCCGGGAAGUGAGCUAUAUUGAGGUCACUGGCAAGGUGUGCUACAAUCCUUGCGGCACGCUCUCUGUUCUCGACGUUAUCAGCUGUGCCUCUCAGACCAAUCAUGCCGAUCAGAUUCUGAACCGAGAUCCUGGAAGACAGUAGCUUUUGUCUUACAGACUUAUCCUCACUGAACAACUGGUCUAACACCCUUGCUCCCCAUAGAUGGUCGUCAUCCCCAGAUGCAGACUGGAGCUUCUCUACACCGUAUGCGAUCAAGUUCCAAUUGUCAGGAAGCUCCCCGUCCUUCCUGAACUUCCUAGCUGUUUCUGAAUAGUAGAGGGAAACGAUUUCUUUACGCCUUUCUUCAAGCCCACAGUGUUUUUCCGUUCGUGAUUGCAAUCUACCCUUCACACUGAAAAUGACUAUGUAGUAGGAGGCGAAUAAACUCUGGAACAGAAUUAGGCCAUAGAAGAUGUCCAGUGCGGCGUACAGUUUUGAUCUGUUGCCAAUAUCUCCACCCACAUCGUCGUAAUCUCGUCGUACAAGACGCCACACUGCGACCCCCAGGUUCACAAAUGGCGAAAGAACAUACAGAAAGGUAAAACACACGAUAAAAAUCCACUUCAGUACUUGCACCACACGCAGCACGAUUACAACCUUAUGCGCCUCGAACCAUUUCUGUUGCCGGAGAGUAUCAAUGAUGUAAUCCUCUUCCCAAUAAAUCCCUUUACUGAGCUCGCUGUUACUAAUUUCCGCCAUCCUGCGUAAUAUGUUGGAAAAGCUAAGGUUGUCUUUGUCCAUCGAUAUGACCAUUAAAAUUCAGGAUAUGGUGUCACACAGAAUUGGGACUUAGCUGCUUGCGGCAGUCACUCCAUGGCUAAUUACAAGACAUUUUUUUUCUCUUUAGGAGUUGGAAGAGGUAGACACUCUAGCGGGACAGCCACAAUAUAGUUCAAGAACCGUUACUAUGCAUUUUGGAAGUUUCGGGAUCACGAUAAGAAUGCGGAACAAGGUUAAGAACUGCUGGUAAUAUUUACUCUAGUUCCUUUUUAACAAAAAUAUCGACUAUGAACACAGCCGCUUCCUGUACAACUACCGGGAGUAGGUUAAGGGUUAGUUAUAUAACUUUAAAGGCCAUUUUGGUCCAUCUUACUUUAAACUUAUCUUACACCAAAAAGAAGAGACAACAAUGGAUAUGCAAACAGUUAAACUAGCAAGGUCGAGACCAAAGCAGGUUACUUAAUUUUCCCUUAGACGCAACAUAUGGCCGAUGUUUUAUCAUUGUCUUUAUAUAUUUUUGGUUUACAAGAAUAUUUUUUUCACAUGCAUACUUUGUCUAAAAACAUGAAGGCCAUAUGCUAAGUGUCGGGAUAGAUCCCCAUUACCCGCAAGGAAGGAAGAAGACGGACUCCAACUAAGAUUCUGUAAUCCAACUACAAAUAAAACCAUGUAAUACUACUAGGACUCCUCCUUGUAACCGACUAGUUAUCCCGAUCCCUGGAGUAUAUAAAGGAGGGCAGGGUACCUAGAUCGGCAGAACCACAACAGAGGACCAAAUCCUCAAUACCAAACAACACCCAAGUACAUGGCGCAAUAUACAACACCCUAAAUAGGAUGUAGGGUAUUACGCUACACUGGCAGCCCGAACCUGUAUAAAUCCGUGUCUUGUGUCCUCAUUUUUAUCAUCAAGUUCCAAGUCCGACGAUUCCCCACCAACCAAUCUACUACCUCGGGAUACCCCUCGAUAGGUUGCCGGGUAUAAAACACCGACAUCUGGCGCGUCAGGUUGGGGUGAUCGUUGAGAUCAUCGGGCAAGCUUGAAGGACCUCAUCUUCAAAAUCAAUCUACUCGACGAGAAGCAAGUCGCCGAGUUCCAAUUCGAAGCGGAUACGGAAAGCUUGUGGGAGAUCAUCGGUUGUCGGCUUGUCUACAUGCAAAAAGCUGCAGCACUGGUCGCACUGCUAUAGCUGGUCAUCCUCCGUGGCUCUGUGCGUCGCUCAAGGCUGAUGAUCCGCUACUGAUCCACACCUGUGAGAAGGAAAAAUCCUGGCAAAAUUAUUUUUCCAUCUUCGAGUUGAAGUCACCGACGAUGCAUCUUAAGCUAAUUGCUUCUAGCUGCCAAAUCCUAUACUAAAGCAAUGAAGGCCAAUCAAUAUUCCAUCUAUUGCUCGUGCGCAAAUCGAGGAAACUACCAGCUCGAUUACUCUCCGUGCAAGGCUACUUUUCAGGGUUUCAGUACACGUACCAGGAAGGCCACUAGGAGAUCUGUUCCUCUUCACUACAUGUACUCAAGAAAUGCACGUGGGACUUCAGAAUGCAUGACUACGCUAGCUUCACAAGAGCGCUCAAUGACACAAUAGUGACUACCUAAAACUUCUCGUCUCGACUACAAACUAGUCGAGGGUGGGUUCCACGUGAUCAACAACUAGUCGGAAUCGACUCCGACUAGUCGGUUUCAUCAACAACCGCCGCGGCUUCAUGACGACCACCACGGGUUCGUCGAUAAUCGUCCACGAAUCAAGCUAAGUCACUUUUUUAAUUAUUUCAUAUAUUUUUUCGGGCUUGUUUUCCACAUGAUGGGCAACGUGCUGAGUACUUAUUUGUGUACGCCUCUCAAUGGGAAUUAGCCACCAAAGCCACACUUUGCCGAUUAUUCCUGGGGUAUAUUGACCGACCGCCACGGGCUUGGUACAUCAAAUUACGGAGGCUAUGGCCACGGGUUUGGCGCACAGAGUGCUGGAGGCUUGCAGCGGCUACACCCUAAGAAGGCACAAAUCCUAUAUGCGAACACACGCUCUUCUCGCUAAAAGGUAGAAAAGUCUCAUCGACUACUUUAUGCAAUCAUGCUCUCUUUUUGUUGCAAUGUCGACUACUUAUUUUUGUUGUCUCCUAUUAGUGGCCACUAAUCUCCUCGAGCAGAACAUGUCUCAAUUCGUGAAAGCCUCGAAUCUUCUGUCAUACCUAAAUGUUAGGACGCGUACACGAGAGAAAGAUCUCAGAUGUGUAGCAGCAGUGACAGUACGCGUACACGAGAUAAAGAUCUCACACGUAGUGACAAUAGCUAAACAGGAGCUAAGUGCCAAAUAACUACUUGACGUGGCUCCUUCAGCUCAUCAGGCGUAUAAGCUCGGGGGCUGGACGCUGCAAAACUACUCAGAUGACGAUUGGCGUGAAGACUAAAGCUCGCUAGACCCUUGAAUUGGUUAUUUAAUCAUUCCAGGACUCGAGGGCUGAUAAGCUACACCCUGUCGGGGAUAGAUCCCCAGUACCCGCAAGCAAGGAAGAAGACAGACUCCUACUAGGAUUCCUAUAUAAUCCUACUAGGACUCAUACCAUGUACUCCUACUAGGAUUCCUUGUAACCGACUAGUAAUCUCACCACCUGGAGUAUAUAAAAGAGGGCAGGGGUCCCUAGAUAAGUAGGCCAAGACCUCAAAGAAAUACAACAGAGGAGCAAAUCCUCAACACCAAACAACACCCAAGCGCAGGAUGCAAUAUACAAUACCCCAAACAUGAAGUAAGGUAUUACGCUACUCUGGCAGCCCGAACCUGUAUAAAUCUGUGUCUUGUGUCCUCGCUUUUACAAUCAAGUUCCAGGUCCGGCAAUCUUCCACCAACCAAUCUACUAUCUCGGGAUACCCCUCGGUAGGUUGCCAGGUAUAAACACCGACAUCUGGCAUGCCAGGUAGGGGUGAUCGUCGAGAUCAUUGGGCAAGCUUGAAGGACCUCAUUAUCAAGAUCAAUCUACUCAGCACGGUAUGAUCAUUGUUACGUGCUGAGCAUUCUCAACUCAACAAUUUUUGAGUGCAAGUGCAAGACAAAGUUCAAGACCGAAUUGAUUUCCAGUGUUGCACUAGAUGAUCAUCUGAAGACGUGUUGAAUUAAUCACGCAGCCAGAUUGUUAUCACGGGAGCACAGGAGGACCAAGGCUCAUGGAUAAAGAUGGAGGCAGUCGGAUUCGACUUCAAGAUGAAAGUUCCCAUUUAUAUGGCUUGUACGAGCUUCUGGGCAAUCUGUGAUUAGGACAAGGAAACACCUGCUAUCGGAUUACAAGGCGGAGGAAGACCACCAGCAUCAGAGUUCGAAGGUGAGUCGUAAUCAUCCGUCGAUCCCAUCUACGAAAAAAUACUACACUAUGCAGCUGUCGACAGGUGGAGGGACUUGUAAAUCUGUAAGGAAUCAGUGCUCGUAGCUUAAGAGGGGGAGGGGGUGAAUUAGGCAACUUAAAAAUUUAACCUAUGGCUUCCACUACUUUGCACAUAAGUAAACUAGAUCAUUCUAUCCUAGAAGUGCAUUCUAUGGUUGAUCCAAUGUAAAACCCUCAUCCCAAAACAAGUUUUGCAACCUAUAGCUAACCCUAUCAAGUUACUAUUCUAGGAAAGUAAAGGCACACAAGUUGCAAGUAUGAAAUGCGGAAACGUAAGAGGUUAGGAUGAGGGGAAGCAAACUAUUGACACAAUGAUUUAUCCCGUGGUAUCGGUAGGCACUAAGCAACCACUAGUCCAUGUUGUUGAAGCACUCAAACAAGAGUAAUGCUUCCCGCUCACCAAGUCUCUGCCAAAGUGCCCAUUGACUUGCCGAAAAGGCUCGGCCACUAAGGCUCACACCAAGUCCCUCGGUCACCUUGGUACCAUCUCCACUAAGGAGCUUCUCCACGAAGGGAGGGGGUCUCCACGUCCCCUGCACAAGGUCAUCGACGCCGCUCCAUACCAAGCUGGAGGGUUGAAGACUUUUCGGCGAGCCACCAAGGCUCCAAGGCACUGGCACACCUCUUGUACAGCGGUAGUUCUCUCUAGAACCUGAUCACAAGGUUGGCACACCUUGCACUCACUCCUCUCUAGGCCUAUCCGACAUUGGAAACAUCUAGGAAAAUAGGCGUGAUUGGGUUCAAAAACCGGCCUGGCCGGUUUGAGUUCUAAAAUAGGCACUCGUUUCGGUGCUGUUAGUGCAGGUUUGAUUUGAAAUUUUCCAUCGGAUGCUUUGACGUAACAAUAAAAAUUACCAAGUGCAAUAUCAGCUAUCACAGUUUGUAACAUGAAAAAAUAAUAUGUAAAAAUGACUACAUUGUUCGACUCUGGGAUAUAAAAUUCUCGCCACAACGUGAACACUAUGUUUCAUGCAACAUUCACUAUGAAACAUAUAGAAACAAUAGUUGCAACAUGUACGCUUAACUAUUGCAAUAUAUGUGGAGCCGUUCGAUUUUUUAAGAUUGCGAACGUAUACUUGAUUUCGAGUGAAGCUGGCGCCAAGUUUGCCCGCCGGCUCUCGAUUUCAUGAUCCGCCGCGGCCAAAUUCGUGCACAGGUACUCUAUUUUUAUUGGCGCUCGAUUUUGACUUUUGAGGUCCACUAGUGCCGUUCCGCUGACACCACCUCGCUAUCCUGCUCAGGCCGUCUUCUCUCCCUUCCUCUCUGGUCUCUCAGUCUCUCACUUGCAUAUGGGGUUUUGGUGAUCUAUCUGUCUCUCAUCGAUCAGUCGACCGAGGGGCCAUUAGAGUGAAAAUUUGACAUUAACGGCGACACAAGUUUUGACGGACGCAACGGCAAUGGCAGGCAUACAUAGAAGGAAAAUGAAGAAUUUGAAUGGCAGGUUCACUUAUAAGGAAAGCUAAUGUAGUACCUGAAUGACAUGAGGAAGCUGAGUGCAGUGAGGACCCAGAACUCCUUGAGCAGGAGAUCGUCGAUGAAGCCUCCGAGGAGCACGACGGUGGACCACAGCAACGCCAGGAAUCCCAGAGCGCUUACAAUGUUCCCCGUGGCGGUCCGAAGCCUCACGUAGCGAUUGAUCAUCAGCACCUCCGGCCUUUCCAUGGUUCCUUAAUUUUUGUCAAAACUCUGAAAGAAAUUAAACGAACGUUUGCAAUAAUGGAGGAGGCCGAUGUCUGGUUUGCCUUUGGCAAUGGGAUUUGCCAGCGUGUGGUCACUGCUCAUGCUGCCCGAGUAAUGGGUAGCUUGACCGCUCCAUUUCUGGGUCGCGUUAGUUCAGCAGAUGCUGUCACAACAUGCACAUGAAGAGGGAGCACAAGUGGUAAUAGCUUCCAACCAAAUUAAGUUUUGGAUGCAAUAAACAAAUACUCCAGCCGGCGGAUUGUUUUUAACAAAUCAUGUUAUUUAAUGAAAGUUUCCAACCGGUACACGUACAGACAUACGCAAGAAGGUGUUUUUUUUCAAAUAUAAUAAAUAGAUAGACAAACUAGUAAUAACAAAUGCAACAGCCGGCGGAUUGUUUUUUAAUAGACACAACAAAAGACACAUACAGACAUACGCAAGACGGUGUUUUUUCCCCAAAUAUAAUAAACAGAUAGACAAACUAGUAAUAACAAAUAAUCCAGCCCGCGGAUUGUUUUUUUUAACGAAAUCAGCAGGAAGCUCCUACCUAUUUUUUUAUAUUUUUUAUUUUAAAACCGUUUAAUUCAUUCCCACAGGAAGUUGAACCCGAACCUGUUGGGUUCUACUCCAGUGCUCUAACCACUUGGCUAGAGGUUCGAUUGUUAUCUAUGAAUAGGACUAAUGUGCUAAUUAAUUAAGCAAGCUUCAUUGGUGCUUUGACAAGAGUCUAUCAUAUCUAGUUAAUAACCAAUCACAUCUUGUAUCAUCCAAAACAAUCUUUAAACUACUACCUUCGGUCAACCUCCCGAAAACCCCCACCCUACACGGUAGACACCGUCACGAUCCCUCCUAUUAGCGCAGGUAGUUUAAAGGCACGAACACAGAUAAACAUGUCUAGCUAUCAUGAAGGAUCGACAUACUAGAUCUAAUAACAAUGAUUACACCAAGCAAGCUAGAUAGUCUAAUCCGGAACUAGACUAGGAACAAGCAUAUCCAUGAUAGACAGAAAGCAUAGAAGGAGGCAUUGAGUUACUAACAGAUCGGAUGAUACGAAGAACAUUGCUUACAUAAUAGAUGUAUUUAGACCAUCACCUCCAAGUACAUACCAUCGAUGAUCUACUACUACUCCUGAACUCCACCAUGGCACAACCACACAGGGAGGCCAUGGCAGCUAGGGUUUGGCCUAAGCCAUCUCCUCGAUAACUCCGAAGACUUGCGGCGGCCGUCAGCUCACACUGGUGAAUGCCCUAGGUUUCAUCGAGUUUUGGUGGAUGGAUGUGCGUGCCGAUGGAGAAUUAGCAUAUUUAUAGCCUGAAGAUGCCGUGGGGGCAAAAGGCACCUCAAACCGACCCAGAAAAGGGCAGGCCGAUCGGCCUACCCCCGACAGGCCUCUAAUGCCCGAGCGCUUCAUACAAAAGUUGUAGAACUUUUUGAGGCAUGCAAUUUUCCCUGUAAAUUCGCUCCAAUCGAAGUUCAGAUGAUGAAGAUAUGACCCGUGCAAAGUUGAGCUCCUCCUGCGGGCCUGCAGUUCAAUGUUCAUGUUUGGGCCUUCCAAUAUACAAAGUCCAAGCCCAAAUCCAACUUAUAGAAAAACCCUUCAUUUAUGUCGUAUUUCCUACCAUUUUCCAAUGUAGUACAAAAUACAACACAUAUGCGAAUAUGAGAUUAUUUCAAGUGCUAAAUGGCGGGUUAAUUAGUAUAAGAUUUAGUCUAGAAACACCACUCAAAUAGCACGAAAAAGGUGGCAAUAACUAGCGGCAACACGGCACUUAAGGGAAGACUAAAUUUUUAAUGUCAUGGAAGGGAAUAUGAUGAUAUUUAAUGACAUACAUGGAGUUGACUCUUUGCAAAUGGGCACGCUUGGUCAGCUGUGAUGCUGAGCUGAAUAUGUAUGCAUUAUAUAUGUCAUCAUGUUGCAUUGUACAUGAAUGAGGCUUUUGCAUUGCAUGUGGAACUAGUCUCUUUAUCCUCGAACAAUAAAAUGAGUACAUUGCAUAUUGGAAUUUGAUGGCAUUAAGUUUAUGUUGAAAAUAUUUGUUUGAUGGCGACGUUAUAUUUGAAAAUGUUUGAAAAUGAUGUAACAAUAAUGACAUGAUUACUAAUUCGAAACAAUAGUGAUUUUCCAGUUUUAGCAUGUCAUCAUAGAAAUAUUGUAACAUGAAGCUUCUCAUUAUUAGAACACCGAACAUGUAAGGAACUGUAUUAUCCUAUGCUUAACGAGGGACAUCCACCUACCAUGGAUGUACAUCUUCAAAAGAUUAUGGUAAAAAGAACACCAAACAAUGAGACGUACAUUUGAUGGUUAAGAACUCUGGCAUGGGUUGACGCAAGGGAGACUUGCAUCCUGCAUGGGUUUUCUUUGUUGUUGGGCUUAGAACGAAUGAAGGAGACCUUGCAUUGGAGUUUGGAGGUGGUUGACCCGCGCCCAUUGGUGGUGAUGGACGGUGGCCAGGGCGUGGGUAGCCACGGGUGGUCGUGGUGUGGAGCUAUCAUCCAAGAGGUAGCAGCGCUGGCUUCAAAUUAAGAAGGUGAAGAGGACUCGAACCUUUUGAUCAGGGAAUGAAACUGUGCUGUAGGUGGGGAUGCUUAUGACAUGCUGCCUCCUGGACCAUGAGGUUGUCGACGACGAAAUGCGUCAAAGGUGAGUAUAGUUUGUACAGAAAUCCUCAAUUUCUUUGCCCCAGCAGAUCGAUUCAUCAAAUGCAAAUCUGUUCAAUGAUGGACGUAUUUUUCUUGCUGAAUAUACUGUACAUCACUACUUAGACAGCACAUGACUAUAUUGUCAACGAGAAUUGGAAAUCUUAGUUCUGAAACAAGAGUAAAAACACACGUUUAUUCUCUCACACUCACACAAAUAGGCCCAGAAGAUGAUUUAUAGAUAAAGUACGUCCUUGAUACAAACACGUGCAUAUCGUGCUCUUCGUCACCUCUGAAGAACAUUUGCAAACGGAGACUCACUCACACUUGAUCAUUUCAGGUACGGCAAUGGCCAGUGGACUGAGAUGCAGCGGCAAACCUACAACUUGGUCGACGCGCAAGCAAGGCAUAUAGUUCAGGUAUCCUAACUUGGAAGUAGAUUGCUCAAGAACAUGGCUCUGAAUCCUGAACACUGUAUCCGAUGAAACUGAACUGAACAUUGGCAAUUAUUUGUUGGCAUCAGGUGUAUCCGAACGGAUGGUCGGCGAUCCUGGUGUCGCUGGACAACCAGGGGAUGUGGAACCUGAGGUCGGCGAUCUGGGACCGGCAGUACCUCGGCCAGCAGCUCUACCUCAGGGUCUGGACGCCGGAGCAGAGCUUCGCUAACGAGUACAGCAUCCCGACCAAUGCCAUACUCUGCGGUAGAGCCGCCGGCUUGCCGCACUGAUGACCAAGAUGCAGAGCAUACAUGGUCGAUUCAUCCUAUACUACCUGCAUAUUUCGUAGAAUAAAUCGUUCUACUUAUAUAGCUGAUGAAAUCAAAAUGAUAGGUGACAGAGUGUUUUGUUGUAGCCAAAAGCUCAGAAUCUGAACUUGCUAUUCUUUGAUGGUGAUGUCAGUAAUUUUUAUUUCUGCUUGUGGUUUGCCUGUGGGUAAGGAAGGACCUCUCAGGCUGAAGCUGUCCCAUGAUCUUUUCUCCAAUGCAUUGUUGAUUCAGAAAUGACAGAUGUGUUUGGAUGUUUACCAGAUUGUGUGAUGUCAGCAGGUUUCAGCUUUAUGCAACCAAAUUUCAAGGCACAAGAUGUUGAACCAAACUAAAUUCAGGCGGGAACAAUGUAGUGGUUUGUAGUGUUUCAGUUUGAAAUGCUCGCUCAUUCUAGUUUCCAUUCCUGCUAACCAAUUUCCUCUUCGACUGAGAAGCACUUGAAGCAACCAUCUCUUGGUCUCUGAAUUGUAAAAGCUGCUCCGAAUUCUGUAGGGGGCAAAAAUCAUUUUUUUAAGUAAAACCAGCAGGUUCUGGAAUCAAAUUUCCACUCAACAACUGGGGCCAACAAGUUGUAGCUUCAACAAUCUAACAGCUUCAAGAAUGUAAAACCUCGUGAAGGUGGAAAGGACUUUCAGAGGUUCAGGAGUGAAAAAUUAAAACAUGAACUAGUUUGAAACAUAGUAUGAUGAUGGAUUAUAAAUUUUUUCAAGGAUCUGCUGGCAUUUUGUUAUUCUUAAGCACUGGCACUAGGCAUUAACUUGUAAGGUUAAAUGAUUGUUGAAUGGCAUUAAAGAGAGGAGACUAGGGAACUACCAGAUCGCAGUAUGUUUUCUACCCAGGGGCGGUUCUAGGGCCCGGGCUGCCUGGACUGCAGCUCGGGGUGAGCCCAUGUUGCCCCUUUAACAUAUGUGGUGUUUAGCCUAGGUCCAGGAGGUAAGAUCAGACUGUUUUAGGUGUGAAUCAGCAGCUCAGCCCGGGGGGAUCCGCCCCUGUUUCUAUCCAUACAAUAGUUUUGAGAACAGGGAUUGCAACAUUGCAGUUGUUCUGAAAUAAGGAAUACGGGAAUAAAUUCAACCUGUUCUGCUCUGCUCAUAUCGCCGUGGACGCGAAAGCAAGACAUAACUUCAGGUUUCAGUGUAUUAUUACCUGGAAGCAGAUUCCUCAAGAACAAACAAGCUCUGAGCACAACACACGGCCAACAAGUUGUAGCUUCAACAAUCUAACAGCUUCAAGAAUGUAAAACCUCAUGAAGGUGGAAAGGACUUUCAGAGGUUCAGGAGUGAUUUUUAAAAAAUGAAUCGGGUAGGAGAGCUGCCGAUUAUAUUAAUAAAGAAGAUGAAGUUCAGGUUGGACGAAAAUAAAAAAAGAAAAAAAAUGACGCAGGCACCGAUAGGUUGGAUUGAGUCCUCAACGCAUGCCGUACCAUGCCCUCACACGCAACUCAACUAUACAACACAUCGGCCGCUUGAAUUGGGACAUCAACCAUCGCCGAACUCCACUCCUUACAACACCUUGACGAUAGAACCGAAGCCUUACCAUAUGCGCAUAGGCCCAUCGCCCGUAGGAGAUGCUGCAGCGGCAUCGCCAGUGCGCCGCGAACAACGACGAGGGUCCAGGGAUCCAAGCGCAGGGAUGGCUCGGGCUCCGGGCCUGUGCUGCCACCGCAGCCGCCGGGGCAGCACGAAUGGUCUCUCAACCAGGCGUGGUCAAGUCGAGGAUGCUGGUGCUGGCAAGUGGUGAGCUCGUCGCCGGUGGCUGUGCACGGUGUAACACCCUAAUUUUCAAAGUUUGCAGUUAAUAAAAUUAACAAAAUUAAAUGCAUGUGUCUAAGGAUUUAAGGGUUGUAUUUAAAUUUUUCUUAGGCAAUUAAAUAUUUUUUAAAAUAAAUUAAUGAAUCAUAGGAGUUCAUUAUUGCAUUCAUGCUGGUGCAUUGUUUUUUGUUGUUGAAUUCAAAUUUGUGUUUGAAUUUAUUUGUUUGAAUCUUUUAAACAAUUGGAAACCUUUUCCUUUUCCCCUCCUUCUAUUUUCACCCUUUCGGCCCACCUUCCUCUUUCCGGCCCAGCCGCAGCACCAGCGCAGCGCCAGCAGCAGCCGAGUAGGCUGGCCCAUCUCCGCCUCGGCUGAGCUCCCACACUGCUCCUCCACUUCUUCCGCAGACGGUCGGGACCUGCUUGUCAUCCCCCUCCUCCCGCUAUCUCCACGCCGGACCCGAGCACGAGUCCAAGCCGGACUGCGCUGCCUCGCACCUUGGGCCCACACGCCAAGGCCGCGCCCCAGCUAUAAAAGGCCACCGCCUCGAGCUCUAGCGCAGCCUGCAACUCGAGCCCGAGCACAGCACACGCCCGUCGCCAUUGAUCUCCUCCGCCGUUUGUCGUUGUCAGGACUUAGACUAGUAAAUUUCUUUUAUGCGCGUAAAGCUUCGGAUGGUGGCGUGGGAGACACAGGGUUUAGACUGGUUCGGGCAAGGAAGAGUCCUACGUCCAGUAUCGGGAGCUGCUCGUGUUGCCCACGCGGGGUCUGUAGUAGGGGUUACAGGAGGACGAGAGAGAGGGAGCUGAUCCCGAGUCUCUUGGGUGUGCAUUGAUGCUCUAGAGUGUGAAUGUGUUCUGUUGGCUUAGAGAGAGCGAGUCCCUUGUCUCAGGUCCCUCGGUUCUCCUUUUAUAGUGCAAGGAGGCCACCGGGGUUACAAGUGAGACCGGGUGUGAGGAGAAAAAAGAGAUAAGCUAAGUCAAGUGAGGUACAACACAAGGGGAGGGACCAAGUCCCUAGGCCGUCGGCGUCCUCUCCGGCCUUCGGCUCCUGCUGGCGCGUCCGCCGGAAGAGGGCGACCGCCGUCGAGUCCUGUCAACGGUCUCCUCGGUGGAUGUCGCCACCAGGCGUGAUGAUGGUAUUUCGUCGUGGCACCUGUGUCCGUUGGGGAAGGCGGCUGAUCCUGCCAUCUUGCCGAUGGCCCGCGGAAGGCGGACGUCGCGUCCUUGUCGCCGGACGCGCCGGGAGCGAGAACGGGCGCGGCUUCCUCCUGCUCCGAGCGGCGCAGGCCAUGAGGGCCCUGUAGCGAAUCGGAGGAAGCCGCAGCCACUGUAGCCUAUACCGCGCGGCCGCGCAUGGGUACUUGUGGCGGGUUGCGUUGGGGGCACGGACGCCUUUCUGCGUGUCAGAACUGCGGCACAUUUAUGGCGAGAUCGACAUGGGGACCCAUGAGAUCCGCGCCCGAGGUGGAUACUUGUCUGGUGGGCCCAGGUGAGUCUGACCCCCUGUGCCCUGAGUCGGGCGAGGCGGAGUCUUGCAGUGGGGGGUCGGGCGCUCCCGACCCCAGGCCUGCGGGUCGGGCGAGGCGGAGUUUGGUCUUCAAGGGGUCGGGGACGUCCGACCCCGGGACACUAGGUCGGGCAAGGCGAAGCAUGGCUCUCUCCUCCCGUGUUGGGCCGACGGCAGUCUUUAUCGCCCUAGGUGGGCUUGGGCCUUUAUGUUUUGUUGUUUUCAUGGGCUUUAGGAGGUCGUUAAUAUUUCCCCCCAACACCGUCGCCCUUCCGUCGAUAAGGACACAGCUUGGAGCGCUGCAAAGGAGGUGAGGAGGCCACCUGUGAAGUUCCCAUGCUCCCCCGUGUCUUCCUUCACGUGAACGAGCUCGCUGGAGACACGCGCCGCCGCAACGCCUCACGCCGUUGCCGCUCCAACCACCACGACAACCCCCUAGAUGUGUUCGCCGUGCACUUCGCUUCCUCCAGGGCUUGAUCCCUCGCAAACCACGCCCGGAUGCUCGAUUUCAAGCGAGUUCCACCGCGCGCCGCCGCUCUACCGCUCGCGUGCUGCCCGUCGAGUCCCUGACGGUCCGGAUUAGAUCUGACCUAUGUCAAUACCAAUCAACCCCCGCACCACGCCGUUCAUUUUGCUAAAGAGGCCCUUUGUGGUUUUUGCACCCGAGGUCCAGCGCAGUUCAAAAUUAAUUAGAUCUAGGUCCUUUUUCUUUUGUUUUAGCCCCUGGUCUUUUGUAAAAUAGUGCCCACCGUCCUAGCCUUGCUCUUUUGCGCGUUAAACCUUUGGUUUAUAUGCGUAUUUAUGUUUUAGCCAUCGGUUUCCCAUAGCUUAGCCCCUGAAAGUUUAGUUUUCUUACAUAUAAGCUCCUACACCUUGUUUAGUUCAUAUCUUUAGCGUUUGUGGUCCGUUUUAAGAGAUUCUUGCAUCUACGAGUUCAUCUUAACCCAUAAAUUAGUUUUAUGACCUUGUUUUUCUCUGUUGUUACUGUUUGGUGUAUUUUUUUCUUAUUUUAUUCCCUUAUUUGCUUGUAUGUGCUCAUGUGAUGCCUAUAGAAGGACCGCAGUUCGAGGAAUUCGAAGGUCAAGCUUUGAGGACUUCGAGAGCUGGAGCAAGUCCAGGAAGGCAAGUCGUGCCCUUGAUCACAACUUGACCCUAUGCAACCUUUACUUUCAUGCUUUGUCCAACGCUGCUUUCUUGACCUAGCAUCGGAACAUCCGAUGUGUAACGACCCUGGUCAAAUCAUUCGAGUUAAUCUUAAUCCGAGUCCCAAAUUCCUCUGUCUCAGCUCUUCCCGAGCAGGAGUGCUCCACUCCAGUUCCCGGUCCCGACCCCUGAAGACCCCAACCCACCCCGCCAGUUCCUUCUAAGUCUCAAUAACAGUGUCCCUUUCAAUCUUGGGCAGAGGAGAAACCGAGACUGACGGGUCAACCCGCAAUCUUUUCCCCGGAUCUCCCGAGGCAGACACACUCGAGCGGCCUGCACCGCUUCAGAGCUCCCCCGCUGCGUGGCUCAACUUCUCCGACACCCGCCGCUUCACCCAGUCGCCGGCCACGACAGGAUGGAUUCUCGCGCCCUCCUCCCCAAUCGCAGCGGAAGCCCCUCUGCAACCCUUUCUGCAGCGCCUCGUCUCACUCGCGCCCUCGCCGGCCGCGCCUUGGUGCUCCGUCGCCGCUGUGGCAGAGAUUUGCCGCCUGCUGCGUCAAAACCACCUCGCGGCUCGCGCCCAUCAUCAUCUCACCGGAUCCCCGGCUGCAAGGCCCGAUGCCUUCCGGCUUUUCCGCCGCCUCUCCACAGUCGCGCCACCCACGAACUCGCUAUGCGACGAUUCCUCCAUCGCCAACCCCGACUCCAGCCGCGACAGUUCCUUAUCCGCCUUGCUAGAACUCUGCCCGGCAAACCGCUGUUUCGCGCUCGCCCACGCAGCCGUAGCCCGCCUGUCUUUUCACCUGUUGCAACCUCGCUUGUAGCGCCGUUCUUCCUGUCACACCAAUCAGAUCCGCCACUCGAAGACGCCCGCCUCCGCCAAAAUCUCAGCCCCGGCAAAACCGCGCCUGCGCCGCCUUGUCUCCCGUGCCCAAUAGCCGAGGACGCUAUCUCCGAAGUCCUGUUCCACCGCCCAUCGCUGCUCAAUCACCGCCAUAGCAGCGCACUCCAUCCUUUUCUUCCAGUCUUCGUGCUACUCCAACUCUCUCUCUCUCUUCCGCGCAGCUAUAAAAGGGAAUGCCAGAGUCUUACUGGAGUUCCCUUCGCCAUCGUUGCCUCGCCGCCUUGUUCCUCUAUUUCGUGCUCGAGUGCCGCCACCUAAGUUCUUGAGAAACUCUCAUCUCCGCUCAACACCCGCCCCUCCAAAUCCACCCAGCCGCCUGCUCCUUCGCGCUGUGCUAGAGCUUCCUUGUUGCUCACAAGAAGCUCCGCCACCGCCGAAGCACCGCCGGACAUCACCGCCACCCAAGCCUUAGUGCUUAAGACCUUCUGCCCAAGUCUACUCUUUCCCGACCCCAAAGCUUCACCUAUAAACCGAAGGUAAGCUGCCGACCCCUCACCGGUUCGCCCGACCCUAUCUGUUCACCCGACCCCUUUUCCGUCUCGCCCGACCCUGUCUGUUAGCCGACCCUUAUCUGCCUCGCCCGAGGACUCGGCUGUAUCCUUUCCUUGACCCGAGGGUACCUGUGUAAAAGAGCGGGGACUUCUCUACGUUAAGUCUGAGGACCCCCAGCACAGCUAUUCCUCUAGUUUAAGGGUCAGAUCAUAAGUUUCUUCCCAUCCAACCCUUUUAUCUUGCUCUCCACCAACUAAAGUAAACUUCCCCACCUUUUCUGUAGCCUUGCUGCAAGUGUCCGAGCUUAACUGCAAGUGUUGUUGAAAUAACCGUCUAAACACUAACUCCUGCAUUGCAUUCGUGUAGAGUUGCACCUCGCUGACGACGUCUACGAGCUACACUCGAUUCCAGAAGACGGAGCUGUAGCUGAGCUACCAGUUCCAGAAGCCGAAGUCGCCCAGCUGAAGACCAGUUCUCCUCCCCUCCGCUUGAAGGCAAGCCCCGAAGCAUGAACCCCAAAGUUUCCCAAACUUGCGCAUGCCUUCUUUCCCAUGUUUGUGCAUUUACGUAUAGGAGUUGUUUGCAACCUUAGAUGCAUGACAUAGUUCCUUUGAUCUGAACACAAGUUUGUUGGGCCGAGUAGUUGCUAUGCUUAAAUAGGAAGCGGUAAAAGUCGAGUGAUUUCCUGUCACUUGCGAGUUAUAGGAGUUGGUUGUUCUCCUUCUGUUACAACUAUAAGGACGAUGGACGGGGCAAGGUUUUGGUUAACUCUUUUGGUGGUCGAUUGAUCGCCCCGUCUGUCUAUAAAAUCUGUUAAGGUCCGACAGUGGUGGUGUUCGUGAUCAAGUGUUUGAAAGUACUAAUCUCAUACCUAGUAUGGGAUGGGGAAGCCUAGUACCUGAUUGAACUAGGGCGUUGCUUAUACCCCUGCUGUCCCUGGAACGAGGUUCCCAUGGUGCAUCAUGUGGGUGCAAGUGCAGUCGCAGUACGGUAGAGGCCGGGACUGUGGAGCAUUGCAUGCCAAGGGAAGUUUGGACCUGACACGUGCCUGGGAAUUGAUAGGGAUGGCCGACACAGGAAGCGACCCUGGUGGUGUGCGGAUGUCGUGAGAUUAGGUUCGCCAUGCAUGGUUAAGAAACUCGAAUCGAUUCGUCUGCCUCUCACAGUUUGAGACUGCUUGAUCGCUAUGCUACACUGAGUAAUGAAAGAGUUUGAUGAUGACAUGGUCUUGAUGAUGAGCUCAUAUACAUAAAGUUGGGUCUAUGUUUGCUUAGAGUAAGAUGCCAACGUAGACUGGUUAAUGAACUUAGAAUUGAGCUAAAACUUGAAAGCAAGGAUCUAACAUAGUCGCUUUUGGCAAAUAAACCCCUCAGCCAAAGAGCCUUGCAUGUCUAGACGUAGUGGAGUAGUUUUACCACCGGUCGGCUAAGUCUUGUUGAGUUUAGCAGCUCAGCCUUGUUUGUGGCUCUCUUUUCAGGUGAAGUCGCAGCUCCUGAGUUUGCUCCUGUUGGCACUUGGCCGCCCCAGCUCCCUCCGGGUUUGACGGUUGAGUGGGAUCCCUCCUCGGACGGCGAGGAAAGGGAUCAUUGAUGUCCUGAUCGGCCUCAUCAGGGACAUCCGACCCCGGCGCUAGGUUCCGCUAUUUUACCUCUUCACUGCUUUUUGAAUCUUGUAAAACUCUGACUUUCGUUUUGAUGUUGAACUAAAUUGUCAAACUGGUUUAACUCAGUGGAUCUGUUGUAUUCUCUGGAACCACUCACCUUCGUGUGAGUUUUGCUAACUUGGUCUUGUUAAGUGGUUAAAUCGGAUGAAAUCCGACGGCACUUCGAGUUAACUUGACUAAGGCAUGAGUGUCGCGUGUUAGGCGACUUAACUGUGCUUUAAUCAAGGUAAUCCAAGGUGGUUCCGCCACACGAUGGUCUAGGAUUUUUCCCUUCUCUUCUGGCAAUUGCUCCGACGCUACUAAAAAAGUGGCCAUCGGAACAUCCGAUGUCUCUGGAUUUUCUCUAUCAUUUGGAUGCUUCAAUACUAUAGAAUAAGCCUAGAUAUCAUGGCUUGAUCACUUAAAUACCAUAGCUUGGAUACUCGAAUAUCAAGAUUUGGAUGUCAAGAAUACCAUCAUUUGGACCUUGCCAUGAUUUGGUUUGCAUUCUUGAACCUAGAAAAUCUAUAAGGUACAAGCUAGACAAAGCAUUAGUCCCAAUAACUAUGUUGUCACUCAAUCACCAAAAUCACAAACUAUGGCUUAAUGAGGCCAUGUUCGCUACAACAGCCUAAUAAACAGAAACUACAGUUUGUGGAUGUCUGAAACUGAGAUAAAAUCAAGUGCAUAUCAAUGGCAAUAAUAUACUUAACGGUGUCCCUGUUCUUGUGCUGGGUUUAGGCGUUGCUGUGCUUCCUUCACAAGAGAUAUGAAAGAUUCAAAUGAUUUUCCAAGUGCUAUGUAUAAUGCAACCCUAAUUACGCACAACGUUCGUUUCCUGUGACGACGGUCGCUCUUGUCUUCCUCUUGGGCGACGACUGUCACUCCAAACUCUGGCGAGCGGCUCUUGCCCUGGUCGCCGCUCGGGAGGCGAUUCGUGCGGCCCCGGUCCUUUCCCUUUGGCUGACCUCUGCGCGAUCGGUGCUCUGCGCUUCUCAUCCAGGACGACCGGCGGUGGCGACAGGAGGUUUAACUGGUGAGGGGAGAGACGACACAUAAGAGAGAUAGGCAGGGGCACUUUGUAAAACUUUUUUUCGAGGGUCAGGGGGGGGGGGCGAAAUGCCCCCACCUGAUUCAUUCAAAACAUGGGCCUUUGGUAGGCCAAACAGGGCUUUUAUGCAAGAAAGGAAGGGUUUUGGGAAGAAGGUUCUAAACAACCAUUGUUCUUCUACAUGGAGUUGAAAAGGGAACACCAGUACUCGGCUAGCCGCCGCUCUCCUUGCGGAAGUUUGUGACUCCAUAGGCGAGUUUCAUCCCGUCAUGAAGCCCAGAACCUUACCUGCAACGCGGUGAAGCGCCCGAAGAACACAUCAUUACGAUGCUUCCACAGAUUCCAGGCAAUCAGGAUGACAAAGCUGAAGAAAUGCAGAGCAGGUACUGUUGUCGGACGGUGAACAGUCCAAAGGUUUUGAACUGAAGCACCAGCUGCGUCGAUUCCCAUCGAGCUCCACACCUGAGUUGCGAAGGGGCAUGAGAAGAUGAUAUGGUUGCAAUCCUCUACCACUCCACAAAGCUCGCAUGCCGGGCUGUCCACGAUGCUCUUCCUGAAGAGGUUAGCUCGGCAAUUGAUCCUUUCCUAUACCAGGAGCCAGAUGAAGAACUGAACUCUAGGAGGGGCGCGCUUUUGCCAGACAAACUUGGCAAAGGGGCAUGGAGGGGAGCCUGUCGCUGCCAAAAUGUUGUUGUAUGCGACACCAGAGUGCAGAUUACCGUCAGAAAUCAAGCUACUAUGCCGCCUGUCUUCCCCCUCCCGUAGUCUGACUUGGGCAAGCAGUUCAGUCAAUUGGGCCAGUUCUUCCCGUGCUAAGUGCGUCAGACGCGGCACCAGAUGACUGCUCAGGCCGUUUCUUAUUACCUGUGCAAUAGAAACAUCUGCCUUCACGACAUGUGAGUAGAGCAGGGGGAAGAGAAGUUCCAGACGACCGGCAGAAGCCAUUGAUCAUGCCAGAAGCUCGUAGUCUCGCCAUUGUAUACUUCUGAAGCUGUGACAGCCCGAUACAGGGGGAGUAAACUCUGCAAGCCUGCCCAGUGCACUCCUUCCACUUCCCCGUUCAAGGUUACAACGUUAAUUUGCCCAUGCGCCCAAAGCGCCCAUGAGGACCCCUCUGACCGGUAGAGACGAUGCACCAGGUUGAGAAGCAGGCUUUGGUUUUUUGCAUUCAAAUCUUUUAUACCAAGUCCUCCUUGUUCUUUUGGUUGGCAGGCUCGCUCCCAUGCUACUAAGCAUUGUGCGCCGCUCACACUGUCCUCUCCAGACCAUAAGAAGCAUCGACGAUGACGGUUUAAAGCUUCAGUUACCCUAGGAGGGAGGAGCAGCACAGACAUAGCAUAGGUCAAUUGACUGUCCAUGGCAACGUUGAUCAGGACUGCUCUCCCCAUCGGAUUCAGUAAACAGGCUCUCCAUCCACUCAGUUGACGAUCAGCCCGUGCAAUCAAUGGACUGAAAGCAGCUAGAUUUAGUUUCUCAUGGGAUAAAGGAAGCCCCAGGUAUGUUUGUGGAAAGGAUCCAAUCUGGCAGUUUAGAACAGUUUGCAUUCUUGCUGUCAGCGUGCAGUCCACAGCCAUAGGAACCAUCGUGCUCUUGUGGUAGUUGAUGUGUAAACCAGUGAAGGAGGAGAAAUUGUCCAGGAUCUGCUUCAAGUCUUGAACCUCCUCGUAGUCAGCUCGAAGGAGGAGCAGUGUAUCAUCUGCGUAUUGAAGGACCGGGCAUGGUUAAUCUUGGGCCGCUGGGUGAUGCACUCUUGUAUCAGCUCUGAUCAUCUGUUGGAGCACAUCUGCAACUAGGAGGAACAAGUAUGGCGAGAGAGGGUCCCCUUGGCGAAGGCCCCGUUUGCAGCUGAACCAGGGACCCGGCGCACCAUUGACCAGUACGGCGAGCCUUGAACUCUGAAGCAUGUCAGUGACCCACCUAUUCCAGGACGCAGGGAAGCCUCUAGCGCUGAGAAUACCGUUGAGGCUAUUCCAGUUGACUGAAUCAAAAGCCUUAGCGAAGUCGAGUUUCAGAACAAUUGUUGGCAGCUUACGACGAUGGCAGCACUGGAUCAGUUCCGCUGCAUAUACAAAGUUUUCUGAGAUGGAGCAUCCCUUAAUGAAACCUGUCUAGUCCAGGUCAAUGAGCUUGGGAAUUUGUAGUUGGAGACGGGAGGUGAGCAUCUUUGACAUGAUCUUCAAGGAACAAUUUUGCAAACAGGUCGGCCGAUAAUCUCCUGGUGUCGCUGCUGCAGAGGCUUUUGGGAUCAUAAUAACGUAUGAUCAAUUCAAUCGCUCCAACUCAGCUUCACCGUCUUGGAACGCCUGGGCCAGUCGCAUUACUGCCAGAGCGAGAGUGUUCUAGGAUAGUAGGAUGCCGCGUAGAACGACGGGCCGAAGCCGUCUGGCCCGGGCGAGCUGUGCUUGUUCAUGGCGCGGACCGCCGCUCGUGCUUCUUGCUCGGUGAACGGUGCAGUGAGUGGCGCGGCAUCGACGCGCUCUAGACCGGCGUAGAGCGCGGCAACGUCGACCGCGUUCUGGUCCACCGUACGUUCGUCGAGCAGCUCACGAAGGUGGUUCAUCAGGGCUGUUGUCUUCUCUUGAUGCGAGCUGAGUAGAGUACCAUCCACAGUCGGAGCACGUAUGUUGUUCCGGCGCAGGCGCUGGGUAGCUUGCGCAUGGAAGAAUUUCGUGUUCGCAUCGCCUUCCUUCAGAGCGCGGUGCUUGGCGCGUUGCUUCCAGUAGGCAGCUCGUUCUCGCAGUGACAGGUUUAGCCGAUCCUAACAGACCCGCCGCAGCUUUUGCUCUCCUGCAGAGAGAAGCCGGUGUUCCUAGAGCACAUCAAACAUAUAUAUAACGAAUUUGCAAUUGGAAGGGAGGGAAGGGUUUGCACGCCUGCGUCGUGCCCAGACCUUCGACGCGCACCGAACUGCCUUCAAUCCGCAUGCCACGCUCGCCGUCGCAUUGUGCUGUGGGUUAUCAGACCAGACCGGCAGAAUGGUGGUUAGGAAGUCUGAGUGUUUGAUCCAAGCGUUCUCGAAACGGAAGACAUUUGGUUUGGGGAUCGCAGUGGACAUGUGCAGUUGGAUUGGAGUGUGAUCUGAUGUAGGUUUUGGUAAGGAGAAGAGGGACGUAGAAGGGAAGGUAGUGCUCAUAUGGUUAUUGAAGAACACACGAUCCAGUCGUGCAAGCGUCGGGGAGCUUAUGUGGUUUGACCAGUGAACAGAUGAUCAAGCAGUGGGAGGUCAAUAAGCCCAAGGUGAUCUAUGGUCUCAUUGAACGCUGCGCACACAGAUGUGUGAACAAUGCCAUUGCUGUUAUCGGUGUCCUCUUGGUAAGGUUAAAAUCCCCAGCUAAAACCCAAUCCCCCGGGAUGUGGCGAGCCAACUCACGCAGAUCGUCCAGGAAGGGGGGGAGUCGCGGUGAUCAGUAGGAGCAUAGACAUUGCACGUUGUAUCAUCAAGAUGACACAAGUCAACUCAUGACAAGCUCACCCUAGGAACGAUACACGUAUCGAAAGCAAAGCUCAAAGUGAUCCGAAAGCGUGCAUGACAUGGCGGAAGCAGAACAUAAAGUGAUUCCAACAAAUUUGCACAAACGAGAUUAAGCAUGGUUACUACUAACAAAUUUCUCACGUAAACAUGCAAGGGAAAAAGAUUAUUUUAAGUGCUAAGCAUGAUUAGCAAAGAGAAAUCAAAAAGUAGCGCAAUUAAUCACUAAUUGGCUAACUAACAGCAAGGAUUAAAAAGUAAACUACCUUAAAUAAUGGAGAAAAAGAAAACAACCUCACUGCUUGUACGCAUGACCUGCUGCUCACCUGGACUUGCUCUAUUGGGCUGCGUGCUCCUGCUGCUUCCUGCAGGCCCACCUGGGUGCUGGUGCGUGAGCCAAGCCAACGCUACUGGGCCGCACGCCUGCUGGGCUUCUCGGCAGCUAGCUGGGCCGCUACACUCGCGCCUGGUCAGCUGCUUGCUCCUCGCUUGCGCUGCGCCUGCAGCCUGCUCACCCCGACGCCCUGAAGCCUGUGGAUGAACAGAGACAAGGAAUAGGAAGAACAAAGAACUCGAAACUUCAACUCUAAAAUCCUCACUCAAAACUCCACGAAUCGAGACGAAACUUGAGCCAAAGAGGCACAGCCCUAAAGGCUAAUAGAUCCAUAGAAAAGAUCACAAAAAAAGCUCAAGUUUUCAUCGCGGAUUUGGAGAAAAACUGAAACCCUACUCGAGAAACACGAUUUGGGAAAACUUAAAAUUCAAGCCGGAUUCGUGAGGGAUUUGGAGGGGGAUCGUAUCAAAGAUGCUCCCUAAGAUCCUAGCAACAAUUCCCUUCAACCAAUCUCACGAGAUUCGGGCUCAAACAUGAUGAACGAAAAUUCCCCAAAAAUAGCUCCAAAAAUAGGGAAAAAGAAAAACGCUCGGGAAACUAAGAUUUAGCACGAUUUGAGACAACAAACAAAACUAAAUCACGAGAACAUCUUCUAUACAAGAUGAGGACUAGCCUCCUCCCUUCAUCCACCCACUAAAGAUAAAGAAAUCAAGAGAAAAGAGUAAUCACUCUCUAAUCUCCCUCUCUCCCCUCACUUUAAGCACAUGACUAGCCUCUAAGUAAAUAGAUAAUGAGUUGCUAAGCAAAAAGGUGUUGAAAUAACCAGCCCCCAUCUCUAUUUAUAGUCCAGGAUGAAAGACUAUACUACUCCUACAGCUACAACUAAGAUAACUACCCACGCAGGGGUAUUUUGGUCCAAGUUUUUAUCCGCGCAUCGGAUGGACACGCCGCCUUCACGACUUUGCUUCACCUUGACGCAAGCUUCGCGAUGACGCCACGUGCCUCCUUCUCGAAGCUCCGGCCGCACCGGGCUCGCCCCCGGUUUUGAGGCCCAAACUAGGAAACCUGCCUGCGCGGUGGUUUUGAGGCCCAAACCACCCAAACCGUCCAUCUUUGCUUGGCCGCCACGCGACCUCCUCGAUGUCGACGCGUGUCCGGCCUCCACCAAGCCUCCCGCUCGACUCAACUGACGCCGUCUCCAUCCUGUCAUGUCCUCUCGCCAUUCCGUGCACCAUGUGGACCGCCCAUGACUUCGCCCGGACUCCUCGGGUCCAUCGGUUCAAGCCUACUCGCAUUCAUCCUUCACCGCCCUUGGUCCAUCGGCACGAACCUUUCGCUUGACCUUCACCGUACGCCGUCGACCAUCACGUCGCAUCCUACACCUGCACAUCACAAGCCAAGAGCAACAUCAAUCUAACACAACGUUGUCAAUCACUCAUCAUCCAGGGUGACCACCAUUGAUCCUCACAUUCCAGGAUAACAAAGAAAAGGAGACGGUUCCAGUACACAUAGGGGUACAAGCUGACACCAGAACAACACAAGUUGAAGGAAGAAACGAAACAAGCACAAGCGGGGGACACACGACGCACUAGGGAGGAGGAGCACAACACAACGGCAGGUAGAGGCAUACUACUGCUAGCGAAGGACAAAGUAGUACACCCUCGGGUCAUCCUGAGUUCAAGCAUUGGUGCUGUCGAGCACCGAGUCGAGCUAACGACCGGUGGCCGUCGUGAUGUCAAGAACAUCAUCCAAGGUUUUGACAGUGCCUUCACCAUGUCCCACAACCUCAGCCAGCUUCACCAGGUCCAAGCCCUUGAUUGGUUUGCUAGUUUUGGUCAACAUGUUCUUCUUGUUAACAAGAUUUUGGACCGCGGUGGAGCAGAGCGCAAGGCUGUUUUGGAGAGGUUUGAGCUGGGACGCUUUGGCGGUUGCAUCCACGAACUUCCCAGUUUCUUUCACGGCGAGGCGCGUGCUGUGGCGCGUUCCAAAUUUGGGCACCACACGGCACCCGCGUGGUGCUAAAGCCGCUUGGGGCACAUUGGCAGCAGCAAAGCAAGCAGCUGGCGGAGCUUCAGUAGCUGUUAACAUGGAGGGCGGGGCGGCAGACACAGGAGAGUUUGGCGGUGUUGGCGGGGUUUCGGUAGCAGGUGCCGAGGGGUGCCAUGUGAGGAGCAGAGCAGGCUGUGCACGGCGGACCCCGGCUGCGUUCGUGGGUGCUCGCGGCAGGUGGAUGAGGAUUGGCAGCGCAGGUAGAGGGGGAAGUGGGAAAGCGUUAAUGAAACCAUAGCAGAGGAUGGAUGUGCCGAGGAAAGGGGCAGGGUGGAGCAGUGCAGGCACAGAGCCAGCUGGAGAGGUUGGCGCGCGGGGGGGGGGGGGGGGGGGGGGGGGGGGGGGGGGGCGGGGCGGCGGGGCUGGGGGGGCCUCUGUUGAUCCGGCUGUGCAGCAGGCUGAUGAGGUGGCGCAUGCGGAGCUGGCGGUGGAGGAGGGUUGAAGGUGUUCAGGGUGUGGGCGGGGCCGGGUGGUGGUGGCGGCGCUGGACCAAAGAAGGGGAUCAGAUCCCCCGCUUCGUCUAGAUGCUGAUCACGCCGCCAGAACGACAGGGCGCCAAGGCGGAGCACGACGCCGUUCCUGCCUGCUUGGUGUGUGAACACCAAGGCGACUGGGGAGGUGUGGGUGUUGGAGCUCGAUCACCGCGCGCAUGCACGAGCGAUCGAAACCCGGGAUGCAGAACGGGUCGAUUUCAACCACAGAACCAACGCACCGGAGGAUGUUCUUCACUUGCCUCGCCGACCAGUGCUCCUCAGGGAGGUUCCAGAUCGCGACAUGGGUGAGCCACGUUGGAUCGCGCACGAAACGAUCAUCCGUCUCUUCCACUCGCUCCAGCUUGACCGUUGCUCCAUUCAGGUGUAUGGGUUGCGCCGCAACAGCAACUUCACACACGGCAGCAGACCCGAAGUGGAGCAACGCCACGCCGUGAGAGGACGGAAGGAGUUGGAAGCGGAGGUGUGGUGCCGCGACAUGGAGGGCAGCGUGGAUGAGAGGGGAAGGGUUGAAGGCCGCCUCUGGCGGCGCGAUCUCGACGAAGGCAAACCGGGCAGCAUGUUCCCAGUCACCUUCGUCCACCCACACCUCGAAGUAGUCUGGACCGUUGGCGAGAACGUCGCGCUCAACGGACUCCUUACUCAGGUCAUCCUCUAGCUGCUCGUCCAGGCGUCGCUGUCCGAGCCUGGCAGAACGCCGCGGCGCGGCGCCCGUGGUGUUCCAUCCACCUGUCGUGCAGCCACCACCGGCGAGUGCGCGGGGGGUGGCGAACGCCUUGGACUGGCAGACGGUGACCGUCCAUAGCUGGCAGAGGUAGCGGACAGUGGGCGCCUCGGGGACCGGCCACCAACCAUACAGAUGUCACGGGCUUUUGGUAUGGAAGGAGCGGUGCGACGCGGUCGAGAAGCCGGGCUGCUGCACAUCGCACGCUUACCCUUGUCCGCAGGUUCGCCGUUCGCGGAAAAGGUCACCAAGGAAGUAAGGACCUUCCUCAGCGGCGUUGUCAGUGGGCGUGGGAAGCUGUUGGGCGCUAGCAGGCCCACGACUUGAAGAGGAAAGCAUCAGCAAGGGGUCGAACGCCGAGGUGAAACGUGGUAGGUCCAGAAAGGGUGGGGGUGGAAUUGGAGUGGAGGAUGGCGGAGGCGAGCUGCGGGGGCGGAACGGGAUGGCAUUGACCGGAACGCGUGAGGCAGGUAGGGGAAUGGUGGGGCGGCGACGCGGGUGCGGCGUAUGCUCGCGCGGGAACACCAUCGGACAAGCGUAGCCGCGGUGACCACUACCUCGACAGAGGCGACACUAGAUGGGGUCGCGACAGUCGCGCACAAGGUGAUCUCGCGCAAGGCAGCGAUGGCACCCAGAGUGCUGGAUAGAGAUGGGUUUUAGAUGGCGUCGUGGUGCUGGCCGCGGGGAAGCAGGAGUGCGAGCGGCUUGUAGGUAGGUUCGAGCAGGGGGGGCAGCAGUGGUAGUGAAUGCGGAAGCGACGUUGCCUUCACGCACGCCGCGUUCUGUCAUGUCUGCGCGGCGCCCGUCGUGUUGCGGGACGGGGAGCAAGCCCGGGUCAGCGGUAGGAGUAAAGUUCGAAUCUGGGGAGAUCUCCUGUUGCACUGUUGCUGCGUCGAGCUGACUUGCGCCCGAGUCCUGAGGGGAGUCAGGCGAGGGGACAGAACAGCUGCCUCGCGCCACACGCUUGUCAGGGCAGGAGCCAGCCGGUGGUUGAGGUGCAUUGAUCACGGCUUCUUCUUCCUUCAGCGUGGCUGCCAUUGCCAGGGCCGGAGCUUCAGCUUGUGCAGGCAAAACCUUUGCUCAUGGAACUCAAGAUGACCCUGGGGCCCGGGUGACAAGGAAAUUGACCACAUUCGGAUUGGUGAGCCUAGCGCGAAAGACACCCCUACCAAUAGAACGUGCUCGAACAAUGUGCGGUGGCGACAUGAUGAGAUAGGUCAGAACAGACGUGAUGUAGGAGGAGUUGAAGCAAGGGGCAAUGGAAGGGGGAGUGACCCAAAGGAAAGUAUUAGGGAUGGAGGGGAGAGCACCUGGGCAAGCAACGGAGUGCAGGUCUCGGAGGAGGAGUUCCUGCAGGCGAGCUCCAGGCCUGGCGAAACCCGCAGCAGCGGCGGCGACAGCAGCGGGCGCAGGAAGCAGUUCUGUGCGCGUUGUCGGUCCUGAGCGGCGCGGGCGUGGUAGCGGUGGGCGGCGUGGAUGCGGAGGCAGAGGUGGGUGGGUGGCGCCGGCGUCGGUGCACCAGAGCCGGAGGCCUUCACGUCGCGAGAAGCGGGCGACGCCAUCUUCGAGAUUGCCCCACAGAGUUCCCACUUUGUAAAACUCGCAUUCAUGACAGGGGUCUAUCCAUAAAUAAUCGGAUCGCGAUUAAUAGUAAUGAUCCAAAUCAGGAGGUAAAUUCAAAUAUUUGGAUCACGAUUAGUAGUCGCGAUUCAACUGGGUCUAUCUAGAAAUUUUCUCCAUUAUCGAGCUCUUUUACAGUACUACUACUUAGUAGUAUAUAGUAUAUAUAAGAUCUAAAUAUUCAUGAUUAUAGAUGAUUUAGUAAUUAGCCCAUUGCAUUUUGCCGAAUUGGUUUCUUUCUUUCUUCUACUGUCAAUUGUCAAAUGCCAUCCGUUGCUCAGGAUGAAGCAUCUAUUACCAAAUAAGAAUAGACCAAUGUGCGAGUGCUAGGGUGCAUGCAUGGGAAAUUGGAGACAAUAGAUUGGAGGCGAUACAUUGGGAAACUCUGUAUUGCAGCAGUCAGCUACUUGUUUGCUGUCAGGUACAGAAUCCUGAACAAAUGGCAUCUGCUUGACUUCAGUAGUUCAGUUAGUCUCUGCUUCACCAGGGGAUGUACUUUUUGCAACUAGUUCAGUACGCAGACUGAUAUGGGAGCAUCACACAAACCGUGAUAUUAACAGAAAAAAUGGGGUUACAAAUACAAAACUUAGAUAGCACGCGACUACAUUGUCAACAAGAAUUGUAGAUCCCAGUUCUGGAAUAAGAAUAAAAACACAGGUUUUUUAUUUUGUCAAACAAAUAGCCCAGAAGACGAUCCAAGAUAAAUCUUUGAUAAAAACAAGAUAAUAUACUUAACGAUGUCCCCUUUGUCAGACAGAGAUAUCAAUUACCCUGUUCUUGUGCUGUCUUUAGGAGUUCUUGUGCUUCUUUCACUAGAGAAGCGAGAGACCUCGCUGGCUUGAUCACCUCACCAUCAUUCCCAGCAAAGAGCAUGCAGUUAUCAACCUCCGACAUGGUUCCCAAAGUCUCGGUCAGUGCUUCCUUGAAAUUAUGUUCAUUGAAACGUUGGAUGCAGCUGGGCUUGGCUUGAAUCAUAGCUAUCACCAUCUGGCAGGUAAGUUUCACUACUCUAAAACACUCAGACUGAGCCGUGCGUUGCUUGUUUACUUCCAGUAUGUCUUUGAGCUUCUUCGCAAGUGCUGCAUCUUCAGGGGUGGAUCGAGCAAAAUCUUCUCUACUGAUAACAUUUUCGUUGCAUAUCACCACAGCGAGGGAUAACAUGGCUGCCAUAAACUUUCUUUCCUCGGAUUGCUCAGCUUCUUCUUUCCUCUUCGCAAGUGCUGCAUCUUCAGGGGUGGAUCGAGCAAAAUCUUCUCUACUGAUCACAUUUUCGUUGCAUAUCACCACGGCGAGGGAUAACAUGGCUGCCAUAAACUUUCUUUCUUCUGGGGGCUGGUUUUCCACAAAAUUUUCUGCUGCAUCUGCGUUGGUUCCCAUUUUACUAGAUAAUAUUUGAUCGAGCACCUGUAACAAACAUAAUUUAAUGCAAAGGAUCAGCAAUAUUGAUGCAGCUCAUCUCUAGUGGAAAUUUUUGUACGCUACAGAAUUAAGAGAAAUUAACUGACAUCUGAGAAUUGGGAAUAAGAUCCAACAUGAUGCAGAGGCAGAAGAAGCGAGAGUUGUCAAUUUUUCUUUUGUUCUAAACAAAAAUAGGCAGAGGUAGCUAGUUACCUUGGUCAAUAGGUUGAUCGCCUGUUGCUUGGAAAUUAUAACAUCUCUUUCUCUUGCAGUGCUAACGGGAAGAAAUCUGGCCAGUGCUUCCCCUGCUUUUCCCCUCAUCAGUCUGGUAGCAUUUUCCUCAAGGAAGAUGCAUAGCAGGGCCUUGAGAAGCUUGUUAAACUCCGGCUUUUUGAAAGAAUCAUCAAAGGCUAACUCCGUCAGGAUCUCCAGGGCUUGUCCAUGCAGUUCUUGGGCAGCUCCGCUGUCUGUCUCCAAAGUAGCCAUCAGAUUGCUGACAGCUUCUGUGGUACUCGCAAGUUCCUGGCGCAGCCUUGUGGCGCCAUCCCCAGGGCAGGCAAGUAUCCUGCUUAACACUGUGAGUGACUUGCUUAGCAUUCGAACAACCAUUGUGUCCUCCCGCACAUUGUUGAGAAAAUCAGGGCUGCUCAGUGGUGAUGUGAUCUUAGAGAUCAGCACUUGCUGUUUGCUUAUCUCUGUACAGUUUACUUUGUUUCGUGUCAGCCUCUCAAGGAUCAGCAGGCCUUGAGAAACCAGUUCUUUGGGUCCUCUAAAGGUAUAGGUAAAUCUCGACUCCUUCGUAGCUUUCUCAAGUUGUAUACGAAGCUUCGUGUAUUUCUUGACCCUUACAAGAUAAGUUGUUAGUAUUCUCUGGGUCUGGGCUAACCAGGCAGAUGAUGGACUAAGGACUUGUUCUUGUUCAUGGUCAGUUUGGUCUUGGAUCGGCACUGCCAUACGGGCAACAUCUUGACGCUGGGAUGUUUCCAAUGACCUACUCUGUUCAUCAGGAUUUUUCUCCGGCGACGGACAGGCCUCACAGAAUUGGUUACAGCUUUCAAGUAGGGAACAAAUGCAUUGUAGUGUACCUGGGAAGUGUGCUACGUGGAGAUCACUGGCAAGAUGUGCUAGAAUCCUUGUGGCGCGCUCUCUGUUCUCGAUGUUACCAGGUGUGCCGCUCCGACCAAUCAUGCUGAUCAAAUUCUGAAUAGAGCUCCUGGAAGAUAGUAGCUCCUGUCUUAGAGAUAUAUCCUUGGUAUCAAAGAGCUUGUCUAGAAGCCUUGCUCCCCAUAGGUGGUCAUCAUCCCCUGAUGCAGACUGGAGCAACCCAACAGCGUAUGUGAUCAAGUUCCAAUUGUCGGGCAGCUCCCCGUUCUCAAACUUCCUUGUUGUUUCCGAACUGUACAUCGCAAGUAGUGUGCACCAAUUCCAAUCCUCAUCCCCGCAUUGUUGUUUCGUCACUCCUACCACUUCCAAAACUGACAAAUAUAACAUUUGCUUAAGACUAGCCCAGUAUAUGACGACUAAGCUCUGGAACAGAACUAGAGCAUAGAAGAUGUCCAGUGCGGCGGCCAGUUUUGCUCUGUUGGCAGCAUCUCCGCCCGCAUCGCCACAAUCUCGUCGUACAAGAUGCCAAACGGAGACCCCCAGGCUCACAUAUGGCGUAACAUUUAUAGCCAAUGCUAGACACAGUAGCACAAUAAACUUGGGCAAAAACCCUAUACCCAGCACGAUUGUAUGAUAACAGGCCGAGCACGCGUUGGAGCGGAACCAUCCCAGACGCGCGAUUAAACCAAUGAUUUCGGCCUCUUCCUCAUAGAUCCCACUUAGAAACUCAUUAACAUUGUCCACCACCCUGUGUAAUAUGUUGGGUCAGCUAGUGGAUAAGCUUGGAUGCCGAUGGGUGAUGGAUAUAUGAAAGUAAAACUGAAAAUUCAUUCAACGGAGAAACAUCUAAUUUGACAAUUUGCUUCAGAAAUGAAAGUAACUCAGAAAUGUCGUAUCCCCUCAACUAUAUAUGGUUGGAGUCCGCUUCAGAAAACCGGUUGUUUAAGCUCCCUCAUAUAAUCAUGUAUGCAAACUAUAUAUGGUGGGGAGAGAUGGAGCUCCAGUGGCCAAUUCAACGCAAAACCAAGGGGUAUAUGGCUCGGUAUCGAGGGUGGAGGGGCGCAUGUGCGGUGAAUGCGAUUGGUAUUGUGGUUGAUUUCCAUUUCCGAAUUCCAGAUUAACCAUCCAAACAUCCGCAUUGGAGCUAGCCAACACCAAUUUCGAAUCCCGGACCUGAAUAUCGACAUCCAAAACGGAGCCUAAAGUUUAUUUAGGAUUGGCUCAUUUUUAGCCCACCUUUAGAGCAACUCCAAUAGAUUGAUUUCUACCUCUCCAUUUUACUCUCUUAUAAGGGAAUCCCCUUACAUAGUUUUAGAAUUUUAGGGACAAGUGCUGCAGUAGAUCCCCUCUCUCCUUUCCCCUUUAUUCCUUUAGAAUCCCCUUUCAUAGUUUUAGGAUUUUAGGGAGAAGUGCUACAGCAGAUCCUCUCUCCCCCUUUCCCCUUUAAUUUCCCUUGAGAUGUGGGCCCUACCUGUAAAACAAGUCAGUAUGUUUCUUCUUCCUUCCAUCGUCUCUCUCCUCCAAGCAAGCAGCAACACACCCUCAAGGGUCAAGAUUGGCUCGGCUGUUGGCAGGCAGGCCCGGCGGUGCAUCUCUUUCCUCCAAGCAAGCAGCAACAUGCCCUCGAGGGUCAAGGUCAGCUCGACCGUUUGCAGGCAGGUCUGGCAGCACAGCAGUCCCUCAUGCGUGUGCACGGUCACACGGGGAUGCCGAGCCACAAGGGAGGGGAAGGCACGAGGGAUGCCCCUCGGUAGGUUACCGGGUAUAAAACACCGACAUCUUGUGCGCCAAGUAGGGAUGAUCGUCAAGAUCAUCGAGCGAGCUUGAAGGACCUCAUCAUCAAGAUAAAUCUACUUGACAAGAAGCAAGUCACCGAGUUGGAGUUCCAAGUAGAACAAUCUACGCCGAGACAGAAAUCGUGCGCUCCGCUUUCCAGUCAAAGACCAAGUCGGUUUCCACCACAGGCUGCUGCAUACGGCUCGUCGAUCAAGGCAGAGUCAUGCAUGGAUUGAGAAGAUGUACGCAAGCACUGCUACCCCAACAUUCGGUCACAUCAAGUUGCCAACGACUACUUCGACUACUCGUCUAGGCUAGAAAACUAGUCGAGGAUGGACUACUUCGAGUACUCAUCUCGAGUAGAAAACUAGUCGAGGACGUUCUAGUUCGACUACUCGUCUCGACUAGAAAACUAGUUAAGAGCGGGUUUCCACGUGAUCAACAACUAGUUGGAAUCGACUCCAACUAGUUGGCUUCAUCAACAAUCGACACGGCUUCAUCGAAAAUCGUCCACGAAUCAAGCUAAGUCAGUUUUUCAUUAUUUUAUAUAAAUUUUCCAACUUGUUUUCUGCAUGCAGGGAAACACGCCGACUACUUAUUUAUAGAUGCCUCUCACUGGGAAUUACCUUCCAGAGCUACACUUUGUCAAUUAUUCCUAGGGCAUGUUGACCGAAAGCCACAUGCUUGGUACAUCGAAUUAUGGAGGCUCCAAUCACGGGUUUGGUGCACUGAGUUUUAGAGGCUUCGCCACGGGUUUGGUACAUCGAAUUAUGGAGGCAAUAGCCAUAGAUUUGAUGCAUUGAAUACUAUAGGCUCAUAACGGCUACACCCUAAGGAAGCACAAAUCCUAUGUGCACAACACGCGCUCUUCUCGUCAAAAGGUAGAAAAGUCUCAACAACUACUUUAAAUGCAAUCGCACUCUCUUUUUGUCGCAAUGCCGACUACUUAUUUUAAAUGUCUUCUCUUAGCGGUCGCCAAUAUCCUCGAGCAGAACACGCCUUAAUUCGUGAUAGCCUUAGAUCUUCUGUCAUGUAUAAAUGCUAGGAUACGAGGCAAAGGUCUCCAUAGCAGCAAUGCCAGUACGCGUACACGGGAUAAAGAUCUCACAUACGCAAUGUCAAUGGCUAAAUUGGGAAUGAGAGCCUAAACGUAAUAGGCUAACUAUUAAGGAAAAAUAUGGCCAAAAUAAGAGUAUGACACACAACAUUUACAUUAUAUUCAUCACUGAAUAAAUUUUAGUAGUUCCAAAUUCUACAAAUAUGCUACAUAAUGUGUGCAUUUUUUAAGGUCAAGUUUCAGCGAUGACUCUCUAGGAUGCUCAGUGUACCUAUAAAGGCUCCGCUAGCUCCCAGGCUCAGGGUGAAGCACCAAUUACUACUCGAAAUACCUCUAGUAGCUCCGCUAGCUCUCAAACUCGGGGGCUAAGCACCAAUAACUACUCGAUGUGGCUCCUACAGCUCACAUGGCGCAUAAACCCGAGGGCUCGACGCCGCAAAAUAACUCAUAUGAUGACUUUUGUGAAGACUAAAGACCCUCAGAUUGAUUAAUUAAUCAUUUCAAGUCUCGGGUGCUGAUAAGUUAUACCCAACAAUUAAUUUUUGCAAGAUGAAAGAAGAAGAUUCAAGAUUUUAUUGAUCAUCAACCUGAUUCUUCGAUUCAAUCUAAGGCUCGGGAACUACUCCAUAUGGAGUGCGACUUCUACCACCCUCCAUAUUACAUUCCAAAGAUGAAGAUUACACAAUCAAAACGAUCAAGGGCUUGAGCACACCAUAGCUUCAUGGCACCUUUAAAGAACUUUAAAGAUUCAGCCCGACAAAGUACUCGAAGAGCACCAAAACUACUCGACGAGGAUCUGAAAAGUAUUUGAAGGCUGCUACACUCGACUAUGAAGCACUCGGGGGCUUGUCAGGGAUAGAUCCCCAGUACCCGCAAGGAAGGAAGAAGGCAGAGUCCUACUAGAAUUCCUCCGCAAUUCUACUAGGACUCAUACCCUUUAAUCCUAUUAGGACUCCUACUUUAUAACCGAUUAGUAAUCCCGCCUCCUGGAGUAUAUAAAGGAGGGCAGGGGUAUCUAGAUCGGCAGCUGAGACCAAUAGAGCUUAGAUCAAUAGAGCUCAGACCAACAAAGCUCAGAACUAUCAUCAAUAGCCAAUAGUUAGGCUACGUAACACCCAAGUGCAGAGCACAAUAUACAACACCCCAAACAAAAUGUAGGGUAUUACGCAACUCUGACGAUCCAAAACUGUAUAAAUAUGUGUCUUGUGUCCUCGCUUUUACCUUCGAAUUCCAGAUCCGACGAUCCCCCACCCACCAAUCUACUACCUCGGGAUACCCCUCGGUAGGUUGCCGGGUAUAAAACACCGACACUAAGUGUGUUGCAUAUGAUGGUAGUGAAGGACUCCAUGUGGUGUGUUUUUGAAGCACGCGCUUGCUUGCGAAAAAGGGUACAACAAUAAAUAUAUAUUAGUGUGUUUUGCCACAUGGUACAUGUAUAGAUAAUCCUGGAUGACGUGGUUCAACCAAAUGGUUCACUUCUCUUAGUAGAAAUUAAUAUCAAGUGGGAUGGCUUCAUCCUAGAUGAGUUGGUACAGUUAAACCAACCAAAUGCACCAACCAAACACACCCUGGACCAAUCAUCGAAGCUUGAGAAUAUAGAGAUUGAGGAAGUUGAUAGUAUUAGCAGUUUAGCUCAAAGAUACGUUCGGGAUUAUAAGGCCCCGCCCUCUUCAGCUUUCAUAACAAACUGCGUGAUAAAAGAAAAAAUAUAGAAAUAUUGCUAGGAUGAAAAGAGAGGGUAAAGGAAAUUAGGUAACGUACGUAGGUGUUCCGAAUUAAGAAGAGAAAUCAAGUUAUACCUGCAUGCCAUCAGGAUGCUCAGUCCAGUGAGAAUCCAGAACUCCUUUAUCCGCAGGAUGCUGACGAAGCCGCCGAGGAGCACGACGGUGGACCACAGCAAGGCCAGGUUCCCUAGACCGCGUGCGAUGUUCGCUGUGGCCGUCAGAAGCCUCACGUAGCGAUUGAUCAUCUCUUCCGGCCGUCCUCGCUCUCUCAUGGUUUACCCUGCAGUUUCCUCAACUCUGAAAGCUUGCAAUGGAGGAGGCCGAUGGAUGGCUGUGGCUGGCCGUCCUGGAUCUUUGUAGGUCCAAUGCCGUCUCUGUCAGCACUUGUCCGGAGAGAACGACCUACCGAGCAGGCCGGGGUACAUGGGCGUGCAACCGGUACGAGGGAACAGGGCCCCACAAGUUUCAGGGGCCUCUCAAUUUUUUGGGCCUCUCAAUUUUUUUGCCAUCACCGAAGAAAAGUCGGCCACCUUCACGCGCCGCCCCGGCUGUCAGACGGCGACGCGAAAUCAAUACUGGAAAGCGUGACAGUUUGAGAGAGAGGGGGUGCUGGUCAAACUGCUCCCCACUUUGGCCUCAUCUCUUCACCGAGUCAUAAAUUUAGGCACCGAUAAAUUGUAUUAAGCCUAAUUAAUCUAUAAUUAGCACAUGUUUACUGUAGUAUUACAUGGGCUAAUCGUGAAGUAAUUAUUUUUUUUGAAAGCUAAUCGUGAAGUAAUUAGCUUUCCCUAGGAUGCAAAUUCCUAUUCAUUUUUAGUUAACUUUUCCACCAUGCUAUCUAUCAGUUUAACAAUUUGCCAGGUACAUAAUUUUGUUCCUUUGUUCCUCUUAUACUUUUGGGAUCCAAUUUAGUUUUGGUAGGUUCUUUUCCUACGCAUCUCGUUUGCAUGCAUAAGCCAAAUGUUUAAAUCUUAUGAUAAACUUCAAAAGACGAUGAUUUUCCUACCAGCUAGUCCAAUUUCUAAAUCUGGACACUAUGGGAAACAAGAUAUUUGCCACACUCGGCAAAAAAAGUGCAGAGUGCUUUGUGUCGAACACUCGGCAAAAUAUUUCGAAAAAAAUAAAAAAAAAUGUAGACACGCCGCCGCCUCCAGGCCACCGCCGCUGCCGCCAUGCCACUGCCCGCCGCCAUGCCGCCACCACCGCCACCUCCCCUCGAGCCGGAUCUGGCCGCCGCCAUGCCACUGCCACUACCGCCGCCAUGCCACCAUGCCGGAUCUGGCCGCUUGCCAUCGGAUCUCGUCCUCGCCCGGUCGCCAGCGGGAGAAGGAGGGGAGGGAGGAGGGAGGGGGUGGCAGGAUCUCGCCGGGGUCGCCGAGGAGGGAGGAGGGCGACGGGAUCUCGCUGGGGAGGGAGGGUGGAGGAGGGAGGGGCGGCGGGAUCUCGCCGGGGUCGCCGGGGAGGAAGGAGGGCGGUGGGAUCUCGCCGGGAAGGGAGGGUGGAGGAGGAAGGGGGCGGUGGGACCUUGCCCGCGGGGAGGGAGGAGGGAGGGAGGGGGAGGAGGGAGGGGCUGGCGCCGGCGGGGGCCUGGGGAGGGGGCGUCGGUGGGCGGGUGCGGGAGGAGGAGGGGUGAGGGAGGGUGCGGGGUGUAGGAGAAGGGGAAGGGAUGGGGAGGGGGGGUGCGUCGGUUAUAGGCCGGAUAGGGGGUUUACUUUUACACUCGGUAAACCCCCUUUGCCGAGGGUUUUUUUUGCCGAGUGUUUUUAGAGUAGCUCUCGACAAACAGGUUACUUGCCGAGUGCUCGAGAGAAUACACUCGACAAAUAUAAAAAUACUCGGCAAAUUUGAGGUUUCCGGUUGUGGGAGCAACAGUAAGGUCACUAAGACUGUACAUUGUGACUUAGAAGGCGUAAUUAGGCCAUAGAAGAUGUCCAGUGUGGCGUUCAGUUUUGAUCUAUUGCCAAUAUCUCCACCCGCAUCGCCAUAAUCUCGUCGUACAAGAUGCCACAUUGCGACCCCAGGUUCACAAAUGGUGAAAGAUUAUAGAGCAAGGCAAAACAAAUUGAAAAAAAACCACUUCAGUACUUGCACCACACGCAACACGAUUGCGAGGAAAAGCUAUUUGUCUGUCUAUCGAUAUGACCAUUAAGAUUCAGGAUAUUGUGUCACACAGAAUUGGGACUGAGCUGCUUACGGUAGCCACUCCAUGGCUAAUUACAAGACAUUUUUUUUUCUCUUUAGGAGUUGGAAGAGGUAGACACUCUAGCGGGACAGCCACAAUAUAGUUCAAGAACCGUUACUAUGCAUUUUGGAAGUUUCAGGAUCAGGAUGAGAAUGUGGGACAGGGUUAAGGACUGCAUGUAAAAUUUACUCUAGUUCCUUUUUAACAAAAAUACUGACUAUGACUGUAGCCAGCUCCUGUACAACUACCGGGAGUAUGCUAAGGGUUAGAUAUAUGUUGAGAUACGAGGUAGGUUACGAUAGCGCAAAAUAAAAAUUUUCUACCACGUAAAUCAGGAAAACUGCCGUAUAUGGAUCAUAGGAUUACCACUCGACGCACAGGUGCGAAAGAUGUAGAAUCGUGUCGGGGCAGCGAAGUCGAACACACGUAGUCAAUCACAUCGACGUCGAGCAGCUCCUCAGCAACUCGUCUACGUGCAGUGACGUCCUUCUCGUGCCGCGGCUCGCCAAGCUCGUCGUCGGCUUGUCAGGCUCUCGCGCGACGGCUUGUCCAAGUGCUGCAGAUGCAACACCUCCAAGGUAUCCACACGUGUAGGAAGGAAGCGUUGCAAGCCGGAAUGCUAGGUCCGCAAGUUGCAACGAGGUGAGGGCAUGGAGGCGCGGUGGCUGUUCGUGCGAAAGGGAUUCUAUCGUGUGUGUGUCAACCCUAAGCCACCCACCCCUCUAUUUAUAGGGGUCCCUAACGGGCCUCUAGGUCCGAGACCCAUUAGUACUUCUAAACCUGGUCCAAUUCAGAUCAUAUCCGAAUUGGACUUCCAGCCCCUUAAGUGUGUGACCCUAUAGGUUCGGAUACGCAUAGAUAUGGCCCGAGUACUCCUACUCGACCAAUAGUCGGUAGCAGCCUCUAGCAAGACCUGCCAACUCCUAUACACACAUGAAGAUCAUAUCAGACGAACCAUCACAACAUUAGAUACAUGCUAUUCCCUUUGCCUCACAAUAUUUGGUCUAGCUCCAAGCCGACCACUCUUUCUCGAUCUUGUGACUCGGAAUCCCUUUGUCGGUUAACUCUUAACCGACGCAGCAUGACCAUGUAUUUCUUGAUCCGAUCACUCGAGGGGCCCAGAGAUAUCUCUCACAAGUAGAGAGGAGCAAAUCCCAUCUUGACUGACCAUACCUCACAACAUGCUUCUUGACAAACCCGAAAGCUACCUUUAUAACUACCCUGUCAUGGUGUAGCGUUUGAUAGCCCCUAAGUAAGUCGAUCCACAUCUUGAGUACAUGCGACAAUCUCAGGUCUAAGGACAAAGCGUACAUGUUGUGUAAAGAGAGAACUAUGUAACUCGUGUUGGGUCAGUCGUAGCACAUGUCUCUACAUGUGCCUACAUUAUUAGUUUGACAUCUCCAUAUCCAUAACUUGUGAAACAUAGUCAUCAAUUAAUACAUGUACUAGUCUAAUAUUCAUGUGUGUCCUCACAUGAACUCCGACUAGGGACAACUUUAGAAUAACCAUACAAGUAAAGAGUUUCACAUAUAAUUCAUAUAAUUGCAAAUCAAUUCAAGUAGUCUUUAAUGGAUAUUCAAGGAACACAAUACAAAUCAUGGAUACAAUGGAAUAUCAUCAUCUCUAUGAUUGCCACUAGGGAAUAUCUCCAACAAUAUAUAACUUUAAAGGGCAUUUUGAUCCAUCUAAGUUUAAACUUAUCUCACUCCAAAAAGAAGAGACAAUAAUGGAUACACAAACAGUUAAACCAGCAAGGUCGAGACGCAACAUAUGGCUGAUGUUUUAUCAUUGUCUUUAUAUAUUUUUGGUUUACAAGAAUGUUUUUUUGACAUGCAUACUUUGUCUAAAAAACAUGAAGGCCAUAUGCUAGUGUCAGGAAUAGAUCCCAAGUACCCGCAAGGAAGGAAGAAGACAAACUCCAAUUAGCUGGUAGAGAACUCACCUUCCAUGCACUCCUUUUGUCCCGGUUUAAAGUUGGCCCGUGACUAAAGGGGCUUGAGUCCUGGGUCAAAUACCAAUCAUGAUUAAAGCCCCCCCUCUUUAGUUCCGGCCACCCGUGGGAGACCCUAUAGUCCCAGAUGAAAAAAUCAGCCACCCGUGGGGGACCCUUUAAGGGUCGAGGGCUUUAAUCCUGGGUGGUGUUCCUUUAGUCCCAGUUGGUCUGAGGGUCUAAGGACUAAAGGGUCUGAGGACUAAAGGGAUUAAAGGGGGUCUUUAGUCUCGGUUGGUAACACAAACACAAACUGGGAUAAAAGGGUCCACACAAGUUAAUACAAAAGGAUUGUAUCCCCUAUGUAGUCAGGUGUGCUGUGUAGUUAGGAUGGUAAGGAAGCUACGCGCGACGCUUGAGGUUGUGGGUUCGAAUCCCACGGACCGCGCACACAGAUAUUUCACGUGAAAAAUCACGUGACUUGUGAAUUGCGGCGUGUGGGGGUGGGGGUGGUGGCGGGGCCUUCGGGGAUUUCCUUUUUUUACAAAACCAUUUAGUCCCGGUUGGUUGAGUGACCCUGGACUAAAAAUCCCCCCUUUCAUCUCGAUUGCUUUGUCCCGAAUGCAUUUUCGGGAGAUUUGCUCCCAACCGGGAUUAAAGGUAAGUUUUCCACCAGUGUACAACAACUCAUACCAUGUAAUCCUACUAGGACUCCUCCUUGUAACCGACUAGUUAUCCCGCCCCUUGGAGUAUAUAAAGAAGGGUAGGGGUAACUAGAUCGGCAGAACCAUAACAGAGGACCAAAUCCUCAAUACCAAAUAACACCCAAGCGUUGGGCGCAAUAUACAAUACCCUAGGACAUAGGGUAUUACGCUACACUGGUGGCCCAAACCUGUAUAAAUCCGUAUCUUGUGUCCUCGCUUUUACCAUUAAGUUCCAGGUCCGGCGAUCCCCACCAACCAAUCUACUACCUCGGGAUAACCCUUGGUAUGUUGUCGGGUAUAAAACACGGACAUCUGACACACUAGGUAGGGAUGAUCGUCGAGAUACCGUCUCUGAAUUUUCUCUAUCAUUUGAAUGCUUCAAUACCAUAGAAUAAUCCUAGAUAUCAUAGCUUGAUCACUUAAAUACCAUAGCUUGAUACUCGAAUACCAUGACUUGGAUACUCGGAUACCAUGAUUUCGAUGUCAAGAAUACCAUCAAUUGGACUUUGCCAUGAUUUAGUUUGCAUUCUUGGGACCUAGAAAACCUACAAGGUACAUGCUAGAUAAAGCAUUAGUCCCAAUGACUAUAUUGUCACUUAAUCACCAAAAUCACAAGCUAUGGCUUAACGAGGCCACGUUUGCUACAACAGCUUAACAAACAGAAACUACAGUUCGUGGAUGUCCGAAACUGAGAUAAAAUCAAGUGCAUACCAAUGGCAAUAAUAUACUUAACGGUGUCCCUGUUCUUGUGCUGGGUUUAGGCGUUGCUGUGCUUCCUUCACAAGAGAUAUGAAAGAUUCAAACGAUUUUCCAAGUGCUAUGUAUAAUGCAACCGUUAUCCAACGUUAUUCGUUCAUACAUAAAAGGAGAAAAAUGGUCACCGCAAAAUUAGAAACGCACAAUGUCUGUUUCCUGUCACGGCGGUAGCUCUCGUCUUCCUCCUGGUCGACGGUUCGCACUCCAAACUCCUGCGAGUGGCUCAUGCCUUGGUCGCUGCUCUGGAGGCGAUUCGUGCGCCCCCGGUCCUUUCUCUUUGGCCAAGCUGGGAGGAGCGGAGAUCGGAGGAUGUGUGCUCUGCGCUUCCCAUCCAGGACGACCGGCGGUGGCGACCGGAAGGUUUAACCGGUGAGGGGAGAGACACGGAAGAGAGAUAGGCAGGGGCACUUUAUAAAACUCGCAUUCAUGACAGGGGUCUAUCCAUAAAUAAUCGCAUCGUGAUUAAUACCUGGGAUCCAAAUCAGGAGGUAAAUUCAAAUAUUUGGAUCACGAUUAAUAGUCACGAUUCAAAUGGGUCUAUCUAGAAAUUUUCUACAUCUCUAAUUUGUAUCAGCCCAUUGCAUUUCGCUGAAUUGGUUUCUUUCUUUCUUUUACUGUCAAUUGUCAAAUACCAUCUGUUGCUCAGGAUGAAGCAUCUAUUACCAAACUAGAAUAGACCAAUGUGCGCGGGGGCAGAUCCAGAACGGGGCGCAGCCCUAGGCUGAGCUGCUGAUUCACACCCAAAACAGUCUGAUCUUGCCUCCUGGGCCUCCUUUUGUUAGGCUAAACACCACAUAUGUGAAAGGGGUUACAUGGGCUCGCCUCGGGCUGCAUCCCGGGUCCUAGAUCCGCCUUAUGUGCGAGUGCUAGGGUGCAUGCGAAAUUGGAGACAAUAGAUUGGAGGCGAUACAUUGGGAUACUCUGUAUUGUGGCAGUUAGCUACUUGUUUGCUGUCAGGUACAGUAUCCUGAACAAAUGGCCUCUGCUUGACUUUAGUAGUUUAGUUAGUCUCUGCUUCACCAGGGGAUGUGGAACCUGAAACACACUCAGAGAUUAAAACAGGUGCACAAUCUCAGGGCAGGCUGCCAAUGAUCGUGUUCGCACAUUAAUUAGAAAUAACAAGAGUCCUGGAAACAUAAAUUUAUCAAUUAUCAAAUGCAAAGCUGUUUGACGGAUAUAAUUUAGAUAAUGAAAAAAAGAACAGUUCCAGCCUUUUCUUCUUUGGAAACAUAGCACAUGUACUUGUUGCAACUAGUUCAGUACGCAGACUGAUAUGGGAGCAUCACACAAACCGUGAUAUUAACAGAAAAAAUGGGGUUACAAAUACAAAACUUAGAUAGCACGCGACUACAUUGUCAACAAGAAUUGUAGAUCCCAGUUCUGGAAUAAGAAUAAAAAUACAGGUUUUUUAUUUUGUCAAACAAAUAGCCCAGAAGACGAUCCAAGAUAAAUCUUUGAUAAAAACAAGAUAAUAUACUUAACGAUGUCCCCUUUGUCAGACAGAGAUAUCAAUUACCCUGUUCUUGUGCUGUCUUUAGGAGUUCUUGUGCUUCUUUCACUAGAGAAGCGAGAGACCUCGCUGGCUUGAUCACCUCACCAUCAUUCCCAGCAAAGAGCAUGCAGUUAUCAACCUCCGACAUGGUUCCCAAAGUCUCGGUCAGUGCUUCCUUGAAAUUAUGUUCAUUGAAACGUUGGAUGCAGCUGGGCUUGGCUUGAAUCAUAGCUAUCACCAUCUGGCAGGUAAGUUUCACUACUCUAAAACACUCAGACUGAGCCGUGCGUUGCUUGUUUACUUCCAGUAUGUCUUUGAGCUUCUUCGCAAGUGCUGCAUCUUCAGGGGUGGAUCGAGCAAAAUCUUCUCUACUGAUAACAUUUUCGUUGCAUAUCACCACAGCGAGGGAUAACAUGGCUGCCAUAAACUUUCUUUCCUCGGAUUGCUCAGCUUCUUCUUUCCUCUUCGCAAGUGCUGCAUCUUCAGGGGUGGAUCGAGCAAAAUCUUCUCUACUGCUCACAUUUUCGUGGCAUAUCACCACGACGAGGGAUAACAUGGCUGCCAUAAACUUUCUUUCUUCUGGGGGCUGGUUUUCCACAAAAUUUUCUGCUGCAUCUGCGCUGGUUCCCAUUUUUUUUUGAAUGAAACAGGAGGGGCAAGCCCUACUGAAAUAUAUUAAAACAAGGUCCGAAAAAGUUACAGAGUAAGAAACACACAAAAAAACCAAACACGAAAGCUACAAGCAAGAGAGUAGCAAAGAAAAGAUUCAGAGGGAGUGGAUCCAAUCUAAACAUUCCUGACUUAAAACAGAAUUCAUCCUAUGUGAAGCCACCAAUGAGAGCUCAGACAAAAAUUUUGAUCGAGUUCCAGAAGUCGAAGGAUCGACAUUAUUAAAAGUCCAGUCAUUCCUUGUGGUCCAAAUACUCCAAGACAUGAGGAUGAUGACUUCCAUGGAGAAGGCGGUGUUUAACUGCCUUCUAAUCUGAUUGAAGAUGUGGACCGACGAUCUUGUGGAGACAAAAGAAAUCCCAAUCGAAUUCCAGCAGGCUUUAGCAAAAUUGCAUCGUAGAAAAAGAUGUGUUACCGUCUCCCUUUUUUGGCGGAUACACAUUUCGCAGACAUUAGAAUCCAAAUGCAUCCUUCUUCUUUGAAGGACAUCUUUUGUAUUUAACCUGUCGAUAAUCAGAAGCCAAAAGAAAACUUUGUGUUUUUUCUGACAUUUCGAUUUCCACAGCCAGCGAUGUAUUGGGUGUGUUUCCCUUUGUCCUGUUAAAGCCUUGUAUGCUUUCUUGACUGAGAAGGUUGAGGAUCCCCAGAUAUAAGACCAAGUGUCUGAAACAUUCUGUGAGACUGCAUUGUGCAUAAAAUCCUGAAGCAUAAGGAGUUCCGAAUGAGCUUCUGUAGAUAAAGGUAGGUGAAACAGAAAACCAAGAUCUGUCGUGUUUAUCGCUUUGUGAUACGAUAUAUUUUUGUUUCGGGCAAAGGAAAAGAGGUUAGGAAGCUCAGAUUGUAGAGAGUGAUCAUUCCACAGGUCUUGCCAAAGCAGCACAGUGCUUCCAUCCGCAACCCGAGCUGAAGCAAAACCCUUGAAUUUGUGUAGCAAUUUGACUAUAUCCUUCCACCAGAAGGAACCCUUUUUUUGAACACCCGGACGAGUACCAUUGCUGUACAACUUGUCCCAAAUCAAGUGAACCCAAGGCAGAUCAGCUUUUGAAAAAAAUUUGUGUAGGAACUUUAAUAACAGAGCCUCAUUCUGGGUAAUUAUAUUGAGCACCCCUAAACCCCCUUGACAUUUGGGUAGACAAACUAAAGGCCAAGCAGCUUUGGACGGUUUGGUAGAGGAUAGAUCUGAGCCUCUCCAGAGACAGUGUUUGCGGAAUUUGUCAAUCUGAUGUAUAACCCCUUUGGGGAGUUUCAAAGUGGCCAUCUGAAACAUAGCUGAAGAUGUUAAAACAGAGUUUACCAAUUGUAAUUUUCCUCCUUGUGAAAGCAUAGAUGAUAUUCCACCUAAUUUCCCUUCAAUUCUCUUGAUCAAAGGAAGAAAGUCUUGCAUCGACGGUUUAUGUAACCCCAGAGGUAACCCCAGAUAGGUGAAAGGGAAGGUUCCUGUCUGACAAUCUAGGAUACCAGCCAAGAGAUUAAGCUUGUCCUGCUGAGUGUUUAUGGGGACCAUCAUGGAUUUGUUGUAAUUAACUUUUAACCCAGUAGAUUCUGCAAAGAUAUCCAGAAGAUUUUUUAAGUGUAUUAACUGACUCGGAUCAGCCUCCAUGAAGAGCAAAGUGUCAUCAGCAUACUGAACAAUUGGGAAAUCCUCGCUGGCUCGCAAAGGGAUCGGGAGAGAAAGGUGUCCCUCCUCCUUAGACUUAUUAAUAAGAGAUUGGAGUAAAUCAGCAGCAAGCACAAACAGAAGAGGUGAUAAAGGGUCCCCCUGCCGUACCCCUCUCUUACAAUGGAAAGUUUUACCUGGAACACCAUUCAGAAGAACUGACGAUGUGCCUGAAUCAAGAAUGACCUUAAUCCAUCCAAUCCAUUUCUCCCCAAAACCUUUAUGUUUCAGAAUUUCUAGGAUGGCCUUAUGUUCAAUACGAUCAAAAGCCUUUUCAAAGUCCAAUUUGAGAAUGAUGAUGUCCUUCUUUGAAGAUUUGCAGCAGUGUAGGAAUUCAAGAGCCCAAGCUAAGCAGUCCUGAAUGGUCCUAGAUUUGAUAAAGCCAUAUUGAUUCUUGUGAAUGAGAUUGAUGAUGACCUUUUGUAGUCUCAACGCUAGGAUUUUUGUGAUGAGCUUUAUUGAUGAGUUUAGAAGGGAUAUUGGUCUGUAGUCACUCACAUGCAAAGGGCCAGCUUUUUUUGGGAUAAGUGUGAUAAAGGAUGAGUUGAUGCUACGCAUACAGACUUCCCCAUUAUGAAAGCCAUCACAUAAAGCAUAAAAAUCUUCGGCCAAUUCAUGCCAGCAUCGUUUAAGGAAUUCCCCAUUAAAACCAUCAGGGCCUGGAGAUUUAUUCGUGGGUAAAUCCUUGAUGAUAUUAUCAAUUUCUUCUUUAGCAAAAGCCACCUCUAAGUCUUGGAGUCCCUCUGAAGGAGAUAGGAUAAUACUCAGAUCCAAAUACAUGUGGCGGUAAUCUGACCUGCCCAUUCUAUUUUUGUAUUCCACCCAAAUUAGGUUUGCUUUAUCUUCAUGGGCUUUGACAUUCAUUCCGUUCUGAUCUUGUAGCGUCAAAAUGUGGUUAAUCUUGUUUUGAAUGGAAGCCUUUGCAUGAAAGAACCUUGUACUUUCAUCACCCAUUUUGGCCCAGUUGAUGGAACAUCUUUGCUGCCAAUAAGUUUUCUGUUGCUGUAAAAGAUUCUUUAGAUGAUUCAUAACAAUAUCCCUUAAGUUCCAUUCUUGCAGGGAUAGAUCUCUAGAUUCUUCUAGUAUAUCUAGAAAAAGGAUGACCUCCUUUGUGUGUUGAAUGGUUUUUGCCAGACUUGGCAACCCUGCUUUCCAUAUUCGAAGUUCUCUUCGCAACUUUUUGAAUUUUGCACCAACGAUUUGGGCUCUGUCAGAGUAUGAGACCGGAGAAGUCCAAACAUUAUGCAGAACAUCAUUGAAUUGCUCAUGAUGCAUCCAAUAGUUUUCAAAUCUGAAGACUUGAGACGAAGGCAUAAGAUUUGAGAUAGAAAUGACACAAGGGUUGUGAUCAGAGGAAUCUCUUGACAAAGUUGUUGCCCAUGUGUUUGGAUAGGCUGUAAUCCAGGCAGAGGAUGAGAAGAACCAAUCCAGCCUCUCUAGUAACGGAUUAGUCUGUUUAUUAGUCCAAGUGUAUUUUCCUCCUUUGAGCUGAAUUUCUGUGAGUCCUAACCUGCUGAUUGCUUCAUUGAACAUCAUCAUUUCUUGCGGAUGACCUCCAGGUUUAUUUCUGUCCGAAGAGCGUCUUAACAAGUUGAAAUCCCCUACCACUAGCCAUUUUUCAUCAUCCGGCAUCCUGAUUCUCUUGAACCAAUCCAGAAAUUCUAUUUUACCUUCUGGAGUGCAUGGCGCAUAAAUGUUGGUUAGAAUCCAUGUUUCCCCUGACAAAUUACACUGUAACUCCACUGAGUGAGCAAAAUUGUUUUGAAAGAUUGAUUGACCCUGAAACUUAUUAGCAUUCCAAACCAUAAUAGCUCCUCCUGAAUUGCCUAUAGAUGGUAUGAAAUCAAAAAGGGUGAAAGCAGGAGGACAUAAGUUCCUGAGAUACGAAUCAGAGAAAACCUCUCUUUUGGUCUCUUGCAAACAUAUGAUGUCUGCCUUCGAUUCCAUUAUUUUGCUUCUAAUCGCAUUCCAUCUAACCGAUGAAUUAAUACCUCUCACGUUCCAAGAAAGGAUAUUCCAUAAACGUUUACGAUUCAUAAUCAAACAAAAAGGCAAACUUCACUUCCAAGGGCCCUGUAUUCCAAAUGGGAUAGAACCCCAACCAAAAACCUUCUGUACCAAAAAGAAGAAACCAUGACAGCCCUUAAAAAACCCCCAAGCACUGAAGAAACACACAUGAGAACCAUAUAAACGAAACCAACAUUCCAGCAAAAGAUUUCCCUAGGCACCGACAGAUGAUAGUUUGAGACUGACAUAAGUAAAGGCUUGUGAAAGGACAAGUUCACUGACAGACAGGAAUUAAAGAAAGCAUCCUCCAUAGAACUUUCAGUUUUCAGAGUUCGGUCCUUGAGGCUUGUUCUUCUUGGCCUUCUUCUGUGUCUCCUGGGAUGAUGCAGAUCCUUUAGCUCCUAUCACCUUCAUGUGGUUGGACUUGGCUGACAAGCUAGCAGAAGAAAUCUUAGAUGAGCCCAUGCUGCAUACUUUUUCCCCCAGCCCCUGAAUGUGUGCUGAGGAUAGAGUGGGGGCUUUCGAGUGGCAGGCCAGGCAACUACUGUUUUGACAGGUCGCAGCACGAAAUCCUUCGUUUCUAGCCUUGAUUCUGCUACUCCUCCUGACAGAAGAUUCACAUUCCGGGGCCACCAAGCUCCCAAGCCUUGCCCUUGCUUUCUUUACUGAGGGUGUGCUAGUAGCCUUGUCCAUAAAGGAAGCUGUAGGAAUACCAUCUUCUUCUUCUUGACUUAUGCACGGCAGGGGACUGGUUCUGGGACAGACUGAUGGAAUGUUGAAGGCCAUCAUUGAUGAAUUUUCCACACAGCUGAGCAUGAAGUUCCAAGCAGAGGAGGCAAGAAAGUUUUUGGCCCAAUCAAAGUGCUGAGGUGACAGCAACAUAUUGAUGAAGAAGGAGGCCCAAUCUGCUGGGAUGUAAGUUACUUGUUCAGGACAGCCUGCUGGAGAAAAGUGCUGGGCCCAAAGCCGAAAGAGGUUGGGGUUCUGAAGAGCACCAGAAGUCUUUGGAUUUGGCUCCGCAGUGGAGGAGAGAGUUUCCGGCAGAACCACAUCUUUGAUGAACUUUUGUGCCAGCACUGGAUCCCUAUGCCACUGAGAGUCCGGUAACAGCACAAGAUUAACAUUAAUAUUUCCCAUGGGCUGGUCAAACGCUACCUGGUUAGCCGGUAUGGCCUAGUCUUGUUGGUUGUUGGCAGGCAGCCCAAGAACAAUCUCCGGCUGGAUCAAGGGUCCAUCUUGCAUGGCAGCCUGUUGUGCAUGAAUAUCCAUAUAUUGACCCAUUGGGUGGACUGGCUCCUGCUCAAGUGGCUGAUCAACUGGAUUAAAAGCAAUUGCCUGAGGGAUCCCUCCUGAGUAAACCACUAUUGGAAGGGGGUCCAUGCUCUGAUCAGAAGGACUCGAGGAAGGUGGUGGCGGUGAUAAAUUGAGAUUUAGGUCCAAGAUGACCUGAGGUUCCUCUUCUUCCUCAUGGAGUGCCUGGGCCUCCUCAAUAAGCAUGUCCAGGAGAACAUCCUCAUCCAUCCCAUCCUCUUCAUCCUCUUCUUCAUCUUGUUCAUCCUGUUCAAUAGCCAUAUUAUUCUGCUCUGGGUUGCCAUUUAAGUCUGGUAGCUGACCCCCAGGCCCCUCCAGAUCCAAAUUGUGGUUGUGUGGUUGGUUUUGUUGCUGUUGAACAUUUGGUUGAAAACCUGGAAAGAUGAAUUCCCCAUCUGGUCCUCCUGGUGGUAUGUCCUCAUCUUGCAAUUGGGCCCCCAGCAUGUUCUGUUGUAAGAUUUCACACUGAACUGUAUAAGAAACUCCCUCAAAGUCAUCUCCUUCUGACAGAAUUAGAUAAUGUGGAAUGUCCACAAGAUCCGUCACCCGAGCCUUUAUAAUGACCCUUGCCAAAACAUCAUCUUUCUGCCAGAGAAUCAUCCUACCAAACGAUCUGAUAGAAUCCUCGAUUUCGUGAGAAGAGCGGUUGUCAAUGGGAAAUCCAAUAAGCAUGAGCCAGCAUUCUCUGUUAAAGUUUACCCUACGGGCAUUGAGAGCACGAUUGUGUUGGACAAAGGUAAAACUAAGCCCAUUAUUGAAAAGGGGACUUCUAGCAAUGAGAGUAUCUCUAUCUGAAGGCCUCCCCAUUCUAACAAAAGCUUCUCCUCUACCAAAAGGGCUUCUUUGGAUAUCUCUAACUUCGAGACCCAAAUCAUGUACCAGAUAGUUGGAGAUCGCAUUCCUCAGGGGACCGAAAGGGAUCUCACCGGGGGGAAGGUUCCCAAGAGUGACGACUGCCAGGUCUUCAUUUCGUGGUAGCGCUCUUGGCACCACCACCCUUGUGAACUGCUGCCGACCUUGUACCAUCACCCUGUGAAAGCCAGCGAGCAUGAGGGGCUGGGGAUCAAUGUUGAGGAAGGCCAUUGUUUGGUCUUGGUUGGUUGCAGGUGGUUGAUGGAGAUCGGUGCUCGUGUCCGGUGGAAGGUACUGUUGCAAAGGGGGGAAGAAGGGCGAAGACGAAGCGGCAGGCAGGCCAGCGGUUGGGUUGCUGGUUGCGCUUCCAGAUACACGACCAUGAAGGGACAGCGCUAGAUCCUCGAGAUUGGCGAAGAUCCUUGGGCCGCUUGUGCCUGUAAGCCUUUCCUCCGGUGGGCCGUCCUUGAACCAAGUGGAUGUGCAAUCCAGAGGCCAGUCCGAAGCCUUGAUGCCUGGGGAAAACCCACCGCCGAAAGUAGAGCUGCAACACAUGAUGAACGCUUGGAGACUGUGAAAAGGCUUGCAGUCAUUAAGCGUGUGUCCCGCUCUUCUACAGUGCCAGCAAGAAAUCCUAUUUCUGCAAGCAGAUCUUCUGUGUCUUGGAGACAGGCAUCGGGAACAUAAGAGACUCCUGCCCAAGCGUGUAUUCUGGUCAUAAACCUUCUCGAGCGGGGGGCCACUAGAAUUCAAAAUCUUGCUGACCCGGUGCUCCGUCUUGCCUGCCUCCGCUCUGGAGGAGAGCCGAUCAAACACCGAUCUUCUCUUCUGUGGAGAGGAAGAAGAAGAACCCAAAAAGCCCACCCUCUGAUAAUUGUUGAUGAAUGCCAGCUUUUCCCCUAAAGGUGUGGCAUUAGCCCCUGUCAACUUUUGUGAUGAACCAGAGGAAGCUCUAACCACAUCAACAAACGAACGAGACCUCUCUGGAUGAAGACCCCUUCGAGAAGAUGAAAAACCAUAAGACUUCAUGGGUAUUUCCUGAUGAGUUGAAACUUUGGAGUUCGGAUGUUGCCCCAAAAGAGGACAUUUAGAAAGUGAUACUGCUUUUCCAUGUCUAGGCCGAGAGAGUUCCCAGUGAUAAGCAGGUCCAGAAAGUUUCCGAGCAAAAAGAGUAGCCUUAGAUAGCCCCGAAGCAUUGGAGAAAAAGAAACCCAGGUUGAACUCAUCACAAGAAAAAUCCUUGAGGUCUUCACAUAAGAAACCCACAUGUUUCGAAGCCACAAAAAACUUGAAGACUUGUUGAGAAAUUUGAGAGACCCGAAAACCAGAUGCCACACCUCCCAAAACAUUUUGCAGACAAGACGCGACUGAAAACGAGUCCAGCCUGAAAGAAUUCCUGCUAAACGCAGCUAGCAUGGCGAAGCCAGGACUUUGCGUCGACAGAGGGGAGACAUAGGAGUUGAGAAGGUCGCGGACUUUUGCUGCGAAGGCAAUCCCAUGACUCUGGACAAAGCAGAGAGAGGCCAUCAAAUCUUACCUGAGACUAGGCCGCAACGAGCAACUGGAUGAACAGGAGACCGGGAAGGAAGAAAGGGGUAAGGUGGUUAUCUGACAAGGCCGGAGGGGACCAUGCCGUAGGUGGUGGUUGCCGGUACCGGGGUGGUUGCCGGCGAGGAGGGGCGCCUCCUAGCGCGGGCUCCUCCCCUCAGUAGAUUGCCGGAUCUAAACACCGAGAGCUCUCCCAAUUGCUAUCCGGACAACCAGCGGGAGGCACCCCUGAGAGCUGGUUGUGAGCUUAGGGGUGCCGCUGGUUCCCAUUUUACUAGAUAAUAUUUGAUCGAGCACCUGUAACAAACAUAAUUUAAUGCAAAGGAUCAGCAAUAUUGAUGCAACUCAUCUCUAGUGGAAAUUUUUGUACGCUACAGAAUUAAGAGAAAUUAACUGACAUCUGAGAAUUGGGAAUAAGAUCCAACAUGAUGCAGAGGCAGAAGAAGCGAGAGUUGUCAAUUUUUCUUUUGUUCUAAACAAAAAUAGGCAGAGGUAGCUAGUUACCUUAGUCAAUAGGUUGAUCGCCUGUUGCUUGGAAAUUAUAACAUCUCUUUCUCUUGCAGUGCUAACGGGAAGCAAUCUGGCCAGUGCUUCCCCUGCUUUUCCCCUCAUCAGUCUGGUGGCAUUUUCCCUGUCUGCUUGUUCCACUUGAACUACAGUAUUAUUGCUGGGCGCUUCCUCAAGGAAGAUGCAUAGCAGGGCCUUGAGAAGCUUGUUAAUCUCCAGCUUUUUGAAAGAAUCAUCAAAGGCUAACUCUGUCAGGAUCUCCAGGGCUUGUCCAUGCAGUUCUUGGGCAGCUCCGCUGUCAGUCUCCAAAAUAGACAUCAGAUUGCUGACAUCUUCUGUGGUACUGGCAAGUUCCUGGCGCAGCCUUGUGGCGCCAUCCCCAGGGCAGGCAAGUAUCCUGCUUAACGCUGUGAGUGACUUGCUUAGCAUUCCAACAACCAUUGUGUCUGUGGCGGAACCACCUAAAUUAACUUGGCUAAAGCACACUUAAGUCGCCUAAACGCGAUCAUGUACUUUAAACAAGUCAACUUGGUCGUCCGUCGGAUUUCCUCCGAUAAAACCACGUAACGCAGGAUCGAGAAGGCAAAACUCACACGAUGGUGAGUGGUUACAGAGAUUACAACAGUCCACCCAGAUUAAACAAAGUGCAUCGAUUUAUUACAACAUAAAGUUCAGAAAUUCAAACAUAGUUUGUAGAGUGUUCAAGCAGCGGAAAUAAAACGCACGGAAACUAAACGUCGAUGCACGAUAUCAUGAAGAAGCCGAUCAUGACAUCACUGACCCCUGUCCUCGCCGUCCGAGGAGGGAUCCCACUCGACCGUCCAACCCGGAGGGAGCUGGGUAGACCAAGCAGAACUAGCAGCAAACUCAGAAACAUCAUCCUCACCUGAAAAGAGGUGCCACAAACAAGGCUGAGCAACUAUGCUCAACAAGACUUAACCGACCUGUGGUACUAAUCCACUAACACCUAGACAUGUAAGCUUUUUGGCUCUGGGUUUUGUUUUGCCAAAAGCGACUAGUGUAGGUCCUUACUUUCAACAUUUUAGCCACCAGUUCUACUGUUGUUUAUCAUUCUAAGUUUAGCAACUAUACUAAAUAAGCAUAGUUUUCCAAGCAAUUAAUAACAAGUAACAAUAUUAUAUCAUCAUCAUCUUUUAUUCUUACUCAGUGUAGCAUAGCGAUCAAGUAGUCCCACACUGUGAGAGGCAGACGAAUCGAUUCGAAUUUAUUAACCAUGCAUGGCGAACCUAAUCCCACGACAUCCGCGCACCACGAAGGGUUGCUUCACUUGUCAGCCGUCCCCAUCGAUCCCUAGGUACGUGUCAGGUCCAAACUUCCUUUGGCAUGCAAUGCUCCACAGUCCCGGUCUCUACCGUACUAUGACCGCCAUUGCACCCACAUGAUGCACCAUGGGAACGACGUUCCAAGGACAGCAGGGGUAUAAGCCACGUCCCAGUUCAAUCAGGUACUAGGCUUCCCCAUCCCAUACUAGGUAUGAGAUUAGUACUUUCAAACACUUGAUCACGAACACCAUCACCUUUCGACCUUAGUCCAAUUUCAAGUAGACAGACGGGGCAAACCACCGAGUACCAACAUAAGCCCAGCCCCGUCCAUCAUCCUUAUAGUUGCAAUGAAAAGAAAAUCAUUCAACUCCUAUAACUCGCGAGUGACAGGAAAUCACUCGACUUUUACCGAGUCCUAUUUAGCAUUGCAACUACUCGACUUCUUAUACUAGUGUUCAGAUCAAGGGGCACUAUAUUCAUGCAUCUAUGGUUUCAAUCAAUUCCUAUAAACGUAAAUGCAUAAUCAAAACAACCAAUAUAUUGCAAGUAUUUAAACAUAGGAAUUUAUGAUCCGGGGCUUGCCUUCACACUCGGAGUUAGCGAACUGGUCCUCGGCUUGCUCUAGCACGGGCUCGACUUCAGCGUGGUGUAGAUCCGCUACAGCUUCCUCUUCGGGCGUCGGGUGCAGCUCGUAUGUACCGUCGGCGAUGUUAACUUCUACAUGAAAUGCAGGUGCAAAUGAUUCAACAUGCAAAACCAAGAGUCUGAAAGGCAUUUCAUAUAUUAUUCCUUUUUAUCUUUCUCUAAAAAGGAAAGAGGUUUUCAUUAACUUUCAAACCAAGUCUCAUAAUUUUCCUGUGAACUACACCUCAUUCCUGAAUUAUUCCAAGUGGUUUCAUAUUUUUAUCAUCUCUGGAUUUAUCAUUAUGCAAAAAGAAAAAUCUACCCGUAGAUUUCAAUUAAUAAACUAAAACAGUAACUUAAAUGUCUAAGCUAGGCUCUAAACCAUUUUUCUAAGCUUUUAUUCUCUGAAACAAACACUUGAGAGUUGGAUUUACCUUUUUAGCAUUUUUCUGUGAUUUGCUAUGAUUUAAACUAGCUUAAACAAGGAUUAAAUCAUAUAACAUUAAUUAUAACAGAGACAUGUGUAAACUUAUUUUUAUACGAAACUACACAGAAUAUUGAGUCUAACAAAAUUUAUCUUGCAUUUUUAGCAUUUUUCUACACUUUUCUAUGCCUUUUUAAACUUUCAGCCUUUUUAGAUCUAGAAAAAAGAAAGAAAACCGAGGCAAUCUUCAAAUCUAGCCCUCCAGUCUAUGGGUUAAAUGCGUAGGGGCCCCUGGAUCUUGCGCCUACACCCCUGGACAAAAACCCACCUCAAACAUAAAUCCCACGAUUUUCCCCAUAACCCCCUGACUUUCUUUCUUCUUCCCCACAUAGAUCCCUCACGUACAAAAGGACAGCAACAUUCAGGCACGGCACAAAACAUGGCGCUGGAACUUGGGGGCCGGCCGCGACAGAGGGAAAGGAAGAGCACACGGCAGGGGGAAGAGGAGAGGGGCGGCGCCUUGGGCCAGGAGUGCUCACCAGCGACGCUGCGAUGAGGAGGGACGGCGUGCAGCAGUUCUCACGGCACAGGAAGGGGGCGGAUGGGGGCUCGUGUGGAGGGGGCUGCUCGGCAAGGGAGGGAGCCUGGGAAGGGGCAAAAUGGAAGCGGGACGACGAGGAGGCGCCGUGGCUGCAAGGAAUCGACCGGAGACUCGCUCACGGUGGUGGAUUUCGCCGGCAAAGUUUGAGCGUGGCGAGGUGCUGCGAGAGUGGGGAGGGGAGUACGGUGGGGCGGGCGAGCUAUUUAUAGCCGCGACGAGCUCGUGGGGCUGGCCGGUGGGUCGGAGGGGCGCUGGUACGCUGCUGCGGGGUGGACCGGCCACGGCGGGCACCAUUGGCGGAUAGGGGAGGCGACUUGGCGGGCGUGCUUGCAGGCGGGCACCGCAGGCGAAGCAGGCGUGCACGGGUGAACGGCUCCAUCAGGGCGCUGCAGGCGAGGCCGAGGAGCUGUGGCGUCUUGUCUCGGGCGUGCGUUGGCGGGCACGGCGGCGGUGGCGUGCCAGAGCGUCGCAGGGCGCGUGCGGAUAGAGCAGCGGCAGGGGGCAACUCGACGGGGCAGCGACGAGGAGCACGUGCCACGGGGCAGCCGGUGAGGGGAGCGCGGCGCACGCGUGCUCGGCGUGAGCUCUGGUGCGGGAUUUGCGGGAUCGGACGAUAGGGCAAUCUUCGAGCACGAUCUUCUCCAGAUUUUUGAACUGCACAACCCCUACUCCCUUUACAAAAGUUGUAGGCCUAGGAUCUAAGUUCAAUUCUUGUAAUUGUCUUGAUUUCAAAUUCGAAGCUGAAUUGAAGAUAAAACGCUUCAAAGUUUGGCAAAAUCCGAAACUUUCAGACUUGAACACUUCAGCCAUUUUUGACAGUGUUGACCAUUUUAGCUGCGUUUGACCUCGUUUUUGAAAACCUUCUGUGCAGAUUUUGGCCUAUGCUCAAAAAUCAAAGUUGUUAAGGACUCGUAGCACUAAAACUUUCAUAAAAGGUUUGUCAUGAGCAUACAUUCAAAAAUGUGAGAAAAAGGGCUCCAAAGUUCUGACUUUAUUUGAUCUGCACCUUUCGGCCCAGAUUUGUAAUUCGAUAUUUUGACCCUUUUCCGAUCAGUUUCAAGCAAAACGCUAAUUACAAAAGUUGUUAGAAUUUGUGAGCUAUACAACUCUUAGUUAGGCAUAUUUUUAAGUUCUUAAGACAAAAAUUGAGUUAUGGCUUAAACACAUGUUUAGCUCGUGAGGGGCAAAAGGGGUCAUUUUACUUGGGUGCAAGGCUGUUCAUUGGUUCCAUUAAGCUCUAAUGACUUCACUUAAGCUCAAAGAAGGUAAAUUUUGGCUCAUUUGCUACAACCUACCCCCCUUAAAGGAAUCUCGCCCCGAGAUUCGAGUGAAAGAAAAAGAACUAGUGUGGCUUGGGUAUCGUACCUCCCUGAUCGAAAAGAAAUCCGCGGAAGUGGGUAUUAAGAUACUCCUCCGUUUCCCAUGUGGCUUCGGCUUCUGUGUGAUGACUCCACUGAACUUUGAACAUCCUCAUUAUUUUGUUCCGGGUCUUCCUUUCCUUGCGAUCAACAAUCUUGAUUGGGUACUCCACAUAGGAAAGAUCCGGGUCUAUCGAUACCUCUUCUUGCUCAAUAAUUGCCGUGGGAACUCGUACACACUUCUUGAGCUGCGAUACGUGGAAUAUGUCGUGUAUAGCUGAAAGUCUGUUAGGGAGUUUAACUCUAUAUGCGACUGGUCCGCAUAUUUCCACGAUCUCAUAGGGACCAAUGUAUCGGGGAGCCAAUUUUCCUUUGAUCCCAAACCGUUGUACACCCUUAGUCGGUGAGACUCGGAGGUAUACAUGAUCACCAAUGUCAAACUGUAAGGGCCUUCUCCUUUUGUCAAAAUAGCUUUUCUAUCGUGACUGGGCGGCUUUAAGAUUUGCUUGAAUUAUUUUAACUUGCUCUUCGGCUUCAACUACUAGAUCAGGCCCAUAGGUUUGUCUUUCUCCUGUUUGUGACCAAUUUAAAGGUGUUCGACACCUUCGACCAUAUAGGGCUUCAAAUGGUGCCAUUUUCAAGCUAGCCUGGUAGCUAUUGUUAUAGGAAAAUUCCGCUAAUGGCAAACAUUUAUCCCAAUUCUUGUCAUAAUGUAUGACGCAAGCACGUAGCAUGUCUUCUAGAAUUUGAUUCACCCUUUCUGUUUGGCCAUCAGUCUGAGGGUGAUAUGUUGAGCUACGGAUUAGCUUAGUGCCAAGUGCGGACUGUAGUUGUUCCCAAAAGCGUGCGAUGAAUUGAACUCCUUGAUCAGAGAUGAUUGUCUUCGGCACACCAUGUAGGGACACAAUACGGUCAAGAUACAAUUCUGCAUAUUUCCGAGCGGUGUAGGUAGUGUGAACAGGAAGGAAAUGUGCCGUCUUGGUAAGACGGUCCACUAUAACCCAGAUAGAAUCAUGGCGCUGAGAAGUAACAGGUAAUCCCACAAUGAAAUCCAUGCUGAUAUCUUCCCAUUUCCAAGAUGGAAUAGGUAGCGGUUGCAAGGUACCUGCUACCUUCAAGUGGCUUGCCUUGAUACGUUGACAUGUGUCGCAUUCCGAGACAUAGCGUGCAAUUUCCGGUUUCAUUCCACUCCACCAAAAUGUUUGACGGAGGUCAUGAUACAUCUUAUUGCUGCCAGGAUGAAUCGAGAACUUGGAGAGAUGUGCUUCAUCCAGGAUUUGCUUCCUAAGGUCGGGGUUAGAUGGGACAACAAGUCGGUUCUCAUAGUACACUAUUCCCUUCUCAUCUUGUCGGAAAUGUUUAUACCCCUCAUCUCUCUGUGCAACUUUCUCCUUAAUUAGCUUUAUUUCCUCAUCUUCUAAUUGUAUCAGCCCAAUUUUGUCCUCUAAGGUAGAUUCAAUGGAAACAUGACCUAAGGUGCCAUGGGAAAUAAUUUCCAAACUAAGUUUUCCCAUCUCAUGACAUAUGGUUUCUGCGAAGUUAGUUGCCGACAAACAAUUGCAAUGGGCCUUGCGACUGAGAGCAUCGGCAACUACAUUUGCUUUGCCGGGGUGAUAAUGCACUUCCAGAUCAUAAUCCUUAAUUAAUUCCAACCACCUUCUCUGACGCAUGUUAAGAUCCGCUUGAGUAAAGAUAUACUUGAGGCUCUUGUGAUCAGUGUAGACAUUGCAGUGAGUGCCCAUAAGAUAGUGUCUCCACAUCUUCAAGGCAUGAAUCACGGCUGCCAAUUCCAGAUCAUGUGUCGGGUAAUUCAGCUCAUGCGGCCGUAACGCUCGUGAGGCAUAGGCAAUGGCUCGGUUGUCUUGCAUGAGAACACACCCAAGUCCAGUGCCGGAGGCGUCACAAUACACGUCAAACGGCUUAGUAGUGUCAGGUUGAGCUAGGACUGGGGCAGAGGUUAAAAGUCUUCUCAAGGUGUGGAAAGCUUCUUCACAUUUGUCACUCCAUGUGAAUUUGACUCCUUUCUUCAAUAACUCAGUCAUAGGCUUAGCUAUUUUUGAGAAAUCCGGAAUGAAUCGCCGAUAGUAGCCUGCUAGACCAAGAAAGCUUCGGAUUUGAUGAACCGAAGUGGGUGGCUUCCAGUCCAUGACCUCUUGCACUUUGCUGGGGUCGACUGCAAUGCCAUCUCGAGAAAUAGUGUGUCUCAAGAAUUUAACAUUCUCCAACCAGAACUCACACUUGGAGAACUUCGCGUACAACUGAUGAUCUCUCAAGCGUUGAAGAACAAUGCGAAGAUGCUCGGCAUGUUCCUUCUCAUUCUUCGAGUACACUAGGAUGUCAUCAAUGAAUACCACGAUGAAUUUGUCCAGCUCGGGCAUAAACACCGAAUUCAUGAGAUACAUGAAAUAAGCAGGUGCAUUAGUAAGCCCAAACGACAUAACUAGAUACUCGUAGAGUCCAUACCGUGUGGAGAAAGCCGUUUUGGGAAUGUCACACGGUCGGAUCUUGAUCUGAUGAUAGCCUGAGCGAAGGUCUAUCUUGGAGAAUACUCUAGCUCCAGCUAACUGAUCAAAUAGGACAUCAAUGCGGGGCAAUGGAUAUUUAUUCUUAAUCGUCACCGCAUUGAGAGGGCGGUAGUCCACACACAUGCGUAGACUCUCGUCCUUCUUCUUCACAAACAGUGCUGGACAACCCCAAGGUGACGUACUUGGGCGAAUGAAACCCUUUUCCAACAGUUCAUGUAAUUGGGUUUUCAGUUCUGCUAGCUCUGCGGGUGGCAUUCGAUACGGCCUCUUGGAUAUUGGUGCCGUGCCUGGUUGCAACUCAAUAGCAAACUCGAUAUCCCUGUCAGGUGGCAUGCCUGGCAGGUCAUCCGGGAAUACAUCUGGAUACUCACAAACAAUGGGGAUAUCUUCCAGUUGGGCCUCAACCAUGGGAUAAGCACAGGAGUUUAUGCACUCUCGGUGGGGUAAGUGGAUAGUGGAGGUGCCAUACAGUGGUGAGUCUAGGUGGACAGCUCGGGCGGAGAUAUCUAGCAUUACUCGGUGUCGAGUCAUCCAAUCCAUACCCAAGAUAAUAUCUAUUCCCUCUAGACCGAGAAUAAUAAGAUUUUCCUUAAAGAGGGUUCUUCCUAACUUGAUAGGUACAUUGAGGUUCAUUUGAUCUGAGGCUAUUUUCCCACCUGGGGUAGAGAUCAUAUACGACCCUUUGGUGUGACAGAACCUUAACCCACAUCUAGCACCAGUUUUACUUCCGAUGAAACUAUGAGAUGCUCCGGAAUCAAAUAAAAUCAAAACUGGUUGAUUAUGAAUAAGGAAUGUACCCGUCAUCACCGGUGCGCCUUCUGGGAGUUCUGCCACAUUGGUGAAGUUUAGCCUGCCAUGACGAACUUGUACUUUGGGCUUCUUUCCCUUGUUCACCAUUGCAUUGCUCUGGCCGGGGCGUUGAUUCUUGUUUCUGGGGCAGUCCUUGGCAAAGUGUCCCACGUUGCCGCAGGUGAAGCAGCGGUUACCAUUUGCAGGGCGCGGCGGCGGUGGAAGGUUGCGCUGAGGCGCCUGCGGCUGGAAACCGGGGAAAUGAGGUGCUGCCGGUGGUGGAGGGCGAGCAACCCAUCUCCCAGGCUGCGCGGGCCUGUGAGGUGCUGAAGGGGGAACCAUCCUGAAUUUCCGAGCAGGCGGGCUAGGUGAUAUCAUGGGAGCUUUCCGCUUCAGGUGAGCCUUGAGGGCCUUCAUGCAGUCUUCCUGGGAAAUGGCCAGAUUCACCAGCUCGUUGUAGGUAUCCACUUUGAUGGGGUUCAGCCUUUCCUUGAGUUCGAGACUCAAGCCCCUGCGGAACCGAUCCCGCUUCUUCUCAUCCGUAUCCGCGUGAUAGCUGGCAUAGCGGCAGAGGUCGUUGAAGGCCUGUGCGUAAUGCAGGACAUCGCGACUUCCCUGGGUGAGAGCCAGGAACUCAUUGAGCUUGCGCUCCAUUAGGCCCUCAGGGAUAUGAUGGCCUCUGAAAGCGGUCUUGAACUCGUCCCAGCUGACGAUGUGGUCAGCCGGCAGCAUGGCGUGGUAGUGGUCCCACCAGAGGCGGGCAGAACCACGCAGCUGCUGGGCUGCGAACCGUGCCUUGUUGUCAUCGGUGCAAGGCGUAGUGAGAAGCUCGAACUUGGAUUCCAUAAUGUGAAUCCAUGCAUCAGCAUCGAGAGGAUCCUCAGUCUUGUGGAAGAGCGGGGGCUGGGUCCCUAAGAAAUCCUCAUAACGAGCAAUCUGGGGCUGCUGAUGACCCCUUCCUCCCUGAGGCUGGUGUUGCUGCCCUUGGACGAUGUGUCGCAAGAGCUCUGUCUGUGCAGCCAAGAUCGCCUCUAGCGAAGGCGGGGGAGGCGGUGGUGGCGGAGGUGCUCGAUUAUCCUCGCUACCACUUGGGAUCGAGCUUAAGCGCGCAGUGCGCACCAUCUGCAAGAGGGUAUCUUUCCAUUAGUCACAUAAUUCGAAAGCUUGCUUAAAAACAAGGAAAAAUUAUGUGCAGGAUCAUAAACAUAAAUCUUGCGGAUCCUGAGAAAAACAACAAUAAGAUCCUUUUGUUGAGUAGGUGCAUAUCUCUUCUUCUGUAUGCACAUUGUUUCUCAUCUUUGGUCAGUAGUUAGCACAUUUCAUAUGCCACAACUUUUGUAUUACGCUCGCUGACCAAAACAUAAGAUAAAGAGAUCGAAAAGUGAGCUGAGUGAGUCGUUGUCCGGCUGUUUUUCAGCAAUCUGAGCGGUGAAGUUUUGGCUUCUAACACGAGUUUAACAGAUCGAAAGGAGCUGAAAUUUUACGAGCGGUUAGAACACAAGUUUUUGCACAACUUUGGUAUUUAAAUAUCAGUUCAAAAGUGAGUGGAGAUAGGGUUAAAACUGAGACCAAACAGCAACUAUAUUUCUGCCAAGUUUUCGGUUACAUCGCCAGUCAUGACAAAAGCAUGUCCAUGCAUACAUAACAAGUCUAUGGCAGCAAGAGUACUCAACUCGAGGCUAACCUAUUACAUCGCCAUCCAAAAUAUAGGUUGCCGAGGAGUAACAACAGAAGACCAACUCGCUACAACAAAAACCUAGAAGUCAUCUAAGUUGCCCACGGAGGAAGCGCUGUGCACCGGAGAAGGGGCGUCACCAACUCGGGGCGGAGACUGUACGCCCUCGAAGUCCAUGCUCGAGACACCCUCGAUCUCCUCGGGGUCUUCCUCCUCCUCCUCCUCCUCCUCCAUCGGGUCAUUCUCCCCCUGCUGCUCCUGCGCAUGGAUGGCAUUGAGCUCGGCGUGGUGCUCAUCCAAGUGCGCAUUAGCAACAAGCUAGCUCCGUCUCAACCUCUAGCUUCUCCUCUGCAAGCAAUACCAUAUCGUGCUCCAUAUCUGUCACCUCCUCCUCUAGCUCGGUGAUCCGGGUCUCCAUGUCAGAGAUCCGUAUACCCCUCUGGAUGAGCUGGUACGACUGUUCCACCAAAUCUUUCUUGGUGGUAUUGAGAUGCUCCUGGGUGUCCACAGCUAUCCGAGCCAAGACAGCCAUAGCUCUCCCCUGGAGCUCGACCAGUCGGUACAACGCAUUCAUACAACGUGUUGCGGUGGAGAGGGUGACCUGCGGGUGUGAGGUGACCAACACCUCCAUGUUGUUCACCCUAUCAAGCCAGUCUGCGUCCAGCCUGUCCCUAGCGGGGAACAAGCCAAUCGGAUCCAAAAGGACCUCGAAAGGGUGUAGUCUGCAGAACUGAGUGAGGGCCUGCAGGGCAACGGACUCCCAAGUAUCCUCGAGGGUAUGACCAUAUGUCGAAACCUCAAGCUGGGGCCACUGUGGCUGCACUGGGGGUGGAGGUACGACCACAUGCACGCUGCACCUUUGCACCCCGUGCUCCAGGUACUCGCGUCCCGCGUAAAGAGGCGGCGACUGGUACCCAAACCACCUCAAGGUGUCCCACAAGAUAGCGGGAAAACCCUCGAAGUGUAGGCACGUGGAGUGGGAGGUGCCAUCCGUGCCACGUAUCACGUGCCCAGGAGCGGCCAUCUGGAACCAAGGAGUGAUAAAAGAAACGUGAGAUUAAAACUCAGGAUGAAAACAGAUUCUGGUAGGCUAGAGAAAAAGGUCAUAACUCAACAAGUACUCAUCCAAAAAUUCCCAAAUUUUACCAACAUUCCCUUCUGAUAAUUGGUAACAAGUUUGGUAUUCAUAAGUGGAGUGAAAACAGAUCCUAACAGGGUGAUAUACUCAGAUCUUUGGCAGGUGGCACAUGCUGGAAUUUUCAGGGACAGUGUGGCAAUAAACUGAGCAUAACUCCCAAACCAGAGAUAUAAAUAAGCUGAAUAUUUACCACAAGGUUCUUCAAACAGUUCUCUACAGCUUUUCUUAAGCAGUGCCUAGCAGAAAAUGUCCUUAAGGGAGUCGAAACAGGAAGACUAUAACAGGUGCACAAACUGUAUUUCCAGGAAAUAAGGAGUUACAAAUUUUUUUGUCAUUGCUCGCAAAUCCUUUGGGAGAAUUUACCAAAUUUUACCAGUGGCAUAAUAAAACAUUUUUACACACUUUUCUUAUAUAAAGUUUCUGUAGAUAACACAUGGAAAAAAAAACCCAAAAGAUUUUGAUAAGACACCAUGCUGAAAAGGGCAGCUAGAAAAUCCUUAACGUGGAAAAAAAAACUUAAAACACAUGAGCAAGGUCGAUUUAAUGGUUCGGUUUCACGGAUUUUAGUUCAUGAUGCAUGCACGACCUACAUCGUCCUCUCAACCAAAAUAAUUGCCAAAAAUUGGACUUACGUGAUUAGUGCCGGUGGCAAGGCAACAAUUACAUCGCUCCCUAUAGUAUCUAGUCGGGUUUCUAAUAUCGUUUUCCUACACGAACGUGGUUAGUGUACCUGCAGAAAAACACAAUACCACAUGAACCUUUCGUGCCAACACUCACGAAAGCAUCCCCAUUCAUUACCAUUCACUAUAGAAAUGGCACCCAUGCGUUUAACGCUGCAUGGACAGCGCAACAACCGUGGAAAUAGGCCCCUUUGAAUAGGACCAUAUAACCCUUCGCAUACUCGUGAUGCGGAAUCAUGCGCACGUAUCAUAAACAUGGGCGAACAACCGUGAUGAUAGGCUCGUUGGAAUCGAACCAUACCACCCUUCGCAUGAAUCAUCAUACGGAACCUUACGCACGUAUAAUAAACGUGGGUGAAAACAACCGCGAUGAUAGGUUCUUUGGAAUAGAACUUCCUAUCACCCCUCGCAUACUCACGAUGCGGAACUCUGCGCACGUAUAAUACACGUGGGCGAAAGUGCUGGAAGUUAGUAAAAUAACCAAUAGCUAAUAGCCACCUUAAAUAACCCAAAAAUUCCCCUAGGGCUUCUCGUACUAAGUUCAUCCUUAACGAUCGUACGAAAUUUUCAAACUAAUUUCUUGCAAGUUUUAUUUUAGAAAAGGUAUUUAAAGUCUGUUGUUUUCUCUGUCAUGCUUUCAAGCUCUGAUACCAGCUGUGGCGGAACCACCUAAAUUAACUUGGCUAAAGCACACUUAAGUCGCCUAAACGCGAUCAUGUACUUUAAACAAGUCAACUUGGUCAUCCGUCGGAUUUCCUCCGAUAAAACCACGUAACGCAGGAUCGAGAAGGCAAAACUCACACGAUGGUGAGUGGUUACAGAGAUUACAACAGUCCACCCAGAUUAAACAAAGUGCAUCGAUUUAUUACAACAUAAAGUUCAGAAAUUCAAACAUAGUUUGUAGAGUGUUCAAGCAGCGGAAAUAAAACGCACGGAAACUAAACGUCGAUGCACGAUAUCAUGAAGAAGCCGAUCAUGACAUCACUGACCCCUGUCCUCGCCGUCCGAGGAGGGAUCCCACUCGACCGUCCAACCCGGAGGGAGCUGGGUAGACCAAGCAGAACUAGCAGCGAACUCAGAAACAUCAUCCUCACCUGAAAAGAGGUGCCACAAACAAGGCUGAGCAACUAUGCUCAACAAGACUUAACCGACCUGUGGUACUAAUCCACUAACACCUAGACAUGUAAGCUUUUUGGCUCUGGGUUUUGUUUUGCCAAAAGCGACUAGUGUAGGUCCUUACUUUCAACAUUUUAGCCACCAGUUCUACUGUUGUUUAUCAUUCUAAGUUUAGCAACUAUACUAAAUAAGCAUAGUUUUCCAAGCAAUUAAUAACAAGUAACAAUAUUAUAUCAUCAUCAUCUUUCAUUCUUACUCAGUGUAGCAUAGCGAUCAAGUAGUCCCACACUGUGAGAGGCAGACGAAUCGAUUCGAAUUUAUUAACCAUGCAUGGCGAACCUAAUCCCACGACAUCCGCGCACCACGAAGGGUUGCUUCACUUGUCAGCCGUCCCCAUCGAUCCCUAGGUACGUGUCAGGUCCAAACUUCCUUUGGCAUGCAAUGCUCCACAGUCCCGGUCUCUACCGUACUAUGACCGCCAUUGCACCCACAUGAUGCACCAUGGGAACGACGUUCCAAGGACAGCAGGGGUAUAAGCCACGUCCCAGUUCAAUCAGGUACUAGGCUUCCCCAUCCCAUACUAGGUAUGAGAUUAGUACUUUCAAACACUUGAUCACGAACACCAUCACCUUUCGACCUUAGUCCAAUUUCAAGUAGACAGACGGGGCAAACCACCGAGUACCAACAUAAGCCCAGCCCCGUCCAUCAUCCUUAUAGUUGCAAUGAAAAGAAAAUCAUUCAACUCCUAUAACUCGCGAGUGACAGGAAAUCACUCGACUUUUACCGAGUCCUAUUUAGCAUUGCAACUACUCGACUUCUUAUACUAGUGUUCAGAUCAAGGGGCACUAUAUUCAUGCAUCUAUGGUUUCAAUCAAUUCCUAUAAACGUAAAUGCAUAAUCAAAACAACCAAUAUAUUGCAAGUAUUUAAACAUAGGAAUUUAUGAUCCGGGGCUUGCCUUCACACUCGGAGUUAGCGAACUGGUCCUCGGCUUGCUCUAGCACGGGCUCGACUUCGGCGUGGUGUAGAUCCGCUACAGCUUCCUCUUCGGGCGUCGGGUGCAGCUCGUAUGUACCGUCGGCGAUGUUAACUUCUACAUGAAAUGCAGGUGCAAAUGAUUCAACAUGCAAAACCAAGAGUCUGAAAGGCAUUUCAUAUAUUAUUCCUUUUUAUCUUUCUCUAAAAAGGAAAGAGGUUUUCAUUAACUUUCAAACCAAGUCUCAUAAUUUUCCUGUGAACUACACCUCAUUCCUGAAUUAUUCCAAGUGGUUUCAUAUUUUUAUCAUCUCUGGAUUUAUCAUUAUGCAAAAAGAAAAAUCUACCCGUAGAUUUCAAUUAAUAAACUAAAACAGUAACUUAAAUGUCUAAGCUAGGCUCUAAACCAUUUUCUAAGCUUUUAUUCUCUGAAACAAACACUUGAGAGUUGGAUUUACCUUUUUAGCAUUUUUCUGUGAUUUGCUAUGAUUUAAACUAGCUUAAAGAAGGAUUAAAUCAUAUAACAUUAAUUAUAACAGAGACAUGUGUAAACUUAUUUUUAUACGAAACUAAACAGAAUAUUGAGUCUAACAAAAUUUAUCUUGCAUUUUUAGCAUUUUUCUACACUUUUCUAUGCCUUUUUAAACUUUCAGCCUUUUUAGAUCUAGAAAAAAAAAGAAAACCGAGGCAAUCUUCAAAUCUAGCCCUCCAGUCUAUGGGUUAAAUGCGUAGGGGCCCCUGGAUCUUGCGCCUACACCCCUGGACAAAAACCCACCUCAAACAUAAAUCCCACGAUUUUCCCCAUAACCCCCUGACUUUCUUUCUUCUUCCCCACAUAGAUCCCUCACGUACAAAAGCACAGCAACAUUCAGGCACGGCACAAAACAUGGCGCUGGAACUUGGGGGCCGGCCGCGACAGAGGGAAAGGAAGAGCACACGGCAGGGGGAAGAGGAGAGGGGCGGCGCCUUGGGCCAGGAGUGCUCACCAGCGACGCUGCGAUGAGGAGGGACGGCGUGCAGCAGUUCUCACGGCACAGGAAGGGGGCGGAUGGGGGCUCGUGUGGAGGGGGCUGCUCGGCAAGGGAGGGAGCCUGGGAAGGGGCAAAAUGGAAGCGGGACGACGAGGAGGCGCCGUGGCUGCAAGGAAUCGACCGGAGACUCGCUCACGGUGGUGGAUUUCGCCGGCAAAGUUUGAGCGUGGCGAGGUGCUGCGAGAGUGGGGAGGGGAGUACGGUGGGGCGGGCGAGCUAUUUAUAGCCGCGACGAGCUCGUGGGGCUGGCCGGUGGGUCGGAGGGGCGCUGGUACGCUGCUGCGGGGUGGACCGGCCACGGCGGGCACCAUUGGCGGAUAGGGGAGGCGACUUGGCGGGCGUGCUUGCAGGCGGGCGCCGCAGGCGAAGCAGGCGUGCACGGGUGAACGGCUCCAUCAGGGCGCUGCAGGCGAGGCCGAGGAGCUGUGGCGUCUUGUCUCGGGCGUGCGUUGGCGGGCACGGCGGCGGUGGCGUGCCAGAGCGUCGCAGGGCGCGUGCGGAUAGAGCAGCGGCAGGGGGCAACUCGACGGGGCAGCGACGAGGAGCACGUGCCACGGGGCAGCCGGUGAGGGGAGCGCGGCGCACGCGUGCUCGGCGUGAGCUCUGGUGCGGGAUUUGCGGGAUCGGACGAUAGGGCAAUCUUCGAGCGCGAUCUUCUCCAGAUUUUUGAACUGCACAACCCCUACUCCCUUUACAAAAGUUGUAGGCCUAGGAUCUAAGUUCAAUUCUUGUAAUUGUCUUGAUUUCAAAUUCGAAGCUGAAUUGAAGAUAAAACGCUUCAAAGUUUGGCAAAAUCCGAAACUUUCAGACUUGAACACUUCAGCCAUUUUUGACAGUGUUGACCAUUUUAGCUGCGUUUGACCUCGUUUUUGAAAACCUUCUGUGCAGAUUUUGGCCUAUGCUCAAAAAUCAAAGUUGUUAACGACUCGUAGCACUAAAACUUUCAUAAAAGGUUUGUCAUGAGCAUACAUUCAAAAAUGUGAGAAAAAGGGCUCCAAAGUUCUGACUUUAUUUGAUCUGCACCUUUCGGCCCAGAUUUGUAAUUCGAUAUUUUGACCCUUUUCCGAUCAGUUUCAAGCAAAACGCUAAUUACAAAAGUUGUUAGAAUUUGUGAGUUAUACAACUCUUAGUUAGGCAUAUUUUUAAGUUCUUAAGACAAAAAUUGAGUUAUGGCUUAAACACAUGUUUAGCUCGUGAGGGGCAAAAGGGGUCAUUUUACUUGGGUGCAAGGCUGUUCAUUGGUUCCAUUAAGCUCUAAUGACUUCACUUAAGCUCAAAGAAGGUAAAUUUUGGCUCAUUUGCUACAGUGUCCUCCCGCAAAUUGUUGAGAAAGUCAGGGCUGCUCGGUGGUGAUGUGAUCUUAGAGAGCAGCCUUGGGUGUUUGCUUAUCUCUGCACAGUUCUCUUGGUCCUGUGUGAGCCCCUCGAGAAUCAGCAGGCCUUGAGAAACCAGUUCUUUGGGUCCUCUAAAGUUAUAAGUAAAUCUCGACUCCUUUAUAAAGAGGAUGGUAGUAUUCUCUUUAUUAAAAAGUGAAGAUGGUAGUAUUCUCUUGAGUAACUUGGCAGGUGAUGGACAAAAGACUUGUUCUUUUUCAUGGUCAGUUUGGUCUUGGAUCGGCACUGCCAUAGCAUCUUGACGCUAGGAUGUUUCCAAUGACCUACUCUGUUCAUCAGGAUUUUUCUCCGGCGACGGACAGGCCUCACAGAAUUGGUUACAGCUUUCAAGUAGGGAACAAAUGCAUUGUAGUGUACCUGGGAAGUGUGCUACGUCGAGAUCACUGGCAAGAUGUGCUAGAAUCCUUGCGGCGCGCUCUCUGUUCUCGAUGUUACCAGCUGUGCUGCUCCGACCAAUCAUGCCGAUCAAAUUCUGAAUAGAGCUCCUGGAAGAUAGUAUCUCCUGUCUUACAGAUAUAAUAUCCUUGGUAUCAAAGAGCUUGUCUAGAAGCCUUGCCCCCCAUAGGUGGUCAUCAUCCCUUGAUGCAGACUGGAGCAACCCAACACCGUAGGUGAUCAAGUUCCAAUUGUCCGGCAGCUCCCCGUCCUUCUUAAACUUCCUUGUUGUUUCUGAACGGUACAUCGCAACUAGUGGGCUCCAACUCCGAUCCUCAUCCCCGCAUUGUUGUUUCAUCACUCGUUCCACGAGCAAAACUGACGAAUCUAACAAUGCUUCAACAGUAGCAAAGUGUAUGAAUCCUAAGGUCUGGAACAGAACUAGAGCAUAGAAGAUGUCCAGUGCGGCGGCCAGUUUUGCUCUGUUGGCAGCAUCUCCGCCCGCAUCGCCAUAAUCUCGUUGUACAAGACGCCAAACGCAGACCCCCAGGCUCACAUGUGGCGAAAAACCUACGGCCAAUGCUGAAAGGCACAGCAGAAUAGACUUGGGCAAGAGCACUGCACCCAGCAUUUUUGUAUGAAACGAGGCGUCGAUCGGGUUGGAGCGGAACCAUCCCAGACGCGCGAUUAAACGAAUGAUUUUGACCUCUUCCAUAUAGAUCCCACUUUGAAACUCCUGAUAAUUGUCCACCACCCUGUGUAAUAUGUUGGGUCAGCUAGUGGAUAAGAUUGGAUGCCGACGGUAGGCCCGUGGCCGAAGCUGGUCUGCGGGCUGGCCACGGUCAGCGUUACGACCAAGGUGGGUCAAAGCAGUGCGCCCGGGGCGGGAAGGGAUAUCGGAAGGGUGGUGAUGCGGUGUGCGUGUUCUAGGCGGAGGGCGCUCGUUAUCGUCGUACUAUUUAAGUGGUGUUUCUAAACUAAAUCUUAUACUAAUCUGCCAUUUGGAAUCUGAAAUAACCCCAUAUUCGCAUAUGUGUUGUGUUUUCGAUCAUAUUGCAAAAUCACAAGAAAUACGACAUAAAUGAAGGGUUUUUGUAUAAGAUUAGAUUUGGAUCUGAACUUUGAAUAUUGAAAGACAAAAUCGGGAAUAUUGGACUGUAGGCCUGGAGGAGGAGCUGAAUUUGCACGUGUCAUAUCUUCCUCGUCCGAAUACCGAUUGGGACGAAUUUACAGAGAAAAUUGCAUGCCUCGAAAAGAUCUACAACUUUCUUAUGAAGCGCUCAGGCAUUCGAGGCCUACAGAGAGCAGGUCGAUCGGCCCCGAUCGACGUGCCCUUCUUCCCACAGCACCUCUGGACUAUAAAUAUCCCAAUUCUCCGUCGGAACGCGCAUCCAUCCACCAGAACUUGACGAAACAUACGGCAUUCACCAGAAGGAGCUGAAGGCCACCGCAAGCCUUCGGAGUUGUCUAGGAGAUGGCUUAGACCAAACCCUAGCCGCCAUGGCCUUCCUGCGCGGUUGUGCCAUGGUGGAGUUCAGGAGUAGUAGUAGAUCAUAGAUAGUAUGUACUUGGAGGUGAUGAUCUAAAUACAUCUAUUAUGUGAGUAAUGUUCUUCAUGUCAUCUGACUCUUUUAAUGCUUUCUAUCUGUCAUGGAUAUGCUUGUUCCUAGUCUAGUUCCGAAUUAGACUAUCUAGCAUGCUUUGUAUAAUUAUGGUGAUUAGAUCUAGUAUGUUGACCCUUAAUGAUAGUUAGACAUGUUCAUCUGUGUUCGUACCCUUAAACUGCCUGCACCGUUAAGGGGUAUCAUGAUGGGGUCUGCUUCCUUGUAGGGUGGGGGAUUUUCGGGAGGUUGACCAGAGCUAGUAGUCUAAAGAUUGCUUUGGACGAGAUGCAUGAUGUGCUUGCCAGUUGGCUAGAACUACAACUAUAAGAUGAUAGGUUGUUACUAUCCUAGGUGGUGGCAUAUCAUAUAUGAGGACCCAUGGUGGUCACUCUUGGAUGAUGAGUGAUUGACAACGUUGUGUUGGUUUGAUGUUGCUCUUGGCUUGUGAUGUGCAGGUGUAGGAUGCAACGUGGCGGUCGACGGCGUGCGGUGAAGGUCAAGCGAAAGGUUCAUGCCGAUGGACCGAGGGCGGUGAAGGAUGAACGCGAGUAGGCUUGGACCGAUGGACCUGAGGAGUCCGGGCGAAGUCAUGUGCGGUCCACAUGGUGCACGGAAUGGCGAGAGGACAUGACGGGGUGGAGACGGCGUCGAUCGAGUCGAGCGGGAGGCUUGGCGGAGGCCGGACACGCGUCGACAUCGAGAAGGUUGCGUAGCGGCCAAGCGAAGAUGGACGGUUUGGGUGGUUUGGGCCUCAAAAUCACCGCGCAGGCAGGUUUCCUGGUUUAGGCCUCAAAACCGGGGGUGAGCCGGGUGCGGCCGGAGCUUUGAGAAGAAGGGCACGUGGCAUCAUCGCGAAGCUUGCGUCGAGGUGAAGCAAAGUUGUGAAGGCGGCGUGUCUGUCCGAUGCGCGGAUAAAAACUUGGACCAAAGUACCCCUGCGUGGGUAGUUAUCCUAGUUGUAGCUGUAGGGGUAGUAUUGUCUUUCGUCCUAGACUAUAAAUAGGGAUGCGGGGCUGGUUAUUUCAGCACCUCUUUGCUUAGCAACUCAUUAUCUUUUGGCUUAGAGGCUAGUCAUGUGCUUAAAGUGAGAGGAGAGAGGGAGAUUAGAGAGUGAUUACUCUUUUCUCUUGAUUUCUUCAUCUUUAGUGGAUGGAUGAAGGGAGGAGGCUAGUCCUCAUCUUGUAUAGAAGAUAUUCUUGUGAUUUAGCUUUGUUUGUUGUCUCCAAUCGUGCUAAAUCUUUGAUUCCCGAACGUUUUUCUUUAUCCCUAUUUUCGGAGCUAUUUUUGGGGAUUUUUCGUUUAUCAUGUUUGAGCCCGAAUCUCGUGGUUUUGGUUGAAGAGAAAUGUUGCUACGACCUUAGGGAGCAUCUUUGAUAUGAUCCCCCUUCAAAUCCCACAUGGAUUCAGCCGGAUUUUGAAUUUCUCCCAAAUCGUGUUCUUCGCGUAGGGUUUCGGUUUUUCUCCAAAUUCACAAUAUAUUUGAGCGUUUUGAGAUCUUUCUCAUGGAUCUAUUAGCCCUUGGGGUUGCGCAUAUGUGGCUCAAGUUUCGUCUCGAUUUAUGGAGUAUUGAGGGCAGAUUUUUGAAUUAAAGUUCGAGCCAAGUUCUCGGUGCCUUCUGUUUUCUUUCUGUUCUUCAGUUUGAGCAGCAGGCGAGAGGCUCGUGGCGGCGCACGUCUGCACCAGAGCAGCAGGCCAGCGAGUUGCGCAGCAGGCCGGGCAGGCCGCGCCACAGGCCAGCUCGUUACAUGGGCCGGAACAGCUCUGGUGGCCCAAGCUGCAGCAGCAGGUGCUCGCGGGUCAGGCUUUCAGCAGUUCCAGGCAAGCACGCGCAGUCCAUCAGGCCGGCCUACACGUGAGGUAAGCUGCAGGGCAAGCUAGCUGGUCCAGCACGUGUACUAGGAAAUGAGCAGGUUGUGAUAGAACAGUGAGCUUGUCUUCGGUCCUUUGUUAAUUCCUUGCAUUUUCUAGUUAUUCUCUGUUAAGUCGAUCUCUGUUAAGUUGAUUAGUCUUUUAAUUAGUAUUGUCUCCUGUGCUAAUCAUGCUUAGUUUAUUUAGUCAAUUGCUAAUCCUUCCAUGCCUACUUAAGUAAGUGGUUAGUAGUAUUCUUGUUUUGUCUCAUCUGUGCAAACUUGAUAGAAUCGAUUCAUGCUAUAUUUCCGCUGUGAUUUGUGCGUCUCUUAUCGUUCCUAGGGUGAGCUAGUCACGAGUUGACUUGCGUCAUCUUGACGAUUGAACGCAUGGUGUACUUUGGGGUUGCGUUUGGGACAUAGGCUUUGUUUUCGUUAAGAAUUUUUAUAGGCUCCCAUUCACCCCCCCUCUGGUCGCCCUUUCGGUCCUUCAAUAUAUAUCUGUGGAUGUGAUCUACCCUUAUUCAAACCAUUAAUCUUAUAUCUAGUUUGCCAUUAUAUGCAAUAAGUGCUUCAUGUUAGGAUCGCUCCGUUAGAUUAGAUGAAAAAUUCUAGUAAGUUCGCUGCUGAUCCACGGAUUGAUAAACCUUGGACGAAUACUCUAAGGAAAAAACUAAGAUGAUCUGUGCGCUUGUGGUUCACAAACUAGCACGUUAACUGCCGCCAAUAGAGAGGCGGCACAGAUCUGGUGGUUAGGAACAAUCGCGAGUUGGAGAUCGGGUGGCUUGAGGGAAAGAGGAAGAAUGGAAGAGGAAAGGGGAGAGGAGGUUUUCCCCUUUCUAAAGGGGAGUGAGAAAGAAGAAAGGGAAAGGGGCUGAGAGUCGGAAGGGAGUCUGUUAGAGCACGUUUUCCCCUCUCAAUCCUCUUUGUGGCUGAAAAGUGGAAUGGGAAUAUGUUGGAGUUGCUCUUAACCCCUCCUGUUUGGAUCAUUAGGGCUAAUUUUAGCUAAUAAAAUUUAGCCUCCGAUACAAACAGGACCUAAGUGUAUUGCAUAUGAUGGUGGUGCAGGACUCCAUGUGGUGCGUUUUCAAAGCACGUGCUUGCUUGCGAAAAAGGGUACAACACAAAAUAUUAGUGUAUUUGUUACGUGCACCACAUGGUUUCAACCAAAUUUGUUGAACUAUAUGGUUCACUUGUCUUAGUAGAAAAUAAUAUCAAGUGGGAUGGUUUCAUCCUGAAUGAGUUGGUACAGUUAAACCAACCAAAUAACACAUGCAACCAAACACACCCUGUACCAACCAUCGAAGCUUGAGAAUAUAGAGAGAUUGAGGGAGUUGAUAGUAUUAGCAGUUUAGCUCAAAGAUAAGUUUGGGAUUAUAUAAGGCUCGGCCCUCUUCAGUUUUCAUAACAAACUGCGUGAUAAAAGAAAAAAUAUAGAAAUAUUGGAUGAAAAGAGAGGGUAUGUAAAGGAAAUUAGAUAACGUACGCACGUGUUCCGAAUUAAGAAGAGAAAUCAAGUUAUACCUGCAUGCCAUCAGGAAGCUCAGUCCUGUGAGAACCCAGAACUCCUUUAGCCGCAGGAUGCUGACGAAGCCGCCGAGGAGCACGACGGUGGACCACAACAAGGCCAGGGUCCCUAGACCGCGUGUGAUGUUCGCUGUGGCCGCCAGAAGCCUCACGUAGCGAUUGAUCAUCUCUUCUGGCCGUCCUGGCUCUCUCAUGGUUUACCCUGCAGUUUCCCUCAACUCUGAAAUUAAGCUUGCAAUGGAGGAGGCCGAUGGAUGGCUGUGGCUGGUUUAUGUCGCUGGCCGUCCUGGAUCAUUUGUAGGUUCGAUGCCGCCUCUGCCAGCAUGCAAAGAAGCAUUCGUACGUGGAGGACGCCAAGAGCAUUCGCGGAAGACACUUGUCCGGACGACAGAGACACCAAAAGAGAACCUACCGAGCAGGCCCGGGCACCGUCACGCGGUACCUUCACGCGCCGCCCCGGCUGCCACACGGCGACACUGCGCUGGUAUCCACACGCUAUCGACACUGCGCUGGUAUCCACACGCUAUCGAGAGAAAGGUCCACUGUGCUUUCAAAUUUUUCUCUCAAGCCUUAACUUCUGAAAACGAUCUCGACGAUGACACGGCCGACCCAGAGCAGCUGCCGUCAUUACCUUCGCCGGCGCUCCCUCCGUCUGAAAACGAUCCUUUGGCUCUCGAGGAAGCCGUCGUGUUAUCGAGGAAGCUGCUAGCUCCUGCCAGUGUUCGGAUAGAUGAGAAAUUGGAGGCAAUGGCUUGGGAAUCUCAGUUACCUAUCCAUUACCAUAUCAGUGUAGCUACUUGUUUUGAUGUCGGAAACAAUGUCAGAUGCUCUUUUAAGUUACUUAUGAUUCAUAACACAGAGACAAGAAAAGUUAGUAAAGCUAGUAAUAAUAUUAUCAGAGUGAAGAGCAUAUGCGAAUUGAGAAAGUAGAAAAAAUAAAAUGAUUGGUACUGGUAGUAUUUAUUAAGAAAUAACAUUGGUUGAAACAGGCCCAAAGGUCAGGAACAUAUGCAGGGGCUAUGAAAAUUGUCUAUUUCACUGGACUGACCUUUUGCAUGACUUAAAUGAGACUCUUUUUUGAAAUGGUAAAAAAUGCGUGACACAUUUUAUUUUGAAAGAGUUGUUGAUAUGUCAUUGAAUCCUUGGCUGAGGCACUUCACUCCUUUCUGCAGAUCAUAUGGAUCAAGCCGUCACAGUUGGCUGGCAGCUCUGCAAGAACUGGCAGCUCAUUCCAUACCUCUUGGCUCUAAUUGGCCUUUGCAUCCACGAUCGUCGAGAAGGUAGGGGUUGCCCUCGUAGCCCUGGGAACAGGUGCACCGGUACCCGACGCCGUUGGUGGAGUUGACACAGUCGCUGUUGGCGCUCCGGCACAUGUAGCCCGUCUUGUUGCGCUUGGCGGCGUCGCAGUUGGCGACGUUCCGGAUGGCCCAGUCGAGCACGACGGGCACGGCGAAGUGGUCCGUCCGGUUGAACUCCGGGCGGCCACGGUAUGUGUUCUCGACCCACCCGUCCUCCGCCACGAACGCGUACCGGCAAGCCGUCGUGUUUUCGAAGGUUAAUUAGGCUUAAUAGGUUAGUCAAAUCAUGGACUAAUUAGGUUUAAUAGAUUCGUCUCGCAAAUUAGACUCCAUCUAUAUAAUUAGUUUUGUAAUUAGUCUAUGUUUAAUACUCCUAAUUAGUAUCCAAACAUUCGAUGCGACAGGUGCUAAACUUUAGCACGGGUAUCAAACACCCCCCUAAAGUCACGCACUGCACGCUUGUCACCUCGGGUUGCAACCAUCAUGGGUCCCUGCACUGCACUCUUUUACAUUUUUUUUUGUUUUUCCUGCAGCACAGGACACAUUCAAUUAAUUCCUGCCUGGUGGUGAGGAUAGGAUUGGGAGGGACAUGGCGUAUCAGCUGUCAACCUUGAUCUGGACACAACAACCCUCGAUCCACCUCCGUUCAUGUACCAUGGAGCGAGCCAUGGUGAGCUCCGGCGACGUCCUCACAAAGCUGGCCGAGCUGCUCCAUGAGAAGUACAAGCUUGCCAAGGGGGUUCGCAAGGAUAUCGAGUUCCUCAGGUCAGAGCUCGGCGUCAUGAAUGACCUGCUUUAUGUGAUGGCAGACAUCGAGGAGCUCGACGCCCUCCUCAACAAGGGGUGACGCCCUCAACAUGUAGAUCCAGCUGAUGGUUUCCAUAUAUCUAGUUAGAAUUCGCUCUUUCAAAAUGGACUGCAGUAUACUAAAACAUGGCAUAUUGAUUCAGUAAUUUUCAUACAUCUUGAACUUAUAAUUACAGUUUAUGGACCUGAAGGAUAUAACUAUAUAUAUUCCCCUUUGUUUCUUAACUUUCCCUUUUUCAUGUCUAGGUUUUAAGCCGCAGCUCCUGUUGCUGCUAAUGUUCCCGGAGGGGCCUCUGCUUUGGCCUUGCCGUCUUUAGCGAGUUGAGUCCUUUGGUCCUCUUUUCUUCAUUUGUCUUCCAUCUCUGUCAGGUUAGAUGUUGCGCCAUUAUAUAUUGAGAUGAGUCCCACGUAUUGCUAGCAUUGAUGUUGUCCCUGCCUCCCUAUUGUAAGAUUUUAUUUUCUGAUUUCACCCAUCUGUCUUUGAAUACAUAUUGGUUUCCUCUGACAUUUUAUUUGCCCUUUUUGUCAGUUUUUUUUUCAGUUGUUGCCUUGCUAGUAUAGUUAGUUUAUUUCCCCUUGAACUUCUGACAACACAUGCAUGCAUUAUAAUUCGCCAGUGUUUGGAAACAUGUGGUCAUAUUUCCGGUGCUUCUCGGAUGCAUCACAGAUCGGACUUCUUCUAUGCUUUCCCAACUAAAUAAAAUAAGUUCAUUCCAACUUUAAAGUUGGCUCGGGAAAAAGGUUCACCAAGCAGGACUAAAGUUCGGUCACUGGUGGGGGGCUUAUCAACCGGGACCUUUUAUCCCGUUGCAAAGGCUAGUGGAAAAAAAGUCCUGAGAGGCCUUUUAUCCCAGUUUGAAACACCAACCGGAAUAAAAAACUUCCCCAUUUUAUCCCGGUUGGUGUUACCAACCGGGAUAAAAGGAUCGUUUGUAAUACCAAUCAUGAUAAAAUGGGAUCUUUUAUCCCAGUUGGUGUUUCAAACCGAGAUAAAAGGGUCCCCACGGGAUGGCUGAAAGAGGACUAAAUCCCUCGAACCCUUUUAUCCCGGUUUGUAAUACCAACCGGGAUAAAAGGGGGUCUUUUAUUCCGGUUUCUGCUUGGUGUUUCCAACCGGGAUAAAAGGGUCCCUCACGAGUUAAUACAAAAGGAUUGCAUCCCUUAUAUAGUCAGAUGUGCUGUGUAGGUGGGAUGGCAAGGAAGCUACGCGCGAGGCUGAAGGUCGUGGGUUCAAAUCUCACACACCGCGCACGCACGAAGAUUUGCUCCCUACUAAUCGGGACUAAAGACGACUUUUCUACUGUAGUGUAGUUUGUUGGAAAGCUGUUGCAGCAAUAUGGUUAUCUCAAGAGAUACUGAUCGAGAAAAAGUAAUUCUAAAUUGAACAAAUCCUAUGGCACGGCAAUCAACAGCCAAUAAAAUAUGUUAUUUAGUUGGCCAUAGGUCAUCAAUGGAACCAUCUUAAUUAGUGUCCACAGCUCCCAUGCAUGUGCGAUCAACGGCUCCAUAUUUUGCACCCAAUCCAAUGCUCCAAACUUUUUAUUAUCUCUUACAUCCCAUAUCUUCAAAGCUGAGCAGCAGCUUAAUCAACUUACUUAUUUCCAACAUGCAGAUAUAUAGUAUGUAACAAUUAUUUUCCAAGGAAGCCCCUACUGUAGUUAGUUAGUAAAUAAAUAAAUAUGAAAAGAAAAGAGCUAAACAAAGUCUGAGAGAGCCAAGGUCUCUCCAGAAGAAAAGCUGUAGGUAGGCUUCCUUGGAAAAAUCUAUUAUCCAAUUUUGGAAUAACUCACAUAGAACAAUGUAGUUUCAUUAGGAGAUACGUAAACAUGCAUCUACGAAAGGUAAUCUUUGAAGCAAGUACCAGUAUUAAACCAGCAGCACCUAAAAUGUGGCUACUAAAAAAACAGCCAUGUUGUGCCAAAACAAAAAUGGAACGGCGAUGUGCUUUUGGUCACUUAUUUAUUAGAAUAUUUAGGUUUUAGACAAAUAAACAUUUAAUUAAGUUAAUAACCGCAUCCAAACUAAGGUUCACAUUGGUCAAAGCUAAAACCUUCACACUGCACACCACCGUCGUCAGGGUAACAAUGCUUGAUCCCUGAGUUAAGCACAGAAUUAACAUCAUGAUCACGCAAAGGGACUUUGGAUUGCUCAUGAAGGUGGAAGUUAGAAUGAUGCUGGUACCUGAAAAGUUGUGGUGCCAAACUGGAGCCUGGAGGAUAUGCUAGAAAGCUUCCCCAAAAUUUUCAAUUUCGGCGCAGAUAUUACCGAGAUGUCCAUCUCCCUGCCUUUGAAAAUUAGUAAUCUUUCUAGAGAUGGGGCAUCCUCGAUGAUGAGCUACCUCAACCUGUCGUCUCCCCAAAGAGAACACACACCGAUGCUUCUGAGGCUGUGGACAUGAUCUGGACUCGAGGGAAGCCAUUGGUGUCUUUUAGCAGCAAGCUCUCAAGGACAGAGCAGCCCGCGAGCAAGGCAUGAAGAGAGGUCUCUGAGAUUCUGACACUCACAAGGCUCAGCUGGUUGAGAAGCUGGUUGAGCUCUCUGCUAGCAAUAUUGCUGUUUCCACAAUCCGGGAAGACGCAUCCUUCGAAGCUGGCGACGGCGAGGGUGGAGGAGAAGCGGAGCACCGAUGGCGGCAGUGGCAGCGGCUGAGUCCCCCCGUGCAAUAGGUUACUGUCGAAGAGGAUCUCCAGCUUCCGGAGGCCGUCGAUGGUGGGGGACCGGAGCCAGCCGUCGAGGGUCGCAGCGGCGCCGGGCCCGUGGCUGCAGUUACGGAGGAUGAUGUGCAAGCGGCGGCCGGGGCCCGGGUGCGCGGAGAGGGCACUGGAGAUGGCGCUGGCGGUGUUGCGCCGCAAUGGCUCGGGGAGGUCGAGGUUGAGGGGAGCGGAGCGCCAUAUGUGCCGCCACCGGGAGGAGAGGACCUGCGUGCGGGCGCCGUCCCUGGUGGGGAGGAGCGUGACAAUGUCGCCGAGGACGCCGUCCGGGAGGCGGCUGAUGCGGUCGACGAGCUCUUGUUCUUCCUCCGGCCUCCUCUUCUUGGCUCUCGUGAUCACCCCCAUGGCGAUGGCGGCGCGACGCGGCAGGUGGGGAGAAGUGGAGAUCGGGAAGAAAGACGCGGGCCCUCCCGCGAAGUACAUUGAAGUAGUUGGGCUUCUGCGCAUGUUUUUUUUUAACCAACCGCAGCUCUAAUUUCUGGCCCAAUCACAGCCGCGUCAAUGUGUUGCCAGACGAUGACCAAAACCCAUACGAGAGGUGUCAAAUUUAGUUGCCAAUAUAUGCACUCUAUUCCUGAAGAUGGUGAUAAAUAAGGUGCUCUUUGGCACGGCUUAUUUCGACUUUGGCUUCAUCUAUUUCACGUAAAUCGAGACACUGUAGCGUGAAGCUGUUUUGUAAGUCGGGACUAAAAUGAACUAGAAGCCGGGUGAAGCCAGUUUUUUUUAGCUUCACCGGCUUUGGCUUCACCGGUGAAGCCGUUUUGGGAUGAACCGUGCCAAAGGGGGCCUAAAUAUCAGCCAUGUACAGUCUAUGUCUAGUCAUACUUUUCUAAAUGUAUAGAGAUAAUGUAUAAGUUUGAAAUGAUGGAUGCUUUUAAUAUUUCAAAUAAACUGUUAUAAGUAAACUGGAGAAACUAUGGUAAUCCACGGUUUGUUACAAUUCAUAGAUAGCUGAAUAAUACAAAAUACUCCCUCCAAUUCAUAUAAUUAAUUCGACGUUGCUUAGUUUAUUUUUGAACUAGCCAACGUCAAAUAAAUCGAUACGGAGGUAGUAAAUCUUAACACCUCGCUCUAAUAUCAUAUGGUCGUCGCAAUCAUCCCAGUGACAACCAGGUGGAAAAGAAGAAUGGGCAUCUCAAGAGCUCUUUUCCGUUAAAACCGAAACAUAUUGCAACCAAAUCGGAUGACAAAUUACAAUAUUCCAUGAAAAGAGAUAACAAAUGUCAAGCAUUGGAAACCAAAUAUCUUUCGUUGGUGUUACCAGACCUACUGACGAACCCUUGAAAGGGGUCGAGUAUUGACAACUCAUGAACUUGCAUGGCACGAGGAAGACUAAAUGAUUCACUACGAGAUACAAAAUCAAAUCGUGCACCCCUCGAAGCCCUCUUUUCGACCUGGAGCAGCCUACGUUGUCUUCUAAUCCACCUGUCACUUCCAAGAAACUCAAGCGUCAUUGACUCCAGCACGCUUGCACUACCGGAAAGCUAAAACUUGCCGAGUGUUUUUUCUUUGCUGAGUGUUUUUUUUCGAACACUCGGCAAACAAGCUCUUCGCCGAGUGCCAAGCUAAAAACACUCGGCAAAGAAAAAACACUCGGCAAAUCGAAUCUUUGCCGAGUGUCACGAAAAAAACACUCGGCAAACCCAUCUCUUUGCCGAGUGUUUCCGAGUGUAAAAAAAACACUCGGCAAAGAGGGGGCUUUGCCGAGUGUCAAAAAAGACACUCGGCAAAGAGGGGGGUUUGCCGAGUGUUUUUUUUGACACUCGGCAAACAAAUAAUUUUUUCCCUCUUUUCACCUUGAAAUUUUUUCUACUCCCCACAUACAACAUGUGGUACUUCAUAUAUAAUUUGGUAUAUUUUUGGAUUUGUUUGCUAUAUUUAAUUAAUUAAUUGCAUUUUAAGGGAAUUUUUGGUAUAAGUCAAAUUUGAACUGCAAGGGAUUCAAAUUAUAGAAUAAAAUGCGUAGAAAAAUGAUAUUUAUGUUAUUUAGCCCAGUUUGAGUCUUUACCCAUGAAAUGAAAAGAAAUUUCAAACAUCUUGUUCAGGAAACAUAACCGCAGACAUGUGAUCGAAUGAUUUUUAAAUUCUAAAAAAGGCAAACGAAGUCGGAAAAUCAUGAGAUUUGUCAUGGUGUGGUGAUAUCAUACGUGGAGGUUGUGGUAAAAAAUUGAGAAGGUUUUGCACAUUUUGUCACGUGCGAUGUUUACAAACCGAAGCAUCUCCGAAGAAGAAUAGUAGCGUUGAGAAGAAUUUGUUGGGGGGAAAUAUUAACGACCCCCUAAUACGCUGCUUAAAGAAACAAACAUGAAGGCCUAGGCUCACCAAAGCGUGAUCAAGUCUCCGCCUCGCCCGACCCAGGCGUCAGGAUUGGGAGCGCCCGACCUCCCUCCGCAAGGCCUCCGCCUCGCCCGACCGUAACCCCAGGGUCGGGAGCGCCCGACCCUGUACCACGAAAGUUCCGCCUCGCCCGACCCCGAGCGAAGGAGUCGGGCACGCUGAGGGCCACGGGGUCAGAAUCCCCCUCGGAUACGAUCCGCAUAAACAAGACAAAUCCUGUGGGUCCCCCCGUCGGCCUCACCAUAAAUGCGCCGCAGAGUUGGCAGAGCGCAGGGCGACCGCGCCCCUCACGCCACCCAGCGCAAGUACCCGUGCACGACCGUCCUGUGCGAGCUACAGUACCGGAGGCCGGCUCCUGUUCGUCGCAGGGUACUCAUGACCUGCGGCGACCGGAGCAAAGGAGGGAGCGGCCUCGUCCUCGGGUCCCGCACGCCCUCGGGCCUCGCGCAAACGGCAGCACAUGUGUGAAGCUCCCCCUCUCUACAAGCCACCGCCGGAGCAGCAGUAUCCACCGUCCUCCCUAACGGACGGCGGCAUAACGACGAAACCGCCUCAUCAUGAUCUAACCUGGUACCUACGAACAUCGAAGUAGCUACCUGCGGAGAGCUGCAACACUUGGCAUCCGGCGACCUCCCCUUCCGGCAUGCACGACGGCACGCGUUUAGGGUCGGCAGGACGCCGGGCGCCAAGGACCUCUCCCCUCCUUCCUGCCAGACCUUUUUACCAUCUUACUCUUUACCUUUCACUCGGUCCCAAUUGUAACUCCGGCCGGCCCCUUGCGAUAUAAAAGGAGGAACCUAGAGCCGGAGAGGGGGAUCGGAAUCCAGAUCUAAGAGACCAGCUUCUCCCCCCAGUACACCAUAGGACAUCAACACUCCUCCUAAGAACACGAAAACCGAAGAGACCUGGAACCAGUCCCUCUCUCGCCCAUCUGUAACCCCCUACUACAGAACCCCCGCGC
Molecule: long non-coding RNA, 190542 nt
Filed under: Setaria viridis
Lineage: Eukaryota; Viridiplantae; Streptophyta; Magnoliopsida; Poales; Poaceae
Description: long non-coding RNA (SVIR_LNC001186)
Source: RNAcentral